Molecule: long non-coding RNA, 177523 nt
Filed under: Gossypium barbadense (sea-island cotton)
Lineage: Eukaryota; Viridiplantae; Streptophyta; Magnoliopsida; Malvales; Malvaceae
Description: long non-coding RNA (GBAR_LNC020322)
Source: RNAcentral
UGUAACAGGUCCCAAACAAGGAAAGUGUUAUGAGAAUAAACAAGCAGAUUGAACGACUCAGUAGGAGAUAGGCUGUUAAAACAGUUGCUGCCCAAAAGGUUAAAGUGUUGUAUAACCAAAACAUAGUGGAUACGUCUAGUAAAUUUUUGAAAUUUUCUUUUUCACCGGUUGCAGGACUUGGUUCAGGUGCAGUGCUGGUUGAAUAUUCUAAAGAUGUGCGAUACUUGAGUUAGUAAUUUUGACAUGCUAUCAAGCUGCUUUGGAGGGUUCAAAGUGGCAGUGUAUGUAGCUGUUAUAAUUAGCACUGUGGUUACUAAAAAUGUGUUACGCUUCUCAUAUGGGAUUCCCUUCUUCCCACGACUUGCUAUUGUUGCAAAAUUUUGAAAAACUGACACCUUUUCUUUUAAAAAUUCGAUGUGGAAUGAAGAGAUGGAGGUAUUGGGAAGCGAGGAAGAGGAACCACUCAAACCUCCUGCUUUGCUUAGUAUAUCAACAAUCCUAUCCGCUCGUUUUUCAUUCUAUGGGUAUUGUGAUUGGAUAUCUAGUGCUGUCAAUCCCUCCAAAUUUUUGGCAUUGAUUUGGUCUCGCCGCAUGUGUUCCAGCAGUACUUUUACCACCUGUUAAUUAGAAUAUUCAUAUAAGUAACCUUUGAGUAUAUAUAUAUAUACAUAAAUAACUUAACUAGCAAAAUUAGUGUGAAAAAUAUAAUGUCGGUAAUGACAGAAAAAUAGAAAUAGAAAAAUAAAGAACACACAGAUUUUACAUGGAAACCCUUUCGGGAAAAAUCACGGGCAAAGGAGAAGAAAAUUCACUAUAUCGAAUUCAAAUCAAUUACAAGAGGAGUAGACUAUGCCUAUUUAUAGGCUUGUAAACCUUAUUCUAAUAGGAGUGAAACUCCUUAUUCUAAUCAAUAUCAAAUACAUGGAGUUUAAUAAGAUUUUAAAAAAACCUUAUUCUAAAAUAAAAUAAAAGAAGUAUAAUUCUAUAGGGAUUUUACUUUUAUUUUAUUUUACCACUGUAUUUUAUUUAAAUAAGGAUUCGAGUCACUUAAUUCUAACAAUCUCCACCUUGACAUGAAUUCUUAAUAAACAAGUUCUUCAUCGCGAACUCUCAACGAACAAGUUCUCCACCUCUUCCAUAAAACCCCUUAAGGGUUUAUCUUCAACAAUCAACACCAACCAAGUCUAAGAAAUGCUCAAACUUGGUUAUAGGAAGUGACUUAGUCAUCAUAUCUGCAGGAUUUUCAUGAGUACUAAUUUUCUCACAACAAUAUCACCACAAGCAAUAAUAUCACGAACAAAAUGAUACCUAACAUCAAUGUGUUUUGUUCUCUCAUGAAACAUUUGAUCAUUUGUAAGGAAUAUGGCACUCUGACUGUCACAAAAUACUGUAUUGAUUUGAAGGUCUUCAUUGAGUUCACUAAAGAGUCCCUUCAACCAAAUAGCUUCUUUACAAGCCUCAGUAAUCGCCAUUUACUCAGCUUCAGUGGUAGACAAAGCGACUGUAGUUUGUAAAGUGGUUUUCCUACUGAUUGCACAACCUCCGAUUGUAAAGACAUAACGGGUGAGAGAUCUUUUUCUAUCAAGGUCUCCAUCAAAAUCAGCAUCAACAUACCCAAUAACUCCAUCUCUAGUUCUUCCAAACUGUAAGCAAACAUCGGUAGUACCUUGUAAGUAUCUUAAAACCCACUGAACUACUUUCAAAUGUUCUUUAUCGGGAUUCGUCAUGUAUUUGCUAAUUGCACUAACUGCAUAUGAUAAAUCUGGACGUGAACAAAUCAUGGCAUACAUGAGAGAUCCCACUGCACUAGAGUAUGAAACAUGUGACAUGUACUCAAUCUCAUCAUCUGAUUGUGGAGACAAAAUCGAUGAAAGUCUGAAAUGGGCUACUAAAGGAGUACUAACAGGCUUAACAUUUUGCAUAUUGAAUCUGGAAAGAACUUUCUCAAUGUACCCUUUCUAACUUAGGUACAAUUUACUUGCUUUUCUAUCCUUGAGAAUCUCUAUACCAAGUAUCUUCUUUGCUGGUCCCAAGUCUUUCAUCUCAAAUUCUUCACUUAGUUGGGCUUUGACGUUUCUUAUCUCUCAUUUAUCUUUCACUGCUAUCAACAUGUCAUCAACAUAAAAGGAGUAGAUACACAAAAGAACUAUCACUGUUUUUCUUAAAAUAAACACAACUGUCAAAGCUACUUCUUUUAAAAUCAUGAGAAGUCAUAAAGGAAUCAAACCUCUUAUACCACUGUCUUGGUGACUGUUUCAAACCGUAAAUGGACUUUUUCAGCAAGCAAACAUAGUUCUUUUUUUCUGAGACUGUAAAACCCUCUGGUUGUUGCAUGUAAAUAUCCUCCUCAAGUUCUCCAUGCAAAAAUGCAGUUUUUACAUCUAACUGCUCAAACUCCAAAUCAUGCAUGGCCACAAUACCAAGCAAAGCUCGAAUCGAACUAUGCUUCACAACUGGAGAGAACACAUCUAUGAAGUCCACUCCUGGAAUUUGACUGUAACCCUUUGUAACAAGCCUUGCUUUAUAUCUGGGUUCUUCAACUCUUGGAGUCCCCUCUUUCUUCUUAAACACCCAUUUACAACGAACAACCUUUUUACCUUUAGGAAGUUUCACAAGAUCCCAUAUUUGAUUUUUGUGUAGUGAUUCCAUCUCCUCUUGCAUAGCAAACAUCCACUUUUUUUAGUCUUCACAACUAACCGCCUCAGAAUAAUUAGAUGGCUCUUGGUUUGCAUCUAUAUCUUCAGCCACAUUUAAAGCAUAAGCAACUAGAUCAGUCUCGGUAUACUUCUUUGGAGGCUUAAUUUCUCUUCUAGUUCUGUUUUUGGCGAUAGAGUAUUGUGGUGAAGAAGCAACCCUAUUUUGAAUUUUUGAACUGGCUUUAGUAGUUGACUCUGUUGUAGAUUCUAGAUUAAUCUGAUGCUCCACCUGCUUUUGAUUUUCUUUAUUGGAAGAGUCUUUAAGAGAUAAGUUAGGUAGCAUAGCAGUUUCAUCAAAAACAACAUCUCUGCUAAUCACAACUUUUCUAUUUUCAGGACACCAUAACUUAUACCCUUUUACACCAGCUUUAUAACCAAGAAAAACACAUUUAAUAGAUCUCGGUUCCAAUUUUCCAUUAUCAACAUGAGCAUACGCAGGACAACCAAAGAUUUUUAAAUCAGAAUAGUCAGCAGGAUUACCAGACCAUACCUCUUGUGGAGUCUUUUUCUCAAUGGCAAUGGAUGGAGAUCGGUUGAUCAAAAAACAUGUAGUAGAGGCUGCUUCUGCCCAAAAUGACUUUGAUAAGUUGGCAUUUGACAACAUACAUCGAACCUUCUCCAUGAUCAUUUUGUUCAUUCAUUCUGCACCGCCGUUUUGCUGUGGAGUAUGACGAACUGUCAAGUGUCUCACGAUCCCUUCUGACUUGCACAGUUGAUUAAACUCAUCAGAACAGAACUCUAAGCCAUUGUCUGUACGGAGGUAUUUUAUUUGCUUUCCCGUCUAUUUUUCAAUCGUGGUUUUCCAAGACUUAAAUGCGGAAAACAUAUCACUUUUCUGCUUCAGGAAGAACGCCCAUACUUUUCUAGAAAAAUCAUCAAUAAGAGUUAGCAUAUAAUUAGCUCCACCUCUCGAAGGCACUCUGGAUGGCCCCCACAGAUCAGAAUGAAUAUACUCUAACGUUUCCUUCAUGUUAUGGAUUCCUCUAGUGAAUCGAACUCUCUUUUGCUUCCCAAAAAUGCAGUGCUCAUAGAACUUCAAUUUGAAAAUUCCUUGCCCAUCAAGACGUCCUCUUUUGCUCAAUUCUACCGUGCCAUUCUCACUCAUAUGCCCUAGGCGCAUAUGCCAAAGUUUAGUAAUAUCUUCAUCUGACAAGGAAGAGGAUGACACAGCUACAUCACUAGUAACAGUAGAGCCCUGCAAAACAUAUAACUUGGCAGUCUUUCUCUGCCCUUUCAUCACAAUGAGGGAACCUUUGGAAAUCUUCAAAACCCCACUUUCAGCUGUGUAUUUGUACCCUUUUGAAUCAAGAGUACUCAAUGAAAUUAAAUUUCUCUUUAAUUCUAGAACAUGUUGUACUUCACUGAGUGUUCUAACAACUCCAUCAAACAUCUUAACUCUAAUUGUUCCAACACCUGCAAUUCUACAUGAAGCAUUAUUUCCCAUCAACAUAAUACCUUCAAACACUGUUUCGUAAGUUGCAACCCGAAUCAAGGAUCCACUCUUCGCUCGCUUUAGAAUUGUUGACAGAAGCGACUAGAAGUUUACCAUCGCUCUAAUCUUCUACAACAUCAGCUUUACCAGAAUUUUCUAGUUGUUUUCCAUUUUGAUUGGCAGCCUCCCUUUUGAUCUUAUUCUGUAGCUUAUAGCACUCAGAUUUAAUAUGCCCUUUCUUCUUGCAAAAGUUACAAGUUUUACCUCUGUUUGAAGACUUCGAUCUACCCUUAGAUUUACUGCGAGGAUUCCAUUCCUGUGUCCUUCCACGAUCAUCAUUAGCAUUCCGAUCUUGUCUCCCACGAACAAUAAGAUCCUCUCCUUGAGAGUCAGUUUUAACCACAAGAUGCUUCAUCUUAUCAUACGAGGUUAAAGAAUCAUAAACCUCAUCAACUGUGAGAGACUCGCAGCUAUAUAAAAUCGUAUCUCUAAAGGUUGAAUAAGACGGGGGCAACGAACAAAGUAGAAUCAACCCUAGAUCUUCCUUAUCAUACUGAACCUCCAUGGCUUCCAAGUUUGAGAGAAUUUCUUUGAACACUGUUAAGUGUUCGUGCACAGAUGCACCUUCCUCCAAACGAUGAGCAUAAAGACGCUGCUUCUUAUGUAGCUUGCUAGUUAGAUUUUCAACAUACAUAUCUGUUCCAACCUCUUCCAUAAUCCAGCGGCAGUCUUUUCCUUCAUCACAUCCUGCAAAAUUUCGUUAGACAAAUGCAGAUGUAACUGUGUUAAGGCCUUUCAAUCCUUACGCUUCUUCUCUUCCUCCGUUAAUGUUGAAGACAUCUUAUCUACCCCUAGUAGGGCUUCCUCUAAGUCCAUCUGUGCAAGAACUACUUGCAUCUGUAUCUGCCACAACGAGAACCUGGUGUUGCGAUCCAACAGUGAAAUUUCGUACUUCAAAGACGUCAUUACCGUGAUUGAGAUGAACAACUCGGAAGCUCUAAUACCAAUUUGAAAAAAAAAUAUCGGUAAUGACAGAAAAAUAGAAAUAGAAAAAUAAAGAACAUAGAUUUUACGUGGAAACCCUUUCGGGGAAAAACCACGGGCAGAGGAGAAGAAAAUUCACUAUGUCGAAUUCAAAUCAAUUACAAGAGGAGUAGACUAUGCCUAUUUAUAGGAUUGUAAACCUUAUUCUAAUAGGAGUGAAACUCCUUAUUCUAAUCAAUAUCAAAUACAUGGAGUUUAAUAAGAUUUAAAAAAAAAACCUUAUUCUAAAAUAAAAUAAAAGAAGUAUAAUUCUAUAAGGAUUUUACUUUUAUUUUAUUUUACCACUGUAUUUUAUUUAAAUAAGGAUUCGAGUCACUUAAUUCUAACAAUUAGCAUACCCGAGGUCUGUUUCCGCUAGCAGCAAUAAGUAAAACAGUGUUGCCAUCAAUGUCUGCCCAACUCAGUAGUUCUUUCUCCCAACGGUUGGCAGCUUCAUGGCGGCUCCUUAUAAGCCACCCCACCAAGACUUGGAAAGCUUCAAACCUGUCAUUUUUUAUGGCAAGAUGGAAAACCGUCUCAUCUUGAAUAGUCACAUCUUCAAUAGCGUCGGGGAAACCUCAAGGAACUUGAUCAGAAAAUCAACAUUUCCAUUUUGAACCACACGAUGCAAAGGAGUCAAGACCUCCCUCCCUUUGACACAAACAAGGCCUUUAUCAAACCUGAGGAGUCGAAGCACCGCUUGAGUUUUGUGAUUUUGCAGAGCCAAGUGCAUGGGGCUAAACCCAGCUUGGUUUAGCUUUCUUGCAAACGUUGGCUUUAAGUUCAUCAUCUCCAUCAUAAACUCUAUAUUCCCUGCAGAGACUGCUACGUGCAAUGGGGUAUCAAGAAAAGGAACAUGAUCAAUAUGCUCUAAAACACAUUGAUCAUUCUGAAUCAACUCAUAUAAGACGUUAAUAUGUCCUUCUUGUGCAGCAUUUCUCAUCGUCUCAUCCAUGACAAAGAGUGUGUGUUGGAAGGAGGGGAUGGAAUACAAACACUAUACUACAUUAAAUACAAAACUAAUUAAUUUAACAUAAUAUUUAAGAUUAUUUAUUAAUAUAUUAAAUAUUAUCAAGUGUCGAUUCACUCAGUAUAAACACUAUUAGUACAUUAAACCCUAAACCCAAUUAGUAUAACAUGAUUUCUAUAAUUUUACCAAACAAGAAAUUAAUAUAUCCUUUACUUUUAACUAUACAAAUAAGAAAUUUCAAUCUUCCCCUAUUUUCUUUCCUUUAAUUAUAUUUAUCCACAUAUAGGCUUAAUGUAGAUUUUGUUUUAUUUUAUUUAUUUUUUACCAUUAUCCUUUAUAUUUUAUCUUUAAAAUUUUAAUUAUAUUUCAAAAUUAAUUUUAAAUAAUAUAUCAAAUAUAUUUUAAAAUUUAAUUUUUCAAAGCUUAUCUUUUUUUAAGUUUUCUUUCAAGUGUUGCACUCACACUCGUAAUCCUCACAUGGUGGAAUUGCCUACAAUAAUGAAGGAAAGAGCAAAGCACUAAGGACUACCCAAUAAUUGGGAGGCAAUGGCAUACCCUACAUAUACCAUUUACUGUCAGUGGUAAUGGAUCACUUGCCUACUUUACACGUAUUUUGUUUUCUUUCACUUUUUCUUGUCCUGCAUUAUUUGGAUUUGUGAGUAAAACUGUUGCUACUUAUUGAUCAUACUCACUAUGAAGUAUCAUCUCCCGAGAGCACACAAACUCUUCACAAGUAUCACAAGUAUCGCGUAAGGAGAAAUGUCGAAUUUUAGAUUACAUAAUAAUUUCAUCUUACCCAUCAUAAAAUUCAAAGUUUAGAGAUUAAGAAAAAUAAAAAAUAAAAUUAUAAUAACUUCUUUAUCAGAUGUGUGCAGGAGUUAUGUAAAAAAAAAAGUAUUUAUUACACAGCAAAUAAAAGAAUUUGAAAAUUAAAAAAAUUUUGGUGCUAUAUUUUUCACUUUCCACAUGAUCAUCUGGUGUGUGCAGAACAAUAAAUCUAAUCUUUACUGCUAGUCUUUCUUCUUUUUUACUCUGAAUACUCUUCUCUUGUUGCUUUUAUUGAAAUAAUGUAAUAAAACAUUGUACCAAUGGAUUGUUGAACUCUUCUACCAUCUAAUUUUUCUUAGUAUAAAUAUUAAAAUUAUAACCAUUUUAGUUGUUUAAUAUGAUCAAGUUAUAUAACUUGUGAAUACUUUUUUUUAAGGAUUUAUCUUUAAAGAAAGUAAAAUAAUAAAUUUUAGUUCAAGAUUGUUGGAUUAAUCAAAUAAAAAUUCGAUUCGAUAAUAAAAAUAUUUUUUGUCCAAUUUUAAUUGAAUUGGUGUCAUAAAUCAAAUGAACACCAAUUCAGUUGGAAAAUUACGAAAAUAUCUAUCCGUGAUUAAAAUAAGUAAUAUUAUUCUAAGGUCAUUUAGCCUUUUUAUGUAAAAAAAAUUCAGUAAAAAUAUGAAUAUAAUGGGAUUUGAAGUAAGACUCAUCUACUCGAUUAACUCAAAAUUUUUACUCUAUUCGAUCGAACAUUCACUUCUAAAUAUUACAUUUCCUUUAAUUGUGUAGCUAAUUAAGUGCUCCUUAUUUCAAAAACAUUUUUUUUUCUUUUUUGAUAGAAAUUGAUAUUUAAAAUGUAAAAAAUAAAAUAAAAUAAAAUACUGUUUGAACAUGUAUAAAUUAAUAUUGUACGCAUAAAAUUUAUAUUGAAUAAAAUUUAAUACCAAGAAAAGUAAAAAAUAAAAAUGUUAAAAUAAUAUAUUGGUGAAUCAAAUUUAAUAAUGAAUUUGUAGUUGAUAGUUAUAUACAAAAUGGAUGAUAUAAUACGUCUGAAGUCUUCCCUUGGUUGACCAUAAAAGGUUAUAGACCUUUUGAAAUCUUCCUAUUGUUGACCAUAAAAGGAGAGGUCAUCCUCUUCUGUGUUUUGUUUCCUUUAUUUGUGUGGCUAAUUAUGUGCUCUUUAUAUCCUUUCAAAACAAAGUUUUUUUCUUUUUUGGUAGAAACUACAAUAAAGAUUAUUGUAAUUUAAAAUCCAAUUAAAGUUACUAUUUGUUACGUGUAACAUUUAUUUCGAAUAAUUUUUAUUAUCGAGAAAAAAGUAAAAACAAAUAUAUGAUGUAAAAUUGUUAAUUUAAAUAUUAGCUCGAUCGAUAUUAGUAUUUUGUCAAUGUAGGGGAGUGUAGGUUUAAAUAUAUUCAAGUGUGAUUUAUCCUUAUAUUUAAACAUUUGAGAAGGGUUGGGGUGAAGUUAGAAUUUCUUUUGGGGGAGACAAACUAAAUUGUAUACUUUUAUGAGAGCUAAAAUAUAAUUUUACCAUUUUAAUAACUUAUAUCUUUAUAAUUUUUAAAAGACCAAAUAAAAAUUUUAUCAUUCUGAGGAUAAAGUACAAUUUUACUAUUUACUAACUUAAAAUUAUAUUAACUUACUAAAAUUUAAAUUUCACAUUUUUAAGGGAAUCCUGCUAGGCCCUCCCUCCUGCCACCCUUGGGAAGGUAUAAAGUGAAGCAAUAAAGAUCCAAAAUAUAUAAAUACUUAUCACACUUGACCUAUUGCUUUUCUUCAAGCAAAACAAACGCUAAUGCACAUGAAAAUGCAAAUUCACAUCCAAACUAGUGAUGCAUUCUAUAUACAACCUAGUGAAUAAAUAAAUAAAUAAUAUUUAACCACAGAGUUGUCUCUAUGUAAGUGCCUUUAUUUAGCCUCUUUGAUUAGAUAUUCUUAAAUGUUAUUUCACCACUGAAUAAUUCGAAUAACGACUUGACUUAGUAAAAUCGAACAUUAGACACAAAUUAAAACCCAAGGCAACUUUGGACAUUUGAUCCCCUUUCAAUUCUUUAACCGACCAUUCAUUUCCCCUCUUACAUGAAUCCAAAUUUCAUUUCAUCCGGGAAAAGCCAUCUUAUUCUCAACAAUGUCUUUGCCAUUUGAUACAAAAGCCUUCCGUUAGAUAGGAACAGAUUUGAUAAAUACUAAUAAUUCUCAGAUGGAGUAUUAGAACGGAAAAAUCCAUUAGAUAAUGAACUAUUGGUUCUAAGCCAUCUCUGGCUAUGAAUCAAUAAUUCGAAGUGUUUUUCUUGCGUAUUCUUGAUAAACCAGAGUUUAUAUAUAGAUGUAGGAGGACUUGUUUGGGAAGUAAGAAGUCUCUUUGACAUCUCUUCAUCUGCAAAGAAUUCUCGGUAUGAAAACACAGAGACAAAGGGCUGAUCUUUGAAUAGGAAAAAGAGUGGAUCAACAGGAUCCCAAAUGAAUUGGCUUAUUUGAAAAAAGCCUUAUUCUUUGGAAGAUCUGUUUGGGAAGUAAGAAGCCCAUUUGAUAUCUCUUCUCUUGUAACUUCAUCUUCUAUUUUUUGUUCAACUUUACCAAAAGUCUCAAGAAUUUUUUCCUCAACCUUUUUCACUUUGGCAAAACUUUCUAAGGAACGAGGUUUUAUUGUGAACGACUUUGGUUCUAAUCAAAAUAAAUUCUCAGUUUCAUUUAAGGGUUUGAUCAUUGAUGCAAAAAUGAAUUUCAAUAUUCUUUAAUAAAUUGGUUAUAGUUACCGAUGACCUAGUAACUCAAUCUCUUCUUACCUUUUCGAUAAUCAAGACAAUCGUCAUUAAUUACUUCUCUUAUUGACAAUCAAUCUUAAAACGAUCGCUUAGAAAUUUAAUUUAUCUAUAGCUUAAGAAUGAAAGAGAUUAAAUUCUAAUCAACAAAAGCACAAUCACGGUUUAUUUAAGUUAGAUUGCAUGCCCAUGUUACACAAAUAAUCAUGCAGUCGUCACAAAUAUUAGAAAUCAAUUGAUCAACUAAAUAUCUAAUUUACAAAGCAAUCAUUCUAAACUAUCAAAUACCUAUCAAUUAUUUAACAAAUCUGAACAAUUAUAAUUAAAUUAGAAAAUAUGCAAAUAUUAAACAACAAAAGGGUAAUUAUGAUGUUUGGAUUGUUUUGUUAGAUGGUGGUCAUCUUCCUAUGUUGAUUGUUGGCGUUUAGUUUCUUUUUAUUGGAUGUAUCUGAUUUGUCAAUUUUUGUCUUCUUAUUUUUAAUAUAAUAAUUUUAUUGUUGAGAAAAAAAUUUAUAAUUUUAAUACAAAUUAUCAAAUUAACUAUUAACUUUUAAAAUUAAUGGUUAGUUUUAUUUUUAAAAAGUAUUUUAGCAUUUUAUUUAUUUUUUAAUUUAAAAUCAAAUAAUUAAUUAAAUAUAUUUAAAUUGUAUUAAAUAAAAUCAAAUUAAUUUUUAUGAGUCAUAAUAUAAUUUUUUAAUAGUUUAUUUUCCUAUGUGGAACAAUUAUUGAGAGUAAAUAAUCUGAUUACAUUAUUAAAAAAUAAUAGAAUAAAUUAAAAAUUCAAACAUCUUAAAAAGUUAAAAUAAAAUUUAAUUUAAAAAUAAAUAUUAAUAUUACAAAUAUAUUUAAAUUUUCUAUCUUAAUCUUCUACUUCAAUCCAUUAUUCUCAUCAUCAUCUUUCAUCUUGAUUUUCUUCAACCUAUCAUCAUCUAGACUAGUCAUUUUUUGACCGGACAAGUCUAAUCAGCUUCGAUCAAUAUUGGACUUCUAAUGUAGUUAAUUGCUUUGGAGUUGCAAAUUACUUAACAAUAAUAACAAAUUGAAGAUUUGUAUAAAAUUGUAGUGAUAAUACUACUUAGAAAAAUAGUAUAAAAUAAAAUUAAAAUUAAUAAGAACAUACAAUUAUAAAGUGUAUUUUUUUAUUAAACAAUGAUAGGGGAAAGUAAAUAAGGGUGACUUUAAAACAAAUUUAGUACAAUAUGUAUUGCAAACUAAAUAAAUAUGUGGUGAUGAUGAAUGAUUCAAUAUUAUAAUUUUAUCUUACUAUUGAUUAAAAUGAUCUUUCGUCACUUUUCAAUGCCAUUGUCCUUUGAUUAUGACUUGAAAUUUUCUCUUCAAAAAGUUAUUAUUACUUUAACAAUUCAUUAUUUUUGAGACACUUCAAACUUAACAAUGCUAAUAAUCUCUAAUUGUUUAAUGUUAUUUAUAAUGAUAAACCUUAAUUUUAGUUUGUAUAUCACUAUAACACUAAUUAAAUGAUAAUUUAUUUAAAAUACUAUAUAUUAUUAAUAAUUAAUAUACUCAAUUAUGUAGUUUAAAUCAAUAAAAAAACUCUAUUAUACAAUAUAUAUAUAUGAUUUUAUCUAUUACUUUUAUAGAAAAUUUUAUCUAUUAUUCUUAAUUGUAUAGUUAAAACAAAUAAAAACUCUAUUAUUUAAAAAUAUUUAUUUACUUAAUGUUAUUUUAGUAAUUAAAUAAAUAUCUAAAGGUUUUUUAAUCCAUUCAAAAAAAAUUUCAAAUUUGUGCUUUUAUAUAUAUUAUAAAUUUUUAAAUUUCACAAGAUGUAUAUAUUUUUAAAAUGAAAUAUGUAAUAAUUGUUUAAUAUGACUUACUAAAUUAAAAAAAAAUUGUCAAUACAACAAAGACAAAUCGAUAACACAUGUUACAAAUAGGUUAAGAAUAAAAAUACAUAUACAUAUAACCAAGAAGAGCAUUCUGGUCUUACAAUGUGCACAAUACCACGCUUGAAGCAAAGUCAACAUAGUUGUUAACUUGAUCCUCUUCAGAUUUAGAGUUGCUAGAAUUGUUUUCAUCACUCCAUGUAAUCCACAACACCUUCUUUUUCUUCUUGAGAGUGUUAGCACACUUAACUUGAUUUAGCACACUCAACUUGAUUUUGACCAUAGCCAAAGGCUUUCAUGACAUUGGAUGUCUUUUUUCUUUUCUUUCUCAUUCUGCUCUUUGACAACAGUAGUACUUUUGCUCUUGAUCUUAGGAGUAUUAUUUGGGGUUUCAAAUUUCUUAAACUUUCUAGCUUGCUUCUUAAAGGAUUUAUUGAAAUUCUGAGUAAGAAGAGCAAUCUCUUCUUAAAGUUCUUCAAAGGUAUUGAAAAUUGACACUUCAUUGGCAUCUUGGAGUGCAAUGCUUCUCUCUCCCUUUGAUUUAACUCUCUUGAUUUCAUCUAGAUUUAGCUCGAAAGUUUGUAGAGACCCUAUUAACUCAUCAAUCUUCAAGCUCCCCCGAUUUUUAGCUUAUUCAAUAGUAGUCACCUUAAUUGAAAACCUUUCAAGUAGUGAUCUCAAGGCCUUCCUUAAGAGAAGAAAAUGUCUCUGCAGAGUUUGACCCUUGUUAACAAAAGCAAAUAAGACUCCUUACAAGACAUGAAGGGGACCAAUUUUUGGAAUAAGUAUUCGAUGGCGAACACUAUUUGUCAUUGGAAAUCGUCAAUAUGGUUUCAAAAUUUAAGAUAGCUAGAAUAAGAAUAACAGCAAAGAUGACUAUUUGUACAAGGUCGAAGAAAAUUUUUUUGGGUACAAUCCUGUAUAGCAUAUAAUAGGAUCAUCUGUAUAAUACUACAAGAGCUAGUACCGUUGACAAGCAGUAAUUAGCAACGCUGAGAUGAUGAUAGGAUAAGGAUCCAAUAGUCAAAAGAUAGAAUAUAUACUGAAGUGCGAGUGUCCAUAUGAAAGCAGCAACUAAAAGCAUGUAACAAGUCCCAAACAAGGAAAGUGUUAUAUGAACAAACAAGAAGAUUGAACGGCUCAGUAGGAGACAGGCUGUUACAACAAUUUCUGCCCAAAAGGUUAAAGUGUUGUAUAACCAAAACAUAGUGGAUACGUCUACUAAAUUUAUCAAAUCUUGUUCAUCGGUUGUAGGACUUGGGUCGGGUGCAGUGCUAUUUGAAUCUAAAGAUGUGUGAUACUUGAGUUGGUAAUUCAAGAAUUUUGACAUGCUAUCAGGAUUCUUUGUGUUAGCAGUUGAAUAAUUAGUUGUGAAGCUAGACUGUUAAAGAAGUUAGUUGUUAAAAAGCUGUUAAAGAAGUUACUUUGUUGAACAGCUUGGCAGUUUUAAUAUCCUGUUUAUAAAUAUAGAGUCAUGUGUAAUUGGAAAGAGAAGAUAAAAAAAUAAUUUUUUUUUAUUUUUGUUAGUCUGUAUUAUAAUCAAACAUGGUAUCAGAAGUCAGGUUACUUUGAUGAUCUGCCAUGGCAUUUACCAGCUCCACUGCAACCUCCACAGCUUCCCAACGAUGGUCUCCUCACCUUUUCCUAAUGGUAUGUUUGACAGCCGGUUCUUUUCAACCAAAAAUAUUAAUAUUCUUCUUGAUGAUUCUAAUUACUUGUUAUGGAAACAACAAGUGCUUCUUGCUAUCAAGACUCACAAGCUGCAGCAGUUUCUUGAUGGUCGCACGAUUCCUCCUCUCUCACAUGUUCUUGAUGAUGAUGGAGUUCUUCAUGACAAUCUAGAUUUUGGACAAUAUGAACAGUAAGAUAGUGCUCUUGCUUCUUGGCUUUUAUCGUCUAUUAGUCAGAGUGUUUUACCUCAUCUCAUAGGUAUGGAUUCAAGCUCUCAGAUCUAGAAUACUCUUGCCACCAUAUAUGGCAGCAAAACUACGUCUAGGUUAAUGUUCUAUAGACGUGCUCUUCAUUCUUAGCGAAAGGGAGAGUUAUCGAUGAAAGUUUUUUUGAUGAAAAUAAAGAACUAUUGUGAUAACCUUGCUAGUUGUGGUGAAGUUAUUAGUGAACCUGAACAUGUCACUACUAUUCUAAAUGGCUUUUCUCCUGAGUUUGAGGCUAUUGUCACAGUCAUCACAGCAAGUCAAAUCUCCUAUGGUGUUCAGGCAAUUACAACUAUGCUUCUUGACGCUGAAGCCAAAUUACAAACUACGCUGGUUGAUGUGUCUAGCUCCCCUAAUAUAGUUACUACUCAGUCAAUUAACUCUGUUGCUAGUAUUCAACCACCACUAUAUCGUCCUGCCUAUGCUUCCGGAUGUGGUCGUGGAUGUGGACGCUCAUCUAGCUCAUGUAUUCAAUGUCAACUAUAUGGGAAAAUUGGUCAUCUUGUAGGUCAUUGUUAUCAUCGAUUUGACACUACAUCAAGAGUACAGCUUAUCGACCUCCUCCAUAAGCUAACAUGUGCAUGUUUGGUAAUAGAGUAUCCAUGCCUUGGAUGCCUCCGUAUAGCUCUCCUCUACCAGUUUUUUCUCCAGUGUUGAACUCUCAAGGCAAUUGGGGUUCUUCAUUUCCACCAUCGUAACAUUGGUCACACUUAUCUCCUACAUCCACACAACAAAUACCUGUACUAUUAUCUAACUCACAAGCUUAUGUUGCCACUCCAAACACUAUAGGAGACAAUGCCUGGUAUCCUGAUUCUUGGGCUACUCAUCAUCUUACUCAUUUUGCUACUUCAAUGAGUGACAGCACUCCUUAUAAUGGUUCAGGUAUGGUAUAUAUGGGUAAUGGUGCUACUCUACCUAUUAUUUGCACUAGUCAGUCAUCUUUACUCACUUGUUCUUGUCCACUUUAUCUACGAUCUCUUUUAUUUGUGCCUAACAUCACUAAAAACUUCAUGUCUAUGUCGAAAUUUGCAAGGAACAAUCAGGUUAUGUUUGAGUUCUUUCCUAACAAGUGUCAAGUGCGUGAUUUAAGAACGAGAGAGGUGUUGCUACAAGGAUCAAUUCAUGAUGGUCUUUACAAGCUAAAUCUAUCACAUGCCUCCAAGCCUUUAUUGCUAAACUGGCUCAGUUUUUUACUAUUAAUAAAGUUGUUCCUUUGGAUGUAUGGCACUAUAGAUUAGGCCAUCCCUGUCUAGCUACACUAAAGACAGCUUUGAAUAGUUGUAAUGUGCAAUUUUCUGUUAAUAAAAUUGUUUCGUGUAUGUCUUGUCACCUGGGAAAAGAGCAUAAACAACUUUUUUCUCCUGCUGUUUCUGACUAUACCUCUCCAAAUGGUGGCUGCUGAUGUUUAGGGGCCUGCUCCAAUUUACUUAAAUGGGUUUGCUUACUAUGUAGCAUUCACAAAUGCUUAUACUCGUUAUACAUGGUUGUACUUCUUAAAGAAAAAGUCUAAUGUGGCCACAGUGUUCUAUCAGUUCCUUCAGCAAGCUGAGAGGUGUUUUGGUAACAAACUCAAGGCUCUUUAAACUGAUGGAAGAUGAGAAUUUUAGGCCUUAAGGUGGUUUUUGGCUUAAAAAGGAAUUGUUCACAGGCUCAUCUGUCCUUAUACGUUUGAACAGAAUGGUUUGGUUGAGAGGAAGCACAGACAGAUUGUUGAAAUUGACCUCUCUAUGCUUACCUAUGCUUCACUGCCUCUUUGUUACUGGCAUGAUACAUUCAGCAGUACAGUGUUUUUGAUAAAUAGGUUACCUUCUCAACACCUAGGUAAUAUCACUCCCUAUGAAAAAUUGUUUUAGUUGAAACCAAAUUAUUUGUUUCUUCGAGUGUUUGGAUGUCUCUACUUUCUUAAUAUCAGACCAUACAAUACCAAUAAGUUACAAUUCAAAUCCACACCUUAUACCUUUCUUGGAUAUUCCUCUAACCAUAAAGGCUAUAAGUGUCGCGAUGCUUUAGGAAAAAUUUAUAUAUCCCGACAUGUCACAUGUCAUGAAUAUGAGUUCCCAUUUUGAACAAGUCUAAGUCAUUCCAAAUCAUCCAGUAGUAACCCACAUUAUUCUACAACUAGCUCCAAGUUGAUCAUUGUUCCACAUCCACCACCAAUAAAUUUGACUACCAUACAACCCCAACAACCAGGAUCACAACAACUUUUCUUGAGUGACUCACCAUCACCUGUGUCUGACCCUAUUGAACCUACUGUCCCAUCUGAGUCAAGUCAACCUAGUUCCAUUAUCCCAUCUGAGUUUAGACUGGCCUCACCAAAUAUAGUCAAUACCCAUCCUAUGGUCACCCGUAGCAAAGUAGGUACCUUCAAACCUAAAAUAUACCAUGCCAAGGUACCUAAUUUAUCUGAAACUAUACCUAUUGAUGUUCAUGAGGUAAUGAUGUACCCUCAUUGGCGAGAUGCUAUCCAAAAUGAGCUAAGAGCUCUCACAAAAAAUAAUACUUGGACACUUUGUACUUUUCCUUCUUCUAGGAGAUCCAUUGGCUGCAAGUGGCUCUUCAAGGUUAAAAAGAAGCCUGAUGGGACUGUCGAAAGGUACAAAGCAAGACUCGUUGCUAAAGGGUUUUUGCAACAUGCUGGAUCAGAUUUCAAUGAUACUUUUAGUCCCGUAGUUCGUACUACUAUUGUGAGGGUGGUUCUCUGUAACACCCCUAACCCAUGUCCGUCACCGAAACAGGGUUAUGAAGCAUUACAGAACAUAACACGGUUCAAUACAUACAUUUAUCAAUAAUUAUCACAUUGUAAUUAAUAUCAUAAAAUAAUCUCUAACAUACUUAAAAUGAGCAUACAGUUAUUAAACACUCUAAAACUACAGCUAAAUAAACAUAAUUAAUUUCACACCUCACAAGGCAUUCGGUAAUAAAUCUGCAACAUUUAAACAUCUAUGACCAUGACACAUAUAAUACCAUUUCAAACAUCAAAUUCUGAUACCAUUUAUCUCAUUCAAAUAAGCAACCAAAACUAAUUCAAUAUAUGCUUCAUUCGUAACAUAAUCAUGCAAUCAUUUUUAAAUACAUUUUUAACUAAACAGAACAUACCAAAUUCACAUGUUAAUCUCACCAAAUUAGCAACUACCAAUACUAAACACAAAUGCCAAAUCAAAUCAUACCAAAACCUCAACUAUAUGUUAUACUAACUAUACUAAUUUCAUUCUUCGCAUAAUCAAUCAUAUAAACACUAAGACAUUUCUAAUAAUUUGGCCAAAUGCAUAGGUUAAUAAUAAUCCACACCAAAUAAUCAAAUUCACAUGGCAUAGAAUAGUCAUCACAUAGCAAAUAUGAACACAUACUAAUAUUAACAUCUAACCGAAUAAUUAACCAUAUGACUAUACCAAGUUUGCCGAAUCUCAAGAUAUAUUAUAAACAUCACCUACCAUUUGUCAAUUCACAUAAUAAGCUCAUUUGCAUAGCCAAAGUAACUUCCAACAACUACACCAUUUACAAACCAACUUACAUGGCUAAAACCACAACCCAAAAACCUACCACAUGAUCACUAGCCUAUACAUGCCAUAUACUAAAUUUACAAGCUUCAAAAGUACCAAAAUGAUGAUCGAUAGUGUGACGAUGGUUCUUGACGAUCCCCGAGCUCAAGCUAGCUUCGAUUAUCUAAAAAAAUAGGGAAAAAAUGCACACAAAGUAAGCUUUCAAAAGCUUAGUAAGUCAUAAACAAAUAAAUAGUCAUAAAAACAUAUAUAAUCUAUUUUAGUUAAGCCGAAUAUAACUAGUCUCAAACACAUAUAUAAACACUAUUCUCAUGUAAUUCACUUUGUCUCAUUAAACAACAUCACUUACCUUUUUCUUUCAAAGUUCAUACCAGUUUCACACAUACCUGAAUCGUUUAUCUUUUAUACCAAUUUUGCAUCGUAUCGACUUUACCCGUUAAACCAUUCGAAAUCGUUGAGGAUACUCAAAAACACAUAUAUCUCAUACAAUGGCAUAUCCCAGAUAUGGUCUUACAUGUUAUCACAUAUGGAUGUCACUGUCCCAGACAGAGUCUUAUACGAAAUCAUAUACGAUGCCACUACCCCAGACAUGGUCUUACACGUAAUCUCAUAUCGAUGCCAAUGUCUCAAACAUGGUCUUACACGAAAUCAAACCUCAAGAGUCCUAAUGUCAUGACGUUUGUAUCCUAUACUACUCCUAAGGUUCGUACAGGACUUUCGGACAUCGUAACUCUGUCAAUUCUAGCUCGUUUUCAUCUUUUCAACAUUUGAUACAAUUCAAUGAUAAUCAAACAUAAUUAACAUAAUUUAAACGCAUUUAUUUGUAUAUGAACUUACCUCGAAUACGGAAUGAAUAGAUCGGAUCGACUACUCGAUAACUUUCAAUUUCCCCUGAUCUAAAUCUAAUUUCGUUCUUUCUUAAUCUAUAUAAAUUCAAAUUUAACUUAUUUAAUUAUGUAUUCAUUCAAUUUCAUCUAAAAACACAUAAAUGGGUAUUUUGCACUUUAGCCCUAAAAUUUUACAUUUUUGCAAUUUAGUCCCUAUUUCAAAACUAUACAAAAUUUCAUCACCAAAGCAUAGUCGAAUCUUCCCUAGCUCCUUAACAGCCCAUUAAUUCCAUUUAUUUCACAUUUCAACCCCCCAAUUUACAAAUUUCAUAAUUUAAUCCAUAAUAAGCAUUUUUAUCAAAAAUCAUUUAAUAAAAUAUGAUAAUCUAUCAACAAAUAUUUAUUUUUCAUCAUCAAACAAUAAAAAGCUUCAAUAUUCAUCAAUGGAAUUUCACAAAAUCAUCAUCAAAUUCAAAAAUUAAAGCAUGGGCUAGCUAGAAUACAAAGCAACGAUCUCAAAAACGUAAAAAUCAUCAAAAAUCGGACUCAAAACAAUCUCAAUCAAGACUUCAAAGUACUGAACCUAAAAGCUUCAAAAUUGUUUCUUUUCUUUGUUAUUUUCGGCAAUGGUGGUGAAAAGAUUAACAAAAUAAUGUUUUUGUUUAAUUUAAUAACAUUAUUUACAAAGUUACUAUAAUGCCAUUAAUGAAAACAUUAAAAAAUCAUAUAAUGGAUGACCAUUUAUGUCAUUAUCCACUAACUAUGGUCUAAUCACAUCACAAGGACCUCACAUUUAAUUAAUCAUAGCAAAUAAACUCUUAAAUAAUUUAUAUGCCACUUUUGCAUUUUACGUGAUUUAGUCCUUUUAUCAAAUUAACUAACCAAUCGGUAAAAUUAAAUCACAAAAUUUUCACACAUAUCAAAUAACAUGCUGUAAACACAAAAAAUAAUAUUAAAAUAUUUUUAUAACCUCAAAUUUAUGGUUCCAAAACCACUGUUCUGAUUUAGCUUAAACCAGGUUGUUACAUUCUCUCUAUUGCUGUUAUGAAAGGGUGGUCUCUAAGACAAGUAGAUGCCAAUAAUGCCUUUCUUAAUGGCGCAUUGAUUGAAGAAAUCUAUGUGGAUCAACCCAGGGUUUGAAACUACAAAUGUCACGGGUAAUCAACUUACGUGCAGGUUAAAUAAAGCUCUGUAUGGUCUCAGACAGGCACCCCGAGCAUGGUUUAAUACGUUGAGAGAGUACUUGGUUGACCAGCUUGGUUUUCGUGCCUCUAAAGUUGAUCCUUUAGUAUUCAUACGAAUAAAUGGUGGGUUUUCUCUAUUUCUAAUGGCCUAUGUGGAUGGUAUUAUCAUCACGAGAAGUUCACCUAAGAAGAUUGACAAAGUUGUGCAUUAGCUACAUAGUAGAUUUGCCCUCAAAGACAUGGGAAAUCUUCAUUUUUUUUCUUGGUAUUGAAGUGCAUCAUAUUUCACAUGCAAUGUUUCUUACUCAAAAGAAUUAUGUUCUGGAGUUACUUCAUAAGACAGGUAUGGAGACUGUAUCACCUACCCCGACACCUAUGGUAGGCACACCAAAGUUAACUGCUACAGAUGGCACACCAUUUUCAGAUGGUCAUUUGCAUUACAACAUUAUUGGCACUCUGCAGUAUGUAUGCAUUACACGUUCAAACAUAGCCUUCUGUGUCAACAAACUGAGCCAGUACAUGAAUGCUCCACAAAAUACACACUGGCAUGCAAUGAAACGUGUGGUACGAUAUCUUAAUGGUAUUUUGGAUCAUGGACUAUACUUCAUUAAAGGUUGUUUUGAGUUAACUUUUUUAUUAUGAUGCUGAUUGGGCAUCUACAACUGAAGACAGGUGAUCUACCACUGGUUAUUGCAUUUUUCUUGGUUCUAAUCCAGUUGCUUAGUGCUCCAAUAAAUAAGUUGUUGUUUCUUGUUCUUCCUCAGAAGUAGAGUAUCGUAGUCUUGCAAACUGUGUUUUUGAGUUGCUACGGUUAAAGUAGUUGUUGACUGAAGUUGGCAUCAAUCUCCAGCAUAUACUAGUAGUGUGGUGUGACAACACCCUCACAGUAUUGAUGGUAGCCAAUCUGACUCAUCAUGCCAAGGUUAAGCACAUAAAGGUUGAUAAUCAUUUUGUUCGAGAAAAGGUUCACGAUAGUAUUCUCCAUGUAAAUUUUUGCCCUCAGCAAGUCAAAUUGCAGAUGUCCUCACCAAGCCUAUUACUCCAAAAUAAUUUUCCUUCUUUCGAGAUGCAUUACGUGUACUCCCUCCCAGUAGCAAUCAACCAAACAAUCAACACAAGAAAGAAAUGUAAGAGAAUGUUAGCAGUUGAAUAAUUAGUUGUGAAGCUAGACUGUUAAAGAAGUUAGCUGUUAAAAAGCUAUUAAAGAAGUUAGUUUGUUAAAUAGCUUAGCAGUUUUAUCCUAUCUAUAAAUAUAGACUCAUGUGUAAUUGGAAAGAGAAGAUCAAGAAAUAUGUUUUUCAUUUUUGUUAGUCUGUAUUAUAAUCAAACACUUUGGAGGGUUCAAAAUGGCAGUGUAUGUGGUUGUUAUAAUUAGCACUAUGGCUACUAAAAAUGUGACACGAACAAGGCCUUCAUCAAACCUGAGGAGUCGAAACACUUCUUGAGUUUUUUCAUUUUGCAAAGCCAAUUGCAUGGGGCUAAACCUGGCUGGAUUUAGCUUUCUUGCAAACAAUGGCUUUAAGUUCAUCAUCUCUAUCAUAAAUUCAAUAUGCCCUAUAGAGGUUGCUAUGUGCAAUGGGGUACCAAGAAAAAGAACAUGAUUAAUACACUCUAAAACAUAUUGAUCAUUUUGAAUCAACUCAUAUAAGACGUUAAUAUCUCAUUGUGCAGCAUUUCUCAUCGUCUCAUCCAUGGCAUGGUGUGUGUGUGUUGGGGGCAGGGGAUGAAAUAUGCAGGAACAGAAUACAAUAUAGAAAAGGAAAUAGAACCUUUAUUUUGUAGAAACACAUAAGUCCAACCAUAAUUUUAUACAUGACUUAAAUGAGCUAAUUUGAGAAAGUAAACAUUUUGAAAGGACUCAUGAAAUCUUAGACCAAACAAAAAGCAAGCCUAAAAGAGUGAUGAAAGAACGCUUUAGCAGAACAAAUGAUUAAGGGUUUAUUGAAGUGUUUAAUUUUUUUUCUUCUUCCGUUUUGUAACACAUAAUUAAUUUGGGUUUAUGUUUGAUAUCAAAAUCUCACUUGUUAAAAAAUAUACAAUAAUUUGGUUAAAAAAUUUAAUAAUUAUAUUUAUUUUUAAUAAUUUUUAAGAUAUUAAUUAAAUGAUAACACGUUAUAUGAAAACUCUAAAACUAGAUAUAUUUAAUUGUAAUAUAAAUAUUAUUUCGUUAUCUAGUUCACUAAUGAUAUGCAAAAUUAUAAUCCUCUCUACAUCAAAUGAUUUUUUUUCAAGAUUACUUAUAAAUAUAUUAUUAAGUGUAUCAAUAUGGUUCACUUAAAUACAAACAUUAUUUUUUACAGUUUUCUGGAUUGAAGUGCACAAUUUACCGAUGAGAUUUAUGUUGGAAGGAAUGCCAUGCCAAUUCGGUAAGUUCAUUGGUUAGUUUUUGGAAUAUGAUGCUAGUUCGGUAACAAGAGCUAUUAAGAAGUAUAUGCGUAUUAGAGAAAAAUGGAUGUUCGACAACCUUCGAAAAGAAAGAAGUGAAUAGUUGUGGACUAAAACUGGCCGACUUAUGCAUUGUUUUAGUAGGAAAAAUUUAUUCUAUUUUGUUUCUUAUGUGGGAUGUUAGGGCAUGGGGAAGGGUUUUGCCGAGUCAGAUUGUCCUUAGAAUCGCAGGAGGUGACCUUCGAAUGGGACAUAUCGUUAAAAGCGGCACCAAAGAAGGCAUUGUCAGAAGAUAGCAGAUGGUUGAGGGACGACAGUUUGGGAAGCAAUCCGAUAGGAAUAGAUAUGGAUGACAACAAAGGAGGAAGGAGUUUUGGUGAUAUCCAAAAGUCUUGGCCUUAUCAAAUAAGGGGCGGGAAAGGAGGAGAUUAUCUAGCCGCAAAAUCUAAGGUGAAUUUACAAUCCAACAAAGAAUGCUUCAAUCGUCAAAGUAGUCAAGCCCAAAUACAGGGCUUGAAAGUUAUGGGCAAAUGGAGUUGGGUUUGGACAUGAAGGAUAUUUAAAUUGAGAUUGUGGAUAGUAAGAAAAUAUGAAGAAUGCAUCAAAUGAAUAUUACUAUUUCUAGCAAAAUUCAUUCAAUGAAUUUGAGAGUCCCUUCUAAAAUAUCGGCAACUAUUUUUAAGUAAAUCGACUGAACACAGUGAAAAUCCUCAGCUAGAAUAUCUAUGAGUUGGAGCAACCACGAGACAUGAAACGUGUCAAAAAUAAUAUGAGACUUAUUAAGCCCCAACUUUUGUUUCUAAUAGAUACAGAUCCAUGCAAGACAAAUGGAACGAGUUACAAAGAUCAGUGGUGUGUCAUUGAAAGCACAAAAAAUAACCUAUCCCUAUGAAAUAACGAAAUGAAUAGUAUAUGGGAAGUAGAGUCAAAUCCUCAGAGGCUGGAUCACUACAGCUUCUUGUUUCUCAAAAUCCUGGGCACAAUCGUGCCCAAGAAAAACGUAUAAGCUAGGAAAAAAAUAAAAGAACAGAAUUAAAAAUAUGGACAAGAUGAAAUUGAAUAAAUUGAAAUUGCAAUUGUUAAAAAAAUAGAGUUGAGGGAAGGGGUUUUUCAAUUUGAGGAACUCCAACUUCUGAUUAUUUCGAUCCUCCUUGGAUUCAAUCAUAGGCUUUUAGGUGGUCAUUCUCAUGACCGAAUAAGCUAGUUAUAGUGGAAGAGGACGCCUACGACCACCAGCUCCACUUAGGAUUUUAGCCUUUAGUGGCUCAUAUUUUUUGGGAAAAAACACAAGUUUAAUGGAAUGAAAAUUUACUAGAAAAUAAAAGGAACAAAAGUUAAGAGCUUUAGAGGGAAGGAGCUUUUUACAAAAACGACGAGUGACUAUUCAUGUCACUUCAUCCCCUAUUUAUAGUACAUAAAAAACUUAAUUUGUUCCUAUUUAAACUCUAGAAGAUAAAUAAAGAUAUAAUUUGAAAUUAAAUCUAAACAAUAUCAUAAUAAUCCUAACAAUAAUCCUAAAAAUAAAAUUCAAAUUUAAAUAAAGUAUUAUGUUCAUAAAUCUCUUCUUUGAAUUUUUACCCGAAAUCUUUCACACUUUGUAUUUUCGACACCACUUCUUUCCUAUUUCGCAUGCUGGCCCAUUUUGUCUUUAAAUUCACACUUUUUGUCCCUAAAUUUUCUUUUUCCCUUAAUUUAGUCCCUACAAGUUAAAAAACCAUAAACAACUCAAAUUAAUAGGAUCAUACUCAAAAUAUAUGUAAUUAAUACAUAAAAGUAUGUCAUUUUAGAGUAUUAUCAAUCAGUCCAAUUCGUUUAAUGACAGUGGAGUUUGAAGAACUGUCGCCUCGCCAAACACCACCAGGUGGGCUAAGAGCUUGGUAGGUUGCAGCUAGAAGGAGACUUAAAAUGCCUAGUUAGACAUUACGGUCUUGGUCUGAUAUAUUAUCCAUAUUGUGAAUAAUUACUAGUGAUGCUUUGGUCACAUACUCGAUGAUUUGCUUCUCAACUUAUAAUUAAAGUAUGAAAUUACUGGAAUAAAGCUACCACGUAGAAUAGUAAUGCUUUCUUUGAUAUUAUGCCUUCGUGCAACAUCGAGUGCUAUCAAACUAUGUUGAUUGGUAGCAUGCUUAAUCGCUUUGCAGUUUAAUAGCAGUUUGACCAUCUGUUGCAUUAAGAAUUAGAGAUAUAAAAAAGCUACAAUCAAUUAAUUGUGUCCAUGAAAUAUAAAAGAACUAUGUAAUGUUAAUUAUCAAAGCGGCUGAGUCAAACCUAGGGUUGAUUACUUCUAGGAGCAAUAUGUAGUGCAGUGUUCCAUUUUUACCUUUCCUAUUUACCAAUUCCGAACAAUAGUCUUUCUUCCUAUAUGUUGGAGUUAGGACUUGAAGAACUGUUGGUGUAAGAACAAAUAGCAAUCAAGUUCAGCUAAAAACUUGAGCAACAAGAAUCAAGACUUGCAGCAGAAACAAAGCAGAAAUUCAAACAGAAAACUUAAAAUUAAAGCUAAAAGAUGGAGAUGGAGAAUAUUUGAAUAAAAACUUGAUUGAAUUCAUUCAAAAUGAACAAUGGCAUAAAUCCAAUACAUAAACCAAGCUUUUAGCUUAUCAAAAAUAGUAUGGCCACCUAACCAAUACCUACUACCACUAAUACAUUGAAACUUGAAGUAAUUAACUUGUACACAUAAACAAAGCUGAAUUAAUCAGCUCAAUCACUAUCAAUAUUACAUCAAAUAUCAACCUAACAUGGUUCAAAAUGAACUAGAUUACAUUACAUCAACUAAAAAAUACAAAAUGAAACAAAACAUCCUUAUUUGCACAUGAAAUCAGCAACUUCUGCAUGGCUUGGUCUUCAUGACAUGUGCUUGGCUGCCUUUGGUGCUGCAUGCUGACCAACCUUCAACACUCCUCCUUGGUUAGCAUGUUGCGAAUUCCCAUCUCAGCUCUCAAAUGUUGAAACCUUGAAACAUUAAGGGCCUUUGUUAGAAUGUCAGCUAAUUGCUCUUCAGAACUGCAAUGAACUAGUUUUACUUCAUGAGCUUGCUCCAUUUCCCUAACAGCAUAGAGUUUGAUGUUUAACUAGUUUGUCCUCCCAUGAAAAAUAGGGUUCUUUGCAAUUGCAACAGUAGAUUGAUUGUUACACAUUAUCUCUGGUGCUUCAUUUUGUUCAAGGUUAAGAUCGGCCAAGAUCUUUCUAAGCCAAAUGGCUUGAUUAACAGCUCCAACAGCUGCUACAUAUUCAGCUUCAACUGUAAAUUGAGCUACUACUGUCUGCUUCUUCGAACUCCAACAAAACAUGGCUGAACCAAGAUUAAAAGCAUAACCUGAGGUGCUUUUCAUAUCAUCUAUUGAACCAGCCCAAUCAAUGUUAGUGUAUCCAACUAGUUUCAAAUGUUCAGCCUUGCUAAAUAACAUGCCAUAGCUCAAGGUUCAUUUGAUGUACCUAAGAACUCUCUUGGCAGCCUUGAAAUGACUUUUAUUGCAACAAUGCAUGAAUCUUGAGAGUAAACUCACAGCAUACAUUAUGUCUGGCCUGGUAGCAGUUAAGUAUAACAAACAACCAACUAGACUUCUAUAGGUUGUUUCACAUACUCUCUCAAAAGUACCUUAGUUCGAUAGCUUCUUUCCAACAGCAACUAGUGUGCUGGUUGCUUUACAAUUCCACAUUGAGAACUUGUUUAAGGUCUUCACAGCAAAAACUUUUUGACUUAAAUAAAUUCCUUCCUGUGUUUGUGUUACUUCCAUGCGUAGGAAGUAGGACAUCAACCCCAAGUCUGACAUUUCAGACAUUUGUUGCAUUUUGAUUUUGAAAUCAACCAACAUUGCUUGGUCUCCUUCUGUCACCAAUAGGUCAUCAAUAUAUAGGGACACAAUGAGCUGUGUUUGCACUCCUGUCUUUUUGACAUACAAUGUUGGCUCACUAAUACUCCUUUCAAAUCCCAAACUGACCAGGUAUCCAUCGAUUCUACUGUACCAGGCACUUAGUGCUUGUUUUAAGCCAUACAAGGCUUUGUUUAACUUGCACACCAUUUCUUCCUUACCAGUCACCUUAAAGCCUUGAGGUUGCUCUACAUAAAUUUCUUCUUCAUGAAAUCUAUUGAGAAAAGUUGACUUUACAUCAAGCUGGUGGAUUUUCCACUGCAUUUGUGCUUAAGGCAACCAACAAUCUGAUGGUGUCAAGCCUGGCCACUGGCACAAAGGUCUCCAGGUAGUCUAGUCCAUACUUCUGACUAAACCCUUUGGCAACUAGCCUUGCCUUCAGUCUGUUCAAGCUACUAUCAGUAUUGUGCUUGACUCGAUAAACCCAUUUAACCCCAAUAAUCUUCUUAUUUGCUAGUCUUUCAACCAGUUCCCAAGUUUGAUUCUUCUCGAUCAUACUGAUUUUAUCAGCCAUUGCUUGCUUCCACCCCUGCUGACCUUCAGCCUCUUCAAAACAGCUUAGUUCUGCUAUGGCUACUUGAGCUCUUUCACAAAUAUCAGCCAAUGUUCUAGUGCCCCUGACUGGUUCAUCAUCAACAUCCAUUUCAAGACUAUCUUGAUCAAUUUCAACCUAAUAUGUUGCAAGAUCUUCAGAGACUGCCUCUGGUUCAUUCUUCUCCCAAUUCUAGCUUACGUUUUCAUUAAACACCACAUCUCUGCUUACUAGAACUUUAUUUGUUGAGGGAUCCAAAAUUCUAUAGCCCUUUUUUACUGUGCUAUAGCCUACCAGAAUACAUGCUUGAGCCUUUUUAUCCAGCUUGCUUCUCUUCACAAUUGGAACUUGUGCAUAACAUAUGCAACCAAAGGUCCUAACAUGAGCCAGUGAUGGCUUGAAUCCAAACCAAGCUUCAAAUGGAGUUUUUUGAGCUAGGGCCUUAGUUGGAAGCCUAUUUUGAAGGUAGACAGCAGUGUUUACUGCCUUAUCCCAUAAGGUUUUAGGCAAUUUUUUUUCAAACAUUAGACACAUGGCCAUAUCCAUAAAGCUUCUAUUCUUUCUUUCACUUACACCAUUCUGUUGAGGUGUAUAGAUAUUGGUGAGCUGGUGUUUGAUACCAGCUUCAUCACAAAAAGCUUGUAAUUGAACUGAGGUAUACUCAGUUCCAUUGUCUGACCUUAGUAUCUUGAGCUUGCAGCCUGUUUCAGUUUCUACAGCAUUUUUAAACUUCCAAAAUACUGAAGCCACUUCUGAUUUGUGCUUCGAGAAGUAAAUCCAGCAAAAUCUCGAGUAAUCAUCAAUAAACAGAAUAAAAUACAUGCUCCCAUUCUGACUGAGUCUUCAUGGGGCCACAAACAUCUGUAUGCACAAGCUAAAGUUUUUCUGAGGCUCUCUAGGCCUUGUUUGAAGGGAAUGGUUGUCUGGCCUGCUUUCCUAGCUAGCAUACCUCACAAACCUCAUAUUUCUCAACUGAACCAAUGAAGUUUUCAGCCAAGUCUUCUCUGGAUAGCUGGUCCAUUGAUCUGUAGUUGGCAUGACCAAGCCUUUGAUGCCAAAGCUUGGAUUCAUCAUAUGUGACUAUAUAGGCAGUGUUUGAGCCAUUUUUCCAGUCAACAACAAAGCUCUUAUCAGCCAUAAUGAUUGCCAUGAGCUUGGAUCCACUUGGAUCACUAAUUUGGCACUCCCUACCUUUGAACACUACAGAAUACCCUUUCUCUAGUAGCUGAGUUAUGCUGAGCAGAUUUCUAUCAAUUUCAAGAACCAAUAAGACAUUUGAGAUCAACUUGUUACCUAUGGGAGUGCAUAUCAGCACAUCUCCCUUACCUUCUGCCUUAAUGAAUUUGCCAUUUCCUACAUUCACCUUUGUUUUGAAACUCCUAUCAACUGACUUGAAGAUUGAAGUAUCUAGUGUCAUGUGAUUUGUACAACCACUGUCUAAGAGCCAUCCAUUUGUGACUUUUUUCUUAACAGCUGAGCAUGAAAUUGCAAAAACUUGCUCCUCAUGGUCAUUGUCUUCUUUUGCUACUCGAGCCUCAGUCUUUGGCUGUUGGGAUUGGUUCUACCUUGGUUUGCCCUUGUUUUUACAGACCUUUUCAACAUGCCCCAUCUUUUUGCAAUAUUGGCAUUGCACAUCUGGCCUAAACCAACAACCUGCUUCAGGAUGACCAGGUCUUUUGUAAUGCAUGCAUGGUUGAUCCCUCCUUCUUGUAUUUUCUGGCUUAGACUUGUCCCUCUAAGUCUUUUUGCCUUUAUAGGCAGAGCUGCUCGAGGUUGGCUUAGCUUUGGCUUUAAAGGCACCUUCUUGGUGCUCCUCCAGUCUGCUAGCCCUUCUCUGUUCUUGUGCAUACAAGGCAUUGAUUAACUCAGUUAAGGAGAUAGUUGUCAAAUCCCUUGAGCCUUCGAGAGAUGAAAUUUUUGCCUCAUACCUCUCAGGUAAGGUAAAUAUCACUUUCUCCACUAUUCUAGCUUCACUAAAUUGCUCUCCGAUGAGCGUUAUACUGUUUACCACAGCCAUGAUCCUGUCUGAAUACUGCUUGACAAUUUCUUCCUCUUUCAUCUUCAAAUUGACGAAAUCCCUUCUCAAAUUCAGUAGCUGUUGCUACCUUGUUCUUUCAGUUCCUUGAAACUCCUCUUUUAAUUUUUCCCAAGCCUGCUUUGGUGUCUCACAGGCCAUGAUCCUUGAGAAGAUCACAUCUGACACACAGUUUUGUAUGUAGGAUAUGGCAUUGUGCCUCUUUGUUAUUUCAUCAGCAUGCUGUCUUAUCUGAGCCACUGUUGGAUUGGCUCUAAAAGGUGCUGGCUCAGCAUCUGAGUUGACCACUUCCCAUAGGUCAAAUGCCUACAGGUAGGUCUUCAUUUUGACCACCCAAAUAUGAAAGCCCUCUCCAUUGAAGACUUGUGGUGCAGCUGGUGAAAAGCCUGAUGAAGCCAUGGUUUUAAGUGUUGAACUAUACCAGGUCCACUAAGAUUAUAGUUCUAGAUACCAAUUGUUGGUGUAAGAACAAAUAGCAAUCAAGUUCAGCUAAAAACUUGAACAGCAAGAAUCGAGACUUGCAGCAGAAACAAAGCAGAAAUUCAAACAGAAAACUUAAAAUUAAAGCUAAAAGAUGGAGAGUAUUUGAAUAAAAACUUGAUUGAAUUCAUUCAAAAUGAACAAUGGCAUAAAGCCAAUACAUAAACCAAGCUUUCAGCUUGUUAAAAACAGUAUGGCAACCUAACCAAUACCUACUACCACUAAUACAUUGAAACUUGAAGUAAUUAACUUGUACACAUAAAAAAAGCUCAAUUAAUCAGCUCAAUCACUAUCAAUAUUACAUCAAAUAUCAACCUAACAUAGUUCGAAAUGAACUAGAUUACAUAACAUCAACUAAGGAAUACAAAAUGAAACAAAACAUCCUUGUUUGCACAUGAAAUCAGUAGCUUCUGCAUGGCUUGGUCUUCAUGACAUGUGCUUGGCUGCCUUUGGUGCUGCAUGCUAAACUUUUGGCUUUGGUUGCUGUAUAGUACUUCCACUACACCAAAACAAGCUUUUAGCGGCGUUUUUUUUUUGCCUUUAGCAGCGCUUUUUAGCGCUACUAAAAGUAUUUGCGGCGCUUCUAGUAGCGCCGCAAAAAAUGCCACUAUUGACAGUGUCGCUAACCUUUACGGCGUUUAUUUCUAAAAACGCCGCUAAAGAACAAGACCUUUAGCGGCGCUUUUUCCACAAACGCCGCUAAAGAACAAGACCUUUAGCGGCGCUUUUUUCACAAACGCCGCUAAAGAACAAGACCUUUAACGGUGCUUCUUUCACAAAUGCCACUAAAGAAUAAGACCUUUAGCGGCGCUUUUUCCACAAACGCCGCUAAAGAACAAGACCUUUAGCGGCGCUUUUUUCACAAAUGCCGCUAAAGAACAAGACCUUUAACGGUGCUUCUUUCACAAAUGCCACUAAAGAAUAAGACCUUUAGCGACGCUUUUUCACAAACGCCGCUAAAGAACAAGACCUUUAGCAGCGCUUUUUCCACAAACGCCGCUAAAGAACAACACCUUUUAGCGGCUCUUUUUCCACAAACACCGCUAUAGAACAAGACCUUUUGCGACGCUUUUCCCAAAAACGCCGCUAAAGAACAUGACCUUUAAAAAAAUAUUUUAAUUAGAUAAUAUUUAUUUUUAUGAUAAAUAUUAUAUUAUGUUUUAUUUUUGAAACUUAAACUUUAAACUAUAUACAUUUUAAGGAUAAAAAAUAUUAAUUAAAUUAAAUUUUCUAUUAAAAUUUUAACUUUAAAACUAAAUAUAAAAAUUAAUAAAUUUAAAUUUAAAUUUAAAAUUUAAAUAUUAUGUUUAAAUAAAUGAACAAUCUAUCUCACAAUUCAUCUGAUCUAUAUUAACUCGGCCAAUUAUAAAAGAAGCUACAAAACAAGUAAUAAUUAACAAUCAUAGCUACAAAACCCUAUUUCAAUAGCACUAAAUUCAAGUUCUGACUAAGAUAAAUGACCAUGGAAUGAAACAUCAAAUAAUAUUCCACUUGAAGAAGUGCUAAGCCUUGGCUUUUCCAGCUUGAAGAGAUUGAAUCCUCUACUACACCUUCAAUAUCUAAAGGAUGCAAAACCAAAUGAUCAGAUAAACCAACAAACUUGAUAAACAAGAGAGAUGUUAAAAAUAAAAAAUAUAUAUUAGAUACAUACAUACAUAUAUAUAUCAUUAGACACGUUAAAGAUGUUAAAAAGAUGUGAACAUAUGAUAAAGACUUCUAAACUAGACACAUUACCUAGAUUUAGCAUGGGUAUAUUAGAUACAUACAUAUAUCUAUAUCUAUAUAUAAUACAAGUAUAUUAAAAAAAAUUAAAACUUCUUGUCAUAUGUUUAAAACAUCAUACCUCAUUUCUAAAUAUAUAUAAAAAAAUAGAGUGAAGAUUUAAUAAAUUAGACUAGCAAACAAUAACACCAUUAUAUGUCAUCAGUUCAGAGCAUGUAUAUACACGGUAUUAUCUAACAUAUAUGAUAGAACAUUCAGCUACAAGAUUCCAUCAGCAUGUUAGCUAGAACAAGGUAUCUGGAAAUGAACCCACAAGAUGAAAAGAUAAAUUUGAAACUUCAUCUAAUUGGGGAAAAGACAAGACCAAGUGGAUUUAAUGAAAGGCAUACGAGGAUUUAUUUAUUGGAUAAGAUACUAAUAAUAUUUGCAAUAUCUUUACUCUAGGAUAGUGUUCUUCUUUUCCAACCAAAUUUAUCCCUACUUUGUCUCUCUUUUUUUUUCCUCCCCUAGAUCUCACUGACUGGGAUUUUCUUCAUUUUCCUCCAUAUUACAAUCUGUCCUCAAACUUUAUGCCUUUAGUAGCAAUUAUUUAUUGCUUAUGUCACUUUUGAUAAAAGAACCUUUUGCCUCAAAGUACCCCUCAAACAUGUUCAGAGAAAUGCAAUCCAUUUUAAACAUUUGUUACGGGUGAUCACCCUAGUGCUAUAAUGGGAUUAAACCAGUAGGCUAAAAGAGCUUCAGCUCCCAUGUCAAAUAUUAUGCUACCAAUGAAAGAGAAAGGAGGAUCGUGCAUCAAACAGAAAAUGUGAAAAACUAUAUUAGACAAUAAUCAUACUUUAGGCAUUGUAUACGUCUCUGAUUUCCAGUUUCAUCAUAGUUCUUGAAAGCUUCAAAGAAAUUUGUGGCUGCCUCAGCCCACUGACGCUCAGCCAUAUGCAUCUUGCCACCACAUUCACGAAUUAUUCCUAUGAUCCUAGGAUGUGGUAUUGCAGACUUGACAGCAAGUGCUUUCUGGUAUAAUUGCUGCAUUAAAACCAAUAUCUCAGUCACAGCUAAGCCAUUAUAUAAAGACCAAACCAGGACAUAACUAUAUAACUUUGUAAAACAAUUAUCAGACAGAACCAAGGUUGGUUUUUCAGCUAUAAAAUAAAAUAGAACAAAGUUACAAUUAUCAGUCAGGAAGAGAAGUAGCGACCACAUGCAAUUGAGACUAAACAACAGUGAAAACUUCUCGAUUUCAGUAUUAAGGAUUAACUAAUAGUGCUUCAUGCUAAUGUAAACAAUGUCAUUGACCAGGAUCCAGAUAACCAAUCCAGACUACAAGUGAAUAUACUUUAGUAGUUUAAAUUUGAGAGUUGCUAGAAUUCUAAAAAAUAGCAAAAUCAAGACACAGGUGAACUUUCACGCCUAAAGUUCUACAUAUUUCAUAUUUUAGUUUAACAUUGCUUCACUUGAAUUCCAGAAGGAAGCAUACUUGAUAUCCGCAAAGCAGAAAAUUGGGUACAUAUUCUACCAUGUAUUUUUAUUAAAUGGUAGAUAAAUGGUGACAGCAGAAACAAUAUAAACUAGCUUUCAGUAAUAGACCUUUACAAGAGAAUUACAACUGCUUAUGUGCCCCUCCUGAAUGGCCACUUGUAAGUAAUCAUAUUUGACAUGUAACAGGCUUUUCUUCAGCUGCUCUUCAACGAUAUAAUCAACGAAAACGAAGAUAUUUAAUUAUGAAUCUGCGUUCAAAGAUAUAAUCAACGAAAACGAAGAAAUCUAAGUAAAUCUUCAUUAACUUUGAUUUACGAAGAGCAGCACUGGGGAAGAAGAAAUAGUGCAAAUCCCGACCUAGAGCGUCAACCACACAGGAAAAAAAUAUUAAAAAGCAAAUCCAGUCAACAGCUAUUACCAGACGGCGUUUAUUUCAUGUUCCAACCUUUAAACGACAACAACCAAAAAUAAAAAAUUAAUAAAGUGAUAAUUUUUCCUUUUCUCCCCCCCGGCUUUCAUCUUCUUCACAUUAUUUCCUCUUCAAUUCAUUUCAAGUGGAUUCCAAGUGGGUCAUUGGCUCUCCAACAUAUUUGACAGUCUUCUUGAAAAACGUGCCCUGGUUGAAUACCUUCUCUGCCUAUAAGAUUUACAAUAGAAACGGAAAAAAAAACACACACACACAGCUGAAAAUGCUUAGAAAAUGGAUAAGAAAUAUUAGUUACUUCUGAUUUUAACAUUCCCAGGAGAUUAAGUGAUCCAUGAUACCCAAAGACAAGCAUGGCCAGUUGAAGGAACAUGAUGCAAUAUGCAUCAACUUAAGGCAUCUGAAUCCCAAACCAAGGCAUCAACGAGCAUUUGGAACCCCUCCUCUCCUCCUAGUAUCACAAAGUUCCUGUCAAUUAUCAUUUCCUUUUCCUAUUAGAAAACAAAUCAAAACCCCCCAUACCAUAAUAAAUCAAAACUUUGCUACUCCAUAUAUAUACACAUAUAAUAUCAGAAAAAAAAUAUAGGGAAGAAGAGACCUGUUGUAUGUAAAGAUUAAGAGUCUCAUCAGAAAAAAAUAUAUAUAGGGAAGAAGAAAAAAUAGCAAUGGGCAUUGAGUUAAAAGUUUUAAAGGACGGUGUGUUUGUAAACUUGAGGGUUUUUAAUAAAAAAAGCCGCAAAAAAUUAUUUCAGUUUGAAAAAAUGACGUCGUUUUGCUGUGCUAAAAAUUUUUUAUUUUGUUUUUUUAUAAAUUGAUUUAUUUUUGUGGCGCUUUUAUAAAAAACGCCGCAAAAAAAUUAUUUCGUUUUGAACAAAAUGACGCUGUUUUGAUAUGCUAAUUUUUUUAAAAUAAAUUGAUUUAUUAUCUUUUGCGGCGUUUUUAUGAAAAACGUCGCAAAAAAUUAUUUCAGUUUGAAAAAAUGACGUCGUUUUGCUGUGCUAAAAUUUUUUUAUUGUUUUUUUAUAAAUUGAUUUAUUUUUGCGGCGCUUUUAUAAAAAACGCCGGAAAAAAUUAUUUCGUUUUGAACAAAAUGACGCCGUUUUGCUAAGCUAAAAUUUUUUUAAUAAAUUGAUUUAUUAUCUUUUGCGGCGCUUUUAUAAAAAACGCCGCAAAAAAAUUAUUUCGUUUUGAACAAAAUGACGCCGUUUUGCUAAGUUAAAAUUUUUUUAAUAAAUUGAUUUAUUAUCUUUUGCGGUGCUUUUAUAAAAAACGCCGCAAAAAAAAUUAUUUCGUUUUGAACAAAAUGACGCCAUUUUGCUAUGCUAAAAUUUUUUUUAAUAAAUUGAUUUAUUAUCUUUUGUGGCGUUUUUUAUGACAAACGCCGCAAAAAAUUAUUUCAGUUUGAAAAAAUGACGCCAUUUUGCUGUGCUAAAAAUUUUUUAUUUUUUUUAUAAAUUGAUUUAUUUUUGCUGUGCUUUUAUAAAAAACGCCGCAAAAAAAUUAUUUCAUUUUGAAAAAAAUGACGCCGUUUUGCUAUGCUAAAUUUUUUUUAAUAAAUUGAUUUAUUAUCUUUUGCGGCGUUUUACAUAAAAACGCCACAAAAAAUUAUUUCAUUUCCAACAAAAUGACGCCGUUUUGCUAUGAUAAAAAUUUUUUAUUUUGCUUUUUUUAUAAAUUGAUUUAUUUUUGCGGCGUUUUUUGAACAAAAUGACGCCGUUUUGCUAUGCUAAAUUUUUUUAAUAUAUUGAUUUAUUAUCUUUUGCGGCGUUUUUCAUAAAAACGCCACAAAAAAUUAUUUCAUUUUCAACAAAAUGACGCCGUUUUGCUAUGCUAAAAAUUUUUAUUUUGUUUUUUAUAAAUUGAUUUUUUUAUAAAAUAAAAAAACCAAGUACUCUCAAAAUAAAUAUUGUAUAUUUUAAUAAGAAAACAAUUGAUAAAAUGACUGUAAUUAAUUAUUAAGUUAGAAUUAUCCAAAUUAAAUAAUUACCUAUAUAUCUAUAUCAUUUUUAUUUUUGUUUUUUUUCCUUAUAAUUUGGUCCUCUCCAAAAUAAAUAAUUAUACCUAAAUAUCAAUAUCAAUCUAUUACUUUUUUUAACUUAUUUAUUAAUUCUAUUUAAACUAAUAUAAAAGCAUUAAUUAAUUGUAUAAAAUUUUAUCAUUUAACAAAUCUCAAGUAAACCUUAACCUUAAACCUAAAUUAACCAUUCAAUACAUAUAAAGUCUAUCUAUUAUAUAUCUCUUAAAUAAUUUAAACUAUACUCAUAAAUUCAAUAUAUUUGAUUUAUUAUUAUCUCUUUUACAAUUAUAUAAGAACAUAUUUAAAAUAUAAAUUAAAAAAUAAUUAAUCUAAACUCAAAACCUUAACCCAACCCCUAAAUCAGUAAACCUUAAAUCCCUAACUCUUAACCCUUAACGUCUAAUCCCUAAACCUUAAAUCUAAACCCUUAAUCCAUAAUCCCUAAUUCAUAAAUCCAUACUCCCUAAACCUUAAAAUAUGAACUCCUAAAUCAGCCUUAAAUCUUAAAUUAAUUAUAUACCCUAAACUAAAAAUCCUAAACGAAUUUAUUAUUAUCUCUUUUACAAUUAUAUAAGAACAUAUUUAAAAUAUAAAUUAAAAAAAUAAUUAAUCUAAACCUAAAACCCUAACCCGACCCCCUAAAUCCCUAACUUUUAACCCCUAAACCUCUAACCCUCUAACCCCAAAACCUCUAACCCUCUAACCCUUAAACCUUAAAUCCCAACCCUUAAACAAUUAUCCCUAAUCCAUAAUCUCUAAACCCAUACUCCCUAAACCUUAAAAUAUGAACUCCUAAACCGGCCUUAAAUCUUAAAUAAAUCAUAUACCCUAAACCAAAACCCUAAAUAAAUUUAUUAUCAUCUCUUUUCAAUUAUAUAAGAACAUAUUUAAAAUAUAAAUUAAAAAAAUUAAUCUAAACGCCCAAAAUCCUAACUCGACCCCUGAAUCCCUAAACCCUAAAUCCCUAACUAUUAACCCUUAAUGUCUAACCCCUAAACCCCUAACCCUCUAACCCUUAAACCUUAAAUCUCAACCCUUAAACCCUAAAACCCUAAUCCAUACUCCCUAAAUCCAUACUCCCUAAACCUUAAAAUAUGAACUCCUAAAUCAGCCUUAAAUCUUAAAUUAAUUAUAUACCCUAAACUAAAAAUCCUAAACGAAUUUAUUAUUAUCUCUUUCACAAUUAUAUAAGAACAUAUUUAAAAUAUAAAUUAAAAAAAUAAUUAAUCUAAACCUAAAACCCUAACCCGACCCCUAAAUCCCUAACUUUUAACCCCUAAUACGUCUACCCCUAAACCUCUAACCCUCUAACCCCAAAACCUCUAACCCUCUAACCCUUAAACCUUAAAUCCCAACCCUUAAACAAUAAUCCCUAAUCCAUAAUCCCUAAACCCAUACUCCCUAAACCUUAAAAUAUGAACUCCUAAAUCGGCCUUAAAUCUUAAAUAAAUCAUAUACCCUAAACCAAAACCCUAAAUAAAUUUAUUAUCAUCUCUUUUCAAUUAUAUAAGAACAUAUUUAAAAUAUAAAUUAAAAAAAUUAAUCUAAACGCCCAAAAUCCUAACUCGACCCCUGAAUCCCUAAACCUUAAAUCCCUAACUAUUAACCCUUAAUGUCUAACCCCUAAACCACUAACCCUCUAACCCUUAAACCUUAAAUCUCAACCCUUAAACCUUAAAACCUAAUCCAUACUCCCUAAAACCAUACUCCCUAAACCUUAAAAUAGUAACUCCUAAACAGGCCUUAAAUCUUAAAUAAAUCAUAUACCCCAAACCAAAAACCCUAAACUAUAGUGAAAAUUAAUUCAAUAUUUUAAAAUUAAUACUAUCUCUUUUAUGAUUAUAUAAGAAAAUUUUUAAUAAAUAAAUUAAAAAACAAUCAGUAAUCAUGUACCCAAAAAAACUUUAAAAUUAUUUUAAAUAAUAGUAUUUUAAUUUUUCUAUGUGUUUUAUUUCAAAUUAUUUCUACGUAUCAUUAUUUUUUUCUAAAGAUUUUAAAUAUUCAAUUAGAAAUAAAUUGAAUUUUAUUUAAUAUAAAUAAACCAAUUAAGAUAAAAUAUUUUUAGCGGCGCUUUUCCAAAAACGCCGCUAAAGCCCCAGCAUUAGCGGCGCUUUUCCAAAAAACGCCGCUAAAGCCCUCAGCAUUAGCAGCGCUUUUUCAAAAACGCCGCUAAAGCCCCAAGCAUUAGCAGCGCUUUUUCAAAAAAGCCGCUAAAGCCCCGAAAGGUAACAAAACGACGUCGUUGGGCUUUGGUUUUUUGCGGCAUUUUUUCGAAAAACGCCGCUAUUGCCCAUUUUUACCGGCGUUUUUCAAAAAACGCCACUAAUGCUCGAUCUUUAGUGGCGAUUUCCAUAAAGCGCCGCUAAUGCUCGAUUUUUACCUGCGUUUUUUGUCCAAGCGCCGCUAAAAGUGCCGCUAAAAGUCUGUUUUGUUCAGGUUAAGAAAUUGUUUCUUCUAUUGAUAUUAGUUUUUGUAUUAUCCAAAUUGAAGUGUCCCUCUGAUCACUGAUAUGUUCAUAGUCAAAAGGUUAAACAAAUGGCAGCCAGCUGUGUGAACAGAUGAGAAAAGAUUUAGUACUAUAAAUCAAGCAUUAGAGUGAUGAUUGUAAAAAAGAUGGUUUUGCUUAAGUGGUAAUAUGCAUAUUAUUUACUUAUUAUUUGAAGAAUCAUUUUUGUUCAUUGCAUUGUGUUUUUCUUGUUAAAUUGUAGUAAAUUACUCUCUCCAUAUAUAUGUAUAAAACUAUCAUUCAUUUUAAUUAACUAUUGUUAAACCAAAAGCAGUAGUAAAUAGAUAGCUUUUCAAGUUAAAUUAAAAUUUUUAGCUUUUGAAAGCGAGUUUGGGUAUGAAUUUUCUUCAUUUAUAGUAAUUAUAAAAGAUAAAUAUGAUAUAUAUUAAAUUAAAUUUUACAAAUAAUUUAUAUUAAUUAUUUAAAAAGUAUUUAAAAUUUAUAGUUUACAUAUCACAAUUUUUUUUUUUGAAAUGAGAUAUCUCACAAUAUUAAUAAUGGAUUACUGUAAAUUAUUUUAUUCUAUUUGUCCUAUAAUCUCAAUUGAAUAUUUAUUAAUACAAAAAAAAUUGACAUUGUAAUAAUAAUAAUACGUGAAAAUAAAAAUACGUUACAUUUGAAUUAAUUAUAAAUUUUAUUACAAUUUAAACUUGUGUAUUUCAUGUAUCAUAAUACCAUCAAUGAGUUUAUAUAUUUCAUGUAUUUUAUAUAUCAUAAUUUAAUUAUUUAAUCAAUUAUUUUUAAACAUUGUCAAACUUUUUAAAUGUAAGGACCCGACCUCUCUAAAAUGAAAUUUUUUUCAUUUAACUUCUUUAAAUUUUUUAAAAUGUUAAAUUAAUAAAUGUAAAAUUAUAUUUUGGCCCCCUAAAAUUAAUAAAAUUAUUAUUUAAUACUUUAAAAUUAUAAAAAUAUAGGCUAUUCAAAUUAUGAAAAUGCAUUUUUACUAUCGAAAAAAUUACAAUUUAAUUUCGAUUUCCCUAAAAAGAAUUUUUGACUUUGCCUCUGUUAAUUGGCUCAAUUUAGUCAUGAUCCUAUAAAAAUUAUAAAAUUCUUUUAAUUUCUUUUAUUUAUUUCUUUUCUACAAUUCUUUUUCCCUUUUCUCUUUUGUUCUUCUUGUUUCAUAUUCAUCCAAACCUUCUUACCUGUGAAAUCUUCUUUUAAUUAAUUGAAUGUAAUUUUAUUGGCUAAAAAUAUAACUUUCCUUCUUUGGGUUGUAGGAUGGUUAAAAGAUUCAUUUAGAGAUUUAUUUACUUAUUAGGUUUAUGGUGUGAUUUACUUAAAUCUUGUGUAAGUGAAUUCUUAUGUCUAUAUAACUCAUGUGUUUUGAUGUAUUGAAAACAUUUACUCUCAAUGUCAUUAGGUGAACAAUGAUAUUUUGGAUACAUGACUUAUGUAUGGUAUGACUUCACUCACAAUAGUGAAAUCAUAGUUCAAUAAAAAGAGUAAAUGAUGUUCUCUUACUAUCAUUGUAUGUAUUAUGAAAAAUGAAGCAUAAUCAUGGGUCGUUUUUUGGGGGAGAAAUGGUUUUAUCAGUAUUAGAAUGCGUAAUGAUCAUUUUAAUUGUGGAAGAUAUAAUGGUGAUGAAAUGAAAAUGGAUCGAAUUAGGUUAACGGAUUUAAUAUAAAGGAAACAUUGAUAUCUAUAAGGGUAACAUGUAUGAUAAGGUCAUUGGACAAAAAAAUUAAUUCAGUAGCUUUCGUAAUGGUUUAUUAUGGUGAGUUCACUCAUGGUAUUUUUGGUGGAUUAACUUCAUCACUAAAUAACUCUACAAUUAAUAGACGAAGAGUUGGACUUCCAGACUCUUAAUGUAAUUUAGUUAAUAAUUAAAACUUUUAAAUCGUAUAAUUAAUUUAUAAUAAAUAGUAUCUAAUUUAGUUAAUUAUUUUGUAGGUUAAAAUGUAUGGAAAAUUACCCCUAAUCAAUAAAAUUUUUAUAUUAUUUAAUUAUUUAUAUUUUAAAAAUUAGAUUUAUAUCCUAAAAUUAAAAUACUAUUAUUGCUGCAUAAAAUUCAUUUUUUUAAACUUAAAUAAUGUAUGGCAAGCCUUAGGUGAUUAUAUUUUACUGGACUCACUAGCAUUUUAUAGGCCCAUUAAGGGGUAUACGAGAGACAUAAGUUUAAAAAAUAAACCUUCAACUACUGGUUAAAUUAAGAGAAAUUAUUAUCAUCUCAGCUAACCCCGUGAUUCAUGUGAUUUUUUUUAAUUCCGAACUCUAUUCCUAAUAUAUUAAAGAUACAUAAAGAGAAUAUGGAUAAUAAAUAAGCAUAAUACAAAUAGAUUGGAAUACAAAGUCUGCAAACAUUAAGUGCUACAACGUUGACAACACUGUUUGAAGAAAAAUCUACAUAGACAAAGAAAAAACCAACAUCCCAAGGGGAUAAGAUAGAAUGCCAAUUCCGGCAUCCAAAUGGCAAGUGCUCCUUGAAAGACGACUUCCAUGAUACUGUAUGAGCAAUAUCCCAUAACUAUAAUGGUUCCUCCCCAGAAAUCAUCCUUUACGAAAAGAAAUAACCAGCAUCCGUUAAUUGCUAAUAGUAACAGUAUUGAGUCAGCAUCAGCAGGAAUUACUUGAAACAAUUGUGAAGGAGUUAACCAACAUCCCAAAAUUGGAACACUUAGUUUUGACACCCGAUCACUGUAAAACAUGACCAAUGUUAAAACAAAAAACAAUAGCUAAAAUACUCCCAUAUAACUUUAAAUGCAAAAUCUGUUGGGGCUAUGAAAGAUAUCGAUUGGUCGAAGCAUAUUGCGAAGUAAGCAAGUAGUACUUGAAUUGUUUUCUUCAAACCAUGGGGAAAAGGUUUAAGCAGGGCUAGUAUUAGGAAAAAGGUUACCAUGAACACAACAUAGGUUGGAAUAUAGAAAAGAAGAAAAUCAGUUCGAUCAAGUACUGAUUUCCCUGGUGAUGAGGUAUCGUCACCCUGCAAAACACUACCAGGUGGGCUAAGAGUGGCUUGGUAGGUUCCAGUUAGAAGCAGCCCUAAAACUACUAGUUAGGCAUUGCGGUCAUCGCUUGAUAUAUUAUCCAAAUCGUCAAAAAUUACUGAUGAUGCUUUUGCGGUAUACUUGACGAUUUGUUUCUCCCACUUAGAUUUAAUGUCUGCAACUCCUGGAAUAAAGCAACCAUGCAGAAUUCUGAUGCUCUUUCUGUUAUUAUGUUGCUCUGCAACACCCAGUGCGGUUAAAUCGGAUUGAUUGGUGGCAUGCUUGUCAGCCUUGCUACUUAAUAGUAGUUUAAGCAUCUGUUUAAUUGAUAGUUUAAGAUAAAAAAAAAAAAAAACUACAAUCAGUUAACCAUGGCUAUGGAGUACAAAAGAAUCUAUUUAAUAUUAAUUAUUAAAGCGGAUGAGUCAAACCACGGUUUGAUUAUUUCUAGCAGCUAUGUGUAAUGCAGUGUUGCCAUCUUCGUCCUUUCUAUUUACCUCUUCCUGAUAAUAGUCCUUCUUCUUAAGCAUUCGAAUUAAAAUCUGAAGAACAUCCAACCUUUUUUUUUCCGCUGCAAUAUGCAAAGCACUGCGAUUCUCAGUUGUAACAUCUCGGAUACAAUCAGGACAAGCCUUCAAAAAUGUUUCCAGCAGACUGUCAUGGUUUCCAACUUUAAUAAUGUAGUGCAACGGAGUCUCACCAUUCUUCCCUGUGACACGAACAAGAUCUUUAUCCAUUUGUAGGAAACGAAGCACCAUCUCUUUAUGCCCCUUUUCCAAUGCAAGGUGAAUGGGUUUCAAACCUUGUUGGUUUAGCUUCCUAGCAAAUGACGGCUUCAGCUUCAUCAUCUCCAUUGCGAACCCGAUGCACCCUUCAUUUGCAGCUACAUGUAAAGGAGUCUCGAUAAACUCCACUUCAUCGAAGCUCCUCAAAACAUUUCCAUCACUUUGAAUCAAUUUAUACAAUUCACUGAAAUCUUCCGUACGAGAAAUUGUUCUGAAACUUUGGUCCAUGUUUGAAACAAGGAACAAUUUCACAAUAGGAGGCAAAAAUUGAAAGGGUUAAAGAGCACUUAGAGGAAUUAAUUUAAUUUACUUCCCUUGUGUGAGGAAGAAAGAGGAGGAUGGUUUCCUUUAUAUAAGAAGUGUAUUUUUUUCAGUCCCAUCGAAAGGUGCUUAUCUUCAUGUUGGAGCUACGGUUCACUUUUAGUGUAAAACGUGGGAGAGGCUUCCACUUUCAAAGGUGCUUAUAUAAGAAUUUAUACUUUCAUUUGGUUCUUAUGACUUCUUCUUUUUCUUUUCUUUUUUUUUCUCAGUUGACGAAGGAAUUUAAUUUGUUUUGGCAUUCUAAUAAAAAAUUCAUCUAAUCCUACGGAGUAACACACGAUAUGUUAUUAUAGAGGUUAUGAGAUGCUGUAGCCUUUUUUCCGUUGUUAGUGCUUAAUUAACUCAAAUUAAUUUCUACCAAAAAAGAGAAAUUGGAAAAAGAAAAGAAAAAUGAAAAGCAUAUCUAACUUUGACAGAUCAUAUAUUUUUAAUUGCUUUUCUAACUUUAUAUGUUAUUAUAGAAUUUAAUUUAGAACCCAUUAAAACUUUGAGGGAUGCUAUCUACCCAUACUUAGUUUAAGUAUUUUAUUGAUUUAAUACCACAGACCAGACCAACACUAAUUCAUAAAUAAAUUUAUUAAAAUGUCUCUUUUUUUUUUGGUGAAAAUUAAAAUGUCUUUUUAUAUAAAAAAUAUAUUUUAUGAGGAUAUCUUUUUAUCUUUCUAUAUGAUAAAAAAAUUGAUAAUAAUAAUAGUGCACAAUAAAUAAUUAAUUUUACUAUUAUAAUCAAAACAUCAAUUUACUUUUAUAUGAAUUUUUAAUAAGUUUACUUGUUACAUAAUAUUUUUCACUCAUGGUGUUUCAUAAAAUUUUAAAGUAAAUAUUAAUAUGAUAUUUGUUGACACCAUUUUUUUUGUAUAAAAACGGGUCGACUUGGGUUUUGAAAAAAGAAACGGGAGUCGCCACCAAUCCUUUUUAAUGAGGUGUGAUUGGAUCACCUCGAAAAGUGGUUGUUUUUAAUAAACGGUUUGAUUUUAUUAAAACAACAAUUUUGGUCCGCGAAAUUUAGAAAAAUAGGUUCAGGAGUCGGUUACGCUCGAGGAAGGAUUAGCACCCUCAUAACGCCCAAAAUUGGUACCUAGUUGAUUAAUUAGUGUCUUAGUGUCGAAGAUUGAAAACUUUGAAGAGAUUUAAAAUACGAUCCUUUGUUUUAAAACUUAUAUAAAUCAAAUUACUCGUUAAGACUCUCUCAUUUCAGAAAGAGAAAAGGUCACACCCAAUGAGUAGGGUACGAUAUUUUACCUAUUCCGAAAUGAGUUUGUCUAAAACAAACUCGCACAAUAAAAUUUAAAAGGAUAUUCAAUCGUUUAAGUCAGAUGAAAAUAUUGCAACCCAAUACAUUAGGGCACAAUUUCUCAAAAUAUUAAACAUUGAAUAUUGCAUAUUUUUAGCAAAAACCCUCGUCUCGAGAAAACAAUGUGUCAUAUCCAAUGCGUUAGGCCACAACGUAUCGAAUCCUCAAUAACAAGCUUUUAUUAUUAUUAUUAUUAUUAUUAUUAUUAUUAUUUAAAGAGUAAUCUCGAUUAUUUUAGAUUCAACGAAGAAAAUCGAAACCCAAUACGUUAGGGCUCGAUUCUCUCGAAGAUUCCAAAUACCGAGCAUUGCUUAAAAUUUCCUUUUUUGAAUCUAGGUAAAAAUCAAUGUAAUGGAGUAACAAUCACAAUAAUGUAAAUAUAAAUAGCAUGAGCAAGAACAAAAAUGAUGAAGAGAUGAAUAAAAAUAAAUCAAUAAUGUAUACACAAUAUCAACUGAGUAAACAAAUAAAAUUGAAGCAUUUAAAGAAUAUAAUAAAGGUAAUAAUGGACAUGUGAAUAUAUAAAUGAACAUCAAGUAAAACAAUACUAAUAACAAAGAAAAUUAAUAAAAAACUAUAAAAUAUAAAAAUAUGUAUAUGUACAUAUAAGAAAAAAAUAUAUGUGAAUUAAAAAAAUAAAAAGUAAAUAUAAAAUAUAUGUAUUUUAAUAUGUAAAAUAUACACAUAUAAGUAUGUACAUAUAAAUAUAUACUUAUAAAAAUUUAGAAAAUAUGUAUGUAGAUAUAAAUAUAUGUAUACACAAAUUAUAAAAUAUAUAUAAAAAUAUAUGAGUAUGUAUGUAUAUAUAAGCUAAAAAAAGGUUUAUAAAGAGAUAAGUAUAUAUAUACAUAUAUGUGUAUAUAAUAAGAUAUAUAUAUAUAUAAUAAGAUAUAAAGAUAUAUAAUAAUUAUAAUAAUAAUAACAAUAAGACAAAUAUAAUCAAAAUUUAAAUAAGAAAAUAUAAAAUAAAAAUAUAACAAUAAUAUUAAACUAAUGGUAUAAUAAUAGUAAUAUAAAUAUAUAUAUAAAAGUAUAAAUAUCAUAUCAUAACGAGAAAAUAAUAAUAAUAACGAAAUGGACCAAAUUGGGAUAAAAAUAAAAUUUAAGGGCUCGAGCAGUAAUAAAAUGCGUAAAUAAGGACCAAAAUGGAAAGGUGCGAAAGGGUGAAGGACCUAAUGGGAAAUAAACCCACACUACACCAAAACAGGCUUUUUGCGGCGUUUUUAGUGGCGUUUGGAUAAAAAACGCCGCUAAAAAUCAAGCAUUAGCGGUGCUUUAGAAAAAACGCCACUAAAGAUCUAGUAUUAGCGGCGUUUUCCAAAAAACGCCGUUAAAAAUGAGCAUUAGCGGCGUUUUCCAAAAAGCGCCGCAAAAAACCUAAGCACAACAAUGUCUUUUUUUAGUUUUCGGGGCUUUAGCGGCGUUUUUGAAGAAGCGCCGCUAAUGCUUGGGGCUUUAGCGGCAUUUUUUAAAAAGCGCCGCAAAAAAUAUUUUUAAGUUUUUUGGGUACAUUAUUUAAAAUACUAUUAUUUAAAAUAACUUUUAAGUUUUUUGGGUACAUUACUGAGUGUUUUUUAAUUUACAUAUUAAAUAAUUUUUUAUAUAAUUGUAAAAUAGAUUUGUCACUAUAGUUUAAGGUUUUUGGUUUAGGGUAUAUGGAUUAGAGUUUAAGGUAUAGGGGUUACUAUUUUAAGGUUUUUGCAGAUUUUUGUUAGUGGUUUGGAUCCAAGUGUUUCUGGAUAUUUUGUUGUUGGUGGUUAGAGAUUUUUGUUGCUUGAUAGAAAUGUGUUUAACUCUGGACAUUUUGUUUGUUGAAAAACGCCGUAAAAAAAUUUAUCUAUUUUAACUAGUUUAUUUAUGUUAAUUAAAAUACAAUUUAAUUUUAAUUGAAUAUUUAAAUUCUUCAAAAAAAAUAAUGACACGUAGAAAAAAAUUAAAAGUAAAAACAUAGAAAAACAUUUGUUAAAAAUGAAAAAAUUUAAAAUAAUUUUAAAGUUUUUUGAGUACAUGAGUACUGAUUAUUUUUUAAUUUAUAUAUUAAAUAAUUUCUUAUAUAAUCAUAAAAGAGAUAGUAUUAAUUUUAAAAUAUUGAAUUAAUUAUCAUUAUAGUUUAGGGUUUAAGAUUUAGGAGUUACUAUUCUAAGGUAAUUUUUGGGAUUAUGUGUUUAGGGAUUAUGGAUUAUGGAUUAUGUGGUUUAAGGGUUGGGGUUUAAGAUUUAAGGAGUUACUAUUUCUUAUAUUAAUGAAUACAAUAAUUGGAAAGAAAAUACAUUUUGUAAUAUUUAUUUGCAUUAGAUCUUAUAAGCAAGGUUGAGAAGUGUCCUGUAGGAGUAUAGUAAAAUAUUUAAUAAAAAAAUACAUGUCCAUUUUUUAAUGUUACUUGUGGAAUAAAAAAGAUAAUCUAUUAGUGUACCAAACACUCACUUAUUUUUUAAUUUUUAAAAACAAAAAAUAAUAUUUCUAAGAAUGUCAUUAGGUUAAAUUUAAGGUCAAAACAAGAGCGAUGAUACAAGGUCUUCAAAUAGUAUGGGAGAACGAAUAUAGAAAGCUUACGUGCUUCUAGUAGAAUCCAUUUUAACCGAUUAAACGACCAAUAGCAAAUUGGGCGAGUUAUGCUUAAUACUUAGUUUGCUCAAGCGAGGCUGAAAAGUAAGAUUUCAUCACGUUUCGAGAUCUCAAAAUAAGAUUGUCGAUCGUAUGGCCAAAAUAGCUUCAAGUGGAUUGGGUAACAUACAACUAUUUUGAGAGCCUCCAGAUUCAGUAUGAAAUAUACUGAUAGUUGAGCGUAAUAUUGUUUCUUUACGUUGCUAGUAAUUUAAAAAUGUAAUCAAUUUGUACGGUAGUAAUUGCAUUAAAUGAUUUUAAGGUUUAGGGAUUAUGUGUUUAGGGAUUAGGGAUUAGGGAUUAUGGUUUAUAGUUUAAGGGUUGGGGUUAUAAGGGGUUAGGGGUUAUAAGGGGUUAGGGGUUAUGGGGUUUAAGGUUUGUAAAGCUAGAAAGGUAUUAUAUGGAGUUCAAUAAUCGCGCUCAGUGUCGAAUUGGCUGUUGAAAUGUUAAUAUUGUAAGUUAAACGCUUUAAAGUCACAUUAUGUGUGUGUGCCAUGAUCUAUAUCUGACAGAUUGGGAAGGGAAGCUAAGUGAGUCAAAUUUAAAUAUUAGAUUUAAAAAAAUUGAUAAAUAAAUAAAUUAAUGUAUCAGAUUGAUAUGGAUAGGAAUUGAAUAAUAUAAAAUCAUGAUUAACGUCUCAAUCUUUAAUAGAAAUUUGAUAUGUGAGAGAUUAAUUGCUUACAUUGAAUAAUUCUAACUUAAUAAUUAAUUACAGCCAUUUAAUCAUUUUUUCUUAUUAAAAUAUACGAUAUUUAUUUUGAGAGUACUUGAAUUUUUUUAAAAAAAUUCAAUUUAUAAAAAAAUAAUAAAUGUUUUAUAAAAUCACUUAAUUAAUAAUUUUUAACAGAUUUAAAAUAAAAUUAUUUUUUGCGACGUUUUUAUGAAAAACGCCGCAAAAGGUAAGCAAUAGCAGCGUUUUUAUAAAAAAUGCCACAAAAAAUAAUUUUACUUUAAAAUAAUUUUUAGCAGACAAAAUAAAAAAAUUUUAGCAUAACAAAAUAGCGUCGUUUUUGUACAAAAUGAAAUGAUUUUUUGCGGCCACAAAAGAUAUUCAAAUUCCCGCUCACCCCCAAAAAAAGAUUUUUGGUUACCCGCUCCUUACUCCCUCUUCUUCUCAUGUACUUAAUUCUUUUUCCCUUUUAAUCUCAAAAUUCCAUGAGUCCCUUUGCCCCCAACAUCUCGUAAUACUGUUCAAAUCCCUAAAAUGAUUCAUUGAUUUAGGGUUUUGUUUCUCUCUGAAUCAGGACAAAAGGGUUUUCCGAUCUAUACCAAAAGACCACAGGGAUUGAUCUAUGGAAUUCCUUUUUCAGCAGUGUAUUUUCUUUUUCCUUUUUCAGUUUUGUUCGAUUUUUUUUACUUAUUUUCUUUCUCUCUCCAUUGUUUCGAAGCCAGCUUCUCUUUUUUCGAAGCCAUCGGAGCUCGGUAAUUGUUCUCAGCUUCAAGUGAUUCAGCUUCGUUUGAAUCGAUUGAUCGGCAAUGUAACGGCGGAUUUCUCUCGGUUGUCUCGUUUAAAAGAGCUUGGUUUGGGUUCUAACAAGUUAAAUGGUGAAAUCCCAGAAGAAAUCGCCUUUUAGAUGGAAAUCGCCUUACAGGUAACAUACCAAAUUCAUUUUCAAACAUGUCUAAUUUGAAGUACUUGAAUUUUUCUAGAAAUAAUCUUGAAGGUGAGAAUCCAAGUGGAUUAGGUUCUUUAUUCAAUGAUAGUUCUGUAUUUUCAAUGAAUGAAAAUUUAUGUGGUAAGCCAUUGAAUAAUGACUGUAAAAAUGUAAGAAAAAAGAAACAGAGGAAGCUGAUUUUGUUGAUUGCUAUGGUCGUUGGUGGUAUUGGGCUAUUUGUCGUGUUUUGUUGCGGUUACAUUUACAGUCUUCUACAGUGGUGGAAGAGGUGGAUGACCGGAGAGAAGAAGCAGAGUACGGGUAGUGCUAGUUCGGGAGCAGAUCAAAGUCGUGGAAGUUCAACUUCUUUUCGUUGAAGUUCAACUUCGCUGAUUCAGGUACGAUUUUAGCUUUACUUUUUGUUCAAAUUUUCGUUUUACAAUUUUUUAAUAUUUUCUAAUGUUAAGGUAUGCUGAUAUAUUGCAGUAAACUUUGAGAAUAUUAGACCUCCUGUAAUGGAAGGCUUAGAUACAUUAAUCAUGGUAUGUGGCUUCUUACUUUUACCUUCUUAAACUCUAUGUUCCAUAUGCUUAGCGUCUGGAAUUUCUUAUCAUUUUGCUUGAUUUAUUCAUAGAAAGAAACAAUCUUCAAAGUCAAGUAGCCUUGAAAGCAAUGGUAUGACUUUCUUGUUGUAACCUUUGAUGAGGUUUACUCCGAUUUCACUAUCAUAUGUUAUUUUUACAAGUUGGGGCUUGCAGGUAGUUCUUCAAAUUAAACAUCACCUGCAUCUCAAUGGUUUUCUUCAAAAUCAUCAAAGAAGGUUUGUUUUGUCAUUUUAUAGUUGAUCUUCCUUUGCUGCUGAUGCUCUUGUUACUACCAUUUUAAUCAAACAACCUUCACUAAACAUUUGCUUAAGACUAGUUAUCUAGGCAAGUGAUCCUCUCUCUCUCACUCUCACUUUCACUCAGACAAGUCACUAUCAUUCAUAUAUUUUUGUUAUCAUUUUCAGGAGCUCACAUUGGACCUGAACCAAUGACCAAUAGAUUUGUUGUUGUUAUGGUAAUUCAGAAAUAUUGCUAUUCUGCAGAUCUAGCUUGGAGAGUUUCCAUUACUUGGUGGUUUUAAAAUCAAUUAUGGAAAUUGAAUCUUAAUUUUCUGUAUACUGUCUAUACUACUUUGUUUGUUGUAAUUGUGAAAUUUUGUUUUGAUCUCGUGUGUUAUGCACAUACUCUCUUUCCCUUUAUGCAGUCGGGAACUGAUGAAAGAAGUGUUCCAGGGAACACUAUUGCUGUCCAAGCAGACAUGCCAUUCAGUGGCCUCACUACUUUCGGAACUGCAUUUUUGUCGAAGUUUGAGUGUUCUCAAAUGCCACAUCUAGUUAGUUAAUUGUUCAAUUCUAGUUUGCUGCGAUAGUUAAUUUUUCUGCUUAUAUAGAAUUUAAUACCUUCUUUUCCUUUGAAUUUCCGAUCGCUUCAGAAUUUUGAAAAAUAUUCAGGUACCUCGGUAUUUUUCAAUUUCGCAUUUUAUUUCCUCCAAUCUUUGAAUUUAGUUCCAAUUAUCGUCAUUUAUUUGCUGAAUUAACUUGUAAAAUAAUUGUUAGCACCUAGGGGUUUUUUUUAUGUAAGGUUGUUUUUAAUUUUAGUUGGAGAAUAUAUUGUGGUUUGAUUGUUUGUUAGGUUUUGAUAGUCAUAGGGUUUUUAAUUCGAAUUUCUAGCUUAAGUAAGGACCUCAUUUCUUCUGCCUCAAAUUAAUUAAAUUUAAUGGUUAGUAUUUGUAAAAUUUAAUGUAAUGUAAAAUUUUUGGCAUGUUAUUAAUUGUAAAAUAUUUGGUAUUUGGGGGGUUUUUCAUUGUUACUGCAAUUAUAUAAUUGGUUUUGAUGCAGAACAUAUAUGUUUCAGCAAGUAAGUAUUAAUUUAGGGAUGGGAUACUUGUAUUUUAAGCCUGAAAAGUCAUUAAUAGGUUGAAUAAAUACUGCUUAUAAUUUUUGUUCAAUUUUUUCUUGAAUUUUGGUGAACUCCUUUAGUAAUUAUUUGGGGCUUGUUAUGUUACGAAUUGGUAUUGAGUAGAUAUGGAUAUUCUCUGAGAAUUUUUUUUACUUGCAUCAUAGCCUUUUUUAUGAUGUUUGCCUUGUGUUUACAAAGAUUUUGUAUUUUGUUUUCUACCUAGUUUUUUUUUCAUCCUGCCUAAUUUGUCGAACUUCUAGCAUUAGUGAAGUUUUUAUUCAAAUUACUUGUGUGCUACCAUAGGUGCUAUUGGCUGGGGUUUACAAGGAGCUACGUCAGGCAUGGAGGAUGCCAAAGAGCAAAUUGUACAGGUGUCCAAAAAUUCCACGCUACCAUCUCAAGAUGAGGUUGUGUUCUUAUCUUGGUUCAUUGUGGAAUAUUUGAUUGGUUAAAGAUCUUAGCUACGUACAAGAUUAAAAUUUUAUUCUCUGGAGUUCUAUAGUUACUUUUGAUUGAUUGGACUGAUUGGAAUUUUAGGUGUUCAUUUGUAAAAUUUUCAUAACUUGUUUGUUCUGUUGUUUCAGAAACUGAAUAUGACCCAUGGUUUUGCUUGGCACUUUUACGUUUUAAAUUAUCUUAACACCUUACAGUUUUCUUCUUCCUAUGGAUACCAUUACAGCUUGCAGUUGAAUGUUUCUUUUAGGUAUAUCUUGUGACAUUUUUUCUUUCUUUGUUCACCUCACUUUAUAGCCUAUUUUUUUCCCUCCUGCGUUGGAUCUUUUUUUUUUUAAAUCACAUGAUCUCAAAUUUCAAUUUCUUUUAACAUUUAUUGGAAGAAUAAUAUGGUCUCAUUUGAUUGUUUCUCCUACCUGGUUCUUGCUUCUACUCGUAUUUCUUUUUGGAUGAAUAAAUUUAUUUGUUUAAUCCUCAUCAUCCUGUACAAUAUCAUGCUUGCAAGUUUUUGCUUUCCUCCUUAUUGCAGAUUUACUAUCCUGGUAUCCCUCUGUUGUUCUUGAUGUGGAUAUUUCUUGUGAAGAAGUACUUACAUUUUGCUGUUUAUUCAUGCUUACAGGAUAGGAGCAAAUGGUUUGGAGAACUCGUAAGCACUCCUCUGUCACUCCUAAACCAGUUGUUUAAAUUAUUUUCAUAGCCUACUUUGAUUGCUGUUAUUUGUGGGAAAAUUAGUCUACAUUCUUUAAGCUGAUCUUAAACUGCUUCCUACAUUGUUUCAGCCUUGGGAAGAAAGUUUGCGGGAUGCACACGAGUUUGGAAAACUUGUUCUGUUUUAGAACUUGGAUCCAGCUUACUCUUCAGCAGAAGUGGAGGUAAUAUUUAUUAUGAAUCACAAUUAGGUUGUGUUUGAAGCAUUUUGUAUUUACACACAUAAAUUUCUGUGUUCUUUCACUUUUCCUCUCCCUACAUGUGUGGUUUGUACCUUUUAUCUUUCUUAUGAAUAAUGCAUGUUUAUAUUGCAGGAUAUAGUUUGGAAUGCCUUCAAUGAAACUUGCAGAGCAAAGAUGGUGCAGCAGACUGCGUUGUAUUUUUUAUUACUUUGCAAUGUGUAUAGUCAUAGGCAAGUUCAACUAGUCAGUAUGUUUUUCAUAUGUAUUAUUUAUUUUAGUUUUGAUUCUAAAUUUUUAUUUUUAUUUUAAUAUUUACGACAACUUCAGUUAUAACUUUUGGAUUUUAAUUGUGUUAUUAAUUUAUUAUUUUAAAUUCUAAAACUAAAUUCAUUAAUUUUUAUAUUUAGUUUUAAAGUUAAAAUUUUCAUAGAAAAUUUAAUUUAAAUAAUAUUUUUUAUUUAUUCUUAAAAAGUAUAUUUAAAGCUCAAAUUUAAAAAACAAGACGUAAUAUAAUAUUUACCAUAAAAAUAAAUAUUAUUUGAUUAAAAUAUUUUUUUAAAUAUUAUGUUUUUAGCGACAUUUUUGCUAGAAGCGUCGCUAAAGGUUUGGGUUUAUAGCGGCAUUUGUGAUAAAAGCGCCGCUAAAGGUUUCGGUCUUUAGCGGCAUUUAUGGAAAAAGCAUCGCUAAAGGUCUUGGGCUUUAGCGGCGUUUGUGGGAAAAGUGCUGCUAAAGGUCUUGGAGAAGCGCCGCUAAAGGUCUUGGUCUUUAGCGGCAUUUUUUCCGGCGCUUCUCAAAGCGCUGCAAAAACUUUUAGUGGUGCUAGAAAGCGCCGCUAAAGGUCUAAAAAAGUGCCGCUAAAAGCCUGUUUUGGUGUAGUGCCAGUUUCAGGCCACGCGUCCCCUCCCAUGGGUCCAACGAAAUGAGGACCAAAUUAAAAAUAGAGACAAAUUUGCGAUCCAAAUUAAAAAAUGAAGAAAAGUCGUAAAAGGACUAAAUCGAAUCAAACUAAAAGUGCGAAAGGGCAUAAAGUGAAAAUAACCCACCUGCACAAAAACACGUGGACCCUGGGUUGCGGGUCGGGUCGACGCGCGAGUAGGAGGCCUUAAGAACCCAAACGGUGCCGUUUUAGGGCUAUUGGAUUAGCCCUAAACGGCAUCGUAUCGCCCAGCUUAUAAAGGCUAAAUUUUUUUGUGAAAUCAGUCAUUUUCCUUUUACUUAAAAAAACUGAGUUCUCUCUCUCCCUCUUUUCUCCCUCAGUCUCAGCCCUUAAGUUCAGGCCUCCACCGCCGCCUCCAUGGCCAAUGGCCGGAGUUACGCGAAACAGGCUUCUCAGCCCUCCCUUCACGGCGUCCCAGAAGGCUAAGCCUUCUCAACCGUGGGAGCGAGAGAAAAAAGGAAGAGACUCCCUUCCCCGCUCGACUCUGGUGAUGGCGAAGGUGGGUUCCGGCCGGCCUUUGAAGCAAAUAGGUAUAUUUCUUUCCCUUUUUCGUUUCAUUUUUGUUAAAAAGAGUAGUAAAACAAACAAAAAUAAAAUAAAAUAAAAUAAAAAUAAAAAUAAAAAUAAAGAAAAUACAAAGAACGCAAGAAUAGAAAAAGAACCGGAAUCAACCUUUUUUAAUUUUUUUGAUCUGCUUUUUAUUCAUUGGUGUUGUAAAAAAAAGAAAAGAAGAAAAAAAAAAUGUUGGUAUUCGGCUAUUUUUUUGCUUUCUGCCUUUGCGUGUUCUCUUUUUGUUUUUGCAGGUGGAGCAGGUGGCUGAGUUAGUGGCGGUAGCAGGUGGUGCGGCAGUGGCAGAGGGUAGGUGGUACGGCGCCAGAGAUUAGGAGGCUAGGGUUUCUUUUUUGUAUUUAAGUAUUUUGGGCCGUUUGGGCCAUUAGGGUUUAGUUUUAGUUAGGCUUAAAUUUUGGGGUUUGGGUUAGUUUAGGUGGGUAUUGGGUUGGUAUUGGUUUUGGGUUUUGGGCCAUUGUAAGGGUUAUUUGGGCCCUGGGCAAAUUUGGGCUUGUACAAUAUUCAUCUCUAAUGGUAAUCUAAUAUUUAUCCUAAUAUUGUCAUCAGCACCAAGAAGAAGAAAACUGAAACUCUAUCUUAUUACCUAAUCGAAUUUUGAAAAAAUAAAUCUAAAAGAUUAUUUAAAAUUCUAAUUAGGUAUUAAUUUAUUGUUAUGUUAAAAUCACGCUAGAAAUGUGGAUUCAAUUAUUUAAGAGAUUAUUGAAAGUCACUUAAGUUGUUAAUAAUUAAAAUGAAAUGAUUUUUCUUUUAUUAAAAUGAAAUUUCAUGAUUUAUUUGAAAGUUGAGUUUAAGUUCAAUGGUUUAUAAUGUAAAUUAUCUAAUAUCCAUUGUAUUUAUUGUCACUAAAUGAGCAUUACAAGUUAAAAUAAGUUAAAAUCUCUAGUAGUAAUUAUUAAUAUUAAGUUUUGGUUUUUUUUCUACCUUUAAUUUAUCGGCACAUAUGGGAAAAAUAUAAUUUUUAAAUUCUUCUAAUUUUUUAAAACUUUUUAAUAAUUAAAGAAAAAAUAAAAAGAAUAGGGGUCAAAUUGACAAAUGUUGUAAAGGUUAAGGGGCUAAAUUUAUUAUUUUAUCUAGUUUUUUAACAGAGUUAAAGGAAAAAUCAACAGAGAUUGAAAAAUAGAAAGAUCAAAUUUGAGCAAAUAAAAGUAGAGUAACUAAAUCCACAUAAACUGAGAAUCCAGGGACUAUCCUUACAAUUUAACCUAAAAUGUAAAAACUUAAAUACAUAAAUAUUAUUUUAGUAAUUUCUAAACAAAGUUAGCACUUUAAUGUAAGGGUGUUCAAAUUUCGGUUAAAAUCAAAUUAAUCGAUCGAACCGAUCUAAUUCGGUUAAUCGGUCGGUUAAUUGAUCUAAUUCAGUCGAAGGUUGAUUAAUUAUUUUUUUGAAAGUUCGGUUAUCAAUUAAUUCGAUUUGAAAUCUGGUAAUUAACCGAACUUAAUAAUUAAUAAUACAAAUAAUAUUUAGUUUUAAUUCAGUUAAUUCAGAUAAUUCAAUCAAAUGAACUUUAUUACUUUUUUAAAUAUAUUUAAUACUUGUUUUAACUAAAAUAAAAAAAUAAAAAUAUAUAAAUUUCGAUUAACAUUUUUUUAAAAAAAUUUCCCUUAUUUUUUCCUACAAUCAGCCUAUGCACGUAUUUUUUUUCAUUUAUUGGUAAAUUAAUCGUUAAUAUAUCCUUUCCUUUCUCUAAUCUUCCUCUAUUUUCUUUUCAUUUUCUUUCCUUUAAUUAUAUUUAUCCAAAUAUAGGGUUAAUGUAGAAUUUUUUAUUUUAUUUUAAUUUUUACCAUUAUCCUUUAUAUUUUAUCUUUAAAAUUAAAAAUUACAUUUAAUAAAUAGUAUAGUUAUAUUUCGAAAUUAAUUUUAAAUGAUAUAUAAAUAUAUUUUAAAUAUCAAUUUAAAUUUAAAUCUCUAAAACUUAACUUUUUAAUACUUAUUAUUUCUAUUUUAUCGAACAACCUUUAAGUAUUGCACUCACACUCGCAAAUAAAUAAAUAAAUAAAUAAUGGCCUUGUGUAAUUAAGAAAGUUGAGAAUGGGUUACUCCUCACCUGGUGGAAUUGGCUACAAUAAUGGAGGAAAGAGAAAAACACUAAGGAAUACCCAAUGAUUGGGAGGCAACGGCAUACCCUACACAUACUAUUUACUGUCGGUGGUAAUGAAUCAAUUGCCUACUUUACACAUAUUUUGUUUUCUUCACUUUUUCUUGUCCUGCACUAUUUGGAUUUAUGAGUGAUGGGUGUCGAGUCUACCAAUAUAAACCUAUGCCUAAUUUGCAAUUAAAGCAGUAUAAAGAGUAGGGUCGAUCCCUCAGAGACUGGAUUUACUGAAAAUUAUUUUUCUCUCGACCAGAUUCGUGUCUGGCCAGUUGUCGUGCCCAAGAAAUUUGAGGGAGGAUAAAAAUUGAAAACCUUAAAUAAACAGAAAAAAUGCGUGGAAAGUAAAAGCUGAAAAUAAAAUAAUAAAAUCAAUUAAAUAAAUCUGAAGAAAAAUUAAUUAAAAUUAGCUCAACUUUAGGCACGGGUUUUUCCUCGUCUUUGAACCGAUCCUCGAAAUUAGAUGAACUCCUCUUUCCAAUAAGCUAGUUAUAGCUACCAAGGACGUCUCGGACACCAACUCUUCCUUGUGUAAAUUAGUUAUGGAACGUCCUAUAACUAACCCUUACCGAUCGAACAACUAACGAAACGUUUGUGAUUUAGAACUCCGGCAGCUUUGCGUUCUAGAAGAGCCUAGCUCGAACCAAUGCCCUCAACCGCGUGGGACAUUUAAAUCUGGUUACUACUUCCCUUGAAGGAACCAAAGAACAAUCCCCACUUGGCACGCCAAUGUGUUCACAAAAAACUAAUUAGACAAUCGACCCUUUUGGAAUUCCAACUGUACGUCUAACCACACUAACUCAAACAAAAUCUUUUUUUGACUUAGUGUUGAUUUGACUUUGUGAGUUGACAAAGUCAUACUCUUAACCCAGAGAAAUAAUAAGUACUGAAAAUUAAGAAUUAAAUUGCUCGGGUUUGUAACUCACGGGUCUUGACGAAGUUAACACCGACCUAAAGUUGAAAUGGGUUUAGUUGACCAAGGUUUGGGCCAUGUUGGUAUUGGGCAUAAUUGGAGAAGGUUGAAUAAAUGAAAAAGAAAUGAAAGUAAGUGGGUGAGGGUGAUGCAAGGUUUGGGUGCCAAAGCUAGAAACUAAUAGAUGAAAAAAAAUAUAAGAAAUCAAUGUCAGCCACUAAAUUUGCAAAAAAAGGAAAGAAAAGAUUGAAUUCAAAGGAUAAAAACUUGAUUGAAAACUUGAUGAAUGAAUGAACAUAGUAGCCCCUAUUUAUACUAGUAGCCUUGAACAAAUUUGCCUAAUUAAAGGCCACUAACCAUAGAAAAUUAAGGAAAAAUAUUCCCAUGAUAUAAAAAAUCCCUACAUAAUCUCCCACUAAGUCAAAACAAAAUUUCAGCUAAUUACAUCUUGGGAAAAAUUCCGUUUUGGCCCGCCUUCUUUGCUAUUUUCUUCAAUCUAGCCCAAUUGUUUCCUUUUUCUUCUAUUUAGCCACAAAUUGCACCCCUGCACAAAAUUCAAUAUAAACAUGGAAAAAUCAGUGGUGCACUCUCAUAAAUUAACCAAUUUAAUUACAUAAAAUAUGUAAUUUUAGCAUUUAAUCAAUGAGUAAAAUCGAUACUACUUAUUUUGUGCUAUAUUUUUUAGUUUUCAUAUGACGAUCAUCAAAUUCAUGCUUAUCCAAAGCUGGUGUAUGCAAAACGAUAAAGUUAAUCUUUAUUGCUAGUCUUUCUUCUUUUUACUUUUGAAUACUCUUCUCUUGUUGCUGUCGUUGAAAUAUUGUUGGAUUGUUGAUAUCUUGCUACUUUUUAAUACCAUUUAAAUUUUUUUAAUAUAAAUAUUAAAAUUAUAAUGAUUUUAGUUAUUUAAUUUAAUCGAGUUGUAUAACUUGUCAAUACUUGGAUUUUGAAAAUGAAAAUAAAAAUGAGAGUCGCCACCAAUCUUUUUUGAUGAGGUGUGAUCGGGCCACCUCAAAAAGUGGUUGUUUUUAAUAAACAAUUUGAUUUUAUUAAAAACAACGAUCUUGGUCCACAAAAUUCAGAAAAAUGGGUUCGGGAGUCGGUUACAUACGAGGAAGGAUUAGCACCCUCGUAACGCCCAAAAUUGGUACCUAGUUGAUUAUUUAGUGUCUUAGUAUCGAGAAUUAGAACACGAUCCUUUAUUGAAAUGUUAAAAUUUUUUGAGAAAAGGGCAUAUUUCACGUUAAUCGAGAAAGAGAAUUAUAUCCAGUAAGAUAGGACACAAUGUCUUUGAAUUCCUAAUGUGCGAAUGAAUGCCAAAAAUUUACUUAUUGGAAAGAUAUUUAGCUAUCUCGGAUUUGAAAAAGGGAUCAUGUCCAGUAAGUUAGGACACAAUCUUUUGGGAUCAUGCCCAGUAAGUUAGGACACGAUCUUUUCUUAAUUCCCGAGAUCGUUUAAAACUUGAGAAAAAAAGGGAUCAUGUCCAAUAAGUUAGGACAUGAUUUCUUCUUAAUUCCCGAGAUAAUGAAAACUUGUUUGAAAAUACUUGUAUUCAGAUUUAUCGAGAAAAUCGAAACCCCGUAAGUUAGGGUGUGACUUUUUCAAUUCUUAAAAUACGAAGUUUAACUUAUUUUAAAGUCGUGAUUUAUACCUUAAAUAAAGAAAUAAAACACAAUUCAAUAUGAGUAGCAAAACAAUAAUAAAUACUACGAUGUAAACAUAACGCAAGCAACCACAAAAAAAUAAUAAAUAAAUAAAUAAAAGAUGACAAAACAAUUAUGUAUGAAAUAAUAACAGCUAGGGCUAAAAUAUUUCAUAAAAAUAAUGAUUAACACAUAAAUAAAUAAAUAUAAGAUAAAACAAUAAUAACAAUACGAAAAUAAAUUAAAUUAUAAAAGUAAAAAUUUAUGUAUGUUUAUUUAUAUAUAACAAAGUUUAAAAUGAAAGAAAAGAUAUAAAUAAGUAAAUAAUAAUAUUAAUAAUAACAAAUAAUCUAAAGUUUUAAAGAGAAAAGAUAUAUAAUUAUAUAAUAAUAAUAUAUAAUAAGAUAAAUAUAUUUAAAAUUUAAAUAAGUAAAUAUAAAUAAAAUAUAGUAAUAGUAAUACUUUGAAGGUAUAAAAGGACAUAAUAAAUAAUAAAUAAUAAAAUGAUAUAAUAAGAUAAUUACAUACGCAAAGAAAAAUGCAUAUAUAUAAAAUAAAAAAUAAAGCUAAAAAUAAUACAAAACUAAUUAAUAUAUUAAUACAAUAGUAACGAAUAAAUAAAAGGAAAAUAAAACUAAUAAUAAUAAAUAAUAUUAUUAUCAAAUUAUUAGUUUUAAUAAUAAAAUAACCAAAAUACAAACAGAGGGCUAAAUUGAAUUUAAAAAAUAAAAUUUAGGGUCAAAUCACAAAUAAAUUAAAGGAGAAGGACCACGUUGAAUGCGCAAAUAACAAGAAGGGGCCAAAUGGGCAAUAAUCCCGUCCCUCCAAAACGCACAGCUUCAUUGAGGACCAAAUCGAGAGAAAGAUGAAAUUUUGUGGCAAAAUUAAAAAAUAAAAACAAGAUAGGACCCAAUUGUAAAAAGCCUCAAAAGUGAAAGGACUAGGAGCGCAAAUAACCCCUUUUAUCCAGAAACAUACGGAUCCUAGGCAGUUCGGGUCGGGUCGAUCCGAUCCAGGUCAAAACGACGCCAUUUUAGCUCCCUAUAUAAGUUAAAAAGUUUCAAAAAUAAUCAUUUUACUCUUCCUUCUAAAAAAAAUCAAAAAAAUCCUUUCUUUCCUCCCCACUCUCCAAAAAAUCCAGCCAUGGGUCCGGUGAGGGCUCCGGCCGUAGCCACUAUGCUGGACUCCAGUCGCCGGCGUCAGCGCCUCCGCGCAUGGUGGCCGGUGAAGGCAAAAAGUUGUAUUUUCUAGAUCUCGACCCCCUAAGCUCAAAUUCGUCCUCAAAAUACCCGAAAAACCAAAGAAAAAGGACCACUAGCCUUCUCAAGAACCGAUUCUGUCACCAGAGAAGAAGCCUCCGACGACAAGUACACGAAACGACACUGGUGAGAUCCUCUUCACCUUCUUUUUGUUUUAUUUUUGUAUAUAAAUAAAACCAAAAAAAAUAAAUAAAAUGAAUAAAUAAAAGUCAGUGAACGAAUAUUAAAAAGACUUUGUAAAUUCAUUUUUCUUGAUUCCUUUUUUUAUGUUCGUACAAAAAAAGAAGAAGCCCCCUAAACUUUUAUAACAUAUUUGACUUUAUAGCCAAGAGAAAGAGAAGAAAACAUGAAAGCAAAUCCCCUCUUUUUGCUACUGUUUUUGUGGUCUAUUUCUGCUUUUCUUGGUUGCGUGUUUGCAGGUGACUGUGGCGAGUUGCAGAGGGUAGGUGGGCAGAGGCAUGCGGCGGUGGCAGAAGGCCCUAGGUUCGGCGUACCUAGGGUUUGGCAUUUUCUUUCUUUUUUUUAUUUGGUGUUGGGCUAGGGUUUAUUUUAGGCUAAAUUGGGUUUGGGUCAUAUUAGGCUUGUUUGGUCAACAUUGUAAUUGGGCUUCUAUUUUUUUUUCUGGUAUUGGCCCAGGCAAAAUCUGGGUCUUACACCUUUUAUAGUUAAAAGAAAGUAAAAUAAUAAAAUUUAGUUCAAAAUUGUUGAAGUUAUAAAAUAAAAAAUCAAUUCAAAAAUAAAAAUAUCUUUUGUUCAAUUCUAAUUGAAUUGGUGUCACAAGUUAAUUAACUAUUAAAAUAAGUAAUAUUAUUCAAAGGUAUUUUUUAAAAUUUUUAUGCAAAAUUAUCAAUAAAAUAUGAAUAUAACGGGAUUUGAAGUAAGACUCGUCUACAAAUGAAUUCAAAAUUUUUACUCGAUUCGAUCAAAUAUUCACCCCUAAAUAUUACAUUUUUUGAAUCUUCAUCUUGGUGAACAUAAAAAGGAGAAGUUAUCCUUUGUGUGUAUGUGUGCUUUAGUGUUUCCUUUAAUUGUGUGGCUAAUUAAGUGCUCCUUAUUUCCUUUGAAAACAAAUUUUGAUAGAAAUGAAAAUAAAGAAUAUUGAUAUUUAAAAUGUAAAAAAUAAAAUAAAAUAUUGUUUGAACAUGUAUAAAUUAAUAUUGUACGCAUAAAAUUGAAUAAUAUUUAAUACCAAGAAAAGUAGAAAAAAAAUAUGUUAAAAUAAUAUUUUGGUGAAUCAAAUUUAAUAAUUAAUUUAUAGUUGAUAGUUAUAUACAAUAUGGAUGAUAUAAUAUCCUCUGAAAUCUUCCCUUGGUUGACCAUAAAGGGGAAGUCAUUGUUUUAUGUUUUUUGGUAUUUAUUUGUGAGCCAUACAAAUUAUACAUAAUAAUAGACCUUUUGAAGUCAUCCUCUUCCGUGUUUUGUUCCCGUUAAUUCUGUGGCUAAUUAAGUGCUCUUUAUUUCCUUUUAAAACAAAGUUUUCUUUUCCUUUUUUUUGGUAGAAAUUAAAAUAAAGAUUAUUUAUUUGAACUUUCAAAGUAUAUUUAGAAAAACCCUAAAAUUUUAAAAAUAAUAAUUAAGUCUCUUUUUUUUCAUUUAAUUAAGUACUUGAACUAUCAAAAUACAUCAAUAAGACCCUCAAACUUUUUCAGAAAAAGCAAUUAAGCCCCUACAUUUUUUUUGCACAUUCAAUUGUCAAAAUGCAUCAAAAAGGCAAUUUGACCGUUAAAGCUUACCGCCCCUAAAAUUUUCAAUUAAAGCCACAAUGUGUCACAACCACGUAGUGUGUGGCAAAAAAAUGAUAACAAAAAUUAAAAUCAAUAGAAGUUAUAAAAAUUAUUAAAUUUUAAUAAAAAUAUAAAAAUAGAAAACAUAUAAAAUAUAUAGAAAUAUAAAAAAAUUAUAAAAUUUUAUAAAGUUGUAAGAAAAUUAUAAAUAAAUAUAAAAUUCGUAAAAAAAUUAUAAAAAUUAUUAUACCAAAAGAAGCAUUUUAUAAAUUUUCUAUAAUUUUUGUUGAUUUUUAUUUUUUAUCAUUUUUCGGCACAUGUCACAUUAUGUUGCAACACGUGAGCCUUGUUCAUGCAUUUUAUAAUUUUUUUAUGAUUUUUAUAUUUAUUCUAAUUUUAAUAAAUUUUAAAUACUUUUAAAUUUUAAUAAUAUUUAUAACUUUUAUUGAUUUUUAUCUUUUAUAUACUUUUUACCACAUGUCACUCCGUGAUUAUGACACAGGAUGGCUUUAAUUGAAAAAAAUUAGGGGCAAUUAACUUUAUGAUCAUCUGUUAAAGUUUACGAUCAAAGGGCCUUUUUGAUGUAUUUUAACGGUUUGGGUGUGUAAAAAGCUCUCAAACUUUUCAAAAAAAAGCAAUUAAACCCAUCCUCUCUCUGUUUUUUUUUUGCACUCAAUUGAGCACCUGAACUAUCAAAAUGUAUCGAAAAGACCCUCAAAAUUUUUCAAAAAAGCAAUUAAGCCCCUACUCUUAUAAAAAAUUAGAAAAAAAAUUAUAAAAAAUCAUAAAAAAUAAAAAAUUGUAAAAUUUUAUAAUAAUCAUUAAAAAAUUAUAAAAUGCAUUGCUUGAUUGCUUUUUGUGAAAAAGUUUGAGGGUCUUUUUUUUAUGCAUUUUGGCAAUUCAAGUACCCAAUUGAGUGCAAAAAAAAAGAGUAGGGGCUUAAUUGCUUUUUUGGAAAAAAAAUUGAGGGCCUUUUUGAUGCAUUUUGAAAGUUCAAAUACUUAGUUAAGUGCAAAAAAAAGAAAAAAGUAGGAGCUUAAUUGUUUUUCCUUUUGAAAAAAAUUGAGGGCUUUUUACACUCUUAAACAUUUUAUAAAUGAAUUUUGAUUUUUUGUAGUUUUAUAUAUGAAAUUUUGAUUUGUUUAAAUUCUCAUAAAUUAUUAACAUAACAUCAUUUUAUAUUUAUAUAUUACAUACAUAAAUAAUUAAAUAUUCUCAUGGGCUUAUAAUGGAAAGUACAAUGAAUAUGUACCAACAGAAUGUUUGUGGUCACCACAAAUAUUCUCAUGACAUCAGCCUCCUGCUUCAACACAUACAAUGAGGAUUCCAUAUCUAAAAGUAAAAAGAAUCAUGAAAAAAAUACAAUGCAUAGUAAAUCAAUUGUACAUGUUGUGUAUUAACAUAAUAAUCUUAACCAUAUCGCUCGUUGACUUUCAUGAGACCACAUACAUUAUUGUCCACAACUUCUAAAAUUUGAAUUAUCGUACAUUUUGCAUUAAAAAAUCUCAUGGUAAUCUUAUUUUCAAGUAAGAUACACAUUAUAGGAGAUCAACUCCCCUAAAUGCAUUUUAGGUGUUAUCUUUCAUAAGCUAGUGAUUUUUUCUUGAUUAAUAUAAUCAUGCCUCAAAUCUUAAAGGUACACUUCAUUAGAGUGAGAAGUUCUAAGUUCCUUGUCGAAAUCGUUUUUUGAAAACAAAAAAUUUAGUUGUCGACUUUUAAAAAUAAAACUGGAGUCGUCACCGAUCCUUUUAUUAAGGUGUGAUCGGCCUACCUUAAAAAAAUAUUUUGGCCUACGAAUUUUGAGAAAACGAGUCCGGGAGUCAGUUACGCACGAGGAAGGGUUAGCACCCUCGUAACGCCCAAAAUCGGUACCAAAUUGAUUAUUUGAUGUCUUAGUGUCGAAAGUUAAAAAAGAUUUUAAAAUAAGCUUGAAUGAUUAAAUUUGCAAAAGGAUAACCAAUUGUUCAAGUCCUGUAAAGAAAUCGAGUCCCAAUACGUUAGGGUACGAUUCCUCAUAAUCCCCGAACUUUGAAUAUCACUUUUAUUUUAUGCGAAAAUCUUCAUUUCGAGAAAGUAACAGGCCACACCCAAUACGUUAGGGCACAACAAGUUAAGUUCCCAAAAAUGAUUUUUAUGCUCAUGCAUUUUGAAUAAAGAAUAUUCUCGGUCAUUUAAGAUUAACAAAGAAAAUCAGAACCCAAUACGUUAGGGCUCAAUUUCCCUCGAAAAUCCCAAACCUCAAAUAAUGCUUUUAUUCAAAACAAACCUUUAAAUCAAGAAAAAAAAUGAUUUUGGUAUAUCGAAAAAAACCAAGAUUUAUUUUCCAAAGGGUAUGUUAAAAAUUAAUGUACAAUAUGAAAUAAAUAUUUUAAUUUAAAAUAUAUAUAUAUACAUGUACUUACAAAAUAUGUAAACACAAGCACAAUAUACAAGUAAAUUUGAAAAAAUGUGUAUGCAUAUAUUUAACAUACAUAUACAACACAACUUAUAAUAAUCUCCAACAAUAUGCAUGUAGAUUUCAAAGAAAGUAAGUAUAUGUACAAAAAUAAGGAAAAUACAUAUGUAUUGUAAAAUAUAAGUGUACAUACAUAUAUACUUAUUUAUAAAGGCUAUGAAAACAAAAAAAAGGGAAUAUAUAUAUAUAUAUAAAUUAUGCAUGUAUUAAAAUAUGUAUAUGUAUAUAUGUACAUAUAUGAAUGCAAAAACUAUAGGAAUAAAAUAAUGUAAAAAACAAAUAUGAAAGUAUGAGGAUAUGUAUAUAUUUACAGAAUAAAACAAAUGUAUAAAUAUAUUUAUAUAAUAUAAAAUAUAUAAAAGUUAAAAGAGAUAAAAUAAAAAAAAAUAUAAAACGUAUGUAAAAUGCAUGUAUUUAUAUAAGUUUUAAGAAUAUAUAUUAUAAAGAAAUAUGUAUAUAUACUAUAUAUUAAAAAUGCGUGCAUACAUAGAGAAAUAAUAAUAAAUGAUAAUAAAUUAUAUAGUGAUAAUUUUAAAAAUUCAAAAAUUAAAAAAAAUUGCAAAAAACAAAAAAAAAUGAAAUUAAAAUUGAACGAGGACCAAUUUGAAACGCACGCAUUAUAUGAGGGGGCCCAAAUGGAAAUAAUCCCUUCCCCGAAGCGGUGCGCAGCAAUAAGGACCAAUUUGAACCAAAAAUAAAAUAUGCGGCCCAAUUUACAAAAAGAGCAAAACAGGUUUAAUCGAAGCGCGCUGCAAAAAGGAGGGACCAAUUGCGCAAAUUUCCCACCUGACGUCAGAGCGCGCGGAUCCUCCCCUUCGAGUCUGGUCACCGCGCGGGUCAGGCCUGGGAAAACGGCGCCGUUUUGAUCUGUUAUUAAAAGAGAUUUAAAAAAAAACAUUUCAGCAGAUUGAAAAGAAAAAAAAACAAGGUUCCCCCCUUUUGCUCUGCUAGGGUUUCGCACCCAAACCCCGUCGCGCCGCCAUUCGCCUGGCCAACGCUCCGAUCAUGACGGAGCCGACCACCAGGUAAGUGCUCCCCUUUUCUUUUUUAUGCUAUUUCCUUUUCUUUUUUAAUAAAAAACAUAAAAAUAGAAACAAAAAGAACAAAAAAUAGCGAGGAAAAAAACAAAGAAUCCCGAUUUCACCUUGAAAAACAAAAGAUCUGUACUUUUAAUGUUCUUUUUCUAUUUUCCCCUCUAUUUUUUUUGGUUUUUUACACUGAAUCCCCCCUUUAUAGAUUUGAUAACGACCCUUUUUAUAGCUGAAAGAAAAUAAUAAUAAAUAAAUAUAAAAAUAUUUUCCCAACGAUAUUUGUUGCUUUUGUUGCUAUUGCUGCGCUGUAUACCUCCUUUUUCGCAGGUUUGGAGGCUAAUGGGGAGUGCGCGCAUGCUGGGGAGGGUCGUGGUGCGAGAUUCGUGGCGGCGUGUGAGGGUGAGCGGCGGCGGUGCUGAACCAAAUAGGCUCUUAGGGUUUCUGUUAUUUUGUUUUUGUGUGGGCUAGGUUUUGGGUUAAUGUUUGGCCUAGGUUAAUUUGGGUUUUGGGCCUGUUUAUUGGUUUGGGCCCGGGCAUAUUUGUUUGCUUGGGCCCGGGCAUUAUUGGGCUUGUACAGCUGCCCCUCUUUGCUCAUUAUCGUGUAACGGGAAUAGAGCAAAGACUAAAAGCCCAAUUGUGCCCGGUCUUACUGAGCCUCACCUUCUUUAGUGCUUUUCUUCUUCAAGUAGCAUCAUUCCAACCUACUGCAUCUUCAGAGGUAUAGGAACUAGUGCUUUGAUCCACUCCUACUGCAUCGUCAGAGAAAUAUGAUUUGUACCUUGUAGCUUCUCAAAAGAACAAAAUUUGCUAUCUUUAGUCUGCUCUACUGUAACUUUAGGGAGAUAAGGCUUGUAGCUUCAACUUAUUCUACUGCAACUUUAAGGAUAAGUCUGAUGCGAUCUGCUCUACUACAACUUCAGAGAGAUAAGAUCCAUCAUUUUAAUCCAACCCACUGCAAUAUUAGGGAAAUAGGGUAACUGGCUUCAAUGUACUCCACUGUAAACACAGGGAGGUAAAAUCCACUAUCUUUAAUCUGCUCCACCACUGCUUAGAGAGACAAGAUCUGAAAUCUUCAACCUAUUCCACUGCUGCCCAGGGAGAUAGAAUUACUGGCUUCAAUGUACUCCACUGUAACCACAGGGAGGUAAAACCCGCCAUCUUUGAUCUGCUCCACUACUGCUUAGGGAGACAAGAUCUGAAAUCUUCAAUCUAUUCCACUGCUGUCCAGGGAAGUAGAAUUAUUGGCUUCAAUGUACUCCACUGCAACCUCAGGGAGGUAAAAUUCACCAUCUUUGAUCUGCUCCACUACUGCUUAGGGAGAAAAGAUCUGAAAUCUUCAAUCUAUUCCACUGCUGCCCAGGGAAGUAGAAUUACUGGCUUCAAUGUACUCCACUGCAACCUCAGGGAGGUAAAAUCUGCCAUCUUUGAUCUGCUCCACUACUGCUUAGGGAGACAAGAUCCAAAAUCUUCAAUCUAUUCCACUGCUGCCCAGGGAAGUAGAAUUACUGGCUUCAAUGUACUCCACUGCAACCUCAGUGAGGUAAAAUUCACCAUCUUUGAUCUGCUCCACUAUUGCUUAGGGAGACAAGAUCUGAAAUCUUCAAUCUAUUCCGCUGCUGCCCAGGGAAGUAGAAUUACUGGCUUCAAUGUUCUCCACUGUAACCACAGGGAGGUAAAAUUCGCCAUCUUUGAUCUGCUCCACUACUGCUUAGGGAGACAAGAUCCAAAAUCUUCAAUCUAUUCCACUGCUGUCCAGGGAAGUAGAAUUAUUGGCUUCAAUGUACUCCACUGCAGCCUCAGGGAGGUAAAAUCUGGCAUCUUUGAUCUGCUCCACUACUGCUUAGGGAGACAAGAUCCAAAAUCUUCAAUCUAUUCCACUGCUGCCCAGGAAAGUAGAAUUAUUGGCUUCAAUGUACUCUACUGUAACCACAGGGAGGUAAAAUCUGUCAUUUUUGAUCUGCUCCACUACUGCGUAGGGAGGAAAUAUCUGAAAUCUUCAAUCUAUUCCACUGCUGCCUAGGGAAGUAGAAUUACUGGCUUCAAUGUACUCCACUGCAACCUCAGGGAGGUAAAAUCUGCCAUCUUUGAUCUGCUCCACUACUGCUUAGGGAGAAAAGAUCCAAAAUCUUCAAUCUAUUCCACUGCUGCCUAGGGAAGUAGAAUUAUUGGCUUCAAUGUAAUCCAUUGCAACCUCAGGAAGGUAAAAUCUGCCAUCUUUGAUCUGCUCCACUACUGCUUAGGGAGACAAGAUCCAAAAUCUUCAAUCUAUUCCACUGCUGCCCAGGGAAGUAAAAUUAUUGGCUUCAAUGUACUCCACUGUAACCACAGGGAGGUAAAAUCUGCCAUAUUUGAUCUGCUCCACUACUGCUUAGGGAGGCAAGAUCUGAAAUCUUCAAUCCAUUCCGCUGCUGCCCAGGGAAGUAGAAUUACUGGCUUCAAUGUUCUCCACUGUAACCACAGGGAGGUAAAAUUCACCAUCUUUGAUCUGCUCUGCUGUCUAUACAGGAAGACAAGAUCUGCUAUAUUCAAUCUGCUUCACUGUCUCUGAGGGAGGCGAGGUUGGUGUCUUCGAUCUGCUUCACUGUCGAUGCAGGAAGGCAAAAUCUGUUAUCAUCACUGAUCUGUUCUCUGGGGAACAUGACCUGUAUAAUGAACCUAAUUAUGUCUAAUGAUUAGGAUGGCAUGAUCAAAAUGAAUCAAAUGCUCCUAACUAGGCAUGUAUGAAUGACAUUUGAAUGAAUGCAGAAUGUCAUUAAAAUGAUAUUUUAACACUUAAGUUAUCAUUACUCCAAGUUUAUUAAGGUCUUAUCGCUUAAUGUACUAUAGCGCCUUUAUACUCGACUGGUGAACCCAAUAAGCACUUGACCAGAUUGCCCCCCACUGUAAACCUCCAAGUUUGAUUCGUUGGGAUGCAAAAUUUGUACCAUCUUUUCCCGUUGUAACCCAAGAGUAAAAGAUUUGGCAUUUUCUCAAUCCUCUGCUAUCGCAAUUCAAGGAUACAAGAUGUGAAACUUUUUGGUCUCCUACACCAUUCCCAGGGUGUUGUACCAAAUGCUCAUGCACAAAUGAAGAAAUCUUCUCCAAGAACAACUUCUUCUUAUUACUCGGUGAUCAUUGCUUGUUUGUUCAUUGAAGCUUUGUCACCAACACGACAUCUUGCCAUUUUGUUCAAUUAAUACUUUAGACAAGAAAAUUCAAAGGGAUAAUCUUAAUUUAGACUCUUCUUUAUCAGAUUUCCAACCUGGUGCGUUCUAAACAAUAGUCCUGUUUGAGGUUUCUAUAUUAUUCAGAAACUUCUAGAGUAAUAUGCAAAACUUCCCUUGCGAAAGUUUUAUUAGUCCAUUAAUCAUUAUUCUAAUGCAACAUGCUUGCAGAAAGAUCAUGGAUAAGAAUAGAGUUGGCUCUGAGUAUAGCUCGGAAUGAAUAAAUUGUCAAGGACAAUAAAGAUGGAUAACAAAGAAACUGAUUUAGGAAUGCGUAUCUUGGAAAUGAAUGAAGUGUUCCAAGAAUAACAAAAAUAGUAGAAGGAUUAGGUGCCCCAGAUAUCACAGCUUGAACUUUGCUGUACAGACUUUCUGAAGACCAUUCUGAGUUUAACAUGUUCUUGGAGAUCUACAGUACUUUGUCAAUGCCCCAAGAUGUCGCCUACCAUUUCCUGCUGAUUCAGGUGUAGCAAGACCACUGUAUGCCCCAUUCUGAUCAGUAUUUGAGCUGCUCUGAUAAUUUCAAACGCCAUUUUGAUCAAUCAUUUGAGCCGCCCUUUUCGGGUUUUCAACUCAAAUUUCUUUUGGUCUAAGGCGCACUUUGCGGGUUUUCACCUUAGCCUCUCCAUUUUACUUUUUCAUUUUUCAGUUUUCAUUUUCACUUUUUCAUUUUUCAUCUCAUCAUUUUUCGACUCAAAGUACCUUUGCGGGCUUUUACCUUGGUCAUCCCCUUCUUUAAGCGGAGUAUUUCCUGACUGAAUUUGAGUUUACAGGACUUUGCAGGUUUAUCAUCCAUCUCGCUCAAGAUCAAAACUCCUUUGGAAAAGACCUUCUCUAUAACAUAAUGUUCUUCCCAACUUGGCAUCUGUUCCCCUCCAAAACAUUUCUUUGUAGAAGGAAGAUCUUCAACAUUUGGUCACCCUCGUGGAAUUCUCUGGGAUGAACCUUUUGUUAUAGGCUUGCAUAAUUCAUUUCUAGUACAUCUGACCGUGAUGAAUAACUUUUAGCCUUCUUCAUUCUAUCAAGUUCAAUUGAUCACAUUGCGAUUGGAUCUGUUCUGCUUCAUCCAACUUGCUCAGCCAAUACCCGGAGAGAAAUAAUUUCAACUUCAAUAGAAAAAAAAAUCAUGAUGAACUAAAGAGAGAGGCACUACUCCGAUAGAGUUUUCACCGCAUCAUUCAUGAUAUUGAACAUACUGCAAAUUUCUGAUAUCGUGCUGUUGUUCAGAUUGCAAUGACAGCGCUUAAACCAGGCACAUCCUGGUAUGACCAUGCGAAGACAUCUUUAAAUACUUGAAGUAACCCAACCACGUCUAGAUUUGUUUUUUCGGUCAUGCAUGUUACCUCAAGGUCACAGUCUCUAUUGUCUCAUUUGUUUCUCUUAUUGCUUUACCAUUCUCAACAAGUCAGGAGAUAAGCUACAAUUUAUGACAUCUUCAAAGUCAUGAGAUCCCUCUAAGUACAUGUCUCACCCAAAAGGUAAUUUUGAGUCUGUAGCAGCAUCACUCAUGUCAUUGAUAUUUGGGGACCCAUAGUGGGUACCAAAGAAAAUACAAAAGAAUGUAUGAAUAUGAAUGAACGAAUGAAUGGUUUGACAGAAAAAAUCCAAAAGAAUGAAGAAAAUGUAAAGACUGAAAGAACAUUUGCUUAAAGAUGAUUGCAAUAACGUAUUCAUUAAAAUAAUAAUAUUCAGACGUGAGCCUAUUUCACAAAGAAGUUCUUAUUGCUUCUAGGCUAAAAGCAACAAGUGUGUUCUGAACAUUACUCUAACAAACUCUAAAUACUACAGGGUUUCCUCUGCAGUCCAACUAUUUAGAACAUUCCCAGGUUUAUAAAGGGCAAACAUCUAAUAAGAUCUCUUCUCCAGUUGUUUCUUCGUGUUCGGCACUGAUGUGAACAUUUCCCAACAUUUCUUCAUUCAUCGCAGUCCCUUCAUUAUCCAUAUGAUUGAGUAGCGGGUUUUCUGUACUGAAUGAAUCCUCAAAUUUGACAAUGCCCAUAUUGAUAAACAUUUCGACCAGCUUUCUAAAGGCAGUGCAAUUUUCUAUAGAAUGCCCCGUAAUUCCUGCAUGAUAGUCACAUUGCGCAUUUGUGUCAUACCAUUUGGGGUACGGAGGUUGUAAAGGCUUCAAGUAGAAAGGGGAGACAACAUGUGCAUCAAAUAAACUUUGAUACAACUCCUGGUAUGACAUUGGGAUUGGUGCAAACUGAGACUUCUUAAUGUUUUGCUUUGUGCCAAACUCUUGCCUUGGGGGGAUCUGAUGGCCAGUAGUAACCGUCUUUGGUUGGUUUGCGGUAAUCGGCUUUGAAUAACUCUCGUUAUACCUACCCACACUAUUCACCUCCUUUUUCCUCUUCCUCGAGACUUUUGAAGUAUUGUUUUGGGAGUUCCACUCUUGCCCAUUCUGUUUGUAACGAUCUUCAAAUUGUUUUGAAAACUCUACUUUCGCCUAUUUUGUUUCCACUAGAUCAUCGAGGACAACAGGAUUAGUUAGAUUGCCCCUAAGAUUAGAACCUGAGCCUGUCGCGAAAUUCACCGGUGUCGAGGUAUUGGUCUGGUACUGUGGUCGAAUGUUAACAGUUACCCUUUGUGGAUAUGUGUUUGGUUGUGCUUGAAUGUUUGUUAGGGUAAAGCCUGGAAGAUAUGCAGGGCCUUCAUUAUCAUUCCCAAAGUGGACCACUGGGUUUUUUCCUUUUUCUAACCUCAUAUCCAGUAACUGGGUUAACUGGCUCAUCAAAUUUCUUUGGAUUUCUAGCAUCUGAUCCUUCAUAUCUUGUUAAAAUUUGGCCAAUUGCUCUAGCAUCUGUAUUUGCAUCAGCUCUAAUCUCUCCAUCCUUUGGUCCAUUCCUUUAGUUUCUAUUCGGGUACCGCAGGAAUGUUGGUUUUUUAGCUGAAAUAAUUUUACUCAAUUAGGGUCUUUUAAUGGUCUUUAAUGCACGUGAUGUUGUGUAAUGCAAAUGCAUGAAGUGAAUGCAAAAAGAGACGUUGAUUCUUGGUUCAAUUCUAUUGGAAAAACUUUACUAGAAAAAAAAUCUCUUUAUAUAAAGUAGAUAUAUAUACGAUUUUGCCCUUAUAGGCUGAGUCAUUCGAUCCUCUUCUUCAUUCAAGCAUUAAGAUAAAUAUCACGAACUCUUCAAAAGUGAUGUCUCUUCUAUCUCCUUUUUACUUGAUCCGGGCCGUGACUCAUUGCUCCUUUAUCGUUGUGAUGCUCGUUGGCUUCCCUUUAAAAAAAAGUUCAGCGGCUCUCGAUUAAUCUUCGUCAGCUUGAGUCUUCGGGCAACGGAACAAUAGUUGUGUAGUCCUCCAUUAAACUAUUAUCUUUCCCUUGUUGUGUUUUCUCAGAACAUAUUCGGGCAACCAUAUUAUUUUCCACUUUAUCAAGAAACCCAUUUCCUUAUGACAAGCUUUCUAAUCUAGUAAUCGAACUCAAAUCAACAUCUCUUUUCUAAGAUGCAAAUGCAAUGCAAUCAUGAUGUCAUGCAAUCAAAACAAAAUAAACACAAGUCAGUAUCACACCAAAAAGAUAUAAUCCAAUACAUACAUGAAAUAGCAAGAACAUUUAUUCAGGAAUCCACUAGGAUUUGGUAUAGCUCUACCUAGGGCAAGUUCCUAAAGCUCACUAUAUGAGGCUUAGUUUCUAGAGUAAGGGUACCCAAACCAACAGAUUCCUCGAUCCUCACCCAUUAUAGACUCAUGUGGAUCGAGUUCAGUUCAGGGGGAUACAUUUCCCUAUGGCUGCACGGAGAUGAAAAUCUCAUGAAGACAUAAGUACGGAUGUAUCCCGGAAGCGGUCCACUACCCUGCACGGAGGUGAAAACCUCACGAAGGACUAGUUUCUCGCUCCCACUUAAGAGGGUAAAACUGACCAUGUAAUGUAAAAUGCAAAUGCAAAGUUGCCAAAAUACCAUGAUAAAACAUCAAUGAGCGUGAAGGGAACUCAUGAAUUUUUUAAAAAACUUUUGAUUUUCGACACAAAGACAAAUAUAAUCAGUUUAUGGCUCGACUCUCUAAAGUCCCCAGCGGAGUCGCCAAGCUGUCGAAACCGUUUUUUGAAAACAAAAAAUUUAGUUGUCGACUUUUAAAAAUAAAACUGGAGUCGCCACCGAUCCUUUUAUUAAGGUGUGAUUCGGCCCACCUUAAAAAAAUAUUUUGGCCUACGAAUUUUGAGAAAACGAGUCCGGGAGUCAGUUACGCACGAGGAAGGGUUAGCACCCUCGUAACGCCCAAAAUCGGUACCAAAUUGAUUAUUUGAUGUCUUAGUGUCGAAAGUUAAAAAAGAUUUUAAAAUAAGCUUGAAUGAUGAAAUUUGCAAAAGGAUAACCAAUUGUUCAAGUCCUGUAAAGAAAUCGAGUCCCAAUACGUUAGGGUACGAUUCCUCAUAAUCCCCGAACUUUGAAUAUCACUUUUAUUUUAUGCGAAAAUCUUCAUUUCGAGAAAGUAACAGGCCACACCCAAUACGUUAGGGCACAACAAGUUAAGUUCCCAAAAAUGAUUUUUAUGCUCAUGCAUUUUGAAUAAAGAAUAUUCUCGGUCAUUUAAGAUUAACAAAGAAAAUCAGAACCCAAUACGUUAGGGCUCAAUUUCCCUCGAAAAUCCCAAACCUCAAAUAAUGCUUUUAUUCAAAACAAACCUUUAAAUCAAGAAAAAAAAUGAUUUUGGUAUAUCGAAAAAAACCAAGAUUUAUUUUCCAAAGGGUAUGUUAAAAAUUAAUGUACAAUAUGAAAUAAAUAUUUUAAUUUAAAAUAUAUAUAUACAUGUACUUACAAAAUAUGUAAACACAAGCACAAUAUACAAGUAAAUUUGAAAAAAUGUGUAUGCAUAUAUUUAACAUACAUAUACAACACAACUUAUAAUAAUCUCCAACAAUAUGCAUGUAGAUUUCAAAGAAAGUAAGUAUAUGUACAAAAAUAAGGAAAAUACAUAUGUAUUGUAAAAUAUAAGUGUACAUACAUAUAUACUUAUUUAUAAAGGCUAUGAAAACAAAAAAAGGGAAUAUAUAUAUAUAAUAAUUAUGCAUGUAUUAAAAUAUGUAUAUGUAUAUAUGUACAUAUAUGAAUGCAAAAACUAUAGGAAUAAAAUAAUGUAAAAAACAAAUAUGAAAGUAUGAGGAUAUGUAUAUAUUUACAGAAUAAAACAAAUGUAUAAAUAUAUAUAUAUAAUAUAAAAUAUAUAAAAGUUAAAAGAGAUAAAAAAAAUAUAAAACGUAUGUAAAAUGCAUGUAUUUAUAUAAGUUUUAAGAAUAUAUAUAUUAUAAAGAAAUAUGUAUAUAUACUAUAUAUUAAAAAUGCGUGCAUACAUAGAGAAAUAAUAAUAAAUGAUAAUAAAUUAUAUAGUGAUAAUUUUAAAAAUUCAAAAAUUAAAAAAAAUUGCAAAAAACAAAAAAAAAUGAAAUUAAAAUUGAACGAGGACCAAUUUGAAACGCACGCAUUAUAUGAGGGGGCCUAAAUGGAAAUAAUCCCUUCCCCGAAGCGGUGCGCAGCAUUAAGGACCAAUUUGAACCAAAAAUAAAAUAUGCGGCCCAAUUUACAAAAAGAUCAAAACAGGUUUAAUCGAAGCGCGCUGCAAAAAGGAGGGACCAAUUGCGCAAAUUUCCCACCUGACGUCAGAGCGCGCGGAUCCUCCCCUUCGGGUCGGGUCACCGCGCGGGUCAGGCCUGGGAAAACGACGCCGUUUUGAUCUGUUAUUAAAAGAGAUUUAAAAAAAAACAUUUCAGCAGAUUGAAAAGAAAAAAAAAACAAGGUUCCCCCCCUUUCGCUUUGCUAGGGUUUCGCACCCAAACCCCGUCGCGCCGCCAUUCGCCUGGCCAACGCUCCGUCACGACGGAGCCGGCCACCAGGUAAGCACUCCCCUUUUCUUUUUUAUGCUAUUUCCUUUUCUUUUUUAAUAAAAAAUAUAAAAAUAGAAACAAAAAGAACAGAAAAUAGCGAGGAAAAAAACAAAGAAUCCCGAUUUCACCUUGAAAAACAAAAGAUCUGUACUUUUAAUGUUCUUUUUCUAUUUUCCCCUCUAUUUUUUUGGUUUUUACACUGAAUCCCCCCUUUACAGAUUUGAUAACGACCCUUUUUAUAGCCGAAAGAAAAUAAUAAUAAAUAAAUAUAAAAAUAUUUUCCCAACGAUAUUUGUUGCUUUUGUUGCUAUUGCUGCGCUGUAUACCUCCUUUUUCGCAGGUUUGGAGGCUAAUGGGGAGUGCGCGCAUGCUGGGGAGGGUCGUGGUGCGAGAUUCGUGGCGGCGUGUGAGGGUGAGCGGCGGCGGUGUUGAAGCAAAUAGGCUCCUAGGGUUUCUGUUAUUUUGUUUUUGUGUGGGCUAGGUUUUGGGUUAAUGUUUGGGCUAGGUUAAUUUGGGUUUUGGGCCUGUUUAUUGGUUUGGGCCCAGGCAUAUUUGUUUGGUUGGGCCCGGGCAUUAUUGGGCUUGUACAUUCCUUAUUUGCAAUUUUGGUUUCUAUCAUUGUGUGCACCUUUGAUUUGAUAAAAUAUAUAUUGUUUUAUAUCCAUUCUUUACAGAUGUGUGAAUAAUUUCUAAAACUUGCAAUACUGUUACAAGUAGAGUUUUAUUUCAUUUAUAUUUCUUAUAUCUAUAAAUAUAAUUUUUUAUAAGUAUUGAUAAUAUCCCUAUUAAUCAAUAAAAUAUGUACUUCUCUCUUGCUAUUUUAUUUGUAAUUCUUUUUCUCUCCUUAUUAUUUAUUUCAUAACAGUAUUAAUAUAUUUUAAUUUUACGGUUUAUUUUUACUAAUAAUUAUUAAAAAAAAUCAAAUUGACCUUUUAAGGAAAAAUUAUAUUUUCAUCAAUAGAUGAUAUUUUUUUAGAAUAAUGAAAAUGUUAUUUGUUGACACCAUUUUUUGAUAAAAACUGGGUCGACUUGGAUUUUGAAAACAAAAACGAAAAUGGGAGUCGCCACCAAUCCUUUUUGAUAAGGUGUAAUCGGAUCACCUUGAAAAGUGGUUGUUUUUAAUAAAUGAUUUAAUUUAUUAAAACAACAAUUUUGGUCCACAAAAUUCAGAAAGACGGGUUCAGGAGUCGGUUACGUACAAGGAAGGUUAGCACCCUCGUAACACCCAAAAUUGGUACCUAGUUGAUUAGUUAAUGUCUUAGUGUCGAAGAUUGAAAACUUUAAAGAGAUUUAAAAUACGAUCCUUUAUUGAAAUGUUGCAAAUUUUUGGGAAAGAGGGCAUAUUUCACGUUAAUCGAGGAAAAUAAUCAUAUCCAGUAAGUUAGGAUACAAUAUCUUGAAUUCCCGAUGUGCGAAUGGAUGCCAAAAAUUUACUUAUUUAAAAGGUAUUUAGUUAUCUCGGAUUUAAAAAAGGGGAAUCAUGCCCAGUAAGUUAGGACACGACCCCUUCUUAAUUAUCGUUAAUUUAAAAUUACUCGCAUAAAACAAAAAUGGAAAACGCCUCCUUAUCUCGAAGUUACAAGAUGUCACAUCCAAUAAGUUAGGGCCCGACAUCUCGUAGUUUGAGAAUAAGUUUGCCUUUCAUUUUUUAUUUAAAUCUCAUUUGUUUUAAUUUUAAAAGGAUAUUCGGUUAUUUAGGACCAACGCGAGAAAAAUCGAAGCUCAGUAAGUUAGGGCACAAUUUCUCGAAUUUUCUAAAUAUGGAAUAUUGCCUUUAUUUUCAAGAUUUUACCCUUUUGAAUUUUGAGUACGAAUUAAUGGAAUAUUUAAAAACCAAAUGCGUGCAAUUUUGAUUAUAUUUGAAAAGAAAUCGUUUAAAACGAAAAGGAUGUCGUACACGAUCUGUAACAAAAUAUACAACAUACAUUUAAAAUCCAUAACAUAAUAUGCAUCAUAAAAUAUACACAUAGCAUUGAGACUAAUAAAUCCUAAUGAUAACAUGCAUGAAUAAUAAUAAUAAUAAUAAUAAUAAUAAUAAUAAUAAUAAUAAUAAUAAUAAUAAUAAUAAUAAUAAUAAUAAUGCAAAUGACAAUAUAAUAGCAACAAUAAUAACAACCACAAUAAACAUAAUACUAAUGAAUCUAAAGUUUGAAAAGUAUUUAAAGAUAUCAAAUAAAUAAAUGAUGGAAUAAAAUUGUAAUAAUAAUGACAAAAAUAGAAUAAACAAACCAAAUUCUAAAAAAAAUAAUUAAACCAAAAUAAAAUUAUUAAAACUUUGACCAAAAAAUGGAAAUAAGUAAAUAAAUAACCUUAACGGAAAUAUUAAAUAAAACUGAUUUUUUUAAAAGAAUAUAAAAUAAAAAAUAAAAUAAAAUUCGUGGUUUAAUAGGCCGAGGAUCAAAUUGCAAUCAGACUCAAAUUUCGAGGGCAAAAUCACAAAAUAAGAAAGAUAGGAUUGCGAGGGACCGAACUGAAACACGCUUGAAACGUGAGGGACUUAUAGGGAAAUAUUCCCCAGCCCUAAAAAGCGGCGUUUAACCGAGGGAGCUGCGCAUGGUCUAAGGACCGAAUUGAAUAGGGAGCAAAAUUUGCGGCCCAAUUCCAAAAUAACUAAAAGGAUUAGAUUGUGCUAUGUUGUAAAGUCGAAGGGACCGCAUGCGCAAAUAUCCCCUCAUAUCAGAAAACGUGCGGAUCCCAUGAAUGCGGGUCGGGCUUAGGCCAAACGGCGUCAUUUUGGCCACUGAUGCUAAAGUCCAAAAUGGCAUUGUAUUGACCCCAUAUAAAGACAAAAAAAAUAAAUUUAAAAAAAAUUGAAAUUUUAUUUAAAAAAACAAAAAACAGAUACCCUCUUAGUCUUCCUUGGUCUCUCUCAGCCUUUCCCUGGCCGGCCAUGGUCGCCACCGUAGCGCCGCCAUGGCCGGUGGCUGGUGCUGCGCGAGAGGGGGCUUUUAACCGCACCUUAGAUCCCACUCGAAGGCCAAGCCUUCUUGACCCAAAAGGCUGAAGGAAAAGGGAGUUUCACACCCCUUUUGGUUCGAUUUCGGUGACCCAAAAUGGCCUCCGGCGAUGGCUCGUGGGACUGUUUCGAGUAAGUUCCCCCCCUUUUCCUCCCUUUUUUAUUUCUUUGUUAAUCAUUUUUGCAUGAUUUUGUAAAAAGAAUUAGUAAAUAAUAAUAAAAUAAAAAGAAAAACAAAGAGAGAACAACAACCUUUUAGACUUCUAUUAUGCUUUUUGAUUUCUGAUGUGUGUGGAAAAAAAAAUACAGAGGUGAAAUUUGGGCUCUUAUAGCCGGAUCUAAAUAGCUCUUAAUCAUUAUUCUUUGUCGUUUUCCUAUUUGUUUGUUGUUUUUUUGUUUCUGCUGUUGCGUGUGGUGUAACAGCUCGGUUUAGACCCUAGUCGGAACAGUGGUUUUGGGACCACAAAUCCAAGUUAAAAAAAAUUUAAUAUUAAAUUUGGCAUUUGCAGUAUGUGAAUUAAUAUGUGUGAAAAUUUCGUAUGAAAAUUUAAUUGUUUGAGUGCUCAAUUUGAUAAAAGAACUUAAUCGCGUAAAAUGAAAAAGUGACUUACUAUUUGUGAAAGUGCUAUAUUGCUAUGUUCGUUUAAUGUGGAGGCCUUAAAAUGAAAUUAGGCCAUUAAAUGAUAGAAUGGACGGUAGUGGACAACUAUUUUUAUGUUUUUAUAUUAUUUCAUUUAGGUUAAAAAGGUAAAAUGACAUAUUAAUAAGAAAUAAAAUAAAACAAAAUAUAAAAUGGCCAUUAUAUUCAUCUUUAUCACCGAAUGCAUGAAAGAAAAUAAGCCAUUUUCUUAGUUUGAGGGUUCGGCAACUUGAAUAUCAAAUUCGGGUAUGUUCUUUGUUCGGUUUUUGAUAAUUUUUAUAUUUUUGUGAUCGUUGCUUCGAGUGCUAGCAAACCCAUGUUUUAAUUUUUGAAAUUGAUGAUGAAUUUGGUAUUUUCCAUUGAUGUUAGCUUGAUGUUUUUGUGGUUUGAUGAUGAAAUAUAAACUUUUGUUGAUAGAUUAUUAUGUUUAAUUAAGUGAUUUUUGAUAAAAAUGUGUAUUAAGGAUUAAAUUGAGAAAAGUGUAAAAUUCAAGGUUAAAUGUGUGAAUAAACUAAAAAUGUGGGCUGCUAGUAGUAUGGGUAGAAUUCGGCCUAACAAGGAUUUAGUGAAAUUUUGUGUAUUUUAUGUUAUUUUGAAAUAAGAACUAAAUUGAGAAAAAUGCGAAAUGUUAGGGGCUAAAAUGAAAAUUUCCAUUUAUAUGUUCUUGAAUGGAAAUUGAAUGAAAUGUUGAAUAAUUAAGUUAAUUUUGAUAUUAAUUAGAUUGGAAAAAAGUAGAAAUAGGAUUUGGAUCGGGAAAAUCAGAAGUUAUCGAUUAGUCAUUCCGGUCCGUUCACGUCCGUACGAGGUAAGUUCAUAAGUAAAUAAAUGCUAAUAAAUUUGAAUGUAUAUAUGUUAUAUGUGUUGAAUUGAUCUUUAAUAAAUAUAUGUGUAUAUGCCGAAUUGAAUUUAGAGUUGGAGAACUAGUUACGAGCUUGAAUCGAUAGAAUUACGACGUCCGAAAAGCCCCCUACGAACCAUAGGAAUAGUUAGGAUACAUAUGACAUAACAUAGGAUUCCGAUAUGUGUUAUCGUGUAAGACUAAGUCUUGGACGUUGGCAUCGGUUUGAAAUUUAUGUGUAAGACUAUGUUUGGGACAUCGGCAUCAUAUUUGAUUUUGUGUAAGACCCUGUCUGAGAUAGUGACAUCGAUAUUAAUUACAUGUAAGACCACGUCUGGGACGUUGGCAUUGUACGAGUUUUUUUUAGCUAUCCAAGUAUCCUAUUUGAUUCCGAACGGUUCAACGGGCAUUCUGAGAAAUAAAUGAGUAUAUGAAUGUGCAUCUGAAUCAGGUAUGUUGUGAUGAAUAUGAAUUUGAGCAAUGAACGUGAGUAUGAUUAUGAUCAUUCGUUAUAUAAUUUAUGUGAAAAUGAGAUGUGAAUAUUAGCAAGGGAACUAUGAACAAAUUAAUCAUAUAAGAAAUGUAGAAUUGUAAUUGUGUUUUUGCCAUAUAUGAUUUAGGUACAAAUGAUUUGUAUAUGAAAUUUUGAUAUGAAAUGUGAGUAUGAUUAAAAUGAUGAUAUAUAUGAAAUAUAUGAUAAUGAAUGAUGUGUUAUAUAUGCUCGUGGAAAGGGAGGCAUUUGAAAGGAUUCUUUUUUUUUUUUUUUUAAGAGAAGAGUGAAAAAUGAAAAAUUUUAACAAAUUUUUGGCUUUUAUAGCCUAAAUGAAACGGCGCCGUUUUAGCCCCCAUGACCCGCGCGCGAUCCGACCCGCUCCAGGGGUGAUCCGCGUGUUUUCAUGAAAUGGGUUAUUUGUGUGCGCAAUCCUUCCUCUUUGCGGUGCAUUGCAAUUCGGCCCUUUUUCAUUAUUUUCUUUUAUUUUUAAUUUAUCCCCAUAAUUUUGUUUUCGUUUUAAUUUGGUCCAUUUCAGCUCAGCAUUUUGGGGGCUUUGGUUUAUUUACCCUGUUAGCCCUUGCCUUGUCAGCGCGCGUUGCAAUUUGGUCCUUCCCGAUUUUUUUACUCUGAUUUUGCCUAAUAUUUUCGUUUUUAUUUCGAUUUAGUCCAUAUUUUAGCAAUUUUAUUAUUUAGUUGUUAUUAUUGUUAUUAUUAUUAUUAGUAUUAUUAGUAUUUCUAUUAUUAUUUAUAUUAUUGUUACUUAUUAUAUUAUUAUCAUAUGAUAGUUUAAAUAUACGUACAUGUAUAAUAUUAUUAUUAUUAUUAUUAUUUCCUUUUUAGACUUAUUUAAUAUAUAUAUAUAAAUACCUUUUUAUAUGUAUAUAUAUAUAAGUUUUUUUUCCUUUCUGUUUCUCACGAAUAUAUAUGUAUAUUUAUAUAUAUAUAUUAUAUGGUUUCUUUUAUAUCUAUUUAUAUAUAUAUAUUUAUUUAUCUUAUUUUAUUUUUUAUAUAUCUCACAUAUACAUUUUUUAUAUAUAUUUUUUAUGUAUAUAUUUUUUUAAUAUUUAUAUGAAUUUACGCAUCUUAUUUAUAUGUUACGGCUUAUUAUUCCGCAUGUUAUCAAUUUGUUCUUUUUAUUUAUUUUAGUUAUCAUUGCCCGUAUUAUUUUUAUACUUUCGUAUUCGUUAUGAUAUUGCCAUGUAUAUCAACAAUGUAAUUUGCUUUCACAUUUUUACUACGAUUUUCAUGUUUUAUUUUACUCGAUAUAACAAAAUUUGUUUUGAAUAAAUAAUAUUUCGUGUUUAGAUUCGAGAGGAUCGUACCCUAACUUAUUGGGUUUCGAUUUUCACGAUAAAUCUAAAUGCACAAAUCUUUUCAAACUCAAAUUUUAAACGAUCUCGGGAUUUUAAAAAGAAUCGCGUCCUAACUUACUGGUCGUGAUCUCAUUUUUAAAUCCGAGAUGGCUAAAAUAUCUUUUAAAUAAGUAAAUUUUAGUAUUUUUCAUUCGCGUAUCGAGAAUUCGAGACAUUGUGUCCUAACUUACUGGAUAUGGUACUCUUUCUCGAAUAACGUGAAAUAUGUUUCUUUUCCCAAAAAUUUUCAUUUUAAUACAAUGAUCGUAUUUUUAAUUUUUCCAAGUUCUCAAUUUUCGACAUCAAGACAUUAGUUAAUCAACUAGGUACCAAUUUUUGGGCGUUACGAGGGUGCUAAUCCUUCCUCGUAUGUAACCGACUCCCGAACCCGUUUUCUAAAUUUCGUGGACCAAAACCGUUGUUUUAAUAAAAUCAAUUUGUUUAUUAAAAACAACCACUUUUCACGGUGAUCCGAUCACACCUCAAAAAGGAUUGGUGGUGACUCCCGUUUUUGUUUUCAAAAUCCAAGUCGACCCCGUUUUCAAUCAAAAAAAUGGUGUCAACACCAAAGAUAUUUGGCACAAACGAUAUGGACAUCUGAGUUACAAACAUUUGGCAUUAUUGCAUAGCAAAAAAUUGAGGGCUUUUUACACCCUUAAACCUUUUAUAAAUGAUUUUUGAUUUUUUGUAAUUUUAUAUAUAAAAUUUUGAUUUGCUCAAAUUCUCAUAAAUUAUUAACAUAACAUCAUUUUAUAUUUAUAUAUUACAUGCAUAAAUAAUUAAAUUUAUUCAAUAGAAAAAUAAAUUACUGUAUUUAUUUUUUAAAAUUUAUAUAAUUAAAUAAAAAUAUAUAGAUACCUCCUUUACUAUACACAAAUUUUCAAUUAGAAGAAAAAGGCUUAGAGUUUUGGAAAUUUUAAUCAGAAAUUUUCUGAUUGGAAAAACAUAAAGGGAGAGGGUGACGGAAAUAAUUAUAGGAAUUCUCAUUUAUUCCUUUCCAACCCGGCCCCUUUAUUUAACACAUCCAUCCACACAAGAAAACCUCCUAAAAGUUCUGCAAAAAUACACAAACAAAGCUACAAAAAACUCAUACACAAGAUCAAAACCCAAACCAAUUUGCAGAAAGGUAUUAGUUUUAAAUAAAAGUCAUGUCACUUUUUAAUGUCUAAAAUUCAAGCAUAUUCAAAUAUUCAUCAUUUUAUUUUCCAAAACUCGAAGCAUAAUGGAGGAGCCUUGAAUAAAGGGUGUAUCAUCGGGCAUGUAAGCACAAUUCUUUUCUUUUUGAAAAGAUGCAAUCUCUCAUGCCUAAAAUUUAACCGGGAAAAUAUUGGAAUGAAAAAGGAAAAAAAGAAUGACAUGAACAAAUAUUAAUAAUAACAUCUUUAAAAAUCAUUAAAAAUGACUUCCAAAAUGAUCUUAAAUAAACUGGCAUCCAAAUUAAUUUAUAUCUAAAUAAUUAUUUGUCCAGAUUCAUUUGGGAUAUAAUUUAAAAUAUUAUAAAAUAUUAUUAAAAAUAUAAGUAAACUUUAUAAUAACUAUUAAUGCUUAUUUAAAAAAAAAAUUCAAACAAGAAAUACAACAAUAUUCAUAUUUGGUUAAAGUAACAUAUAUAGAGAAUCUUUGUACCUCAGGUUAGAUCGCGUUUAUACCUCAGGUUAGAUUAAGUUGUUAUAAAAUUAAAGAAAAAAAUAUAGAUAUCCUACUUGUUAGUAAAUUAAGUUGUUCAUGUUAAUUUUCUUCUACGUGACACAAGUUGUGUCACAAUUUUUGUGAAUUAAUUUGAUGGUCAGGAUACAAAUUCUCUCAGGUGUGGCCUGAGUUCGAAUUAAGUUAAUCGUGUUGUUAACUUGUAAUUCAAAAAAAAAUCUAGAAGAAAAUAAAAGAGUUGUUACAUUGACAUAUUACAAAGGGGCGUUACAAAAUUGAGAGCACCGCAUUAUGCAUAAUCGACCUAGACUAAGGAAUAGCCAACAUCCUAUUAAUGCAACAAAGUAGCUUAAGUCAAUACUAGUGAAGAAGCCAUUACUAGUAUAAACAAAACUUGCAAAUAAACAAAAGCAUACAAUAAAAAUAGUUCCUUUCCAAAAUUCAUCAUAUAAAGUAAAGAAUAUCGCCAAUCCUUGACCUACGCCCAUACCUAGUGCUGUUAUAGAAAUAAUAUUAUGAAAAUAAUUGUUAUAGAAAGAAAGGAAUAUCCAACAUCCCACUAUUAAAACACUAACUUUUGACACCCGAUUUACGAAACACAUGGACACCAUUAAAAUGAAAAGAAUUCCUGAAAAUAUAUUAAGAGUUCUAAUUGUUAUAUCGGUGGGGGCUAUGCAAGAUAUUGAUUUAUCGAAGGACACUGCAAAAAACGCUAAUAGUACUUGAAGUGCAGUCCUAAAAUUACGGGGAAAAGUUUUGAGUAGAGCUAAUGUUAGGAAUAAUGUUACGAGGAACACAAGGUAGGUUGGAAUACAGAAGAAAAAAAAUUCCGAUUGACCCAUGACUGAUGACCCUAGUACCCGUGCAUCAUAUGAUCCUUUCGACUUUGAGGUAUUUUCACCUUGCCAAACACCACCAGGUGGGCUUAGAGUGGCUUGGUAGGUUGCAGUUAGAAGCAGUCCUAAAAUGACUAGCAAGGCAUUGCGGUCAUCGGCUGAUAUAUUGUCCAUAUUUUGAAAUAUUAGCAGUGAUGCUUUUGUCACAUACUUGACAACAUGUUUCUCCAACUUAUGUUUAAGGUUUGAAAUUACUGGAAUAAAGAACCCUUGCAGAAUAGCAAUGUUUUCUCUGAUAUUAUGUUGUUGUGCAACAGCCAGUGCGGUCAACCCAACGUGAUUGGUAGCAUGCUUAUCAGCCUUGCAAUUUAAUAGUACUUUAAGCAUCUGUUCAAUUGAUAGUUUAGGAUAUAAAAAGGAUAGAAUCAAUUAAUCAUGUCUAUGAAGUAAAAACGAAAAAAGAAUCUAUGUAAUAUGAAUUACUAUAGAAGCAGUUGAGUCGAACCUUGGGUUGAUUAUGGAUAGCGGCUAUGUGAAGUGCAGUGUUUCCAUCUUUGUCUUUCCGGUUCAGCACUUCCCGAGAAUAGUCUUUCCUCUUAAGCGUUGGAAUUAGGAGUUGGAGAACGUCCAGUCUAUUGUUUUGGAUUGCAAUAUGCAAAGCAGUGCGAUUCUCAAUUGUAACAUCUUGGAUACAAUCAGGAGAAGCUUCCAGAAACGUAUCCAACAGACCAAGCUGGUUUCCAACUUUACAUAAGUAGUGCAAUGGAGUCUUACCUUUCUUUCCUCUGACGCGAAUAAGUUGUUUAUCAAUCUCCAAGAAGCGGAGUGCCAUCUCUUUAUGCCCUUUUCUAACCGCAAUGUGAAGUGGGCUCAAACCUUGGUGGUUCAGCUUUCGAGAAAAUGAUGGCUUUAAGUUCAUCAUCUCCAUUGCAAACUCGAUGCACCCUUCUUCUGCAGCUAUAUGUAAUGGAGUGUCAAUAAACUCCACCUCAUCAACACGCCUCAAAACAUUUCCAUUUCUUUGAAUUACUCUAUACAAUUCGUUAACCUUUCCAGUACGAGCGGCCUUUCUUAAAUUUUCAUCCAUGUGAGGAAGACUAAAAAUUGAAAGGUUGAAAGGGUUUAAGGUCACUUAAAACAAUUUAUUCAAAGAGAAAGAGGGUUUUUUUUUUUAAUAGAAAGAGAAUUAAAGGCAGACAAAUGCGUGUAUAUUUAUGGUCUUGAUUUUUGGGGUUUCGCCUUUAGUAGAGGAUUGUUGUAAAUAUUUUUGUUAUGACUUUCUAUUUUAAAGUUAAGAAAUGCUUUCUUCCAUUGACUUCACUUCCAAAUUUAUUUUUUGCUUUGUUUAUAUAUUCAUACUCAAGAUUCCAAUUGCUACUUUAAAUGGCAGCCACUCAUGAGAACAAGAUAACAUUAAUUUCAUGAAAAAUGCAUCAAAGAAAAUUAUUCGUAUUCUUACCAAAUGAGAAUUGAUUGUAUGAAAAAUUCCAUUUAGUUCCCUUAGAAUUUUAAUCCUUUAAAAAUUAAAAGAUAUAUGCUGUUAAAAUGAUAAAAUUACAUUUUUACUAUCGUAAAAAUAUACAAUUUAAUUUCGACUCCCAUAAAAAAAAUUUAGUUUCACCCUUGAGUCCAAUGCGCAAUGUGUUAUAAAUGGAAAUAUGACAUAAUUGUUAAUAACUCAAAAUUUGUCAUGUUAAAUCACCGAGAAUAAAUUAAUAAUAAAACAAAAAGUAGAAGCGUACAUGAAUCCAUUAAAAUCUUGAAAUUUUAUUGUUUUGAUCUUUCAAAUUAACACACAAAUAUUUUAGAAAAGGUGACUCUUCUUUCUGAAUAAAUCAAUCUUUUUAUUUCUUUAAACGUGAAGAAUUGGAUCAAAAUUAAAGUUUCGUGUAUGCCUUUAAACUACAAUCAAAGUUUCAUGUAUAUAAUGUAUAAAAUUAAAGUUUUUGUAUCAAUUUGCAUAUCUAAUCAAUGUUCAUGUACAGUUUUGAAAUUUAUCACUUUUAAUAAUUUUGAAUGUGUAUUUAAUAAUUUUGAUUUUUUAAUUCUAAAAAUAUGGUUUAAGUAAGUUUAGAAUUAAAAAAAAGAAGAAGAAGAAGAAAUUUUUGGGUAUCUUUAGGAAUUUUAGAGACCAUAAUGUGUUUUAUUUAUAUUUUUUAAAUUCUUUUAAAAAUAUUAGUUAACUAUACUUUUCAACCUCUUAAUCUCAAAUGUGGAGUUAAAAAAAUUCUAUUAUCUAUAUAUCAAAUAAUUAUCUUUAGAAUAAAAUGUAUUUAUAUGAAAUUUUUUAGAGACCAUAAUGUAUUUUAGGGUCUUUUAGAUAAUUUUAGAAUUUUAUGAAAAAACUUAACAACUUUUUGGUAUUUUAGGGUCUCAAAUGAAUAUUUGAAUGUCUAACUUUGACAGAUCAUUUAUUUUUAAUAAACUUGAGCUUUUUCCAUUUCUUUUUCUAACUUUAUAUGUUAUUAUAGAGUUUAAUUUAGAACCCAUUAAAACUUUGGGGAUGAUAUCUACCCAUACUUAUUUUAAGUAAUUUAUUGAUUUAAUACCCGAACACUAAAUAAUAAAUAAAUUUAUUAAAAUGUCCUCUUAUAUACAAAAAAAAAAAUUAUAUUUAAUGGGGAUAUCUUUAUCUUUUUAUAUGAUAAAUAAAAAAAUUGAUAAUAAUAAUGGUACAUAAUAAACAUUUAAUUUUACUACAUCAAUUUACUUUUAUAUGAAUUUUUAAUAAGUAUGUUUGUUAUAUAAUAUUUUUCACUCAUAGUGUAUCAUAAAAUUUUAAAGUAACUCAUAAUAUGAUAUUAAUCUCUAAUGUUAAUCUAAUAUUUAUCCUAAUAUUGUCAUCAGCACCAAGAAGAAGAAGAAGAAGAAAACAGAAACUCUAUCUUAUUACCUAAUCGAAUUUUGAAAAAAUAAAUCUAAAAUAUCAUUUAAAACUCUAAUUAUGUAUUAAGUUAUUGGUAUGUUAAAAUCACGAUAGAAAUGUGAAUUCUGGUUAAAAUAAGUCAACAGUAUUAUUGUAAGUGACUUAAGUUGUUAAUAAUUAAAAUGAAAUGAUGUUUUUUUAUUAAAAUGAAAGUUUAUGAUUUAUUUGAAAGUUGAGUUUAAGUUCAAUGGUUAAUAAUGUAAAUUAUUUAAUAUCCAUUGUAUUUAUUGUCCCUAAAUAAGCAUUACAAACUAAGUUAGUAAUUAUUAAUAUUAAGUUUUGGUUUUUUUUUUCUAUCUUUAAUUUAAUGGCACAUAUGGGAAAAAUAUAAUUUUUAACUUCUUCUAAUUUUUUAAAAAAUUUUAAUAAUUAAAGCAAUAAUAAUAAUAAGAAUAGGGGUCAAAUUGACAAAUAUUUUAAAUAUUGAUGGGUUAAAUUUGUUAUUAUAUCUAGCUUUUUUAAUAGAGUUAAGGGAAAAAUCAAUAGAGGGAUUAAAAAAUGAGCAAAUCAAAAAAUAGAAAGAUCAAUUUUGAGCAAAUAAAGGUAGAGUAACUAAAUCCAUACAAACUGAGAAUCCAGGGACUAUCCUUAAAAUUUAACCUAAAAAUAAAAAGAAUUAAAUACAUAAAUAUUAUUUUAGUAAUUUCUAAACAAAGUUAGCACUUUAAUGUAGUGGUGUUCAAAUUUCGGUUAAAAACGAAUUAAUUGAUCGAACCGAUCUAAUUCGGUUAGUCAGUCGGUUAACUGAUCUAAUUCGGUUGGAGGUCGAUUAAUAAUUUUUUAAAAGUUCGGUUAUUAGUUAAUUCGGGUUGAAAUCGAGUAAUUAACUGAACUUAAUAAUUAAUAAUACAAAUUAUAUGUAGUUUUAAUUUAGUUAAUUCAGUCAAAUAAACAUUAUCAAUCUGUGCCUUUUAUAUAUUUAAUACUUGUUUUAACCAAAAAAUAUAUAUAAUUUUCAAUUAAUUUUUUUAAAAAAAUUUCCCGUAAUUUUUCCUACAAUCAGUAUGCAUAUAAUUUUUUUUUUUAUUUUUUGGAUUUAUUGGUAAAUUAAUCGUUAAUAUAUCCUUUCCUUUCUUUAAUCUUCUCCUAUUUUCUUUUCAUUUUCUUUCCAUUAAUUAUAUUUAUCCAAAUAUAUCCAAAUAUAGGGUUAAUGUAGAAUUUUUUUUAUUUUAAUUUUUACCAUUAUCCAUUAUCGUAAAUAAGGGCCUUCUGUAAUUAAGAAAGUUGAGAAUGGGUUACUCCGCACCUGGUGGAACUGGCUACAAUAAUGAAGGAAAGAGAAAAACAUCAAGGAAUAUCCAAUAGUUGGGAGGCAAUGGCAUGCCCUACACAUACUAUUUACUGUCAGUGGUAAUGGAUCAAUUGCCCACUUUACACGUAUUUUGUUUUCUUCACUUUUUCUUGUCCUGCAUUAUUUGGAUUUGUGAGUAAAACCGAUACACUUACUUGGAGAGAAGUGUAUGAAGUAUCAUCUCUUGAGAGAGCUCAUAAACUCUUCACAAGCAUCACGUAAGGGAAAAUGUAGAAUUUUAGAUUACAUAAUUUUUUUUAUCUUAUCCAUUAUAAAAUUUGGAGUUUGGAGAUUAAGAAAUGUGAAAAAUAAAAUUCUAAUAAUUUCUCUAUUAAAGGUGAGCACAAGUUAUAUAAAAAAGGUAUUGAUUACACAUCCAACAAAAGAGUUAAUAAAAGAUUUUGAAAAUUAAAAAUUAUUAAAAAAAAUUGUGAGCUAUAUUUUUCAGUUUUUAGAUGACGAUCAUCAAAUUCAUGCUUAUCCAUAGGUGGUGUAUGCAGAACGAUAAAGCUAAUCUUGACUGCUAGUCUUUCUUCUUUUUUACUUUUGAAUACUCUUCCCUUGUUGCUUUCAUUGAAAUAAUGUCGGAUUGUACUCUUGAAUACCAUUUAAAUUUUUUUAGUAUAAAUAUUAAAAUUAUAACGAUUUUAGUUAUUUAAUUUGAUCGAGUUAUAUAACUUGUCAAUAUCUUUUAUAGUCAAAAGAAAGUAAAAUAAUAAAGUUUAGUUCAAAAUGAGUGAAGUUAUAAAAUAAAAAAAUCAAUUCAGAAAUAAAAAUUUCUAAUUGAAUUGAUGUCACAAGUCAAUUAGGUAUUAAAAUAAGUAAUAUUAUUUAAAGGUACUUUUUAAACUUUUUAUACAAAAUUAUCAAUAAAAAUAUGAAUAUAAUGAGAUUUGAAGUAAAACUCGUCUACAAAUGAAUUCAAAAUUUUUACUCAAUUCGAUUGAAUAUUCACGCUUAAAUAUUAGGUCUUUUGAAUUUUCAUGUUGGUGAACAUAAAAAGGAGAAGUUAUCCUUUGUGUGUAUGUGUGCUUUAGUGUUUCCUGUAAUUAUGUGGCUAAUUAAGUGCUCUUUAUUUCCUUUGAAAACAAAGUUUGUUUUUAUUUUGAUAGAAAUGAAAAUAAAGAAUAUUGAUAUUUAGAAUGCAAAAAAAUAAAAUAAAAUAUUGUUUGAACAUGUAUAAAUUAAUAUGUACGCAUAUAUAAAAUUUAUAUUGAAUAAUAUUUAAUACCAAGAAAAGUAGAAAAAAAUAUGUUAAAAUAUUAUUUUGGUGAAUCAAAUUUAAUAAUUAAUUUAUAGUUCAUAGUUAUAUACAAUAUGGAUGAUAUAAUAUCUUCUGAAGCCUUCCCUUGGUUGACCAUAAAAGGAGAAGUCAUUGUUUUAUGUUUUUUGGUAUUUAUUUGUGAGCCUUACAAAUUAUAUAUAAUAAUAGACCUUUUGAAGUCAUCCUCUUCUGUGCUUUGUUCCCUUUAAUUCUGUGGCUAAUUAAGUGCUCCUUAUUUCCUUUCAAAACAAAGUUUUCUUUUCCCUUUUAUUUUUUGGUAGAAAUUAAAAUAAAGAUUAUUGUAAUUUAAAAUCCAAUUAAAAUUACUAUUUAUUACGUGUAACAUUUACAUCGAAUAAGUUUUACUACCAAUAAAAAAAUAAAGAUAAUUGCUAAUUUGAAUCUUAACUUAAUCGGUAUUAAUAUGUAGGAAGACAUGGGUUGAAAUAUGUUAAAUAUGAUUAAUAAAGAUAAUUAUUAAAAUUACUAUUUGUUCCCUUCUAUAAUUAAUAAAGUUGUGGUAAAAAUUGGCUACAACAAUGAAGGAGAAAAACACUAAGGAAUAUCCAAUAAUUGGGAGGCAAUGUUAUUUACUGUCAGUGGUGAUGGAUCAAUUGCCUGCAGGUAUUUUGUUUUCUUGGCUUUUUCUUGUUCUGUAUUAUUUGGAUUUGUAAGUAAAAGGAAUACUACUUAUUGAUCCCACUCACUCAAUAAUUUGUUAUAUAUUAUUAAUAAUUCAUAUACUCAAUUAUGUAGUUUAAAUCAAUAAAAGUACGUUCCAUUUUUUUUAAGAAGAAGAAAAUAGCACUAAGCAAUUACAUCAAACCAAUCAAACAUGUGUAAAGACAUUACUUUCGAAUUGAAAAAUUUCUUGUACUAAAUUUGGGAUCUACAAAUAACAACGCAAUUCAUCUAUUAUUCUUAACUGUAUAGUUAAAAUGAAUAAAAACUCUAUUAUUUUAAAAAAUUAUUUACUUAAUGUCAUUUUAGUAAUUAAAUGAAUAUCUAAAGGGUAUUUUAGUCGAUUCAAUUUUUUUUCCUAACCCCGUGCUUUUACAUAUAUUAUAAAUUUUUAAAUUUCAUAAGAUAUAUUUAAAAAAAUAAUGAAAUAUGUAAUAUUUUUUUAAUAAGACUUGCUAAAUUAAAAAAUAUAUAGUCAAUACAACAAAGACAAAUCAACACAACAAUGGCUUUAGGCCCGACAGUAAUAGAAUAUUAUGAUACAUUGACAAUUGAUAUUGUCACAACUCAAGCACGACAUAUCUGGAGUGAUUGCAAACAUUUAAUAUGAUAUGAAAAUUAGCCCUGGAUGGUCCAAAGCGGGGAGAAAAAAUCGACAAAAGAAUAUUAGGGGUAUCGAAAAUGAGAUUAUAUAGAUUUGUUCAUGUCAUGGUAUAAUAUAAAAAAUAUUUGGUAUUGAUAGAUUGUAUAAAAUAAUUGUUUAGAUCAAGAAUCAGAUCAAAGUGGAGUUAAUCGAGAAAAAGUUAAAAUUGUUGAUUAGUCCCUAAAGAAUCAACUUGUUUGGUGUUUUGAUUAGGUAAGUUCAUAUGAUAUUUAUUUACUUAGGUUGUUAUGUUUUUUUUUAAUUUUUAUAUGCAUGUUUGACUGUGAAUUAAUUAGUUGUGAAUUGUUAUGAAAGACUAGAAUUGAAUUGAAUUGAAAUGUGACCUUUUUAUGUGUAAAAGAUGUCUGUGUUAACUUAGUAAAUGUUAGGAUAUGAUUGACAUGGCAAUAGGAUCUUGUGCAUGCUUCUACGAGAUUUAUUCAAAUGUUAUUGAUGUUCUCGAGGCUAUGGUGACAGCUUUGAAGGAAGAUAUCGAUGAGCUUAAGGGGGAGCUCAAGACUUUCAAGGCUGCCUUGAGUAAUGAAAUGUUGGCUUUAAAGUCGAAGCAACAAGCAAUGGAUGUGACCAAACCGAAAGCGUUUAAGGGGGCAAGGUCCACAAGUGAAGUGAACAACUUUCUUUGGGCCAUAGAGUAAUACUUCCGUGUGAUGAGCAUCGAGGACAAUGCCAUAAAGGUAAAUACUGUUGCUAUGUAUUUUACUGACGUUGCUUUGUUAUAAUGGUGACGUAGGUCCACAGAUGUGAGAUGCGGUGGGAUUGAGAUUGGGACUUGGGAGGAGUUCUAAAAUGAGUUCAAAGCACAAUUUUAUCCAGAGUAUGCCGAGGAUGAGGCUUGGGCAAAGUUGUGUCGGCUUACGCAACGAGGAACAGUUAGGGAGUAUGUGUGGGAGUUUAGUAAACCCAUACUACCCAUACUCCAGAUUUCUGAUUUAAGUGAGAAGGAAGCAUUUUCUCCUUCACGGAUAGGUUGAAAUUAUGGCCAAAGCAAGAGUUACAACGUCGAGGAGUUCAAGAACUUACCAACGCCAUGAUGGCAGCGGAGUCCUUAGUGGAACAUGUUCCGAGAAGAGACAGGUUUGAAUCUUUCAAGCCCAAUGGGAGAGGCAAUGGUAGGAACCAUGAGGUAGAUGAAAAGAGAUAUAGUGAUGAUGGCAAUAGUAGUAGUAAAAACGGUGGUAAUAGAAAAUCACGAAAUAGGAAGUGGAAACCUAAUAGCCCAAAUAAAAAGAGGAGAAAGUUGAGAUGCUAACUUUGUAAAUGACCACAUAUGAAUAAGGACUACCUAAAGGUAUCUUCGUUUUUGGCUAUCAAGAAGAAUGAUGAGCCGGAGGUAGCAAAAUCUAUUAAGAAAAAAACAUCGAAGGUCAAUUCGAUGGUGCUCAUUCCUAAGAAAAGGGAUGGUAGAGAAGGGUUGAUGUUCGUAGACAUCAACAUUGCAGGUCAGAAGAGGACUCCUCUUAUUGAUACGGAAGCAUUGGACUUGUUCAUAUCGAAAAAGGCUGUGAAGAAACUUGGUCUCUCGAUUAGAAAAUCGAAUAAAAAGACCAAGAUGGUAAAUUCCAAGGAUGCCUCAACUAUGGGAGUAGUUUGUAAUGUGGAGCUACAAAUCGACGAAUGGAAAGGUAAUGAAGAAUUUGAGGCAAUUGAUUAUUAUGCCGGUGCAUCGUGAUAUGAAAGUUGGGAAAAAGGUAUUGUCGUCAAUCCAACUAGUUGAGGAUGUUUUGUAUGGAAGGAACAUUGACUUGAUAAAACAAAAUUUUACAAAAGCCACUUUGGAAGUGUUAGUGGCGCAAGAGAUCGAUAUGAAGCCUGUAGUGUCAAUUGUGGAGCUGACACCUUUAGGAAAGAUGGGUUGUGCAUCGGGCUUCGAGGAAAAAUGAAUGAUACAGAAACAGAAAGGAUGAGUAAAUGCUGUGAGUAAGGUACAUUGCGAACACUUUGAUAGUGUUUUGAAUUCUGACUUGUUGGCUUACCAAAAUUGUAAGAGCCCAUUAAAAGUUCAUAAGCAAAGAGGCCGUUGGAUUGUAGGCGAUACGAAGCUAAGAUGUGAGAAUAAAAAAGAUUCAAAAGGGAGCAAAUUAAAAUUGGGGCAAAUAAAAGCGGAAACUUCUUGCCAACGAGAUGUACCAAUGAGUGCAACGGUUCAAGUUAAGAGGUGACGGAAGAAGCCAAGACACAACGAGGGUGUUGUGAGAAUGGGUAGGGGAGAAUGUCACGGGCCAAAGUGUGAAACCUAUGACCAUGGCACAAGAUGUACCCCAUGGAGGUCUAUUGAUAAGAUGUGGAUCAUUUAACCCACAAGAACUGGCCAGAUUUAAAGAACUAUUGGAGAAGCUUAUUAGAUUGAAGCCUGGUUGGCCUAAUAAAGAAGAUAUGGCAAUAUAGGCUAUAUUUAGUAAAUAUGGGAAUCAUAUAUUGUAGAUCUGAUUUGAUAUGAUGUAAUCUUGUAAAUCCCUAAAAUCAAGGGAUAGACUAAUCUCGUCUGUCGAUGUAAUUUGGUCUUGAUUGUAAAUUUUGGGGGAGCUUAACAAUAAAUAGAGAAUUUCCCCCUCACUUGUAAAUCAUCCAUUGUUUCACUAUUCUUAAGAGUAAUAGAAUAUUGAAAGCAUUUACUCAAACACCUCUCGUGCAUUUUUUUUGUGGCUUUCUGUCGUUCUUUGCGACUUUUUGGCAUAAAUUGUUUCAGCUAUACAAAUUGGUGCCUUGGAGGAAUUUUAAAGGAAUCCUCACUUGUGUUUAGGCUAACUUAGGCGAGUUUGGACAAAUGGAUUGCCUAAAGCUGCACGAAUUGUGAGACGAAAGAUCUAGCCCAGUGACACUUGGACAUAGUAUUAAAUUAGUAGUCAAUUUAGGACAUUGGAGUCCAAUCUGCCUUUCAAGGUCAAGUCCAACUCUGUCUCAUUUGUGUUUUUACAAAUGAUCUAGUUGUUUUUUGACAUGCAGAUAUUGAACAGGCUAGGAUAAUUGUGUCAAUAUUGGAGUGGUUCUGAAUUAUUCAAGCCAUAAAAUCAAUAAGAGGAAGUCAAAUGUUUUUUUUUCUUUAGAGGGUUGAAGAUGAGAUAAAAGAUCGAAUUUGUGAGGUACAUGGGUUUUAAAGAGUAUCAGACUUUGGAACUUAUUUGGGUGUGCCCUUAUUUCAUUGAAGAGUAACUAACAGCUCCUUGAGACUUGUGGUGGAUAAGGUUCAAGCUAAGCUGCAAUGCUGGGAUGUAACACCCCUUACCCGUGUUCCUUACCGAAACAGAGUAUGAGGUAUUAUUAGAACUCAAACACUUAUAUUUUUUUUAUAAAAAUUUCAGCAACAUUUCUGCUUAUUUUUACAUAAAACCCCCUGCAAAUUUCCAAAGAUAAUUUCAAACAACUUCAAUAUUUCCAACCAAUUACAGUUAUACGUUCAGGCAUAAUUUAUUCAUUAAUAAACACCAACAUAUUAAAUCGAACAAUACUAUAUAUAUACAUAUUUAUACCACAUUACAUAAAGUCAUCUAUACUUGCCAUAUUUCAAAAGUGUUAAUGCCAAAAUACCAAAAAGUUGAUGAUAGUAUGGAUGAUUUCCUGACUUCGUCCAAGUUCUGAGCUGGCUGAUGUCACUAUAAUCAGGGAAAAUAAACACGAGUAAGCAUAUAGCUUAGUAAGUAAACAUAUGAAAAAUAAAUAAAUUCCUCACAUGAUUACAAAGUAACAUAAUUUUAACCACACAUAAAUUUCAUUGUUUGCUCAACUUCCAGCAAGCUAUUUUUCUGCGUCACCAUCACCAAUUUAUUUUUAUCUAGAGCUAAAGGGAUCAAAAUUAAGUUAUGUAAAUUUUUACAAAAACUAGACUCACAUACCUUUUUACCAUAAAAUUUUUAGAAUUUUUUAUUUAGCCAAUUAGUACAGUUUAUUCUUUAAACCUUCCCCUGUUUCAUUGCCCGACAGUUCUGACCUCUCCUUACUUAAAUUUACUUAUCUCUCUGUAAAAAAUUUAAAAAAUGUUCUUGUUUCUUUAUCUUAAAAAUAUACUCAUUAAGGAAUUCAAGCAUGUAAAUUUCAAGCCAUAAUUAUUUUUGUACAAUUUUUGGUGAUUUUCCAAAGAUGGAAUAGGGGAUUUCGAAAUCAAUCUAACUCUAUCUCAAUAAAAUUUAAAUAUCCCCAAAUAUACAAUCCUUUGAUUGCUCUAUUUCUUUCAUAUGAAAAUAGACUCAUUCAGCUUCAAUUUCAUAUAUUACUCAGCCUCUAAUUCAUUUUCCACCAUUUACGGUGAUUUUUCAAAAUUUCCCAACUGUUGUUAUACAAAACUGUUUUACAUUUAAAUUUGCUCUUUUGAAGUUUUGGUAUUUCCUUUCACCUUACACAUGGGAUGAUUAAAUAUUGAACCCAAUAUUCCUCACAUAACCUUGUCCACCAUAUAUAAAUAUUCACCUUUCCAAUUUUCCCGUUGAACACUCGGAAUAUUAUCCGUUAUCGGUGGAUUCAGCACUUAGAAACCACCAGUGAUUCGGGAAAUCAGCACUUAGCAACCCCUUUCACAUUCAAAAAUACGGUGGAAUCAGCACUUAGCAACCCCUUUCACAUUUACGAUACGGUGGGAUCAGCACUUAGCAACCACCAAUAAUUCAGGGAAUCAGCACUUAGCAACCCCCUUCACAUUUAAAAUACGGUGGAAUCAGCACUUAGCAACCACCAAUGAUUCGGGGAAUCAGUACUUAGCAACCCCCUUUAUAUUCAAUGUACUCCGGCCUCUUCCGAGUGUUCAACUGAAAACCGUGUUUUUCAACACUUUACCACCUUUCCCAACUUAACCACAUUUUUAGGAUCUUUGUCAAGUAAUUAUUUUAUAUUCAAUUAAAUCUCAACAAAUAUUAUCUAAUAUCAAAAUAAUGCAUUAAUUCACAUGUUUACUUACCUCGGUGCAAAAUAUCGUAAUUUUGUAAUUUACUCCACUACCUUCUCUUUUCCCCGUUUGAGGUAGUCUUCUCGUCUUUCUUGAUUAUGAGCUUGAGAAAGUGAAGAAACCCUAGCUAUGAUGUCUUCCAAGUUUUGGCAACAACUUAAUGAAGAUGUACACCAUUUUUCCAUCUUUUUCCCAUUUUAAUUCUAUUUAUUUACUAAUGACUAAAAUGCCCCCAUUUAAAAAAAUCUAUUUCACCCAUUUCUUAUGUCUAUUUUUGUCCAUCAAUUAACUAAUGGUCUAAUUAACACAUAAGGACCCCCAAUUUAUAAUUUCAUAACAAUUAGACACUUCUAACAUGUAGAACUCAACUUUUGCACUUUUUACAAUUUAGUCCUUUUGACUAAAUUAAGUGCCCAAACGUCGAAAUUUUCACGAAAUAUUUUCGUGAAAUUGUAUACCAUAAAAAUAUAAUAAUAAUUAUAUUUUCCCUCGUCGGAUUUGUGGUCCCGAAACCACUGUUUCGAUUAAGCCUAAAAUCGGGCUGUUAUAUGGGAAGCUAGACAAUUAAUCUUUAGCAAGAAGAGUUACUCUAGCUCAAUUGGUUCUACUUUAAAUUCCCAGCUAUUUCUUACAGUCCAUGAUGAUUUUGCAAAAGAUUUGUGAAGAGAUUGAACGCAUGGUUCAAAGCUUUAUUUGGGGUUCCUCUAGCGAAGAGAAGAAGUUGGCCCUAGUAAUUUGGAAAUCUAUUUAUCAACCUCACUCUUGUGGUGGCAUUGGGUUAACAUAAAUGAGGGAUCAAAACACUUCAUUUAUGUUUAAAUUGUGCUUUAACUUAGCUUCUAAUUCCUCUGCCUUUUAGGUAUGUGUACUUUGAUCUAAGAAUGGGAUGAAUAAGGACUUGCCAGAUGAUAUUUAUAAGGAUAGAUGUUCUUUCUUAUGGAAGGGGAUAUCUAAAGUUUGGCCUCUAUUACAAGAAAGUCUUUUCUAGUCAAUAAGGCAAUGGGAAUAAGAUUAUGUGCUGGUGCGAUCAUUGGAUUCUAGGUGUUUGACCUCUGAUUAAUCAAAUUCCUUCUCAUUUUAAUCUGGAUUUGGAGUGCACUCUAAAGGAGUUGGUAGUAGAGGAUAGGUCGUGGAACCUUGAUAUUUUUAGAUUGUAGAUUCCAAUGAAAAGUAUUAAAUUCAUAGUUAGUAUUCCUCCUCCACAUGAUUCAGCGAGACUUGACAAGAUUGCUUGGAUGGGCACCCCCAAUAGGUUCUUUUACUCUAAAAAACGCUUAAAGGAAAUUAAGCAAUAGAUCAUGGGAUCCUUAUAAUGGUUAUUGGAAUAUUUCAUGGAAAUUCAAGGGAUCUCAAAGAGUUAGAUUCUUUAUCUGGCUUGUUUUCAAGCAGAGGUUACUCACUAACAUGGAAUGAGUGAGACAUGGUAUUGGGUCGACUGGCUCGUGUGCCUUAUGUGGACAUAACUCAAAAUAUAUAUUACAUGCCAUCAAAGAGUGUGCGCUUGCAAAGAAGGUGUAGAGAUAGAUAAUAUAACCGGAUAAGAGAUGAGUUUUUCUCAAGCAACUUGAAUGAGUGGCUUGAAACAAAUUUGCAAAAUCAUCACAGUUGAGGGGUGGGUGAUGUGGAAUGGAGAAGUCAAUUUGAUCUCAUUGUAUGGUGCAUUUGGAAAAAUAGAAAUAUUGUUGUCUUCCAGGGAAAGUAAUACAGUGCAUGCAAAACUGCAAAAAUCUCAUAUAGUUGGGCUAAGCAAUUUGUCUCUUUUCAUAAUGGUGGAUAGGCCAAGAGGCAAAAAGCCAGUUCAGUAAUCCCUUGGAAGGAUAGUUGGGUUCAGUUAAAUGUUGAUGGUGUUGUAAAUGUGGAAUCCGGUUCUGCUGCAUCUAGCGAAAUCUUAAAUGAUCAAGAAGGUAAGUGGAUUUUAGGCUAUAAGAGGUACUUGGGAAACUAUUCAGUUCUUGAGGCUGAACUUUGGAGAAUUUUAGAUGGUCUGAAUGCUUUGCUAAGUAGAAAGUUUGAUAAAUUCCUGAUUCAAACUGAUAGUAUAGAAGCUGUGAAGGCUCCUCAAAUAUUCACCAAGACAUCUUUGAACUCUGCAUUGAUCAGGCGGAUUCAACAACUUUUGUUGAAGGUUGGGAAUUGGCUUCUAUGAUAUGUGCUAGAGAAAGCAACAAGGACACGGAUUGCAUAGCUAAAAUGGCUUUUGAUAGAGUAGAUGGCUUGUUUUUUAUGGAAGAACCUCCAAGGGGAAUAUCCAAUACCUUAAGUUAAUGUAGUUUGCUUAUUUUUAUUCACAAAAAAAAAAAAGAUAGCAACAAAACGACUAGAAUAAAAUAAAAAAUAUUUUACAUUGAAAUAUUACAAACGGGUGUUACAAAAUUGAGUGCACUGCAUUAUGCAUAAUCGACCUAGACUAAGAAAUUGCCAGCAUCCCAUUAAUGCAACAAGGUAUUUGAAGUCAAUACUAGUACCAAAGAAAACACAAACACUUACAAAUAAACAAUAGCAUACAAUUAAAAUGGUUCCUUUACAGAAUUCAUCAUAUAAAAUAAGGAAUAACAACAAUCCUUGACCUACACCCAUACCUAUUUCACUUCUUCCUAGACAUAAAUAUAAAAUUGAAGGGAGUAUCCAACAUCCCACUAUUGAAACACUAAUUUUUGACACCCGACAUACGAUACACAUGGACACCAUUAAAAGGAAAAGAAUUCCUGAAAAUAUAUUAAGAAUUACAUAUGUUAAAUUGGUGGGAGCUAUGUCAGAUAUUGAUUCAUCGAAGGACACUGCAAGAAACGCUAAUAGUACUUGAAGUGCAGUCCUAAAACCAUGGGGAAAAGUUUUGAGUAGAGCUAGUGUUAGGAAUAAUGUUACGAGGAACACAAGGUAGGUUAGAAUAUAGAAGAGAAGAAAAUCCAUUUGACCCAUGACUGAUUUACCUAGUACCAUUUCAUCAUAUGAUCCUUUGGACUUUGAGGUAUUUUCACCUUGCCAAACACCACCAGGUGGGCUUAGAGUGGCUUGGUAGGUUGCAGUUAGAAGCAGUCCUAAAAUGACUAGCAAGGCAUUGCGGUCAUCGGCUGAUAUGUUGUCCAUAUUUUGAAAAAUUAGUAGUGAUGCCUUUGUCACGUACUUGACAACUUGUUCCUCCAACUUACGUUUAAAGUUUGAAACUACUGGAAUAAAGCAGCCUUUCAGAAUAGCAAUGUUUUCUCUGUAAUUAUGUUGUUGUGCAAUUCCCAGUGCGGUCAAACCAACUUGAUUGGUAGCAUGCUUAUCAGCCUUGCAAUUUAAUAGUAGUUUAAGCAUCUGUUCAAUUGAUAGUUUAGGAUAUAAAAAGGCUACAAUCAAUUAAUCAUGUCUUUGAAGUAAAAAAAGAAAAAGAAAAAGAAUCUAUGUAAUAUGAAUUACUAUCGAAGCAGUUGAGUCGAACCUUGGGUUGAUUAUGGAUAGCGGCUAUGUGAAGUGCAGUGUUUCCAUCUUUGUCUUUCCGGUUCACCACUUCCCAAUAAUAGUCUUUCCUCUUAAGCGUUGGAAUUAGGAGUUGGAGAACGUCCAGUCUAUUGUUUUGGAUUGCAAUAUGCAAAGCAGUGCGAUUCUCAAUUGUAACAUCUUGGAGACAAUCAGGAGAAGCUUCCAGAAAUGGAUCCAACAGACCAAGCUGGUUUCCAACUUUACAUAAGUAGUGCAAUGGAGUCUUACCUUUCUUUCCUCUGACACGAACAAGAUGUUUAUCAAUCUCCAAGAAGCGGAGUGCCAUCUCUUUAUGCCCUUUUCUAACUGCAAUGUGAAGUGGGCUCAAACCUUGGUGGUUAAGCUUUCGAGCAAAUGAUGGCUUUAAGUUCAUCAUCUCCAUUGCAAACUCAAUGCACCCUUCUUCUGCAGCUAUAUGUAAUGGAGUCUCGAUAAACUCCACCUCAUCAAAAUGCCUCAAAACAUUUCCAUUUCUUUGAAUUACUGUAUACAAUUCAUUAACCUUUCCUGUACGAGCAGCCUGUCUUAAACUUUCAUCCAUGUGAGGAAGACUAAAAAUUGAAUGGUUGAAAGGGUUUAAGGUCACUUAGAGCAACUUAUUCAAAGAGAGAGUUUUUAUUUUUUUUAAAAAAAGAGUGAGGCAGACAAAUGGUGUAUAUUUAUGGUCUUGAUUUUGAGGUUUCGCCUUUAGUAGAGGAUUAUUGUAAAUAAUUUUGUUAUCAAUGGCUUUUUAUUUCAAGGUUAAGAAAUGCUUUCUUCCAUUGACUUCACUUCCAGAUUGAUCUUUUACUGUGUAUAGGUUCAUAGUCAAAGGUGCAAUUCCUACUAUAAAUUUCCUGAAAAACACGUCGAAGAAAAUUAUUCCUAUUCUUCUCGUUUAUAACUUAAAAUAUAUAUUUAUUCAACUCUUUGAGUUUGAGUUAUUAAUCGUGUUAUUGUUAAGGUUUUUAUUCUAAUCUUAUAAUUCAUCAAAAAAUAUAUAUAUUUAUUCAUAUAUAUUUAUCUAUAUGAAGUUUUUAUUUAAAUUAGUGUCACAAAUUAAUUAGACAUCAACUUAAUUAGGUAAUUAUAAAAGUAUAAGUUCAUUACAAAAUAAUUUGCUAUUUUGAGAGUGUUUUAAUUUUUUAUAAAAAAAACAUAUAUAAUAAAAUUUAAACUUAAAACGCUAUAAAUAUUUCUAUUUUACUAUUUUAAUUAAAAUUUCAUUUCAUUUUUAUAUAAUCUUUUAUAAAUAUAUUUAUUCUAUAUUCUGUUAGUCAAUUUCAUUAGGAUAUCCCAUAAUUUAAUACAUUGUUGCAUAUGAAUGGAUGAAAUAAAUACACGUAAACCUGACGUAAACCUGUGAUCAUGAAAUGAAUACACGAAAACUUUCCAAUUAAGUCACUAAUUCGUUAGUAGAUAUUAAACAUGAUGUAAUUGAUUUUGCCGACAGCAAUCAAAUUUCCUAGUAAAGUCGUUGUGGUUGGUGAAGAACAGCCAUCGGACCAUUCAUUUCAUAAACUUUGAAAAUUCCAAUUAAGUAAAUAAAUUAUUAAAAUAAUAAAAAAUAUUGAUUCACAUUCAAUUGAUUUUUAAUUCUGUUUCUAUUGAUUCUCCAACCAAUUAGUCUUAUAUCUCUCUUUGUAUUGGUACCUUAAUGGCACAAUUCUACUUAAGUAAUUAUAUCUCUAUGUUGAAAAGCGUUAAUUUAUUAAUUGAAGUUUAAACUUGAUAAUUAUUUUCACAUUAAGUGUAAAAGAUAUUUUUUUAGGUAGAGAUGAAGCAAUGCAAAAAAAUUGAAUAAGAUAUUUUGGAGGAAGACAGAGAAAAAGACUAAAACAUCAUUGACUGUCGUACAAUUAAAAAACCUAUAAAGUAACCUUUAAAGAUGGAAAUAAUUUUAAAACACAAAAUUAUAACUUAACCUAAUAACAUCUGUCCCUAAUUCUUUUCAUAAACUUGGAAAUUGUUUUCUUCAUUUUAUAAGAUGUUAAGGUUUUUUAUGGGAGUUUUUUAAAAUUGGAUCAAUGUUGGUACCAAUCAAGUCAUUAAUUUAUGAGUUGAAUUAGUUUGAUUAAAUAAAUUAUUAAAAUAAUAAAAGGAAUUUGAUUCAAUUGACUUUUAAUAUGAUCUAUAUUAAUUUCUGAGUCAAUUAGUUUGUUAUUUCUCUUUGAAUCAGUACCCCAUCCAACUCGGUUUUGUUCAAGUAACCACGUCUCUAUGUUGAAAAGCAUUAAUGCACUAAUCGAAAUCUGAACUUAAUAACUGUUCUCACAUUAAGGUAUAGAAGGUUCUCUCGGUGAAGAGAUGAAACAUUGCAAAAAAUUGAAUAAGAUAUUUUGAAAGAAAGCGAAGAGAAAGACUGAAACAUAUUCAGUAACAUUAAGCAUUGUACAAGUAAAAAAAUAAAGUAAAUAAUUUUAAAACACAAAAUUAUAACUUUAAAAGAAAUUAAAACUCACAAUAAAAUAACAAGAUUAUAAAGUAAACUUUAAAAUGUACUAAUUAAUUAAAUUAAAUUACUUAUUAUAAAAAAUUUAAAGUAAAUUACUAGUGGUAAUUUUUUAAUGUUAGACAUGUUGCAUAUGAUUUUAUAUUUUUAAUUUAUUAAAUAAUAUAUUUUAUAAUUUUAAAUAUAUAUUUAUGCUAAUAAACGAGGAUUAGUUUAAUUUAUACUAAAGAUAAAUUAGUUUGAAAAAAUUAAAAGAAUAAAAUAGCAUUUUAAAAUUAAUGAAAAAAAUGAACUAAUACAUAUACAACUAGUAAAAUAAUAUAUAAAUUUAAAACUAUAUAGGAAAAUAAAUGAAAAACAUAUUUACACUGAAUUAUAGAUUACAUUUAACAAUAACAACUAAAAAAUAUUAUGUAAAUUUAAUUUUUUUUUCAAAAGAAUACACAAAACAUUGUUCAUCUGCACAAAAUAAAUAAUGGAUAAAUAAAAGAAUAAAUUUAAAAUUACUUGCUUCACAUAAUACAGUUACUUUAUAUAAAUUAGUAUUAUUUAAUAUAUGUGCUUUAUUUAAAUUUAUAUAGAGAUCUCACCUUUGUAACUAAAAAAUAAAACACUCACCUCUAAAUUUCCUCUUGAGAAUUUAGGUUGUAAACACAACUUGUUUACUCUCAAUUGCACUCAUACAAUUAGUUCCUCAAUUAAUAAAUAAAGUGCUCUCAAUAUAGUCUCUUUUAAAACCUAUACAAACCUCAACAUAUAUAGAAGUGUUUUGGUUUACUAACAUACUCGAUAUUGAUUACAAUAUAACCCCUUAAAAUCAACAUCUACAAAAUAGAAAAAAAGUAAUAUAUUAAUAAAGUCCAAUAAAGUGUGAUCUGAUGGAGAUGUAGUCUUCAAUGUAAACAACAACUCAAUCCGAAAGAUUCUCUAAACAAAGGGUUGUAAUUGUUCAAUUCAAUCUAAUCUUCACAAUGCAAAGAAUUAGUUCUCAUAAUUAGGCUUCUAUAUCUUCAAAGUAUCAACAUAGUUAAUAGUCUAAAGAUUUUAUGCCAUAGGAUUGUCAACUCCAAAUAUAGCAAGUACAAUUGUAUUAUUGCAAGGAUGGAUGACAAUAGGCACUACCAAGUGCUUCUCAUAAUGCUUCUUUACAAUUUGUCUCAACAAUUUCCCCAUUUGAAAAUUUUUUGAACAAAAUUCAAUUCAAACCAAGAAGUUAACUAGAAUUUCAUGUGAUGAUCUGAUGGUCAAGGGUGUUUACCGUUCCAAGUAUGACUUGGGUUUGAGUCGUGUUAGUCGCGUUUGUUGUCCGCGCUUUCCCUGUUAUUAUAAUUUACUGAAAAAAAAUUUACCAUUUUUUUACAAGCAUAAAUUAUGUUAAUAUUAUGGUUGAACUCACUGCAUAUUAAUUCGAUCUAACCUAAAAACAUUUGUCCAUAAUUUAAUUUUAUUUAUAUAAUACUUAAAACUAUCAUAAUUCCUUCUCUUCUUAAAAAAAGAAAAGGAUAAAUGCGUUUUAAUGUACUAUUGACCAUGCCAGAAAUGGUGUCGUUCCUAAUCCAAGCACGAGCUUUCUCUGGAUCUUCUUCCUCCUCUGGUCCAUAAUCACAGCCGUCCUCCUCUGAAUUGGAGCUUUUUUUUUGGGGGGGGGGGGUGUUACUCGUAAAGCACGUUUAGUUAAGAUUCGUGUGUUACUGUUGAAGUUGUUAAGAAAUGUGUUUUUGUUUUGAAUAUGAUAUAUAUAUGUACAUAUCAGAAAAAAAAAAUUUAGCAUACCCGAGGUCUGUUUCUGAUAGCUGCAACGUGUAAAACAGUGUUGCCUUCGAUGUCUUCCCAACUCAUUGGUUCUUUCUCCCAACGUUGGGCAGCUUCAUGGCGGCUCCUUAUAAGCCACCCCACCAAGACUUGGAAAGCUUCAAACAUGUCUUUUACUGAAAUAUGGAAAACAGUCACGUCUUCAAUAGCCUCGGGAGAAACGUCAAGAAACUUGAACAAAAGAUCAGCAUCUCCGGUCCGAACGCCAUGAUACAGGGGAGUGAGGCCCCACUUCCCUUUGACACGAAUAAGGCCUUCAUCAAACUUGAGGAAUCGAAGCACCGCUUGAAUUCUAUUAUUCUGCAGAGCCAAGUGCAUGGGGGUAAACCCAGCUUGGUAUAGUUUUCUUGCAAACGAUGGCUUUAAGUUGAUCAUCUCCAUCAUAAAAUCAAUAUGCCCUGCAGAGGCUGCCACAUGUAAUGGAGAAUGAAAAAAGGCACAUCAUCAAUACGCUGUAAAACAAAUGGAUAACUCGCAAUAUCUCCGGUUCGUGCAGCCUCUAUCAUCGUCGAAUUCAUAGCUUGGAUAUCUAUUAUUUUAAGUAUUUUAAUUAAAUAAAUUUUAUAUGGUUAAAAUAUCUAUAAGUGUUUGUAUUAUUCGAAAAUUUAAAAUAUAUAUAUUUUUUAAAAAUUUAGUUCUUUUAUUUUAAAUAUUUCAAAAUUUGAGUCAAAUUAUUAUCAUUGUUAAUUUUUAUUUGUUAAAUUUGUUGGUGUUUGAAAAAAAAUCAUUUCUUAUCCAUUAAAACUGCAAGUCAAUUAUUAUGCAUCGGUAAAUCCAUUAAAACUGUUCAGCUCAACAGAUAAGAAAAAACUCCUACAUCCCCAAAUCACUACAUCACACCACAACAUGAUUUAUGCCUAAGGGGAAGUGUUAAAGGCAAUUCUAGUUUCCAUCUACAGCGGCAGUUGCAACUUGAGCCAUUGCAGUAAUUUGUGCUUGUGAUGAAGUUGGUUCAGCAUGCAGCAAACUCAACAGCAUGCAGGCCAUGAAGACCAAGUCAUGCAGGAGCUGCUGGAACGAGCUGAACUAUUCCUAUUUUGUUCAUCUUGUAAUCUUAAGUUAAUGUAAUGUACUUUAGUUCAUUUAGAACUAUGUUAGGUUUAUGAUUGAUGUAAUUUUGAUGACAAUUGAGCUGUUAAGUUAGCUUUGUUUAAGUGUGCAAGCUUAGUUUUUUAAGUUUCAAUGUAUUAGUGGUAGUAGGUGAUGAUUAGGUAUCAUUAUGUAGAUUUUGACAAGCAAAUUGCUUGGUUUAUGUAUUGGCAUUAUGCCAUUGUUCAACCUAUGAAUGAAGUUUUAGUUUGUUCAUCAAUUUCUCCCUUCAUUCUUCUUAGCUUUUCUUCCUUUCUCUUGCUCGAAUUCUUUUGUUUGCUCAACAAGUCUCGAGACUUGCUUAACAAGUCUACACUGAAUCUGUUAGUUUCAGUUACAGCACCAACAAUUGGUAUCUAGAGCCUAUUUCUUAAGGGAUCUGUUACACAAAUCCAUGGCUUCAUCAAGCUUUUCACCAGCUGCACCUCAAGUCUUCAAUGGAGAAGGCUAUCACAUAUGGGUGGUCAAAAUGAAGACCUACCUGCAGGCUUUCGAUCUGUGGGAGGUGGUCAACACUGAUGUUGAACCAGAGCCACUUAGAGCUAAUCCAACAGUGGCUCAGAUCAGGCAGCAUGCUGAUGAAAGGACCAAGAGGCACAAGGCUAUGUCUUGCAUCCAAAACUCAGUGUCUGAUGUGAUUUUCACAAGGAUUAUGGCCUAUGAAUCACCAAAACAGGCCUGGGACAAGUUGCAGGAAGAGUUUCAAGGGACAGAGAGGACAAGGCAGCAACAGUUGUUAAACUUGAGGAGAGAUUUCGAGAAUUUGAAGAUGAAGGAAGAAGAAACUGUCAAGCAAUAUUCUGACAGGAUUAUGGCUGUGGUUAACAGCAUCAGGCUCCUUGGAGAGCAGUUCAAUGAAGCUAGGAUAGUGGAGAAGGUUAUAGCAACUCUGCCUGAGAGGUAUGAGGCAAAAAUCUCAUCUCUCGAGGACUCAAGGGACCUGUCCACCAUCUCCCUGACAGAGUUGAUCAAUGCUCUAUAUGCUCAAGAGCAGAGGAGAGCAAGCAGACUGGAGGAGCACCAAGAAGGUGCCUUUCAGGUAAGAACAAAUACUGCCUACAAAGGCAAGAAGGCCUGGAGAGACAAGCCAAAGGAUGAUGCUGCAAGGAGAGAAGGUCAGACUUGCAAGCACUGCAGAAAGGCUGGUCAUUCAGAAGAAAAAUGCUGGUUUAAUCCAGAUGCUGUGUGUCAGCAUUGUAAGAAAAAAGGUCAUGUUGAGAGAGUCUGUAAGACCAAGGCCAAGUCAAGGCGCAAUCAGUCUCAACAGAUGAAAGCUGAGGCUCGAGUAGCUAAGGAGGACAGUGACCAAGAGGAGCAAGUCUUUACUGUGUCAUGCUCAGCUGCUCAGGAAAGGUCCUCAUCUGGUUGGCUCCUAGACAGUGGAUGCACCAACCACAUGACACCUGAUGCUGCAAUCUUCAAGUCUUUAGACAGAAGCUUUAGAACUAAAGUCAAGAUAGGAAAUGGUCAUUUUAUUCAAGCUGAAGGCAAGGGUGAUGUUCUGAUAUGCACCCUUACAGGUACCAAAGUGAUUUCAAAUGUGCUGUUGGUGCCUGAAAUUGACAGAAACCUGCUCAGCAUAGCUCAGUUGCUGGAAAAAGGUUACUCAGUUGUGUUUAAAGACCACCAAUGCCAAAUCAGUGAUCCAAGUGGAUCCAAACUGAUGGCAGUCCCUAUGGCUGAUAAGAGCUUUGUGGUUGACUGGACAAAAAAGUCAGACAUUGCCUACACAGCCACUUCAGAUGAAUCCAAGCUGUGGCAUCAAAGACUGGGACAUGCCAACUUCAGAUCGAUGGCCCGAAUGAUCAGAGAAGACCUGGCUGAAAAUUUCAUCAACUCAGUGGACCAUGAUGAUGUAUGUGAAGUAUGUCAGCUAGGAAAGCAGGCCAGACUCCCAUUUCCCUCGAAUCAAGCCUGGAGAGCCUCUGAAAAACUCCAACUGGUGCAUACUGAUGUGUGUGGCCCUAUGAAGACUGAGUCAUUAAGUGGAAACAGGUAUUUCAUACUGUUCAUUGAUGAUUUCUCGAGAUAUUAUUGGAUUUACUUCUUAAAACAGAAAUCAGAGGUGGCCACUGUGUUUUGGAAGUUCAAAACUGCUGCUGAGACUGAAACAGGCUGCAAGGUGAAGACCAUAAGGUCUGAUAAUGGGACUGAGUACACCUCAGCUCAGUUCCAAGCCUUUUGUGAUAAGGCAGGCAUCAAACAUCAACUUACCAACACAUAUACACCUCAGCAGAAUGGGGUAAGUGAAAGGAAGAAUAGGAGUUUGAUGGAUAUGGCCAGGUGCUUGAUGAUUCAGAAGAAUCUGCCUAAAGCACUAUGGGCAGAAGCAGUUAACACUGCAACAUACAUUCAAAAUAGACUUCCAACCAAGGCUUUGGAUCAAAAGACCCCAUUCGAGGCCUGGUUUAGCUUCAAGCCAUCACUGACUCAUCUGAAGGUCUUUGGAUGCAUCUGUUAUACACAUAUACCUGCUGUUAAAAGGGACAAAUUGUCUGAAAGGGCUCGACCUGGUGUUUUGGUGGGGUAUAGCACUGUUAAGAAGGGCUAUAGGAUUUUAGAUCCUUCAACAAACAAAGUGUCAGUAAGCAGGGAUGUGGUAUUUGAUGAGAGGUCAUGUUGGAACUGGGAAAGACAUGAACCUGAAGAAGUUUCUGAAGAACUUGCAGCAGACCAAGCUGAGCCAGACCAAAAUGUCCCUGAAAUGGAUAUUGAUGAUGAACCAGUCAGAGGAACAAGGUCAUUGGCUGAGAUUUAUGAAAGGGCUCAUGUAGCCAUAGCUGAACCAAGCAACUUUGAAGAGGCUGAGGCUCAGCAAGGGUGGAAGCAGGCAAUGGCUGAGGAAAUCAGCAUUGAUUGAGAAGAACCAGACCUGGGAAUUGGUUGAAAGGCCAGUCAAAAGGAAGGUGAUUGGGGUGAAAUGGGUGUACAAAGCCAAGCAGAAUGCUGAUGGUACCUUGAACAAGCUGAAAGCAAGGCUAGUUGUCAAGGGGUUCAGUCAGAGGUAUGGCUUGGACUACCUGGAGACCUUUGCACCAGUGGCCAGGCUCGACACCAUCAGACUGCUGAUUGCCUUAGCAGCACAGCUCGAAUGGAAGAUCCAUCAACUUGAUGUGAAAUCAGCCUUUCUGAAUGGUUUCUUAGAUGAAGACAUCUAUGUUGAACAACCACAAGGGUUUGAAAUAGCUGGCAGAGAGCAUAUGAUCUACAAACUGAAGAAGGCCCUAUAUGGAUUAAAACAGGCUCCAAGGGCUUGGUAUAGCAGAAUCGAUGGCUACUUGACUGAUCUGGGAUUCGAUCGAAGCAAGAGUGAGCCAACACUAUAUGUCAAGAAACAAGGGACACAAAUACAGCUCAUUGUGUCCCUGUAUGUUGAUGAUCUUCUGGUGACAGGAGGAGAUCGAGUAGUGCUGGUCGAUUUCAAGACCAAGAUACAGGAAGUGUUUGAAAUGUCUGAUCUUGGGGAGAUGUCCUAUUUUCUUGGAAUAGAGGUGUCUCAAGUACAGAAUGAGAUAUUUUUAAGCCAGAGAAGCUUUGCCACAAAGAUUCUGACCAGGUUCUCCAUGCAAAACAGCAAGGCAACUAAAACACCUGUUGCUGUUGGAGAAAAACUAUCGAGCCAAGGUGAUUUUGAGAAAGUUUGUGAAACAACCUACAGGAGUCUAGUUGGUUGCUUGCUAUACUUGACUGCCACUAGACCAGACAUCAUGUAUGCUGUAGGAUUGCUCUCAAGGUUCUUGCAUUGCUGCAAUGAGAAGCAUUUCCAAGCUGCAAAGAGAGUGCUGAGAUAUAUCAAAGGCACUUUAAACUAUGGUUUGAAGUACAGCAAAGAAGAAAAUCUGAAGCUGGUUGGCUACACUGAUAGUGACUGGGCUGGCUCGAUAAAUGACAUGAAAAGCACCUCAGGGUAUGCUUUUAACCUUGGUUCAGCCAUGUUUUGUUGGAGCUCAAAGAAGCAAAGUCUUGUAGCUCAAUCUACUGCUGAAGCAGAGUAUGUGGCAACAGCAAGUGCUGUCAACCAAGCCAUAUGGCUAAGGAAAAUAUUGGCUGACUUGAAUGUGCAUCAAAAGAAAGCUACUGAGAUCUUUUGUGACAACCAAUCUGCAGUAGCAAUUGCUAAAAAUCCAGUGUUCCAUGGAAGAACAAAACAUUUCAGCAUCAAGUUGCAUAUUGUUCGAGAAAUGGAGCAAGCUCAGGAAGUAAAGCUGAUCCACUGUAAUUCAGAGGAUCAACUUGCUGACAUUUUAACCAAAUCUCUUAGUGCCACAAGGUUCGAAUAUCUAAGAAAGAAGCUAGGUGUUUGCUCCAUGCAAACCAAGGAGGAGUGAUGAAGUUGGUUCAGCAUGCAGCAAACUCAACAGCAUGCAGGCCAUGAAGACCAAGUCAUGCAGGAGCUGCUGGAACGAGCUGAACUAUUCCUAUUUUAUUCAUCUUGUAAUCUUAAGUUAAUGUAAUGUACUUUAGUUCAUUUAGAACUAUGUUAGGUUUAUGAUUGAUGUAAUUUUGAUGACAAUUGAGCUGUUAAGUCAGCUUUGUUUAAGUGUGCAAGCUUAGUUUUUCAAGUUUCAAUGUAUUAGUGGUAGUAGGUGAUGAUUAGGUAUCAUUAUGCAGAUUUUGACAAGCAAAUUGCUUGGUUUAUGUAUUGGCAUUAUGCCAUUGUUCAACCUAUGAAUGAAGUUUUAGUUUGUUCAUCAAUUUCUCCCUUCAUUCUUCUUAGCUUUUCUUCCUUUCUCUUGCUCGAAUUCUUUUGUUUGCUCAACAAGUCUGGAGACUUGCUUAACAAGUCUGCACUGAAUCUGUUAGUUUCAGUUACAGCACCAACAGCUUGCAUAUUUUUGAGAUGUAACAUGUUAGACUUUUGACUGUGAUCUCUGUGUCAGAUGUGCAAGAUCAAGUCAACAAGAACCAAAUCGGAAUCCUUAAAUACAAUCCAAGUUCCCUAGUUUUAAGGAGAUCAUAUCAUAUCAUGUGUAAGCUUGUGUUAAUAGAAAAGCAAGAUGUUUACUGCUUAUUUUAGGCGUUGUUUUUCUGACUGCUCAUUGUUCUGCUGUAUUUUGCUGUAAUAGAAAUACAUUCCCACUUAUAAUUAUUAUUACAAUGAACAAUACAAUUAUACAAUAACAGCAACGCCAAUUAUGGUCCUCAUUGAACUACAACUUGGCUACAUACGAAACAAACAGAUAUUCAUACUUUUAUAUCAUAAAUGCUGAUGGUGUUGUAAAUGUGAAAUCCGGUUCUAUUGCAUCUAACGAAAUCUUAAAUGAUCAAGGAGGUAAGUGGAUUUUAGGCUAUAAGAGGUACUUGGAAAAUAUUCAGUUCUUGAGGCUGAACUUUGGAGAAUUUUAAAUUAUCUGAAUGCUUUGCUAAGUAGAAAGUUUGAUAAAGUCCUGAUUCAGACUAAUAGUAUAAAAGCUGUGAAGGUUACUCAAAUAUUCACCAAGACAUUUUUGAACUCUUUAUUGAUCAGGCAGAUUCAACAACUUUUGUUGAAUGUUGAGAAUUGACUUCUACGAUAUGUGCUAGAGAAAGCAACAAGGACACGAAUUGCAUAGCUAAAAUGGCUUUUAAUAGAGAAGAUGGCUUGUUUUUUAUGAAAAACCUCCAAGGGGAAUAUCCAAUACCUUAAGUUAAUGUAAUUUGCUUAUUUUUAUUCACAGAAAAAAAAAGAAUAGCAACAAAAAGACUAGAAUAAAAUAAAAAAUAUGUUACAUUGACAUAUUACAAACGGGUAUUACAAAAUUGAGUGCACUGCAUUAUGCAUAAUCGACCUAGACUAAGAAAUUGCCAGCAUACUAUUAACGCAACAACGUAUUUGAAGUCAAUACUAGUACUAAAGACAACACAAACACUUACAAAUAAACAAUAGCAUACAAUUAAAAUGGUUCCUUUACAGAAUUCAUCAUAUAAAAUAAGGAAUAACAACAAUCCUUGACCUACACCCAUACCUAUUUCACUUCUUCCUAGACAUAAAUAUAAAAUUGAAGGGAGUAUCCAACAUCCCACUAUUGAAACACUAAUUUUUGACACCCGACAUACGAUACACAUGGACACCAUUAAAAGGAAAAGAAUUCCUGAAAAUAUAUUCAAAAUUACAUAUGUUAAAUUGGUGGGAGCUAUGUCAGAUAUUGAUUCAUCGAAGGACACUGCAAGAAACGCUAAUAGUACUUGAAGUGCAGUCCUAAAACCACGGGGAAAAGUUUUGAGUAGAGCUAGUGUUAGGAAUAAUGUUACGAGGAACACAAGGUAGGUUGGAAUAUAGAAGAGAAGAAAAUCCAUUUGACCCAUGACUGAUUUCCCUAGUACCAUUGCAUCAUAUGAUCCUUUGGACUUUGAGGUAUUUUCACCUUGCCAAACACCACCAGGUGGGCUUAGAGUGGCUUGAUAGGUUGCAGUUAGAAGCAGUCCUAAAAUGAUUAGCAAGGCAUUGCGGUCAUCGGCUGAUAUGUUGUCCAUAUUUUGAAAAGUUAGUAGUGAUGCCUUUGUCACAUACUUGACAACUUGUUCCUCCAACUUACGUUUAAAGUUUGAAACUACUGGAAUAAAGCAGCCCUUCAGAAUAGCAAUGUUUUCUCUGUUAUUAUGUUGUUGUGCAAUACUCAGUGCGGUCAAACCAACUUGAUUGGUAGCAUGCUUAUCAGCCUUGCAAUUUAAUAGUAGUUUAAGCAUCUGUUCAAUUGAUAGUUUAGGAUAUAAAAAGGCUACAAUCAAUUAAUCAUGUCUUUGAAGUAAAAAAAGAAAAAGAAUCUAUGUAAUAUAAAUUACUAUCGAAGCAGUUGAGUCGAACCUUGGGUUGAUUAUGGAUAGCGGCUAUGUGAAGUGCAGUAUUUCCAUCUUUGUCUUUCCGGUUCACCACUUCCCAAUAAUAGUCUUUCCUCUUAAGCGUUGGAAUUAGGAGUUGGAGAACGUCCAGUCUAUUGUUUUGGAUAGCAAUAUGCAAAGCAGUGCGAUUCUCUAUUGUAACAUCUUGGAGACAAUCAGGAGAAGCUUCCAGAAAUGGAUCCAACAGACCAAGCUGGUUUCCAACUUUACAUAAGUAGUGCAAUGGAGUCUUACCUUUCUUUCCUCUGACACGAACAAGAUGUGUAUCAAUCUCCAAGAAGCGGAGUGCCAUCUCUUUAUGCCCUUUUCUAACUGCAAUGUGAAGUGGGCUCAAACCUUGGUGGUUAAGCUUUCGAGCAAAUGAUGGCUUUAAGUUCAUCAUCUCCAUUGCAAACUCAAUGCACCCUUCUUCUGCAGCUAUAUGUAAUGGAGUCUCGAUAAACUCCACCUCAUCAAAAUGCCUCAAAACAUUUCCAUUUCUUUGAAUUACUGUAUACAAUCCAUUAAGCUUUCCUGUACGAGCAGCCUGUCUUAAACUUUCAUCCAUGUGAGGAAGACUAAAAAUUGAAUGGUUGAAAGGGUUUAAGGUCACUUAGAGCAACUUAUUCAAAGAGAGUUUUUUUUUUUUAAAUAGAGUGAGGCAGACAAAUGGUGUAUAUUUAUGGUCUUGAUUUUGAGGUUUCGCCUUUAGUAGAGGAUUAUUGUAAAUAAUUUUGUUUUCAAUGGCUUUUUAUUUCAAGGUUAAGAAAUAAUGCUUUCGUCCAUUGACUUCACUUCCAAAUUGAUUUUUUUUCUUUGUGUAUAUGUUCAUAGUCAAAAGUCCAAUUCCUACUUUAAAACGUGAUGAUAUUAAUUUCCCGAAAAAUAAGUCAAAGAAAAUUAUUCGUAUUCUUCUCAUUUAUAAUUAAAAAUAUAUAAUUAUUCAAAUCCUGUGUUCGCAUUAACUUUGAAUCGCAUUAAUCGCGUUAUUAUUAAUAUUUUACUCUCUUCUUGCAAUUCAUAAAAAAUAUAUAUAUUUAUUCAUAUAUUUUUAUCAAAUAUAUAUCUAUAUACGAAUCUUCUAUCUAAAUUUGUAUUCUAAAUUAAUUGGACAUCAACUUAAUUAUGUGAUUAUAAAAAUAUCAAUUCAUUACAAAAUAACAUGCUAUUUUAAGAUUGUUUUAAUCUCUCUUUUUUUAAACCAUAUAAUAAAAUUUAAACUUAAAACGCUAUAAAUAUUUCUAUUUUACUAUUUUAAUUAAAAUUUCUUUUAAUUUUUAUAUAAUCUUUUAUAAAUAUAUUUAUUCUAUAAUUCUGUUAUUCAAUUUCAUUAGGGAUAUACCAUAAUUUAAUAUAUAUUAUAAAUAAAUUAUUAAAAAAAUAAAAAUAUUGGUUCAGAUUCAAUUGAUUUUUAAUCUUGUUUGUAUUGAUUCUUGAACUAAUUAGGUUUUUUUUUUAUCUCUCUUUAUAUUGGUACUCGACUCUACUCAUGUAAUUAUACCUCUAUGUUGAAAAGUGUUAAUGCAUUAAUUAAAGUUUGAUCUUGAUAAUUAUUUUUACAUUAGGAUAUAAAGGUUUUUUUUUUUGUUGAAUAAGAUAUUUUGGAAGAAGACAGAGAAAAAGACUACAGCAUCAUUGAAGGUCAUACAAUUAAAAAAACUAUAAAGUAAGCUUCAAAGACGGAAAUAAUUUUAAAACAAAAUUAUAAAAGAACAUCUGUCCAUAAUACUUUUCAUAAACUUGGAAAUUAUUUUCUUCAUUUUAUAAGAUGUUAAGGUUUUUUCUUUUUUGGGAGUUUUUAAAAAUUGGAUCAAUGUUGGUACCAAUGAAGUCACUAGUUUAUGAGUUGAAGUAGUUUGAUUAAAUAAAUUAUUAAAAUAAUAAAAAGAAUUUGGUUCAAUUGACUUUUAAUUUAAUCUAUAUUGAUUUCUGAGUCAAUUAGUUUGUUAUUUUUCUUUGAAUCAAUACCCCAACCAACUCGAUUUUGUUCAGGUAACCAUGUCUUUAUGUUAAAAAGCAUUAAUGCACUAAUCAGAGUCUGAAUUUAGUAACUAUUCUCACAUUCAGGUAUAGAAGGUUCUUUUAGCGAAGAGAUGAAACAUUGCAAAAAAUUGAAUAAGAUAUUUUGAAAGAAACCAGAGAGGAAGACUGAAACAUAUUCAAUAAAAUUGAGCAUUGAGCAUUGUACAAGUAAAAGAACUUUAAAACACAAAAUUAUAACUUUAAAAAAUAUUAAAACUCACAAUAAAAUAACAAGAUUAUAAAGUAAACUUUAAAAUGCACUAAUUAAUUAAAUUAAGUUACAUAUUAUAGAAAACGGUGUCGUUCCUAACCCAAACACGAGCUUUCUCUGGAUCUUCUUCCUCCUCUGAUCCAUAAUCACAGCCGUGCUCCACUGAAUUGGAGCUUUUUUUUUUUUUUUUGGCGUGUUACUCGUAAAGCACUUUUAGUUAAGAUUCGUGUGUUACUGUUGAAGUUGUUAAGAAAUGUGUUUUUGUUUUGAAUAUGAUAUAUACGUACAUAUCAGAAAAAAAAAAAUUAGCAUACCCGAGGUCUGUUUCUGAUAGCCGCAACGUGUAAAACAGUUUUCCCUUCCAUGUCUGCCCAACUUAUUGGUUCUUUCUCCCAACGUUGGGCAGCUUCAUGGCGGCUCCUUAUAAGCCACCUCACCAAGACUUGGAAAGCUUCAAACUUGUCUUUUACUGAAAUAUGGAAAACAGGCACGUCUUCAAUACCCUUGGGACAAACCUCAAGAAACUUGAACAAAAGAUCAGCAUCUCCGGUCCGAACGACAUGAUGCAGAGGAGUGAGGCCCCCCUUCCCUUUGACACGAAUGAAAUAAAUACACGUACACAUGUCUAAUACGCGUAAACAUGAUUUAAAUGGUUUUGCCGACAGCAAUCAAAUUUCCUAGUAAAGUCUUUGUGGUUGGUGAAGAACAGCCAUCGGACCAUACUUUUCAUAAACUUGAAAAUUCCAAUUAAGUCACUAAUUCAUUAGUUGAAUUAGUUUCAUAAAUAAAUUAUUAAAAUAAUAAAAAAUAUUGGUUCAUAUUCAAUUAAUUAGUUUUAUAUCUCUCUUUGUAUUGGUACCCCAAUCGGCGUAAUUCUACUUAAGUAAUCAUAUCUCUAUGUUGAAAAGUGUUAAUGCACUAACUGAAGUUUAAACUUGGUACGUAAUUGUUUUCACAUUAGGGUGUAAAAGUUUUUUUUUUUUUUUAGGUAGAGACAAAGCAUUGCAAAAAAAUUGAAUAAAAUAUUUUGAAAGAAGGCAAAGAAAAAGACUAAAGCAUCAUUGACGGUCGUACAAUUAAAAAAACUAUAAAGUAACCUUUAAAGAUGGAAAUAAUUUUAAAAAACAAAAUUAUAACUUAACCUAGGAACACCUGUCCAUAAUUCUUUUCAUAAACUUGGAAAUUAUUUAUAAGAUGUUAGGUUUUUUAUGGGAGUUUUUUAAAAUUAGAUCAAUGUUGGUACCAAUCAAGUCAUUAAUUCAUGAAUUGAAUUAGUCUGAUUAAAUAAAUUAUUAAAAUUAUAAAAGGAAUUUGGUUCAAUUGACUUUUAGUCUGAUCUAUAUUAAUUUCUGAGUCAAUUAAUUUGUUAUUUCUCUUUGAAUCAGUACCCCAACCAACUCGAUUUUGUUCAAGUAACCAUGUCUCUAUGUUGAAAAGCAUUAAUGCACUAAUCAAAAUCUAAACAUAACAACUAUUCUCACAUUGAGGUAUAGAAGGUUAUUUCGGUAAAGAGAUGAAAUAUUGCAAAAAUUUGAAUAAGAUAUUUUGAAAGAAAGCGAAGAGAAAGACCGAAACAUAUUUAACAUUAAGCUUUGCACAAGUAAAAAAUAAAUAAACUAAAUAAUUUUAAAACACAAAAUUAUAACUUUAAAAAAAUUAAAAUUCACAAUAAAAUAACAAGAUUAUAAAGUAAACUUUAAAAUGCACUAAUUAAUUAAAUUAAGUUACUUUUUAUAAAAAAAAUUCAAAGUAAAUUACUCGUAGUAAUUUUUUAAUGUUAGGUAUGUUGCAUAUGAUUUUAUAUUUUUAAUUUAUUAAAUAUUAUAUUUUUACAAAUUCAAAUAUGUAUUUAUGCUAAUUAAACGAGGUUUAAUUUAAUUUAUACUAAAGAUAAAUUAGUUUGAAAAAAUAUUAAGAGAAUAAAAUAGCAUUUUAAAAUUAAUGAAAAAAAUGAACUAAUACAUAUACAACUAUUAAAAUAAUAUACAAAUUUAAAACUAUAUAAAAAAAUAAAUGGAAAACAUAUUUACACUUAAUUAAAGAUCACAUUUAAUAAUAACAACUAAAAAAUAUUAUUUAAAUUUUGUUUUUCAAAAGAAUACACGAAACAUUUUUCAUCUGCACCAAACGAAUAAUGGACAAAUAAAAAAAUGAAUUUAAAAUUACUUGCUUCGCAUAAUACGGUUACUUUAUUUAAAUUUGUAUUGUUUAAUAUAGGUGAUUUAUUUAAAUUUCUAUAGAGAUUUCACCUUCGUACUUAAAAAAAUAAAACACUCACCCCUAAAUUUCCUCUUGACAAUUUAGGUUGUAAACACAACUUGUUUACUCUCAAUUGCACUCACACAAUUAGUUCCUCAAUUAAUGAAUAAAGUGCUCUCAAUAUAGUCUCUUUUAAAACCUAUACAAACCUCAACUUAUAUAGAAGUGUUUUGGUUUACUAACAUACUCGAUAUUGAUUACAAUAUAACCCCUUAAAAUCAACACCUACAAAAUAGAAAAAAAGAAAUAUAUUAUAAAGUCCAAUAAAGUCUGAUCUAUGGAUAUAUAGUCUUCAAUGUAAACAACAACUCAAUCCGAAAGAUUCUCUAUAAACAGAGGAUUGUAAUUGUUCAAACCAAUCCAAUCUUCACAAUGCAAAUAAUUAGUUCUCAUAAUUAGGCUUCUAUAUCUUCAAAAUAUCAACAUAGUUAAUAGCCCAAAGAUUUUAAGCCGAGGAUUGUCAACUCCAAAUAUAGCAAGUACAAUUGUACUAUUGCAAGGAUGGAUGACAAUGGGAUCUACCAAGUGCUGCUCAUAAUGCUUCUUUACAAUUUGUCUCAACAAUUUCCCCAUUUGAAUUUUUUUUUGAACAAAAUCCAAUUCAAACCAAGAAGUUAACUAGAAUUUUAUGUGAUGAUAUGAUGGUUAAGGGUGUUUACCGUUCCAGAUAUGGCUUGAGUUUGAGUCUUGUUAGUUGCGUUUUUUGUCCAGGCUUUCCCUGUUAUUAUAAUUCACUAAAAAAAUUUUACUGAUUUUUGACAAGUAUAAAUUAUGUUAAUAUCAUGGUUGAACUCAUUGCAUAUUUGAUUCUAAACAUCUCUCCGGUCCGAACGACAUGAUGCAGAGGAGUGAGGCCCCCCUUCCCUUUGACACGAAUAAGGCCUUCAUCAAACUUGAGGAGUCGAAGCACCGCUUGAGUUCUGUUAUUCUGCAGAGCCAAGUGCAUGGGGGUCAACCCAGCUUGGUAUAGUUUUCUUGCAAACGAUGGCUUUAAGUUGAUCAUCUCCAUCAGAAAAUCAAUAUGCCCUGCAGAGGCUGCCACAUGUAAUGGAGAAUGAAAAAAGGCACAUCAUCAAUACGCUGUAAAACAAAUGGAUGACUCGCAAUAUCUCCUGUUCGUGCAGCCUCUAUCAUCGUCGAAUUCAUAGCUUGGAAGAAGGGGGGCAGUCAAUUGUGAGACAAAUGGAAACUGAUAAAAAUUUUCAAGAAACACAGAAAAAAGAAGCAGAAGACAAUAUAGAAAAGGAAAUAUGGAAUGUCAAAAUUUGGAUCUAAAACGAAAAUCCGACUUAAGUAUAGCGUCUCAUAUUUGAUAAAAGAAAUCUUCAUUUCUUAAGUCUUAUUCGACUUAAAGCUUGUGUCACAUUCUUUAAACUUUGAUAUCUAUUAUUUCAAGUAUUUUAAUUAAAUAAAUUAAUAAAUUUAAGUGUUUGUGUAAUAGGCCCAAUUUGCUUGGGCCCAGACGAAAACCAAACAAAAAUAAAAAAUAACAAUUCCAGUCCAUUUACAGUAAAUUUAAACUCAAAAUAACAAUGGCCCGAACAGCCCAAUAAGAAUGAAAACCCACUAUGAAAUUGGAUGUAUAUUCUAAGUUUAAAGAAAUGAAAGGCAGUAGUGCGAACAAAAAGCCACAAGCGAUGCUGUUCUGUUUCUUUUAUGAGAAUUAUCGGGAAGCAUUUUUCUUUCUGAAAAGCUUGGGGGUUCCACCAUGUCAAAAGAAUUUUAUCAUUUAGAGUUGGGAAGCUUUUUUUGUGUUUCUUUUUGAAGAAUUCAUUGGAAAGCUUUUUUCCUUUUGAAGGAUUAUAAAUUUAGUAGUGAAAAAAUAUUACAAAACUCCUAAAUAAUUUUAGAUACACAUAUUUUAUCACUAAGCUUUAAAUAAAGUUUGUCUUUCUCACCCAUGUUAUUGUUAAAGAAAUAUAAAGUGACCCGGAACAGCGAAGAUUCCUUAAUUUAAUUGAAAUUUAUAUAACUUAUGUGAAAUAUGAUUUGAAUUAUGUAUGAAAAUUACAAGUAAUUUAAAGGAUAACUAAGAAAAAGAGAGAGCAAAGAUUAUACAUUAAUGCUUCUAUACUUAAAAGAUACAUAGAAAAUAAGAAACAAUUUGUGUAAAACGUGGGAUAGGUUUCACUCGAAAUUAUAGGAGACGUUUCUUUCACAUACUACAAAUGGAUAGAAGAAAUAGAUGUAUAAUGACUUAUUUGAUAUUCUAAUUUUAUAAAUUAAAAAGUCAUUUUAAUCAUUUGUCUAAUUUUUGUUUUUUUUUUUAGUUCUUUAACUUGUAUUAUUUGUCAAAUCACCUCAAAAUAGAUAUAAAAAUUUACAAAUAUGACAUAAACAUAGAUUGUCACAUAGAUGCUACAUUAGUAAUUAAUUAUUUUUUAAAUAUACAAAAUAUAAAAGCUAUAAAAAGUAUUAAAAAGUAUAAUUUUUAAUAAAUUAAUUAAUUGCUAAAUGCGUUCUGUCAAAAAAGUUAAAAGAUAUUAAUUUCUCUAUCUAUUUUGAAGUGAUUUGACAAAUAAUACAAGUUUAAUGAUCAAAAGAGACGAAAAAUUAAAUAGAUGACUAAAAUAAUUUUUUUUUUUGUAAAAUUGAAAGAUCAAAUAAACCAUUAUAUCUAAAAUAAACAAAAUCAACAACUAAAAUCACAUUGCCAUUUAGAUAAUUUAGGAUGUUACAACAUUGAUGCAUAAUCUACAAUUUAGAGCUAAGAUUAUACAUUACUUGUAUACUUAAAUUCACUUUUAGUUCAUCUAAUCAAAUUAUAAGUGAAAUAAACCUAUUCAAAGAAUAAUUCGCAAAAAUAUUUAGAAGAUAACGUCACAUUGACAUACUAGAAAUAAAUGUUACAACAUUGAGUGCACUGUAUUAUGUAUAAUCGACAUAAACUAAGUUAUAGCCAACAUUCUAUCUAUCUAAUUGGGUAUCUCAAGGUAUUACCAUCACUAAUGAAAGCAUUAAUACCUAUAAAUAAACUAUAGCAUACUACUAAAUUGGUUCAUUUCAAGAAUUCAUCAUAUAAAAAAAAGGAAUAACAGCAAUUUUUGAGCUGCGCCUAUACUUAAUUUUUUGCCUAAACAUAAAUAUAAAAUUGAAAGGAAUAUUCAACAUCCCACUAUUGAAACAUUAAGUUUGACACUUGAUAUUCGACACACAUGAAUACCAUUAAAACGAAAUGAAUUCUUGAAAAUAUAUUUUACGUGUGUUGAAUGGGUGGAGCCCAUAACAGAUAUUGAUUCAUCGAAGCACACUGCAAGCAACACAAGUAGUAUUUGAAAUAUAACAAUGAAGGCAUAGGUGCUAGUCAAAUGAAGUAGGUCUUUCAUGUUGGAAAUUAUAGAUUGUAAAUUUAAUUAUUGAUGAGCAUUUAUUCAAAUUUAGAAAGUGAUAUAUUUUUAUGAGAAAUAUUUUUUUUAAAUAUGUCUAACGGUUAUGAUUCUAUAAAAUAGUAUUUCUUAAAUGCAUAUAAAUAGAAAUCGCAAUUACAAUCAAUCUUAUUUUCAAAAAUUAAAGUAAGAAUAUUCCUCUAUUUUACAAUGGAUUUGUCAUGUUCAUGAAAUACAAAAGAAUCUAUGUAAUAUUAAUUAUAAAAGCGGAUGAGUCAAACCUCGGGUUGAUUAUUUCUAGCAUGCAGCAAUGUGUAGUGCAGUGUUGACAUUUUUGUCUUUCCUGUUUACCACUUCCCAGCAACAGUCUUUCUUCCCAAGUUUUGGAGUUAGGACUUGAAGAACGUCUAAUUGAUUGUUCUUCGUUGCAAUCUGCGAAGCGGUGCAAUUCGCUGUUGUAACAUCUCGGAUACUAUUAGGACAAGUCUUCAGAAAUGUAUCUAACAGGCCAUCGUGGCUUCCAGCUUUACAAAUGUAAUGCAAAGGAGUCACACCAUUUUCCCCUCUAACACGAACAAGAUCGUUAUCGGUUUCUAUGAGACGCAACGCCAUCUCUUGAUGCCCUUUCUCGACAGCAAGGUGAGUAGGGCUCAAGCCUUGGUGGUUUAGCUUCCUGGCAAAGGAUGGCUUUAAACUCAUAAUCUCCAUUGCAAACUCAAUGCACCCUUCGUCUACAGCAAUGUGUAAUGGAGUAUUGACAAACUCCACCUCAUCAGAGCGCUUCAAAACAUUUCCAUCUCUCUCGAUUAAUGUAUACAACUAACAUUUCCUGCUCGAGCAGCUCUUUCCAAUAUGUUAUCCAUAACAGGAGGAAGGAUCAACUGAAAGGCUAAUGUGAUAUGUUCAGAGUCAAAGGUUUAAAUAAAUGGGAGGCAGUAGGUGAACGAGGAAGGCUAAUGUAUACAAUUAGCUUACUGUACGAAAAGAAGUCAUUCGUUCUUUUCGUUUUAUAUGAAAAGCCUACUGUAUCAAAUACAAUUAGCUUACGAAAAUAGUGGAAAGUUACAUAUGAAAAUCAAGUAUACUUGAGUGAUAUUUCAUUUUCUCGGAAAAAAAAUUGUUAGGCAAUUCUAAUGGCUUUGGUUCAGACUUUCAAUUGGUUGCUUUACUUUCAAUGGCUUUGGUUGACACUUUCAAUUGGUUGCUUUACAUUUAAGUCAAACUGAAGCUUUGGUUAAGCAUGAAAUUGGACACUACCUAAAACAUAGCAAAUUGCAUGCUCCCAACCUCAACCUGGUUUUUCUAAACAUAAUUUAUUUAAUAUAUAUGUUAAAAUAGUUAAAUAUAGUAUUUAAAUUUGAAAUUAUAAGGAUGAGUAAAUAUUUUUGUAAAAUAAAUAAUACCUCUUUCAAAUAAGUAAUAAAUAAUACUUGUGAAACCCAUGUAAUUAGCCAAUUGUAAUUAGUUUAUUGCAAACCAAUGAACUAAAAACAUGUGAAAAAAUAAUACUUCUACACUACACCAAAACAGGCUUUUAGCGGCAUUUUCAGCAGCGUUUAGACAAAAAACGCCGCUAAAAAUCGAUCAUUAGCGGCGCAUUACGUAAAACGCCGCUAAAGAUUGAGCAUUAGCGGCACUUUCAGGAAAGCGCCGCUAAAAAUGAGCAUUAGCGGCGUUUUUUUGUAAAACGCCGCAAAAAACCUAAGCCCAACAGCAUUGUUUUCAACCUUUCGGGGCUUUAGCGGCGUUUUUAAAAAAAGCGCUGCUAAUGCUCAGAUCUUUAGCGGCGUUUUUGACAAAGCGCCGCUAAUGCUUAGAUCUUUAGCGGCGUUUUUCAAAAAGCGCCGCUAAUUCUCAGAUCUUUAGCGUCGUUUUUGAAAAAGCGUCGCUAUCAAAUCUUUAGCAGUGUUUUUGGAAAAGCGCCGUUAAUACUCAGAUCUUUAGCGGCGUUUUUGGAAAAGCGCCGCUAAUGCUCGGGGCUUUAGCGGCGUUUUUUAAAAAGUGCCGCAAAAACAUUUUAACUGUCUAUUUACUAUUUAAUUUGUUUAUUUAUAUUAAUUAAAAUUCAAUUUAUUUUUAAUUGAAUAUUUGUUAAAAAUGGAUAAAUUUGAAAUAAUAACACGUAGAAAUAAUUUGAAAUAAAAAAAUAUAGAAAAAUAUUUGUUAAAAAUGGAGAAAUUAAAAUACUAUUAUUUAAAAUAAUUUUAAAUUUUUUUGGGUACAUAAUUGAUUGAUUUUUAAUUUAUAUAUUAAAUAAUUUCAAAUAUAAUUGUAAAAGAUACGAUAGUAUUAAUUUUAAAAUAUUUAAUUUAAUUAUCAUUAUAGUUUAGGGUUUAAUAUAUAUGGUUUAGAGUGUAUAUAUAUGUUUAAUUUAGGAUUUAGGGCCGGUUUAAGAGUUACAAUUUUAAGGUUUAUAGAUUAUGGAAUUAGAGAUUAUGGAUUAGGGAUUUUGAUUUAAGGGUUGUGAUUUAAGGUUUAUGGGUUAGAGGUUAGGGGUUAGAGGUUAAGAGUUAUGAUUUAGGGUUUAUGGAUUCAAUGUCAGGUUAGGGUUUAGGGUAUAGAUUAAUUAAUGUGUUUUAAUUUAUAUAUUAAUAAUGUUUAGGGUUAGGGUUAGGGAUUCGGGGUCAGGUUAGGGUUUAAUGUUUAGAUUAAUUAGUGUUUUUUAAUUUAUAUAUCAAAUAAGGUUUAGGGGUUAGUGUCUAAGGGUUUGGGGUUAGUGUUUAAAGGUUUAGGAUUAAGAGUUAGUGAUUUAGGGUUUAGAGAUUCGAGGUCAAGUUAGGGUUUAAGGUUUAGAUUAAUUAGUAUUUUUAAUUUAUAUAUUAAAUAAGUUCUUAUAUAAUUGUAAAAGAGACAAUAAUAAAUUGUAAAGAUUAUUAAUCUAACCAUUUGAUAUAUUUGAAUAUUAGAUUUAAAAAAAUUAAUAAAAAAAUGUAACAAAUUGAUACAGAUAGGUAACUAUCUAUUUUGGAUAUAUAGGACCAAAUUAUAACAAAUAAAAAUAAAAGACAAAAACUAAAAUCAUUCCACAUCGAGCAUCUAGCAAAAGAAUUACAUUUUAGUUAGGAAGAAAUAUCUCUAAUAAAAAGCGUCGCUAAAAGUCAAUAUUAUAGCGCCGUUUGUAAUAGAAGCGCCGCUAAAGGUCUUGGUCUUUAGCGGCGUUUGUGGGAAAAGUGCCGCUAAAGGUCUUGGUCUUUAGCGGCGUUUUUGGGAGAAGUGUCGCUAAAGGUAUUGGUCUUUAGUGGCGUUUGUGGGAGAAGCGCUGCUAAAGGUCUUAGUCUUUAGCGGCGCUUGUGGGAGAAGCGCCGCUAAAGGUCUUGGUCUUUAGCGGCGUUUGUGGGAGACGCACCGCUAAAGGUCUUGGUCUUUAGCGGCGUUUUUUUCUAUAAACGCCGCUAAAGUUAGCGACGCCAUCUUUAGCGGCGUUUUUUUGGCGCUUCUCAAAGCGUCGCAAAUACUUUUAGCGGCACUAAAAAGCACCGCUAAAGGCCUAAAAAAGCGCCGCUAAAAGCCUGUUUUGGUGUAGUGCUAUUAAAUGUAUUAUUAAUGUUAUUAAUUAAAGGGUUUUUUUUUUGCCAUUAAGUCUUUGGCUAUGCUAGUAAGGUUAAAACAUGGGAUUUUGAAUGUUCAAGAUCGAAAUUCACUCUUUGUAAACCAUGUAUGAGUUUUAUUAGAGGAUUAAUUGUUCGGGCUACAUUAUGGGUCGAAUUUAAGCAGUAUGUUAACAUAUUUUAUGUUUAUCCAAGUUCAGGCUAACUCUAAAUAUAAGCUUAAAAUUUUGUCCAAGUUUACACAUACUUGUAAAUAACUAACCGAAGCCCAUUUGCGGCCACCCAUAUUAUUAUUUUUUAAAUUUGUUUGAAAUAUUUAUAUUAUUUUUAGUUUAAUAUUUAAUAAUUUUAUAUAGUUUUUCAUUUAUUAAAAUUUUAUAUGCAUCCAACUAACAAUUUUUAAUGCUUACAAUUAAUAUGAUAUAUUACUAUAGAUUGAAUUUUAAUGUGUUACAAAUUACAUAUUAUAUAAAAAUAACAUAAUAUAAUAUAUUAAAAACUAUAGAAAAUGAAUCGGACUAGUCGGGAUUAGAAGGUCAGGCCUUGAAUGUUUGAGCUCAACCCCGACACAUUUUAAACAUGUUUAUUUUUUGAUUUGUUUGUUCAAACCUUUUUUUUUACUGUUCAAAAUUUUGAGUGAGUCUUUUAGCUUGAACAUGUAAUUCAAUCCUUGAACAAGUUUGUGUUUUAUCUAAACUUAUUUUUACUUAAAUAUGGUUACGUGUGAAUUAUGUCUAGAAUUAUUCAAAUCGAGAUUAUUUUUCAUCUGCAAUUUUUGAUUUGAAUGUAUUGUAUAUUCUUUUUAAUUAUCAGUGAGAAUGAUCGUAUUUGCACCAUUUCUAAAUUUUUUUAGAGCUCUAACCAUUUUAAUUAUCACUUAACUAAUAAUACAAUUAUAUAUCAAUCAAAAUUUAAAUUUAACUUUAUAAAUAGCAUCCAAUAGUUAAACAUAUCAGUCAGAUAGCAAAUAAAAUAGAGUACUAAGAAACAAUUGAGCAUUAAAGCAAUGAUUCUUCAAACAAUACAAUAGAAUUAUAAUGAUUUUAUAAAGAAAAAACUUAUUUUAAUCUAAUUUUAGUUCAUUAUUUCAAAUUAUUAAAUGGGUUUUAAUAUUAAUUAAUUUCUUUUGUUUAUUAUUAAAAAAGCUAUAUGCUAGGGGUAGAAGAGAGUUAAUAAUAAGAGAAAUAUUAUUUUAAUAUAAUUAAUUAUUUAGAACGACUUUCACAAAAUAAAUUUAACGAAAAAUGAAAAUUUGUAGAAAUUAUUUUAAAAAAAGAAUAUAUGUCAAUUUUCUUUCACCUGAAAAUCUAAUCGAAUUAUAAACGAAAUAAACCCAUUCAAAAAAUAACAACAAAAAUGUUAUAUUGACAUAUUACAAAAGGGUAUUACAAAAUUGGGUGCACCGUAUUAUACAUAAUAGACCUAGAUUAAGGAAUAACCAGCAUCCUAUUAAUGCAACAAAGUAUGGGAAAGUCAAUAUCAUUACCUAAUAAAGCAUCAACACUUACAAAUAAACAAUAGCAUACAACAAAAAAGGUUCCUUUCCAGAAUUCAUCGUAUAAAAUAAAGAAUAACAACAAUCCUUGACCUACACUCAUAUCUAUUCCACUUUCCACAAAAAAGUAUAAAAUUGAAGGGAAUAUCCAAUAUCCUACUAUUGAAACACUAAUUUUUGACACUCGACAUACGAUACACAUGGACACCAUUAAAAGGAAAAGAAUUCCUGAAAAUAUAUUAAUAAUUGCAUAUGUUAAAUAGGUGGGGGCUAACUCAGAUAUUGAUUCAUCGCAGGACACUGCAAGAAACGCUAAUAAUACUUGAAGUGCACUCCUAAAAUCAUGUGGAAAAGUUUUGAGUAAAGCUAGUGUUAGGAAUAAUGUUACGAGGAACACAAGGUAGGUUGGAAUAUAGAAGAGAAGAAAAUGCGUUUGACCCAUGACUGAUUUCCCUAGUACCAUUGGAUCAUAUGAUCCUUUGGACUUUGAGGUAUUUUCACCUUGCCAAACAACACCAGGUGGGCUUAGAGUGGCUUGGUAGGUUGCGGUUAGAAGCAGUCCUAAAAUGACUAGCAAGGCAUUGCGGUCAUCGGCUGAUAUAUUGUCCAUAUUUUUAAAAAUUAGUAGUGAUGCUUUUGUCACAUACUUGACAACUUGUUUCUCCAACUUACGUUGUAAGUUUGAAACUACUGGAAUAAAGCAGCCUUUCAGUAUAGCAAUGUUUUCUCUGUUGUUAUGUUGUUGUGCAAUACCCAGUGCGGUCAAACCAACUUGAUUGGUAGCAUGCUUAUCAGCCUUGCAAUUUAAUAGUAUUUUAAGCAUCUGUUCAAUUGAUAGUUUAGGAUAUAAAAAGGCUAGAAUCAAUUAAUCAUGUCUAUGAAGUAAAAAAAGAAUCUAUGUAAUAUGAAUUACUAUCGAAGGAGUUGAGUCGAACCGUGGGUUGGUUAUGGAUAGCGGCUAUGUGUAGUGCAGUGUUGCCAUCUUUGUCUUUCCGGUUCACCACUUCCCAGUAAUAGUCUUUCCUCUUAAGCGUUGGAAUUAGGAGUUGGAGAACGUCCAGUCUAUUGUUUUCGAUUGCAAUAUGCAAAGCAGUGCGAUUCUCAAUUGUAACAUCUUGGAUACAAUCAGGAGAAGCUUCCAGAAACGUAUCCAACAGACCAAGCUGGUUUCCAACUUUACAUUAGUAGUGCAAUGGAGUCUUACCUUUCUUUCCUCUGACACGAACAAGAUGUUUAUCAAUCUCCAAGAAGCGGAGCGCCAUCUCUUAUGCCCUUUUCUAACAGCAGUGUGAAGUGGGCUCAAACCUUGGUGGUUUAGCUUCCGAGCAAAUGAUGGCCUUAAGUUCAUCAUCUCCAUUGCAAACUCGAUGCACCCUUCUUCUGCAGCUAUAUGUAAUGGAGUGUCGAUAAACUCCACCUCAUCAACACGCCUCAAAACAUUUCCAUUUCUUUGAAUUACUCUAUGCAAUUCGUUAACCUUUCCAGUACGAGCAGCCUUUCUUAAAUUUUCAUCCAUGUGAGGAAGACUAAAAAUUGGAAGGUUGAAAGGGUUUAAGAUCACUUAGAGCAAUUUAUUCAAAGAGAAAGAGAGAGUUAAAGGCAGACAAAUGUGUGUAUAUUUCUGGUCUUGAUUUUUGAGGUUUCGCCUUUAGUAGAGGAACACUUUUGGUCAUGUUAUAGUUUAUUGAAAGAGCUUAAGCCCACUUACGGUGUUUAUAACUAGAAUGAGUGAAGACUUAGGUGCUCUGUCAAAUGAAGUAGGUCAAGACUUCGCUGCAGCUUUGUUUAUAAAGAAAGCAUAAAAAGGAAGCCUUACAUUUGGCCAAAUUUUAAUUGAUAUGCUUGCCAUUUCAUGUUGUCUUAAUCCAGAAAAGCUACCUCUCAGAUUAUUAUUUAUGUUAUAAAACCUGUUAACACAGAUCAGUACUCAACAAUUUUGUUCAUAUUAUAGUUUUAUUUCUUUAGGCUCAAUCUCACACUUUCAAAACAAAUUACCUAUUUCCUCUUUUUUAUCAGAUUGAAUUUUUAAAUCGAAAAAUGCAUCGAAUAUACUUUUUAACUCAUAAAUAUAGGGUGGUUAAAGGUUGAUGAGUCAACCCAUUUUGUACAUAUAUCAUAUGGCCACUCUUCUCACACUAUUUUAUUUUAUAUAUCAUAUUAUCACUAGACGAAUUUUAGAAAAAAAAAUCAUGAAAUAUCAAUUUUUUCUAAAAAAGUUCAAUUAAAAAAUGAGAGUACACGUUAAUUUUUUUUUGAAUUACGAAUUAAUUAAAAAAUUAUUAUAUCACAUUUAAAAAAAUUUUAAAAUAUUUUUAAAUUAUAAUUUAUAGAGUUUAUAUUGAUGAAUUUCUCCUUUUCACCUAUGAUUUUUUUUCCCAAAAGGACUUUUCACAUAAAAUUUGUUUGUUAUUAUUUUUCUUGUUAUUGUUUUAAAAUUAUUCCUAUUGCUUUUAUGGACGUCUAUAUUUUUGGCGAUGUCAUGAUUUAAACCAACAAAGGAACAAUAGAAAAGACAGAAAUUGAAGGGUAUAAGAAAAUAGAAAAAAGGCUGCUUUUUAAAUUUGUUUUGGAUAUUUGGAGGAGUUUAAGGAUUUCAAAUUUUAAAAAAUAAAUUUAUUCGAAUAAAAAUAUUGAAUAAUUUCCAAAUUUAUGAAGAAUUUUAAGAGAGGAUUUCGCUUGGCUCAAAUUCUUCUUUUUGUUUAAAUCUAAUAUAUUUUCGAUAUUUUAUUUCAUUAAACAUAUUUAUAGAUUUACAAAUCCAAUGAUUUACAUACUAAAUAUUCUUGUAUUAUUUUAUUUUUAAUAUAUAUAAUUAUUCCUUUUAAUAAUUAGUUUUUAAUUCAAACAAUUAGGAUUGCUAACAUUUUAAAUUAAUAAAUUAAAUUUUUUUAAAAUUUUAAAAUUAUUCAAUCAAACACGCGUUGAAAUAUUUAGUAUUAAUGUAUUAAAAAUAUACUUAAAUAAAUGAAAAAUGAUUGUAUAAAACUAUGAUACAAACUAUUCUUUAUCUUUUUCUAAUAAAAAAUAACAAUUACCGAAAUUAUUAUUUGCUAAUAAAUGGUGGGAUAAGACUUGAAAUUAAUGUUGAAGUUGAAGAUAUUGAAAUCAAAUGGAGCUUUAUUUUGGGUUAAUUGUAGGUUGGACAAGUUAGAGAGUUACAACAUUUAUUAAACUGUUUUAUGCAUAUAUAAUCGACAAAAAUGAAGUAAAAACCAGCAUCCUAGUAAUAUAAUAGGGUAUCUGGAGCUAAUACCAUCAACACCAUUAUCAAUACCAAUCAAAGAAUCUAUUCUAAAGAAUAAACCAUAACCUACAACUAAAAUAAUUCCUUUUAAGUACUCAUCGUAUAGAAAAAAGGACAACAAAAAUUCUUAAAUUACACCUCCAACUAUUUCUCCACCUAAAAUGGAAAAAAAAGAAAAAAAAAUCAAACAUCCCACUAUUAAAACACUGAAUUUUGACACCUGAUAUGUGAUGCACAUAAACACCAUUAAAAUGAAAAUAAUUGUUGAAAAUAUACAAAGAAUUCCCGAUGUUAGAAAGGUAGGGUCUAUGAAAGAUAUUGAUUGAUCGAAGCACAUUGCAAGAAAGGCAAGUAGUACUUGAAGUGCUGUCCUGAAACCAUGGGGAAAUGGUUUAAGCAGGGCUAGUAUUAGGAAAAAGGUUACUAUGAAGACAAUAUAAGUUGGAAUAUAGAAAUGAAGAAAACUAGAUUGAUCCAUGACUGAUUUCCCUGGUACUGUUGAAUCAUAUGAUCCUUUGGACGUUGAGGUAUUUUCACCUUACCAAACACCACCAGGGGGGCUUAGACUGGCUUGGUAAGUUGCAGCUAGAAGUACUCCUAAAAUUACUAGUAAGGCAUUGCGGUCCUCCCCUGAUAUAUUAUCCAUAUUGUGAAAAAUUAGUGAUGAUGCCUUUGUCACAUGCUUGACGAUUUGUUUCUCCAAUUUACAUUUAAAGUUUGAAACUUCUGGAAUAAAGCAACCACGCAGAAUAGUAAUGCUUUCCCUAUUAUGUUGUUGUUGUGCUACAUCCAUUACCGUCCAACCAGCCUGGUUGUUGGCAUGCUUAUCGGCUUUGCAGUUUAAUAGUAGUUUAAGCUCUGUUCAAAAAGGCUACGUUUAGUUAAUCCUACGUAUGAAAUACAAAAGAACCUAAUCAAUACGGACUGCUAUUGAAGUAGAUGAGUCAAACCUCGGGUUGAUUAUGGAAAGCAGCUAACUGCAGUGCAGUGUUUCCAUCUUCAUCUAUUUGGUUCACCACUUCCCGAUAAUAGUCUGUCUUCCAAAGUGUUCGAAUUAGGACUUGGAGAACAUCCAGUCUGUUGUUUUCUACAGCAAUAUGCAAAGCAUUGCGAUUCUCAAUUGGAACAUAUUGUAUACAUUGAGGACAAAUCUCUAAAAUUCUAUCCAACAUGCCAUCAUGAUUUCCAGCUUCACUUAAGAAGUGCAAGGGAGUCUUACCGUUCUUUCCUUUGACACGAACAAGAUCAUUAUCCAUUUCCAAGAAACGUAGAGCCAUCUCUUUAUGCCCUUGUUUAACUGCAAUGUGAAGUGGGCUCAGGCCCUGUUGGUUUAGCUUCCUAGCAAAUGCUGGCUUUAAGUUCAUCAUUUCCAUUGCAAACCUAAUGCAUCCUUCUUCUGCAGCAAUGUGUAAAGGAGUGUCGACAAACUCCACCUCAUCAAAGUGCCUCAAAACAUUUCCAUCUCUUUGAAUUAAAUUGUACAAAUCAGUAACAUUUCCUGUACGAGCUGCUGUUCUCAACCUUUCAUCCAUGUGAGGUGGAAGGACCAAUUGACAGAAGAAAAUUUGAAAGAGCUUAAGCCCACUUACAAGGUUUACUAGAAUGAGUAAAGACUAAGGUGCUCUGUGAAAUGAAGUAGGUCUUUCACAUGUUCAUACUCGAAAGUUUAAAAUAGGAAACAUUUAUCAAGAAUUUUCUGCAGCUUUGUUUAUAAAGAAAGCAGAAAAAGGAAUCUUUCAAGUCCGCCUGCUUAUUAUUUUAAAGAAAGUUACAUUUGUCCAAAUUUUAAUUGAUCUUCUUGCCAUUGGCUAAGCAGCCUCUCAUAUUAUUAUUUAUGUAUUUAGGUUAGUUUAAAAUUUUUAAAAUUUUAUAUUACUGAAGGUAAAAUUGUAUUACCUUCUUAAAAAUAAUAAUAAUUUAAUUUAAUCUUUUAAAAUUUAUAAAGAUAUAAACAAUUAAAAUGAUGAAAUUAAAUUUUUACUAUCGUAAAAAUUAUAAUUUAAUUUCGAUUUCUCUUAAAAAAAUUAUACCAAAUAAGUUUUUUAAUUCAUAAAAUAUGAUCGUUAAAGGUUGGCGAGUGAACCAUUUUGUACAUAUAUCAUAUCACAUGGCCACUCUCGUGAUACUAUUUUAUUUUAUAUAUCAUAUUAUAAUGGUGUUUUUGGAUCACUAGAGGAAUGUUAGAAAAAAAAUCAUAAAAAUAUCAAUUUAAAAAAAAAACAAAUCUAUUAAAAAAUGAGAGUACACAUUAAUCUUUUUAAUUACGCAUUGAUUAAACAAUUAUUAAAUGACAUUUUAUAAAAAAAUUUAAAAUACAUUUAAAUUAACUAUAAUUUAUUUACACACACAAAAAAAAAAAAAAACUAUAAUUCAUAGAGUCUACAUUAAAGAGUGAGUUAGUAUAGGAAAGGUUAUAGCAAUGGAUGUUUAAUCUUUUUGGUGCUGUGAUCUAAGCCAACAAAGGAACAAUAGAAAAGACAGAAAUUGAGCGAUAAAGUAUAUACAUAUUUAUUAUGUUUUUGAAGGUUUCAUUAACCUGGAGUUAUUAUAUUAUAAAACUUUGCAUACUUUAAGGUUAAAAACUUGUGUUCAUCCAUGUGAUCUAGUUUUAUCCAAUGAUAAAACUAUGCCUUUUGUAUGCCCAUACUCCAAAUGUAAACAAAUAGCAUCUACAAUAAACUUCAUACUUCACUAGCAUUGUAUAUCCCCUCCACCGCCACCCCUGUGGCUAUCAAUAAGUUCAGAAUUAAGUAGCUGUGGUUUUCUCUUGUAAGGAUGAGAACACAAGUUUCAAUCUAAAAAAUAUUAUUUGUUGUGUUAAGAUAUAAUAAAUCUGUUAAAGAAGUAGUUACAGAUUAGCUGAGUUGUCAGCUAUAUUGUUAAGAGAAGCAGUUAGUUAGAGAGUCUAUAAAUGUUCACGAUUGGCAUUGUAUUGAAUCAAGUUAGAAGUCUAAAUUCAGAAUUGAAAACAUUGUUCAUUAAGAAUUCUUUAGUUUCUUAGAACUUACCUAUAUUUCUUCAUGGUAUCAAUCGCCUGGUGAUCCUCUGCCAUGGCUACCACGAAUUCUGCUACUUCUGAUUCUGUAGAACCGCAAGUGUCUGCGUUUGUUGCUGAUCGAGUUGUAAAUUCAUUUCCUCGUCAUGAGGUUGUGAAGCUAGAUGAAGGCACCUUUGUUCAGUGGAAACAACAGGUGCGUUUUAUUGUUAAUGGUUACAAUUUGUUUGGAUUUCUUGAUGAAUCGGUUUCUCCUCAGCUGCGAUUCAUGCAAGCACCGGAUGGUGCCCUUGUGGUGAAUUCGACAGCCUCUGUUUAUCACCAACAGGGUAAUUUGAUUACAUCCUGGCUUCUAUCAACAAUCAAUUCUUCGAUCUUGUCUUCUUUUACAAAUGUGCAAACCGCUUCGGAUGUGUGGACGACGGCGUUGGCCUUGUUUGCAGCGGACACAGAUCUGAAACAGUCCCGCCUGAGACAUGAUCUUCAUUCCAUCAAGAAGGGAAAUCUGUCCAUCCGAGAUUAUGUUGGAUGUGUGCUCUUUUGGAGGCCUCUGAUUCUUCGAUCUCGGUGGCGGAACGAACGACGGUGUUUCUUCCCGGUCUUCCCUCGGAGUUUGACGCCGUGGUGUCGUCUGCUACACUGUCUUCGACCUCUCUUCCUUUCCAGCGUCUUGUCGAUGCGCUGAUCGAGUAUGAAAAUCGUCAGGUGCAAGCGGCUAAAGAAGUUGUUUAUGCCGCGAAUUUAGUGGAAGACUCGUCACCGGUUGUGGAUGUUUCAUCACGUGGGGGACGUUCGGUGGUGCGUGGCCGUGGUCGGAGCUUUCGGCCUCGGCUUCAGUGUCAGAUCUACUCAAGGUUCAGUCACGUUGCUCAACGGUGCUAUUACCGGUACCAUCAUGAAGACGCAUCUCCGGUGCAAUUUCCGUCGUCGACUCCUCCUGCUACUGGGUUUUGUGACUAGCCUUCACAGCAAAAUACAAGGCCUAGAAUUUCUAAUGUUGGUCAAAAUGGUUAUGGGUCUGGUCAACAUGGUGAUAAUGGUCAAAAUUGGUUUGUUGAUGGACCAUUUAAUACACAGCAGUGGGGGCCGCAUGAACUUCAAAAUGUUGGGCUCAAUAAUGGUUGGCCUAGGCAAAAUAUUGAUGAGGGCCGUAUGUUUAGGCCUCCAUAUUAUGGGCCGAAUGUUCUUGGGCCUAAUCAUGGGCCGAAUGAAGGAUUAGACAGGAGAUUUGGGCCUACUCAUGAUAAUGGGCCGAAUGAUGUUGGGCCGAAUGCUUCUUUAUUAGCACCUAACCCUGUUUCGAAUAAUGUGCAGCUUGACCCGGCUAAGCCAUCCGGUAAUGUUGGUGUUCCGUGGCGUACUAAACCACGAGCCUGUGUGUUUUCAGUGUCCAAUAUUUGUUUUGGGCUUCCUAGAUUGGGAGAUCUUCAUGCGUCUGACUAUUCUGAUUUGUCUAUCUCCGGUUCGCAUAUAAACUCCACACAACAUGGGAUUAGUAGAGAUGGCUCUGACUCUCCGGUUCCUGGGCCAGCUAGCACUACAUCCUGGUAUCCUGAUUCGGGUGCUAGUAAUCACGUGUGUCAAGAUCCUUCUGCACUGCGUGAUGCUGUUCCAUAUUCAGGUACGUCCUCUCUUUUAAUAGGUGAUGGUACGCCUGCUAUGAUAUCGUUUGUUGGUCAGGGUGUUUUGUCUACACAGUCUAGGUUACUUCGGUUAUUUAAUGUUUUGUGUGUUUCAGCUAUUCGAAAAAAUUUAUUGUCAGUAUCACAAUUUGCAACUGAUAAUGGUGUUUUAUUUGAGUUUCACUCCAUUUAUUAUGUGAUUAAGGACAACAUGACACAGGAGAUUUUGCUGACGGGCUGUAUACAUAAUGGGCUAUAUCAGUUUUCUAUAUCAGAUGCUUCUAUUCCUGUUACAUUUCAUCUGUCUACUGCUCAGGUUGAAAUUCCAACUCGGACUGCCGACAAUGAGUUUUGUUUACUAUGGCAUAAGCGUCUUGGCCAUCCAUCAUCGAAUGUUGUUAAGAAUGUUCUUGAUAAAUGUCAUUUCAAUUUGAAUAAAGUUGCGAUAAGCGAUGUUUGUACUGCUUGUAAAAAAGGAAAGUUUCAUAAGUUGUCGUUUCUUGUUUCUAGUACUGAAUAUACUGAUCCCUUCUCUUUGGUUAUUUCGGAUUUGUGGGGACCUGCCUCAAUUGCUUCUGGUAACAAUUGGUAUUAUGUGUCGUUUAUCGAUAUGAGUUUUCGGUUUACUUGGGUGUAUUUGAUUAGGCAAAAAUCUCAGGCUGUGACUUACUUUAUUCGGUUUCAGAAACUUAUUCAGAAUCAGUUUGGCAAGACCAUCAAACAGUUCCAAAGUGACUAGGGCGGGGAGUAUCGAGCAUUUGCUUCAGUUCUGGCCUCUCAAGGUAUCAUCCAUUGCAUUUCAUGUCCUCAUGCCUCUGAACAAAAUGGUGUUGCUGAGCAUAAACAUAGACAUAUUAUGGAAAUGAGACUCACUCUUUUAGCUCAAGCUGGUCUUUCAAUAGAGUUCUAGGCGUAUGCCUUUACAUGUGCUGUUCAUUUAAUAAAUCGUCUUCCCACACCAGUUCUGAAUUGUAGGACUCCGUAUAGAGCUCUGUAUGGGACUGAACCUAUCUAUGAUCAUCUACGUAUUUUUGGAUGUUGCUGCUAUCCGUAUUUACGCCAUUUUCAGCGGCACAAGUUAGAGUUUAGGUCUCAACCGUGCACGUUCUUGGGUUACAGCUCUUGUCACAAAGGGUAUCAAUGCCUUUUGCCUGAUGGUCGAAUUAUUAUCUCGCGUCAUGUAGAGUUUGAUGAAUCAAGGUUUCCCUCUCCAACGUCUCUAUCACGGUCUACUCGGGAGGUGAGUACUAUACCUACAUGUUUUCCUGUACUUAAGACUAAACCAUUGUGUCAAAGGAACUCAGUAACUAGUCCUAUUUGUCCGAGUACGGUGCAUGGGUCUUCGAUUCCUCAGAAUGGAGUAGAUAAUAGUCCGGAAAAUACUAAUGGUUCUAAUACUCCCUCUUUAACUAGGUCUUCGAUUCCUCAGAAUGGAGUAGAUAAUUCUCAAAAUAAUUUUUCUUCCUCUGGUGAUUUGUCUCCUACACCUGUGGUUCCAGUUCCAUUUGUUCCUACAGGACCAGAGGUUUCUGUUCCUAACAUGAAUGUUCAUUCCAUGACCACUCGGUCAAAGGCUGGUAUUUUUAAACCUAAAGUUCUUGCUGUUGAAGUUGUAGAACCAUCAACGAUUGAGAAAGCUUUUACUAGCCCUGAAUGGCAGACUACUGCUCAAUCUAAGUAUGAUGCCUUAAUCCGUAAUGGUACCUAGGAACUUGUCCCUGUGCCAUCAGGUAGGAAAGUCAUUGGCUGCAAAUGGCUAUUUAAGGUCAAGAAAAACCCGGAUGGUACGGUUGAAAGGUACAAAGCAUGUUUGGUUGCGAAAGGUUGUUCUCAAGUUCCGGGUUGUGAUUUUCAAGAGACGUUUAGUCCAGUGGUAAAACUUGCCACUAUUCGAGUUAUCCUAUCGGUCACGGUCACUAAAGGAUGGUCGCUUCGACAGGUUGAUGUCGAUAAUGCCUUUUUAAAUGGUGAUGUUGAUAAUGAAGUGUUUAUGCAACAACCCCCAGGAUAUGUUCACCUUGGCUUUGAUGGGAGACCCUUGGUCUGUCGAUUAAAAAAGGCUUUAUAUGGAUUGCGUCAGGCUCCACAAGCAUGGUUUGAGAAGUUGAGAUCGUUUCUUCUAACCGUUGGGUUUAUUGGUUCAAAGUCAGAUGCGUCGCUAAUUGUUCAUAUCUGUUCUGACUCUACUCUCUAUGUUCUUGUGUAUGUUGAUGACAUAAUCAUAACUGGUAAUCUGUCGUCAUCUAUUGACUGGUUUGUGAAGCUGCUGAAUGAUGAGUUCUCGUUAAAAGGCAUGGGUGAUCUUCAUUAUUUUCUGGGUAUUGAGGUUACUAGGUCCUCCUCUGGGUGUCUUCAUCUUUGUCAAAAGAAGUACAUCCGAGAUAUGUUGGAGCGUAGUGGUUUAUCUAAUGCUAAAAGUGUCCACACGCCCAUGAUUAGCUCGUCACAUUUGUCUAAAAAUGAUGGUGAUCCUCUUUCCGAUCCAAUUGCGUAUAGGAGCCUGGCUGGUGCAUUACAAUAUGUUGUUAUUACUAGGCUUGAUAUUGCAUAUGCGGUAAACAGGAUUUGUCAGUUUAUGCAUAGUCCUACCAUAGUUCAUAUGGUUGCUCUUAAGAGGAUAUUGAGGUACUUGUCUGGUACUCUUGAAUUUGGGAUUGUUUUUAGUCGUUUUGAUUCACUAUCUCUAGUUGGUUUUUCGGAUGCCAACUGGGGGUUGGAUUUCGAUUAUCGGCGUUCUACUUCAGGAUAUUGUGUGUUUUUUGGGUUCAACCCUGUCUCGUGGUCCUCUAAAAAACAGCAAGUGGUGUCUCGGUCUACGGCUGAGGCUGAAUACCGAAGUCUUGCUGCAAUCACCAGUGAUGUUUUGUGGUUACUCUCGUUGCUUCAGGAGCUACAUAUUAGGUCUGUUAAUCCGCCUAAUAUCUGGUGUAACAGUUCCAGUGCCGUAGUAGUUGCUACCAAUCUUAUGUUACACUCCAAAUUUAAACACGUGGAGUUAAAUCUGUUCUUUGUUCGUGAAAAGGUUGCUGCUGGUUCUGUUCUGGUCAGGGAAGUUCCUGCGUCCGAUCAAGUUGCUGAUGUCUUAACUAAACCACUCUCAGUUUCGUAUUUCACUCGAUUUAGGAAUUUUCUUCGGGUCGUUUCGGUGGGGAAGAUGGAUGCAUGUUAAGAUAUAAUAAAUCUAUUAAAGAAGUAGUUACAGAUUAGCUGAGUUGUCAGCUAUACUGUUAAGAGAAGCAGUUAGUUAGAGAGUCUAUAAAUGUUCAAGAUUGGCAUUGUAUUGAAUCAAGUUAGAAGUCUAAAUUCAGAAUUGAAAACAUUGUUCAUUAAGAAUUCUUUAGUUUCUUAGAACUUACCUAUAUUUCUUCAUGUUGGAAUGAUUUUAUAGCUACCAAGUUUCAAUUAAUGAGAUCUGUUGAAAUUUUUUUUUUGGUUAUGAAAAUAAAAAUACACAUGUAUAAUAUGUUUAGUGAACACAUUUAAAAUUAAUUUGUAAAAAUUAUUUAGACAUCUGUUGAAACAGAUACAAAAUAUACUAAAGGUGCGACUGAAACAGAAUGAAACUUUAGACUUGUCUUAAUUUUCGAUUAGAAAAUUGAAGUGUUACAACGGUUAGUACACCACUUUAUGCAUAAUCUACAUGAAUUACGGAAUAACCAGCAUCCUCAAGCUAAGAUCAUUGAAACCAUUUUUAUCAACCAUAGCAAUCACAACCAACAAACUAUAACCUACACUUAAAACGGUUCCUUUCAGAAACUCAUCAUAUAAGAAACGAAAUAACAACAAUUCUUGAAUUAUACCUAAAUUUAUUUGUAAAUUAUCUAAAGCCAAAAUAGAAGUCCAAGGAAAUAAUCAACUUUCUACUAUUGAAACACUGAAUUCUGACAACCGGUAUGCAGUACACGAACGCAAUUAUUGAAAUUAUAUGGAUAAGUUUAGAUGCUAAAGGGGGAGUAGGUAUAUAUAAAAGAUAUUGAUUGAUUGAUUGAAGCAUAAGUAGUACUUGAAGCCUCACAUUGUGCUUCCCAUCUGUUGAGACAGUUACGUAAACAAUAAUUCGUGUAAUGAUGUAAUUAGUGUUCAUUGCCCUUGGGGCUGCACAAGUCACAUAAUUUGCUAUAUUUGGGUUUAAUUAUGGAGACAAGCCAGUAACUAAAUUUUGGUUCCAAAGUUCACGGGUAUUGAAACAUGGGCCCUCAAGCAGUCGAUUGUUGGGAUUGUGAGGUUGGGGAUGGUUGAAAAUAGAAAUCUUGGGAUUUUUCAGUGCCGUCCAAAGGUGUUUAUCUUCAUGUUGGAGCUACGGUUCACUUUUAGUGUAAAACAUGGGAGAGGUUUCCACUUUCAAAGGUGCUUAUAUAAGAAUUUAUACUUUCAUUCGGUUCUUAUGACUUCUUUUUUAAAGUAAAUCCUAAUAUGAUAUUAAUCUCUAAUGUUAAUCUAAUAUUUAUCCUAAUAUUGUCGUCAACACCAAGAAGAAGAAGAAGAAAAAGAAAACAGAAACUCUAUCUUAUUACCUAAUGGAAUUUUGAAAAAAAAUAAAUCUAAAAAAUUAUUUAAAAUUCUAAUUAGGUAUUAAUUUAUUGGUAUGUUAAAAUAAUUUAACAGUGUUAUUGUAACUGACUUAAGUUGUUAAUAAUUAAAAUGAAAUGAUUUUUUUUUAUUAAAAUGAAAGUUUAUAAUGUAAAUUAUCUAAUAUCCAUUGUAUUUAUUUUCACUAAAUGAGAAUUACAAGUUAAAAUAAGUUAAAAUCUUUAAUAGUAAUUAUUAAUAUUAAGUAUUUUUUUUAUCUUUAAUUUAUUGGCACAUAUGGGAAAGAUAUAAUUUUUAUAUUCUUUUAAUUUUUUAAAAACUUUUUAUAAUUAAAGCAAAAAAAUAAAAAGAAUAGGGGUCAAAUUGAUAAAUGUUGUAAAGGUUAAGGGGCUAAAUUUGUUAUUGUAUCUAAUUUUUUAACAGAGUUAAUAGAAAAAUGAACAAAGGGAUUGAAAAUGAGCAAAUUGAAAAGUAGAAAGAUCAAUUUUGAGCAAAUAAAAGUAGAGAAACCAAAUCUACACAAACUGAGAAUCCAGGGCUAUCCUUACAAUCUAACCUAAAAUAUAAAAAAUUAAAUACAUAAAUAUUAUUUUAGUAAUUUCUAAACAAAGUUAGCACUUUAAUGUAGGGGUGUUCAAAUUUCAGUUAAAAUCGAAUUAAUCGAUUGAACCAAUCUAAUUCGGUUAAUCAGUCGGUCAAUUAAUCUAAUUCGGUCGGAGGCCAAUUAAUGAUUUUUUGAAAAUUCGAUUGUCGGUUAAUUCGAUUUGAAAUUAGGUAAUUAACUGAAUUUAAUAAUUAAUAACACAAUUAUAUGUAUUUUUAAUUCAAUUAAUUCGGAUAAUUCAAUCAAAUGAACCUUAUCAAAUUAUUUUUUAUUUAUUUAAUAUUUAUUUUAACUAAAAAAAAAUACAAAUUUCGAUUAACUGUUUUUAAAAAAAAUUCCCGUAAUGUUUCCUAGCGUAUGCAGGUAAAUUUUUUUUUAUUUUUUUUCAUUUAUUGGUAAAUUAAUGGUUAAUAAAUCCUUUCAUUCUUUAAUCUUCCCCCAUUUUCUUUCCUUUAAUUAUAUUUAUCCAAAUAUAGGGUUAAUGUAGAAUUUUUAUUUUAUUUUAAUUUUUACCAUUAUCCUUUAUAUUUUAUCUUUAAAAUUAAAAAUUACAUUUAAUAAAUAGUAUAAUUAUAUUUCGAAAUAAAUUUUAAAUGAUAUAUAAAUAUAUUUUAAAUUUAAUUCUCAAAAACUUAACUUUUUAAUAUUUAAUUUUUCUAUUUAUCCAACAACGUUUAAGUAUUGCACUCACACUCGUAAAUAAAUAAAUAAAUAAAUAAAUGAAGGCCUUUUGUAAUUAAGAAAGUUGAGAAUGGGUUGCUCCUCAUAUGGUGGAAUUGGCUACAAUAAUGAAGGAAGGAAUAUCCAAUAAUUGGGAGGCAAUGGCAUGCCCUACACAUACUUUUUACUGUCUGUGGUAAUGGAUCAAUUGCACCUAUUUUGUUUUCUUCACUUGUUCUUGUCCUGCAUUAUUUGGAUUUGUGAGUAAAUUAACCGAGACAACUUAUUCAUCAGACUUACUUGGAGAGAAGUGUACGAAGUAUCAUCUCUCGAGAGAGCACACAAACUCUUCAUAUAUAGGUAUCACUUAAGGAGAAAUGUAAAAUUUUAGAUUACAUUAUCUUUUUUAUCGAUCUUACCCAUUAUAUAUAAAAUUUGGGAUUUAGAGAUUAAGAAAAAUGAAAAAUAAAAUUUUAAUAAUUUCUUUAUUCGCACGAGUUAUAUUAAAAAAAAUUAUUUAUUACACAUCCAGUAAAAGAGUGAAUAAAAGAUUUUGAAAAUUAAAAAUUAUUAAAAGAAUUGUGAGCUUUAUUUUUCAGUUUCCACAUGACGAUGGUCAAAUUCAUGCUUAUCCAAACCUGCAGGUGUAUGCAGAACGAUAAAGCUAAUCUUGACUGCUAGUCUUUCUUCUUUUUUACUUUUGAAUACUCUUCUCUUGUUGCUUUCAUUGAAAUAAUGUUGGACUGUAAUCUUGAAUACCAUUUAAAAUUUUUUUAUUAUAAAUAUUAAAAUUAUAACAUUUUAGUUAUUUAAUUUAAUCAAAUAUUAUAACUUGUUGAAAUCAUAAAAUAAAAAAUCAAUUCAAAAACAAAAAUCUCUUUUGUUCAAUUCUAAUUGAAUUGGUGUCUCUAAUCAAUUGGACAUCAAUUCGAUUAGGGAAUUACGAAAAUAUCUUUUCAUAUUUAAAAUAAUUAAUAUUAUUCGAAAGUAUUUUAAUCUUUUUAUGCAAACUUAUCAAUAAAAACAUGAAUCUAAUGGGAUUUGACGUAAGACUCAUCUAUAGAUGAAUUCAAAAUUUUUACUCGAUUCAAUCGAACAAUCACCUCUAAAUAUUACACAUUUUGAAUCUUCAUGUUGGUAAAGAUAAAGUGGAGAAGUUAUCUUUUGUGUGUAUGUGUGUUUUAGUAUUUCCUUUAAUUGUGUGGCUAAUUAAGUGCCUUUAAUGACACUUUUAAGCAAUCAUAUCCAUUUUAUUUAUGAAGGAACUUUGUGGUCAUGAUCGGGAGAUCCGAAUUUAGCAUAUUUACAGAGAAAGAAAUCUUGUUUCAGAUUUCUUGGCCCAUACGGGAUCUGGCUCCGGCUUUGAUCGAAGUUUACUACGAGAGCCACCUGGAAAUGCUCUCUCAACUUCAACUACACUAUGUGAUUAUAUUGCUGGUUCUUUGCCCUAGCGCCUCUGUUCGUUUGUGGGUAAUUAGUUGUUGUUAAGGCUUUUGCCUCUUUCUAAUUUUAUUAAAAAAAAAAAGGAAAAAACUUGGCACGAUGGAUCCAUCUUAGCUAAUAAAAAACUUCAAUCACCGAAUUGUACGAAAUUCUAACUUAAAUUUAAAUGUAACAACCAGAAUCAUUCAUCAAUCCACAAUAUCAACCAAUCUCAAUUCAAACACAAAAAUAACGAGUGAAAAAAAUAGUUCAACCCAUAAACAUUGACCACAAAGGGAAAUUUGAAACACUUACCACCAUCCCCUAUCAGAAAGUCUUUCCCCCAUUCAACAACUAGAAAUCAGAGCUCACCAAAAUGUCUAUUCUUUUCAAUCUGAACCGACUCUACAAUCACAUAUUGCUCAUGGUCAUCAGCCUAUAAAGCCAGGAGCAUUAUUAACUUCUAAAUCCAAAACACUAAUAUCAGCAACCAACCCUACAAUGAUAGUCUAAUUGACUCAUUUAAACAAGUUUCGUUUGUCAAUCUACAUUCCGUAUUUGGUAAUCUCCAAUAUUGUCUCGGAAUUUAGGAUAGCUGGAACAAGAAUACCAGCAAAGAUGCAAAGGGAAACGACUUGUAGGAGGAGGAAGAACCUUCUUUUGGGUACAAACCUGUAUAGCAUAUAAUAGGAUGUCCUGUAUAACGUCACGAGAGCCAGUACCGUUGCCAAGCAGUAAUUAGCAAUGCUGAGACGAGGAUAGGAAACGGAUCCAGGAGUCGAAAGAGAGAACAAAUACUCAAGUGCGAGUGUCCGUAUGGAAACAGCAACUAAAAGCAUGUAACAGGUCCCAAACAAGGAAAGUGUUAUGAGAAUAAACAAGCAGAUUGAACGGCUGGGUAGGAGAUAGGCUGUUAAAACAGUUGCUGCCCAAAAAGUUAAAGUGUUGUAUAACCAAAACAUUGUGGACACGUCUAGUAUAUUUUUAAAUUUUUCUUCUUCAGCGGGUGGAGGAGUUGGUGCGGGUCCAGUGCUGGUUGAACCUACAGAUGCGUCAUACCUGAGAUGGAAAUUCCGGGAAUUUGAAAUGGUAUCAGGCUGCUUUGGAGGGUUCAAAGUGGCAGUGUAUGUGGCUGUUAUAAUUAGCACUGUGACCACUAAAAAUGUGUUACGCAUCUCAUGUGGGAUUCCCUUCUUUCCACGACUUGCCAUUGUUGCAAAUUUUUGAAGAACUGACACCUUUCCUUUUAAAGAUUCGAUGUGGACUGAGGUUUUGGGAAGCGAGGAACCACUCAAACCUCCUGCUUUGCUUAUCAUGUCUUUAAUGGACUCCUUAUAGUCCACUUUCCCUUCAACCAAUGGGUAUUGUGAUGGGAUAUCAAGUGCAGUCAAUCCCUCCGCAUUUUUGGCAUUGAUAUGGUCACCACACAAGCGUUCCAGCAGUACUUUUACCACCUGUUAAUUAGAAUAUUCAUACAAGAGUAACCUUUGAGUAUAUAUAUAUACAUAAAUAAUUUCACUAGCAAAAUUAUCAUACCUGAGGUCUGUUUCUGAUAGCAGCGACAUGUAAAACAGUGUUGCCAUCAAUGUCUGCCCAACUCAGUAGUUCUUUCUCCCAACGGUUGGCAGCUUUAUGGCGGCUCCUUAUAAGCCACCCCACCAAGACUUGGAAAGCUUCAAACCUGUCAUUUUUUACGGCAAGAUGGAAAACCGUCUCAUCUCGAACAGUCACAUCUUCAAUAGCCUCGGGGCAAACCUCAAGGAACUUGAUCAAAAAAUCAACAUUUCCAUUUUGAACCACAUGAUGCAAAGGAGUGAAGCCCUCCCGCCCUUUGACACGAACAAGGCCUUCAUCAAACCUGAGAAGUCGAAGCACUGCUUGAGUGUGUUGAUUUUGCAGAGCCAAGUGCAUGGGGCUAAACCCAGCUUGGUUUAGCUUUCUUGCAAACGAUGGCUUUAAGUUGAUCAUCUCCAUCAUAAAAUCAAUAUGCCCUGCAGAGGCUGCUACAUGCAAAGGAGUAUGGAAAAAAGGUACAUCAUCGAUACGCUGAAAAACAUAUGGAUCAUUCAGAAUUAACUCAUACAAGAUGUUUAUGUCUCCUGUUUGUGCAGCACCUAUCAUCCUCUCAUCCAUAGCAAGGUGCGGAAAUUUGCAGAAUAUAGAAAUGGAGUGAAGAAAAAACGCUUUAGCAGACGAUGUGAUUAUGUUAAGGAUAUACUGAAGUGUUUUAUUAUUUUUUCCAGAUGGAGUGUGUGAUAUUUUAUAGCACUUAAUUAUUUUGGAUUUAUAUGUGAUGUCAGCCACUACACGUAUACAUGUGAAUGUCACCUAUUAGAAAGAAAUAGUAAUUAUAUUUAGUAAUUAAAUUCAUAUUUAAUAUAUAUUUUUAAUCUAAUUUUUUAACUCAAUUUAAUUUUAGUUAAAACGUUUAAAAACAUUUAUUUAAUUUAAUUUCUUUAAUAUAUUAAAUAAAUUGAAUUAGAGAAUAUAUUAAAUAUGGAUGAAUACUAUAUCAUACUAAUUUUAUGUCUCUAAAAAUUAAUAAGGUGUCAUUAUUUUAUUGGUGCUUAAAAAAUUAAAAUAUUUAGAAUCAUCCUAAUAUAAGUUAUUCUAUUAAUAAUAAUAUUUGGUACUUCCACGAGUAAGUUCAAUAGUUUGACAAAUGUCUUAUAAAAGUAUAGUAAAAUAUUAAAAAAAAUUAUUUAGUGACUUAAUUUUUUAAGAACAUUUGAUAAUUUAUAAAGAAAAUAAAUAAUAAUUUUUUUCAAUAAAAAAGUGUGAAAAAAUGAUAAGUAGAUAAUAACUAUUAUCACUUACAACAUGUUUGGAUUAAAAAGAUAGAAAAAAGGAGGGAAAAUUAAGUAAAAUGAGGGAAAGAAAAUUCGGUUUCUUUGUUUAAGUUAAGUAAAUAUCGUAUCAUUAGAUUUUAUAUUUUAGGGUCUGUUUGAUUGAAGGAAUUGAUUUUCCGAAAAAUCAUUUUUAACUUUUCCAGCGUUUGAUUGGCGGAAAAUAUUUUCCAUUUGGAAAAUGAACUCCAAAACAUGGAAAAAUGGGUUACAUUUUAGGGAAAAUGUCUUACCCUUUCAAUUUCCGUAAGACAUUUUCCGUGCUCUCCUCUCUAUCUCCUCCUUCAUUCCUUCCUUCAUUUCCGGUAAAAAAUUGUUACUGUUUAUCGAUUUUCUAGUAACUUGUUUUUUUAAUUAUUCAAUACUUAUUUUUUUAACACAAUUACAAAUAAUUUAUUUGAUACUAAUUUUUUUCAAUUUAUAAUGAUUAAUAUUGUAGCUUAAUAAUUGAGUAUUAUUAUAAAUAAAUCAUUGCAAUAUAUGUAAAAAUAAUUUAAAAUAUAAAAAUUUAUUAAUAUAUAUCAAUAUAUGUAAAAACAAUUUUUUCAAAAAAUAUUUACCAGAAAUCUGCCAAACAGCCGAAAAUAUUUUACACAGAUUCAAUCAAACACCAGAAAAUAUUUUCCAGUAAAUCAUUUUACAGAAAAGUAAAAUAUUUUCCCGAAAUCAAUUUACGGAAAAUAUUUUACUGGCAAUCAAACAGACCCUUAGAUUAUUAUCUCUUCUUCUUCUUCUUUUAACUUGUAACCAUCUUAUUUUUAUUUUCUAUUUGUUUAGGUUACUAGAAAUAUUUAAUUUUAAAUUUGUUUGAUAUAUAUUUUUAAAAAUUUUAACAAUAUUUUUUAUUAACUAUUUUGUUAAAUUAUUAGGAAUCCUUCAUUUGUAAUUUGGUUAAGAUAUAUUUUUUAGUUUGAUCAAAUAAGCUUAUUUAAAAAAAAAAGAGAGAAUAUACCAAUAUAUUAUUGGUUAACAUUUUAAUUAUUAUUUUAUAUAGACUAUUGAUAUUGUUCUAUAAUUUUAAUUUGCUGUGAUUUAAUUUUGUUAUUAUAUAUUAUUUAUGAACUGUUAAAAUUAAAAAAUAAAAGUAAAAUAAUUCAUUUUCUUUCCUUUUCACAGUUUAGCAAAACAAGUCCACAAGGUCGCCCCAUUCAACAAAAAUUAAAUUGUUUAAAUAUAUAUAUGUAUAUAGGGACUAGUUUUAACAAAUAAAAAAUAUAGAAAAACUACAUUAAAAAAAUAGAGAAUGGAGGAAAACAGAGGGAGAAGCAGAAGACAAUAAAAAAUAAAGGAAAGUUAAAAGAACAUAAAAAAAUUAAAUUGAAUUGCUCAAAACGAAAAAAAUAUGGGGAUCAGUUGUAUAAAUCACCCUAAAUUUUUUGUUUGAAAGAUGAUUUAACAUGUCACAUCAGCUUAUCGUUAUAUGGUUAACGGAAAUUAACAGCUCAGUGACUAAAAUGUUACAACGCGAUAACGUAAGUGACUAAAAUGUAACAUUUCAAACAUAAAUGACUAAAAUGUAAGCAAAAGUGACUAUUUUAAUAAUUUACCCUUACAUUUAUCCAAACAUACGCUUAAUGUAAACAUUUUUCAAUUAUUUUUAUUUUAUUUUAUUUUUAACCAUUAUCCUUUAUCCUUACUUUAAAAAGUAUAAUUAAUAAAUAGUAUAAUUAUUUUUCAAAAUUAAUUUUAAGUAAUACACCAAAUAGAUUUUAUAACUUAAAUUUAAUAUUUAAGUUUAUAAUAUUUUUUUAUCAAACAACAUUUACUCCUAAGUAAAUAAAUAAAUAAAGGCCUUGUGUAAUUAAGAAAGUUGAGAAAGGGUUAAUCCUCACAUGGAAAAAAUUGGCUACAAUAAUGAAGGAAAGAGAAAAACACUAAGGAAUAUCCAAUAAUUGGGAGGCAAUAUGUCAAUUAUGAGCAUACCCCAUACUGUCAAUGGUGAUGGAUGAAUUGUCUACUAUACAUGGAUUUUGUUUUCCUUUUUUUUUUCCUUUUUUUGUUCUUGUCCUGUAUUAUUUGGAUUUGAGAUCCCAAGCUAUGUAUGUCAUCACAUUUUAAAUAUAUAUAUAUUUAUUAUGUAUUGAGUAUCAGUUUUAUUGGUAUAAAUAUUAUUGUUAAUGUAUGAGAAUAUAGAUUCAAGUGUGCACUACACCAAAACAGGCUUUUAACGGCACUUUUAGCGGCGUUUUGAGCGAAGACGCUGCUAAAAAUCGAAAAAUAGCAGCGUUUUAGGAAAAGCGCCGCUAAAGAGUGAGCAUUAGCGGCGUUUAUAAAAAAUGCCGCAAAUAAUACACCCAAACAGUGCCGUUUUAUGUCCUUUCGGGGGAAUUAGUGGCGUUUUUUGUAAAGCGCCGCUAAGGCUAAGACUUUUAGUGGUGUUUUUUGAAAAUCGUCGCUAAUCUAGGUGUUUUAGCGGCGUUUUUUGUUUAUGCGCCGCAAAAAUAAUUUAUCUUAAUUGAACUAUUAUUUAUAUUGUUUAAAUCAAAUUAAACAUAUUUCUAAUAGAAUAUUUAAAAUCUUCAAUAAAAAAUAACAAGUAUAAAUAAUUCGAAAUAAAACACAUGGAAAAAUUAAAAUAGUAUUAUUUAAAAUAAUUUUAAAGUUUGUUGGGUACAUUACUGAUUGUUUUUUAAUUUAUAUAUUAAAAAUUUGAAAUUAUUAUCGUAAUUAAAAGAGAUAGUAUUAAUUUAAAUUUAAAAUAUUGAAUUAAGCGUAUCACUAUAGUUAAUAUAGGGUUUUAGGUUUUAGGGGUAUAUAUAUAUGAUAUUAUUAAUUUAAGAUUUUAAGUCGGUUUAGGGGUUACUAUUUUAAGGUUAUUAUUAUAAUUGAUCAGGAGUAUAUAUAUAAUAUUUGAUUUAAGGAUAUGGUUUAAGGGCUGAGAUAUAAUGUUUAGGGGUUAGGGUUGGGGUUAGCACUUAAGGGUUAUUAAUUAGGAGUUAAUUAAGGAUUUAGGGUUUAGCUAGGGGUUGGGUUAGGGAACGUAGGGUUUUAGAUUAAUUAGUAUUGCCAAAUUAUAUAUUAAAUAUGUUCUUAUAUAUAUAAUUGUAAAAGAGGUAAUAAUAAAUUUGUUUAGGAUUUUUCGGUUCGGUAUAUGAUUUGGUUUCGGUAUAUUAUUAAUUUAAAUACGAAUUUGAAUAGUAAUGCUCAAAUAUAUAAUUCAUGAAUAACACUUAAAUACUUAAAUAAAUUUGUGAAUUUGAAUUGAAAUCAUCCAAAAAUAUGCAUAUACCUGAGUCGGUAUCUUUCCUAUUUUGAUCACUUCAAUAAAAAAAAUCCCAUAUAUAUAUAUAUUUAGUACUCCUUAAUUAUUUGUUUUCAUUAAUUUAUCUAUUUGAUGAAGGUCAAUAUAAUAAAUUAGUUAAUUAGACAAAUUUAUUCAUUUAUCAAUAAAAUAAAAUAUUAUAAAUUUCAAAUUUUAUACAAAAAUAAAUAAAUAUUAUAAAGAUAAUAUUGUUUAUUGCUACUUUAUACAAAAAGUUUUUAGUAUUAAUUAUUCUUUAAUCAAUUAUAACUAUUUUAUGAUAUUUAUUAAAGAUUUAGGGAUUAUUUUGGAUGGCCGUGCUAUUUUAAAGAUUAGGGGUACAGAUUUAGGGUUUGGGAUAUAAGAGUUAUCUAGGGGUUUAGGGGUUACAAGUUACAAUUUAGGGGUUAAAGAUUUAGGGUUUAGGGGUUUAGGGGUCGGAUAAGGAUUUUAGGUUAGUUUAGAUUAAUUUCUUUAAAUAAUAUUUUAAAAAAUCAAUCUAAAGUAUCAAUUGAUAUAUUUAAAUAUUAUUUUAAAUAGAAUUCAUAAAUAAGUUAAAAAUAUAUAUUGAUAUAUAUUAUAUGGAUAUGGUUAUAUAUUUAGGUAUAAUUAUUUAUUUUGGAAAUAUAUAUAUAUAGGACCAAAUACAUAAGAAAUGAAGUAAAAAAAACAAAAAAUUUCAAAACGGCGCCAUUUUUGAAUGAAUAGUUAAACUUUUAGUGGCGUUUUAACUGUUAAACGCCGCAAAUAUGGGAAAGCAGUCAUGGCGUUUGUACAAGAAACGCCGCAAAAGUGUCUUUAAAAUUGAGUAAACGACACCGUUUGUCUACACGAUUUUUAACUUAUAAAAAGUUUAGAAUUAUUUACUUGAAACGUCACCAUUUGGCUUGUUGUACGUUAAGUAUUAGUGGCGUUUUUACAAAAACGCCACAAAAUGUACAAUUUGAGAACAAAAAAACAGCGUCGUUUCUGCAUACAGGUUUAAAUUUUUAUGGCGUUUUCGCAAAAACGCAGGAAAUUUAGGAAGCAAUAGCGGCGUUUUUCAGUAAACGCCGAAAAGGGUAUUAAAAUAAUGUCUAAACGGCGCCGUUUCUGUACAUGAUUUGUAACUUAGAAAAAUUUUAGAAUUAUUUAUUCAAAACAUCAAUUAAGUAUUCGUGGCAUUUUUACACAAAACGCAACUAAUAAUACAAUUUGAGACUAGCAAAACGGCGCCAUUUCUGUUUAAAACUUGAACUUUUAGUGGCGAUUUUAUAUCAAACGCCGCAAAUGGGUUUUAAAAAAAUGGGUAAACGACGUCGUUUCUAUACAGUAUAUUUUACUUUGACAAAUUUUAGUGGCAUUUGUGCUUAAAACGCCAGAAAUAAUGCAAUUCCAGACCACGAAAACGGUGUCGUUUCUGUUCACAGCUGUAAUACGUAGUGGCGUUUUUAGGAAAACGCCGGAAAUGUGGAAGAAGUUGCGGCGUUUGUACCUAAAACGCCGCAAAACGGUGUUAAUAUAAUGGCUAAACGACAUCGUUUCCGUAACCGAUUUUUAACUUAUAAAAAUCUUAGAAUAAUAUAUUUAAAACGUCACCGUUUGGCUUAAAAUAGAUUAAGCAUACAGGUUUAAAUUUUUAUGGCAUUUUCGUAAAAACACAGGAAAUUUAGGAAGCAAUAGCGGCGUUUUUCAGUAAACGCCGCAAAAGGGUAUUAAAAUAAUGUCUAAACGGCGCCGUUUCUGUACAUGAUUUGUAACUUAGAAAAAUUUUAGAAUUAUUUAUUCAAAACAUCAAUUAAGUAUUCAUGGCGUUUUUACACAAAACGUAACUAAUAAUACAAUUUGAGACUAGCAAAACGGCGCCAUUUCUGUUUAAAACUUGAACUUUUAGUGGCGAUUUUAUAUCAAACGCCGCAAAUGGGUUUUAAAAAAAUGGGUAAACGGCGUCGUUUCUGUACAGUAUAUUUUACUUUGACAAAUUUUAGUGGCAUUUGUGCUUAAAACGCCAGAAAUAAUGCAAUUCCAGACCACGAAAACGGUGUCGUUUCUAUUCACAGCUGUAAUAUGAAGUGGCGUUUUUAGGAAAACGCCGGAAAUAUGGAAGAAGUUGCGGCGUUUGUACCUAAAACGCCGCAAAACGAUGUUAAUAUAAUGGCUAAACGACAUCAUUUCCGUAACCGAUUUUUAACUUAUAAAAAUCUUAGAAUAAUAUAUUUAAAACGUCACCGUUUGGCUUAAAAUAGAUUAAGUAUAAGUGGCGGUUUUUAUUAAAUGCCACAAAAAAUGAAAUUUCAGAGUAACAGAACGGCGCCGUUUCUGUUAAAAGGUUUACUUUUUUGUGGCGUUUGGUCUAUAAACACCAGAAAUUUGGAAUAAGUAGUGGCAUUUUUUCAAGAAACGCCGCAAAGGUGUUUUAAUAUUUUUUCUCAACGAUGUCGUUUCCGCAGAUGUUCUUUAACUUAGCAUUUACACUCGACAAAGCACAGAAAGCAAAAGCCAAGUGCAGAGGCCGAUUGGGAAGGGGAAAAAACCUAAGAAAAAAAUCUAAGGAAGAGAGGGGAGGAGAAAUCAGAAAUCAUCAAAGAGGAAGCAACGAUUGCGUCAUUCUUGACAGUAGUUGCAGAAUUUCUGGUUAAAAGGUAUGCGUUUAAUCCUUCUGAAGAACAUCGUCUUGAUUUAGGGUAAUUUUAGGUGCAUUGUGUUUUGCGAAUUUGGGGUUUAGGAAAAAAAUUUAGAUUUUGAGGUUUGCGGUUUAGGUUAAAACACCAUUCUUGUUUGGGAAUUUGGGGAACUUGUAAAUUAUUUAUUUAGCAAUUUAAAUAGAAGGGUUUAUUUAGGAAAAUUUUGUGUAUUUAGGGGUUGCCUGAAUACAAAUAUGGGUCCUCAACACAGCCUGUUGUUUCUCCAUUACAGCGAUUUUUGGAGAAGCAUAAAAGGGUAAGGACAGCCCUUCUGGUUGUGGUAGUAUUUGGUGCUUCUAUGGUCAUCUUUAUGGCUGUGGAUUCUAGAGUUUAAUCUCGGUUCCUCUUAAACAUAUGUGGCAACUAGGACAAUAAACAAAACUAUUAAUCAUGACAGUAUAUAUGAUUGUGGAUGGUGCUGGUGAGCUUGAAAAUACAUUCCCUUUAAUAGCUCUACUAAUAUUUUGCAUAUGGACUAGACAAGAGAUACCAAUAAAUAACUCGUCUGGUCUUACACCUGAAAGACUCAAAUUAACACAGAUUUAAACCCAAGCUAGCUGGUGAAGGUUAAACAAACCAUUUUCCUAAAAUUUUCUUGGCUGAGCCAUUAUUCGGACCAUGCAAUCAUUGUUGCAAUAGUGCAUAAUUAUGUUUGAUUCGUUUAGUGUGCUUAUUUCUCAGCUGGACAUAGUUGAUCUCCCAUGACAGAGUUAUGGAUAAUGAUAUCAGAAGUUCUUUAAUGAACAUAGUGGUGUCAUCGUAACUUCCACAUUACUUUGAUAACUUUAAUUGGUUGCAUUAUUCCUCCUAUCUAUAGUAUAUUGUUUGUGGUGGAUGGUUUGACAUGUCUCAGUGCUGAUAUUUCAUUAUUCAAAUAAGAUUUUUAAUUUUGGAUUUUGUUAUAUUUAAGCUUUAUACUAAUUUUUUCCUAGUACUAACUUACUUAUGUUUUCCUUUUUAUUUUUAUUUUUUGCAGUAGUUUGCUUCGAAGUCCAGGAAAUUGAGGUAUUUAUUCCUAUGUUUCCCACCUUGGUUUUCUUAAAAAAACACCUCCAAAUGUUUAAAUUUUGGAUUUUGUUAUAUUUUAUCUAUGUACUUUAAUUAUUAUUUUUGAGUUUUAAAAGGGAGUUUUAAUUAAGAAUUUUUUUUUAAGUUGUGGGUAUCGGUUUUAAUUAUCAUUUUUGAUUUAUAUGUUGCUAGCUCAAUUUGCAUGUUACUUUGCCAAAUUUUUCCAUAACUGCAAGGUAUAAAUUAUGAUUGUAAAUCUUGUACGUAUUUUUUACCCAAGCAAAAACAAUUACGCAAAUUAUUAAAAUUCUUAAAUCACUUUAUAUAUUGGAGUAAGUGAAUAAAUUAUGGGCGAAUAGUGGAUUUGUUUUAAAGUGAACAAAUUAUCGAUUUUCAAUUUUAUGCCAAUUAAUAAAUUAUCGACGUUAGUUCUCAUUUAUGCGAUUGAAUGUUAAUGUUUAAUAAUAUAUGAUUAUUCAAUAAAUUGAUCGAUUAAUUGAUUGAAUGUCAAUGAAUUAUCAAUUUUUGUAAGUUAAUUUGGUUAAAUUUAUUACUUAAAUACAUUACUUACUAAAAUACAUUACUUACUAAAAUUUGUUUAAAUUUAUUACUUAAAUAUGUUACUUAAAUACAUUACUUACUAAAAUUUAAGUAUAUAUUACAUUACUUACAUAACUUGUUAAAAUAUAUUAUAAUUUUAAAAAUAAUUAUAAUUAAGAUACAUAAAAGUGCUAUACUUACAUCAUACAUUAUUUACACAACCAAAAAUUGAAAUUUACAAGAACUUACAUAACUUGUUAAUAUUUAUAUAAACUUACAUAACUAUCACAUAAACUUACAUAAUAUAUAACUUACAUGUUACCUUACAUAAUACAUAACUUAUAUAAAAUUUUUAUAUAAACUUACAUAAUACAUUAUUUACAUAUUAACUUACAUAAGUUAUCUACAAGCUUGUGGUUAAACUUGCAUAACUUACAUAAUAACAUAACAACUUACAUAAUAUAUAACUUACAUGUUACCUUACAUAAUACAUAACUUAUAUAAAAUUUUUAUAUAAACUUACAUAAUACAUUAUUUACAUAUUAACUUACAUAAGUUAUCUACAAGCUUGUGGUUAAACUGGCAUAACUUACAUAAUAACAUAACAACUUACAUAAUACAUAGCAUAGAUAACUUACAUAACUUACAUAAUACAAAACUUACAUAACUUAAAUAUCUUACACAACUUACAUAACGUACAUAAUACAUAACUUACAUAAUACAUAAUAACUUAUAACUUACAUAACAUACAUUACUUUGAUAACUUACAUAACUUACAUAAUACACAACUUGUUAAGCUUACUUAAUACAUAACUUACAUAAUACAUAAUAACUUAUAACUUACAUAACAUACAUUACUUUGAUAACUUACAUAACUUACAUAAUACACAACUUGUUAAGCUUACUUAAUACAUAACUUACAUAACUUAUACACGUACAUAACUUACAUAAUUUACUUAAUACAUAAAUAUAUAUCAUAUGAUAUACUUACAUAACUCAUUUAUACUUACCACUCAACAACUUACCCUUGUAAUUUCUGGUGAAAAUCAGACGUCAAGAAAUAAGAAAUGGACCGGUCUUGGAUGAAUUUAUCAAGGGUAAGCGACGAUUAUCGAAAUGGAGUACAGACUUUUCUAAAUUUUGCAUUUCAAUAUGCAAGCCAGGAGAACAUGAUUCUUUGCCCGUGUAAGAAGUGUGUCAACAUAAACUGGCAUUAUCGUGAAGUUGUAUACGAGCAUCUAAUUGUUGAUGGGUUUGUUCAGGGUUAUAAACAAUGGUUUUUUCAUGGAGAAUGCCCGCCUAGUACUUCCUCAUCAAGGAUGGAUGUAUCUUAUGACAGUACUACUUACCAUCAGUCUGUUAGAGGGGAUGACAUAGAAGGGAUGUUGCGGGAAGCAUUUAAUAUUCACAACCAUGGUUUACAGUCGUUCCCAGCCGACUUUGUGGCACCUGAUGAUUGUAAUAUCGAUGGAAAUGCUUUUACCGAACCCGGAAAAAGUGUACAUCAUGAAGAGCCGAAUGGAGAAGUGGCGAAGUUCUACGCGCUACUUAAUGACAUGAAUGAAGAACUGUUUGAGGGAUCAAAAUUCUCGAAAUUGUCUUUCUGUAUUCGUCUUUUUCAGUUAAAGUGUUUGGGAGGGUGGACCGGGAACUCUUUAACAAUGUUGUUAGAGUUUCUGAGAGAGAUGUUUCCGUUUGCAAAAAUCCCUCAAUCAUGCAAAGAUAUGAAGAAAAUGAUAAAAAAUUUAGGUCUUGGGUACAACAAAAUCCAUAGUUGCCCGAAUGACUGCAUGUUGUAUUGGGGCGAUCGAAGAAACCAGCAAUGCUGUCACAUAUGCGGCCAAUCACGUUGGAUAAAUAGAAACAUAGAAGAUGGGAACGAUGAUGAAUAUGAUGCACUGGUAAGAAAGAAGCCGGUCAAGAUUUUGCGGUAUUUUCCGCUCAUACCAAGGCUUCAAAGGCUUUUCAUGUCAUCGAAGACAGCGGAGUCUAUGACAUGGCACCAUGAUGGACGAACCGAUGAUGGGAAUAUGAGGCAUUCGGCAGAUUCUUUAGCUUGGAAAUCAUUUGACAAUAAAUUUCCAAGCUUUGCAAGUGAUCCUAGGAGUGUAAGGCUUGGCUUAGCAUCUGAUGGAUUUAAUCCGUACAAGAUCAUGAGUAUUGUGUACAGUACUUGGCCAGUAGUGCUUGUUCCUUACAAUCUGCCUCCGUGGAUUUGCAUGAAGCAAUCUUCCCUUAUCUUAUCUAUGAUUAUCCCUGGAGAGAAAGGGCCCGGGAAUGAUAUCGACAUUUAUUUACAGCCACUUAUUGAAGAGUUAAAACAAUUGUGGGCUGGUGUCGAGACAUACGAUGUGCUGAGAAAUGAGAACUUUAAUCUACGUGCAGCUUUGAUGUGGACCAUUAAUGACUUUCCCCCUUAUGCCAAUUUAUUCGGUUGGAGUACAAAGGGUCGUUAUGCGUGUCCUUGUUGUGCUGCACAAACAUGUUCGCAAUGGUUGUACAAUGGGAAGAAGUUCUCUUAUAUGGGGCAUCGUCGGUGGUUACCGAAAAAUCAUAGAUUUAGAUUUCAGAGUUCUGUAUUUAACGGUACUGAAGAGUUCAGAGAAGCUCCUUCGCAGACCAGUGGCUCUGAAAUCUUGUUCAUGUUGGAAGAUAUGAAUUUCAUUUAUGGAAAGAUGAACCAACCGCCAAACACGCAAAGAAAUAGAAGAUCAAACGAUGAAGCUGAUGAUGACUCUGAUGAAGAGGACGAUCCUAAUGAGGCGGACUUGUGGAAAAAAAGAAGUAUUUUUUUUGAGUUGCCUUAUUGGGAGCAUCACCUUUUACGACAUAAUCUUGAUGUUAUGCAGAUUGAGAAAAAUGUCUGCGAGAACAUUGUGGGUACAAUUUUGAAUGUCGACGGAAAAUCAAAAGACAAUCUUCAGAGUCGACUUGAUUUAGUACAAAUAGGAAUCCGACCUGAUCUUCAUCCCAAUCCACUUCCGAAUGGAAAAUAUCGGUUGCCGCCAUCUAUUUUUUCAAUGUCGAAGACGGAAAAAGAAGUGUUCUGCACAGUGUUGAAGGAUAUAAAGGUUCCAGAUGCGUAUGCAUCAAAUAUAUCUCGAUGUGUUAGUGUUAAAGAUCGAAGAUUAUAUUCGCUAAAAUCACAUGACUAUCACAUCUUGAUGCAAGAUUUACUGCCAGUGGCUCUACGAUGUUGUAUGUCCAAGAAGGUGACGUCUUGUAUAAUUGAACUAUCCAACAUAAUGAAAGCCAUUUGUGGCAAAGUUUUGGAUGUUCAAGAACUUCAGAAGGUACAGGAUCGAGCCGCUUUGACUUUAUGCAACAUGGAGAAAAUAUUCCCACCUUCCUUCUUCACCAUUAUGGUUCACUUGAUAAUCCAUCUCCCGCACAAAGCAAUUCUUGGCGGACCCGUUUUCUAUCGAUGGAUGUAUCCCAUAGAAAGGUGUUAAUUAAAAUUUUUAAAAUUUUCCUUCAUUCACCUCUAUGCCUUUAGUUUCAAUAAUUAAGAAAUGUUAUAUAUUGUGUUUAGGUUUCUAUCCAAAUUAAAGUCUUACUGCCGCAACAAGCGAUAUCCAAAAGGAUCAAUUGCAGAAGGCUACUUGGCAGAAGAAUGUAUGACCUUCUGCUCAAGAUAUUUGGAAGAUGUUGAAACAAGGUUAAACAGACCAAAUAGGAAUGCUGGACUCACGGACCAUAACUUAGCCGAUACUUAUUUGUUCCAAAGUUUUGGAAAACCAAUCGGUAAAGUUGAAAUUGCAGAAUUAGAUCAUUUAUCGUGGGUACAAGCACAUCGAUAUGUUCUGUUUCACCACGAAUCAUUGGAACCUUUACGGAAGUAAGUUCUACAAAUUUGAUAAAUAUUUAUCAAACUAAUAACUGUUUAUCUUCUAACAAAGUGAACAUUUUUUUAACAUAGUGAGUACAAACAAAUAUUGAGAUCUCGUUCGCGCUCCCGAAGAACACAACAUCGAGAUAUCAAUAAGUUAUUUAUAGAAUCUUUUUAUGAAUGGUUAAGCCAAACGGUAUGCAGUUCGAGCUUCCGUUUACAAAUAAUAAAAUCCGUUUUCUUAUAACAUUUUUAAUUACUCAGUUUACUUUCCAUUCAAUAGGUUUGGAGUGGGAAGAACGUAAAGACGAAGUUAAAUGGCUCUCCCAAGGUCCAAAUCGAGUGGUUAAAAGAUAUAGUGCGUUCCUCAUCAACGGAUUCAGAUUUCAUACAAAAUAUCGCGAGAGGUUGAGGAGAACGCAAAAUUGUGGAAUAGUUGUCAAUUCUGCAAUUACAAGUUAUGCUAGUGCAAGAGACAAUAAUCCUGUCGCGGGAAAUGUGGAAUAUUUCAGACAUCUUACUGACAUAAUUGAGUUGGAUUACUACGGCAAAUGGAAAGUUGUCUUAUUUCGUGGUGAUUGGGCCGAUGUUAAUACAGCUCGUGGAAUUAAGCAAGAUCAAUUUGGUUUUACAAUGGUGAACUUUGACCGAUUGAUUCACACAGGACAACAACUGAUAGAUGAGCCGUAUGUAUUCUCAUCUCAAGUCAAACAAGUUUUUUACUCAAAAGAUCCAACUGAUGAGAGUUGGUACGUUGUACUCCGUAACAUCCCAAGAGACUUGUUUGACAUGGGCAGUGGAAGUAGAGAUAACAUCGACGACAGAUCAGAAACUUUGCCCUUUCCAGAACAAAACUUAAACGAUAAUAUCCCUAGUACUAGUGCACAAUUUCAAUGUGUUCGUCAGGAUACCGAUGAAGAUAUUUACGAAUAAUGAUGUAGUAAGAUUUUACGAUUGUUUAAUUAUAAGUUUUUUUUCAUAAUUUAAAUAUUGGUCUUAUUAUAUAUUUCAACUGUUUUAUAUGUGAUGUUAUUGUUGUAAUUAGUUAUUAAGUUGUCAACUAUUUUAUGUGUAUUGUAGAUAAAAUGCCUAGAAGAAAAAUUCUAAGGGGAAGCAUUGUUCAAAAUGAUCCAAACACGAUAGAAACAAAUAGUACUGAACAACAGACAGCAAUUGGAUCUUCGAAUGUUCCGAUUACAGCUGAUGAUCCUACAGAAGUUCAAAGUAAUUUUACAUUUAAUUUACAUGCGUGUUGACUUAUAGUUGCUUUUUUUCAAAUUCUUAUAUUAUAAUAUACCAUUUGUAGCUGAAAAUGGUGGGACGCGCAGAGGUCGAGGACGUACGCUACUUAGAGAGUUAUACGAGUUAGAUCCAGUCGAGCGUGUCAAAGUUGGACGAAACAGUUUUGGUCAGCCUGUUAGAUCAGAAGCUCGACUUUUAGCAGGAUACAUGGGCAUUUUAGCACGAAAUCCGAAUAUGUUACCUAUCAACUACGACUCAUGGCAUCAAAUGCCCGGUAGCAAAAAAAACCAAGCCGUCGAUAAUAUUAAGGUAACAAAAUGUUAAUGUCAUCUGUAAUGCUUGGGAAAUAGUUUCAUUUAUAUUUACUUUAUUAACUUGUGUUUUUUGUUUUUUGUAGACGAGGUUUGCUUUAGAGGUCUCGGAUGCUUAUGUAAAGAAGGCAUUGGGAAAAAGAUGGAGAGACAAUAAAAGUACUUUGAAGAGAAAUUAUUAUAAGACAAAAACAACCCUCGAUGAGAAAUUGCAAAAUGUCCCGCCGGGUAUGUUGAGGUACCAAUGGGAAGAUACGGUUAGAUUUUGGCAUUCGAAGAAAGGCGAGGUAUGACGUACUUCCAAACUAUUGUAAUUAUUUUGGUAAAUAGUAUUUUCUAUUUACGUACUAAAAAGUUCAUAACGUAGGAUCGUGAACAAGUUGGAAAAAGUAGCAGGCAGAAACAAAAAUUCACCCACACAGCCGGGUCGAGAAGUUUUACAUGUGUAGCUGAGGCGGAGGUAUUUUUAAUUUUUUAAUAUUGUCGAAUAUGUAUAACUUUCUAUUAAAUAAUAUUUUUACUACUAUAUUGUAAGAACUGUCGUUCGGUCAAAAAGUUGGACGCCUUCAACUUUUUGAAAUUACACAUAGGAAGAAAGAUGGAUCUCCCAUGACUCCUGAAGCUGGUGAAAUAAUGAUACGUUUACUUAAUACGAUUUGACUUGUUUUAGUUAUUUAUAGUGUUUAUUUUCUAAUGGUUUAAUUCAUUGCUUGUAAUGCGACUAUUGUUAUGUUGCAUAUGUUUUUUAAUAUAUAAUAUUGCGUUCCUAACUAUGUGAUUUAUUUAUUAGGAAAAACUAAAGGAUAAAAAGGUUGAGUACGAAGCGAUUGCUUCUAGUGAUAGUUCUGUUCAUCUUGAAAACAUUGAUAAUCGGAUUAUUACUGAAGUUUUGGGUCCUAAAAGGUAUGGUCAGGUUCGAUUUCAAGGAUCUUUUGUUAGCCCAACCCAAUAUUUUGGAUCCAGCUCCCACCAAUACAUGGCUUUAGGGAGUCAGGCUCAAGCUGAAGUUCAGAGGUUAAAAGACCAGAUCGCUCAGAUGCAAGCGACCACAGUUGAGGUUCAAAGGAAAUAUGAAGAACUCCAGCUACAACUUAAAGCAGAGGCGGCAGCGAGGGAAGCAGCGGCUGCAGCGAGGGAAGCAGAGGCUGCAGCGAGAGAAGCAGAGCAGACCAAAAAGUACGACGAACUCCAGCAACAGCUUCAGAUUAUGAUGAAGAUGUUUCAGUCGCAACUUCCGCCUUCAUAGUGUAUGGCAUAAAUAUUUUUAUCAUUUUAACAUUUAACAUUUUUGCAAAAUAAUAUGAAUUCACUUUUAUUUAUUGAUAUUAAUAUUAUUUUAUUCGUUUAAUUUGAAAUAUUAUAUAAAUUUAUUGCUUUUGGCUGUUUUAGAUCUGGUUGCUUUUGAUUUGUUGUUACAGGAGGGCUGAAAAAAUGAAAAAUUUAAUAAAAAAAUCCCAAAAAUAGUGGCGUUUUUGUAUAAAAACGCCGCUAAAGAACAUGGUCUUUAGUGGCGUUUUUACCAAAGCGCCCCUAAAGAACAUGGUCUUUAGUGGCGUUUUUUACUAAGCGCCGCUAAAGAACAUGGUCUUUAGCGGCGUUUUUUUGUAAACGCUGCAAAUGUUUGCGAUGUUUUCCUUAGUGGCAUUUUUUGCGGCGCUUGUGGAAGCGCCGCAAAUACCUUUAGUGGCGUUAAAAAGCGCCGCUAAAGGCCUAAAAAAAUGCCGCUAAAGACUUGUUUUGGUGUAGUGGUGUUAAAACGCAUUAUCCUCUUAUUUAUGAAUUAGGAAGUAGUUAUUGGUAGUUCUAGACAUUGCGUAGAAAAUAAUAGAUAUGAUGAGAAUCUAUAUUGAAACUUUUCGAAAAAAUAUAUUUAUUACACAUGAACUAAAAGAAAUUUCUUUAUGGGUAGUUCAAGAAUAUUGUUGAAGCUAUAAAAUAAAAAUUCAAUUGGAUAAUAGAAAUCUCUUUUGUUUAACAAAAUAUUAAUCAUUGAUUGAGUUAAUAUUAUGAGUCAAUCGGACACCAAUUUAAUUAAGAAAUUACGAAAAUAUCAUUCCAUAAUUAAAAUAAAUUAUAUUAUUUGAGGAUAUUUUAAUAUUUUUAUGUCAAAAAAAUCAAUAAAAAUAUAUAUUUAUUUUUCACAAAUAUAUUAUUCUAUCAAUUUUCAUCAACCAAAAAAAAAGUAAUUAAAGUAAAAUUUACCUUUGAUAUACCAGAUGAUUUCAAAGAGAAUGAUUAUAUCAAUGAGUUUAACAAUUAAAAAAUAUAUUUUUUUCAAAGAUUUUAUAAUAUAAAAAAUUUUAAAAAUUUUAUAUAAAAAUUAAAUAAAUAUUUUAAAUGAUAUUUGGACCAAUUUUAAUAAUUAGUUUAUAAUUUAGAGUUGUAGAUAAUAUGGCUGAUAUAUAUAAUGUCUUGGUCAAGUCAUGGUUUUAUAUAUGUUUAUUUGUGAGCCCUACACUCGCAUCAAAUUUAGAUAUCACAAACAUGAUUUAAAACAUUACUAGCUGUGAGCAAUUUAAAGAAAUUUAAUUUCUUUUUUACAAUUUUAAGUUAAUCAAUUAUUUGAUUUUUUUAGGGGCGAAUUCAGAAAAGUUUUUUAGAGGCCGAAAUGAAUUUUUAAUUUUUAAUAGUCUAUAUCUUUAUAUUUUUAAAGGAUUAAAUUAAAAUUUUAUAAUUUUAAGGGGGGCAAAAUGUAAUUUUAUCUCUACUAAUUUAAAACUUUAAGAUUUUUUAAAGGACCUAAAUAAUAAUUUUUCAUUUUAAGGGGGCCGGGGCCCCUACCAACCCUUUAGAUUUGCCUCUGAUAUAUAUAUAUUAUUUAUGUUUUGUAACUCAAAAUUUAGUCAUAUUAUCAAUAAUAUUUUAAUAUGAAAAAUUUACUUUUUAAAAAAAACUUAUUUAACUUGUCUCAAUUAAAUUAAAAAAAUUAAAAUCAAAUUAGAAUAAUAAAAUAAUACCUAUUUACGCGAUUGAAUCUAAUACUCACCUCUCAAUAUUACACCUUUUGAAUCUUCCUAGAUCAUAAAAGGAGAAGUUAUCCUUGGCGUGUGUGUUUUAGUGCUCCUUAUUUCCUUUAAAAACAAAGUUUAUUUAUUCCUUUUUUAUAGAAAUGAAUUGAUAUUUAAACUGCAAAAGAAGAACCACUAUUUGAACAUGUAUAAAUUAAUAUUGUACGCAAAUAUAAACUUUAAUACCAAUUAGAGAAGUAAAAUAAGAUAUUGGUGAAUCAAAUUUAUUAAAUAAUUUAUAUACAGAAUGGAUGAUAUAAUAUUUCUGAAGUCUUCCCUUGGUUGACCAUAAAAGGAGAAGUCAUUGUUUUGUUUUUUGGUAUUUAUUUGUGACCCCUACACACACAUCAAAAUCACAUAUCAUAAACAUUGAUUUAGAAUUAAACUAUAUAAUAUUAGACCUUUUGUAAUCUUCCUAUUGUUGACCAUAAAAGGAGAAGUCAUCCUCUUCUGUCUUUUCUCCCCUUUAACUCUGUGGCUAAUUAUGUCAAAACAAGGUUUUUUUUUCCCUUCUUUGGUAGGAAUUAAAUUAAUAAAGAUUAUUGUAAUUUAAAAUCCAAUUAAAGUUACUAUUUGAACUGGUAUGAAUUAAUAUUGUUAUGUCUAACAUUUAUAUCCAAUAAUUUUUACUAUAGAGAAAAGAAGUAAGAAAAUAAUAUAUGAUGUAAAAUUGUUAAUUUGAGUCUUAACACAGUCGGUAUUUGUAUGUUGUUUAUGUAAUUUUUCUUUCUAGUUAAAGGUUGGAGAGGAGUUAGGGUGAAGCUAGAAAUUUCUUUUUUGGGAGACGAAAUUAAGCUGUAUAUUUUUACGAGAGUUAAAAUACAAUUUUACCAUUUCAAUAGCUUAUAUCUUUACAAUUUUUAAUGGACUAAAGCAAUAUUUUAUCAUUUUUAGGGCUAAAGUACAAUUUUACUAUUUAUUAACUUAAAAUUUUAUAAACUUAAUUUAAAGGGUUAAAUUUUAAAUUUCACAUUUUAAGGGAAGGGAUAAAAACCCUGCUAGGCUCCCCUCUUGCCGCCCCUGAGAGGAUAUAAAGUAAAGCCAUAAGGGUCUAAAAUAUAUGAAUUAUGAGUACUUAUUACACUUGACCAAUUGCUUUUCUUCAAACAAAACAAAAACUAAUGCACAUGAAAAUGCAAAUUCACAUGCAACCUAGAUAUGCAUUCUAUAUACAAUGCAAUGCAAUAAAUAAAUAAACAAAUAUUAUUUAACUAUGGAGUUGCCUCUCCGUAAGCACCUUUGUUUAACAUUUUUGGCUAGAUGUUUUUAAAUGUUAUUUCACCACAGAAUGAUUCGGAUAACAUCUUGACUUAAUAAAAUUGAACAUUAGGAACAACUUAAAAGUCGAGGGAACUUGAGAGUUUUGAUCCCCUUUUGGUUCUUUAACCAACCAUUCUCACCCCUAAUUAUAAUUCCAAUACAGUAAAAGUACGUGAUUGAGUUGAAUGGAUGGUGGUUGUUUGACAUAACAUGUAGAAAGUGAAAAAAUAGUUAAAAAUAAAUCAAGUAUUAAAACUAAAAGUUUAUGAAAGAAAUAAUUUUUUUUCGUUUCCAGGCUUUUACAAAAUCGUGUAGAUUAUUCAUUUUCUUUCUUUUGCUUUUCUUUUCUGACGAAUAAAAUUUAACAAAUGAUAAAAUUGAUCUAAUGUUAUAUAUUUGGUUUAAAAUUUAUGUAACAUAUUAGUAUUUUAAUUAUUUUUCAAAUGUUAUAUAUUUGUUUUAUAAUGGAAACUAAAGUUCGCAUUUAUUUUUUUUUAGGUUUUUUAGGGUGAGUUUAGAUAGGCGGUGCAUUUAUCUACGGUUAGUAUAAAAAUAAAAAUAACGGUAAUAUUAUAUAUUAUAGAGAUAUUAUGGUGUGAGACAAAAAAUAAAUUAAAUACACCGCACCCUACUAUCUAUCCAAACUUAAUUUUAUUAUUUAAAAAUAUAAAUAUUUAAGAUAAAUAGAUAAGUGGGAAAUAUUGAAUGGAAUAAAGUAAUUGAAGCAAUCAAUUGCUAUAUCAUUUCACACACUUUCCCAAAGCCACAUAAGGGGAGAGAAGGGGCCACGCAGCCCUCCUAAAUAGUUGAAAAUAAAUCAAGUAUUAAAACUAAAAGUUUAUGAAAGAAAUUCUAGUAUUAUCAAUUUUUCGUGAGGCUCAAAGCUAUUUGGAACAAAAAUAAAAUCAAUAUGUAUAGGCUUAACAAAAUAGCUAUUAUCUUGCAUUGUUAUUUCAUCCUAACCUCUUCCCUCAUAACUUCAUCUUCUAUUUUCUGUUCGACUUUAUCAAAAGUCUCAAGAAUUUCCUCCCCGUCCUUUUUAACUUCAACGAAACUUUCUAGGGAAGGAAGCUCUAUCGUGAAUGACUUCGGUUCUAGUCAAAGUAAAAUAUAGUUUUUUUAGGUUUUUCGACUAUUUAUGCAUCAAACUUUUAGGACAUUUUGGACAUCUUCCUAAUGUUUUUGGGCUUUAAUCUGUGAAAUAAAUUUAGAUAAAUCUUUCAAGUCACAUCAACAUUUUAUUAAUGAUUUAAUAAAUUAUUAAUAAAAAGAUUUAGGAUUAAUGUACAAAUUUGUCACUAUACUUCAAUUUGAUUGAUAUUUGAUAUUGAAUUUUAUUGCUUUACUUUAAUUUAAUUGAAUUUUGCCACUAAGAUUUUUUUAUUGAAUUUUCUAUUCAAUUUAAUUUUAAAAUAACUUGAAGGCUAAAUUGAAUAAAAAUAGUUUUAUAUUUCGCUUUUAUAUUUAAUAAUUAUCCUCUCAUCCAUGGCAAGGUGCGGAAAUUUGCAGAAUAUAGAAAUGGAGUGAAGAAAAACCGCUUUAGCAGAGGAUAUGAUUAUGUUAAGGAUAUACUGAAGUGUUUGAUUAUUUUUUCCAGAUGAAGUGUUUGACAUUUUAUAUCACUUAAUUAUUUUGGAUUUAUAUGUGAUGUCAGCCUCUACACGUAUACACGUGAAUGUCACCUAUUAGAAAGAAAUAGUAAUUAAAUUCAUAUUUAAUAUAUAUUUUUGAUCUAAUUUUUUUUAAUUCAAUUUAAUUUUAGUUAAAACGUUUAAAAACAUUUAUUUAAUCUAAUUUCUUUAAUAUAUUAAAUAAAUUGGAUUAGAAAAUAUAUUAAAUAUGAAUGAAUACUAUAUCUCUAAAAAUUAAUAUAUUAUUAUUUUAUUGGUGCUUAAAAAAAUUAAAAUAUUUAGAAUCAUUUUAAUAUAAGUUAUUCCCUUGAUAAUAAUAUUUGGUAUUUACACGAGUAAGUUCAAUAGUUGACAAAUAUUUUAUAUAAGUAUAAUAAAAUAUUUAAAAAAAUUAUUUAGUGACUUAAUUUUUUAAGAAUAUUUGAUAAUUCAUAAAGAAAAUAAAUAAUAUUUUAAAAAAAGAGUGAAAAAUGAUAAGUAGAUAAUAUCUAUUAUCACUUACAACAUGUUUGGAUUAAAAAGAAGAAAAAGGGAGGGAAAAUUAAGUAAAUUGAGGGAAAGAAAAUUCGGUUUCUUUGUUUAAGUUAAGUAAAGUUGUUAAUUUUUUAUUAGAUUUUAUAUUUUAGAUUAUUAUCUCUUCUUCUUCUUUUUUUAGCUUGUAACAGCCUUAUUUUUAUUUUCUAUUUGUUUAGGUUACUAGAAAUAUUUAAUUUUAAAUUUGUUUGAUAUAUAUUUUUAAAAAUUUUAACAAUAUUUUUUAUUAACUAUUUUGUUAAAUUAUUAGGAAUCCUUCAUUUGUAAUUUGGUUAAGAUAUUUUUUUUUUUAGUUUGAUAAAAUAAGCUUAUUAAAAAAAAAGAGAAUAUACCAAUAUAUUAUUGGUUAACAUUUUAAUUAUUAUUUUAUAUAGAAUAUUGAUAUUUUUCUAUAAUUUUAAUUUGCUGUGAUUUAAUUUUGUUAUUAUAUAUUAUUUAUGAACUGUUAAAAUUAAAAAAAAUAAAAGUAAAAUAAUUCAUUUUCUUUCCUUUUCAUAGUUUAGCAAAACAAGUCCACAAGCUCGCCUCAUUUGAAAAAAAAAUUAAAUUGUUUAAAUAUAUUUAUCUAUAUAUAUAUAGGGACUAGUUUUAACAAAUGAAAAACAUAAAAACUACAUUAGAAGAAAUGGGGAAGGGAAGAAAACAAAAGGAGAAGCAGAAGAGAAUGAAAUAUAAAGGAAAGUUAAAAGAACAUAAAAAAAUUAAAUUAAAUUGCUCAAAACGAAAAAAAUAUGGGGAUUAGUUGCAUAAAUCAUCCUAAAAUUUUUGUUUGAAAGAUGAUUUAACAUGUCACAUCAGCUUAUUGUUACACGGUUAACAAAAAUUAAUAGCUCAGUGACUAAAAUGUUAUAACGUGAUAACGUAAGUGACUAAAAUGUAACAUUUCAAACAUAAAUAACUAAAAUGUAAGCAAAAGUGGCUAUUUUAAUAGUUUACCCUAACAUUUAUCCAAACAUAAGCUUAAUGUAAACAUUUUUUCAAUUCUUUUUAUUUUAUUUUAUUUUUUACCAUUAUCCUUUAUCCUUAUUUUAGAAAAAAGUAGAAUUAUUUUUCAAAAUUAAUUUUAAGCAAUACAUCAAAUAGAUUUUAUAACUUAAAUGUAAUAUUUAAUUUUAUAAUAUUUUUUUAUCAAACAACAUUUACUCCUAAGUAAAUAAAUAAAUAAAGGCCUUGUGUAAUUAAGAAAGUUGAGAAAGGGCUAAUCCUCACAUGGUAAAAAUUGGCUACAAUAAUGAAGGAAAGAGAAAAACACUUAGGAAUGUGAAUGAGCAUACCCCACACACAUACUAUUUACUGUCAACGGUGAUGGAUGAAUUGUCUACUAUACAUGGAUUUUUUUUUUUUUUUGGUUCUUGUCCUGUAUUAUUUGGGUUUGUGAUCCCAUGUAAAAUUCCAGUCACUAUUUCAUAGCAUUUAAAAAAAAUUAUUUAUUAUCAAUUGAGUAUUAGCUUGAUUGGUAUAAGUAUUAUUGUCAAUGUAUGAGAACAUAGGUUCGAGUGUAUUAAAGCUUAUUAUCUUUUUAUUUAUGGAUUAGAAAGUGAUUAUUGGUAGUUCUAAACAUUGUGUUGAAAAGAAUAGACAUAAUCAGAAUUUAUGUUGAAAUUUUUCAAAAACAAUUAUUUAUUACACAUUAAUUAAAAGAAAUCUCUUUAUGGGCAGUUCAAGAUUGUGAAGUUAUAAAAUAAAAAAUUCGAUACGAAAACAAAAAUCUCUUUUGUUUAACAAAAUAUUAAUCAUUGAUUGAGUUAAUAUUAUGAGUCAAUCAAACAUCAAUUUAAUCAAGAAAUUACGAAAAUAUUAUUUUAUAAUUAAAAUAAAUUAUAUUAUUUGAGGAUAUUUUAAUAUUUUAUGUCAAAAAAAUCAAUAAAAAUAUGAAUAUGAUGGGAUUUGAAAUAAAAUCUUGAAUUUACCACUCAACCAAAACUUUAUUUUAUCAUAUUUUAUACAUUUUUAUUUUAAUACGCACAAUUUAUUAACUUCAUCAGUUGUAUAUAUAUUAAUAAAUUUAUUGAUUGAGUUAAUAUCACAAGUCAACUCGACACUAACUGACAAUUGACGACAACACUUUGAUAGACAGUUGUAUUGCGUUUAAUUAGUAUUUUUAAUUUGAUGUAUUUAUAUGUUUAAAUUUUAUUUUUGCUCCCAAAUUAAUUUAAUUUUUUAUUUUAAUGCCAUACAUAUUUUAUAUAUUCUUAUAAUUAAUUAUCUUGAAACCAUAUGUUUCAUUAUUUACUUCUUUCUUUUAAGCAUGCAUCUGUGUUUCAAAUCUAAACAUGGUUGAUUAUGUUAAUUAAUGUUACAAAUUGAGAAAUUUAUUAAAAGUAUUGAAAUCUUCACAUCUAACCUACUUUUAUCAUGUUUGGAAGAUGCUAUUGAUCUUCUUCAAGUGGUUUUUCACAAAUAUAUUAUUCUAUCAAUUUUCAUCAACCAAAAAAAAAAGUAAUUGAAGUAAAAUUUACCUUUGAUAUACCAGAUGAUUUCAAAGAGAAUGAUUAUAUCAAUGAGUUUAACAAUUAAAAAAUAUAUUUUUUCAAAGAUUUUAUAAUAUCAAAUAUUUUAAAAAUUUUAUAUAAACUUAAAUAAAUAUUUUAAAUGAUACAAUUCGACCAAUUUUAGUAAUUAGUUUAUAAUUUAGAGUUGUAGAUAAUAUGGCUGAUAUAUAUAAUGUCUUGGUCAAGUCAUGGUUUUAUAUAUGUUUAUUUGUGAGCCCUACACUCGCAUCAAAUUUAGAUAUCACAAACAUGAUUUAAAACAUUACUAGCUGUGAGCAAUUUAAAGAAAUUUAAUUUCUUUUUUACAAUUUUAAGUUAAUCAAUUAUUUGAUUUUUUUUAGGGGGCCGAAAUGAAUUUUUAAUUUUUAAUGGUCUAUAUCUUUAUAUUUUUUAAAGGAUUAAAUUAAAAUUUUUAUAAUUUUAGGGGGGUCAAAGUGUAAUUUUACCUCUACUAAUUUAAAACUUUAAAAUUUUUUAAAAGACCUAAAUAGUAAUUUUUCAUUUUAAGGGGGCCGGAGCCUUACCAACCCUUUAGAUUUGCCUCUGAUAUAUAUAUUAUGUAUGUUCUUUAAAUCAAAAUUCAGUCAUAUUAUCAAUAAUAUUUUAAUAUGGAAAAUUUACUUUUUAAAAAAUUUAUCUUGAACAAACUUAUUUAGCUUAACUCAAUUAAAUUAAAAAAAUUUAAAUCAAAUUAAAAUAAUAAAAUAAUACUCAUUUACUCGAUUCGAUCUAGUACUCACCUCUCAAUAUUACACCUUUUGAAUCUUCCAUGACAGAAGUUAUCCUUAGUGCUCCUUAUUUCCUUUAAAAACAAAGUUUAUUUUUUCCUUUUUUAUAGAAAUGAAUUGAGAUUUAAACUGCAAAAGAAGAACCACUAUUUGAACAUGUAUAAAUAAUUUAUAGUUGAUAGUUAUAUACAGAAUGGAUGAUAUAAUAUUUCUGAAGUUUUCCCUUGGGAGAAGUCAUUGUUUUAUGUUUUUUGGUAUUUAUUUGUGACUCCUACAAAUUAUAUAUAAGAAAUUCUAGUAUUAUCAAUUUUUUGGAGGCUCAAAGCUAUUUGGAUCAAAAAUAAAAUCAAUGUGUAUAGGCUUAACAAAAUAGCUAUCAUCUCAUCCUAACCUCUUCCCUCAUAACUCCAUCUUCUAUUUUCUGUUAGACUUUGAGAGUUCAAUUACGAAAAGGGAAGUGUUUUUUUCGGCUCUUAAUGUAAUUGAUAGUAGGCUAGGAAAUAAAGAUUAUUCGUUUGUUUGUUUAAGCCUGAUUUUGACUUGUUUACUAUAAUUAAAUUAUCACUUCAAUAUAUUUUUAUCAGUUUGAUUUAUGUACUUUCAUUCUAUGUACUUCGUUAUCUUAUUUAUAUUUUUUAGAAAAAAAAUUUUCUAUCUAAUUAAAUGCUGUCACCUAUGAAAAAAUUUAAAAUUCCACUGAAGUAUAUAAAAAUUCAUAAAAAUCGUAAAAAAAGCAUAGAACUCUAAAGAAAUUAAUAAAAUUUUAUAAGCACAAAUUUCCAAAAUUAAAAUUAAAAUAUUUUAUUAAAAUUUUUAAAUUUUUUAAAGUUUCAUAUAUUUAUUGUUUAAAAAUUAUAUCAUUUUCAAAAAAAGAUUAUGAAUUUUUUUAGGUAUUUUAAAAAUAUUUUUCUAAGUCUUAAGAUUUUAUUUUUUGCAUUUUAUGAUUUCUUUUUUGGAUUUUUAAUGGUUUUUAAAAUUUUAUAAUAUUUUCUAAAAUGUUUUAACUAUUUUGGUCGUCCAGGUUUUGUGAAUGAAGCGAAGGGUAUCUUUAUUGUGGUGAACUUUUAAUUUACUCAAAACGAAGUGAUUUAUUACGUUGUGUGAUUUGCAGAUAAGUGUUAAAUAUGAAAUGUGUAAGGCCCAAUAUUUGCCCGGCCCGUAAUAAAUAAACCAAAUCAAAAUUUAAAAAGUCCAAAGUCCAAAAUUACAAAAAUCUAUCAGACCCAAAAUAUAAAUCGAGCCCAUUUAUAAAUGGCCCAGUACAAACCCAAAUUACAGCUAGCCCAAUAGCCAAAAUCAGCCCAGAUUUUUUCAUUUUGCAGAAACCCUAAACAGUUUCAGAGGUACCAGGCGCCGCAGCCAAGCCCUCGCACAUGCCCCACGAACCACGCUUCCAGCGCCUCUCCCCACAUACACCUAGCCACGUCCCUGACACCGUACGGCCGUACCUGCAGCAAACGCAAACGAAAAACGCAGCAGAGAAAGAAAUUGUAUUUUUCAUUUUUAUUAUUUUAAAACGAAGGGAUAUAAAACAGGAGAAACCUUUUGUAUUUGAGGGGGGAUUGAUACGCAAUAUCAACACACGCAUAUUGUAUCAGAAAAACGAAAUCAAUACAGAAGAAAGGUUUUCUUUUUCUCUUUUCUCGAUUGGGUUCCUUUUUCUUUGGCUUUUCUUUUUUCUGUUUUGCUGUUAGCCCUAUACAUAAGCAUAUACAUAUAAUAAAAGGGAAAGGAAGUACUUACCUCGGUGACCCUGUCGUCGUUCUCAUCGGUUUCGUGGAUACCAAAGAGGCUAGGUAUGGUUUUAGCCUGAGAACGGCGCAAGGGGAGAGGGGAAAGGCAAAGUUUUUUUUCUGCUAUUUUUUUAGUGGCCGAAUAACCUUGUUUAGGGUUUUAAAAUUGGUUUUUUUUGGGUGUUGAAACGGUGUCGUUUGGGGCCUGAAUCAGUGGCCACCAAAACGACGUCGUAUUUGUAUACCCGCACGUCCAACCCGACCCGGACCAGCUAGAUUCGCGCGUUUUGGCCUCUGGUGGUAUAUUUUCGCACUUAGUCCCUUGCCUUUAAAGCGCAUCCAAAUCAAUCUUUUUAUUUUUUUAGAUUUUGCCUGAUAUGUCACUGUUGUUUCAUUUUGGUCCCUUCUGCCAAUAUGCGUUUUGAAGGGCAGGGAAUAUUUCCCAUUUAAUCCCUCAUGUAAUGCGCAGGCUUCAUUUUGCCUUUUAAUUUCCUUUUAAUUUAUUUUCUUUUUUCGAUUAAGCAUUAAAUCCAUUUUAAUCUCUAUUUUAGUUUGUUCAUAUUAAUUAAUUUAAAUAUUUUGGUUCUGUUUUCUUUAAUAUAUUUCAGUUUAAUCUAAUGUUAUUUUAAUAAUUCAACUUAUUAGUAUAAAUUCAUUAUUGGUAUUAUUUAAAUCUAUUGAACCAUUAUUCUAAAAGUUUUCUUUCGUGUGUUAUUUUAAGUUUUCAUAUAUUAUUAUUAAAAUUUAAUACUUAUUAUUUUUAUGAUAACUAAAUAUAAUUUGUACAAUUCUAUAGUUUUAUAAUAUUUAUUUUUAAAUUUAUUGGGAUACUAUUAUUUUAUGAAGUAUUUGUUUUUAACUAUAUUUUUCAUUUAUUUCAAACUUUCAUGUGUAUAUAUAUUAUUUUAAACUUAUUUUAAUAUAUAAUUUCCCUUCUUUUAUGUUACUUUUUUUGUUUUUGUUAUUUAAAAAAAAACUUGUUACAUUUUAUUUAAUUCGCUUGUUACCCUUUUUUAAUAUUAACUUUUUAAUUCAUUUUGCUUGCUAAUAUGGAUGUUAGUAUUUGCAUAAUGUAGGAUAUAAAAUUGUUGCUCUUUUGUAUAUGAUAUUGUUUAUUCAUAUAUUAAAUUUUUGUUAUUCAUUAGUGUAUGCUUUAGUUUACGAAUAAUCAAUUCGCAUAGUACAUUAUUAUACGAUCGUUUUUAUUUAUUCAAAAGAUUACAAAUUACAAAGUUAUUCUAUUCAAAAACUUUCAAAAAUACUCGAAGUUUGAAAUCCUCGAGAGAAUUGAGCCCUAACGUAUUGGGUUCCAAUUUUUUUCGUCGAGUCUAAAUAAUUGAACAUUUUUUAACAUACAAAUUUCAAAUAACCCAUUCUCGGGAAUUCAACACGUUGUGUCCUAACGUAUUGGAUAUGACAUGUUAUUUUCUCGAGACGAGGAUUUUAAAAAAAUAAUAAAUAAAGGCAAUGUUCGGUAUUUGGAAAUUUGGUGAAAUCGAACCCUAACUUACUGGGUUUUGAUCUUCUCUUUUGGCCCAAAUAAUUAGAUAUCCUUCUCAAAAUGCAUAGUUUUAAAAAUCAAAUUUAACUUCAAAAUAAAAGGAUUGUAUUUUAAAUUUUUUUUCAAAAUCUCGACAUUAAGACAUUGAACAAUCAAUUUGGUACCAAUUUUGGGCGUAUCGAGGGUGCUAAUCCUUCCUCGUGCGUAACCGACUCCCGAACCUAUUUUUUUGAAUUUCGUAGACCAAAACCGUUGUUUUAAUAAAAUCAAAUCGUUUAUUAAAAACAACCACUUUUUAAGGUGAUCCGAUCACACCUUAUCAAAAAAAGAUUGGUGGCGACUCCCUUUUUCCGUUUCCGUUUUCAAAAUCCAAGUCGACCCCGUUUUCAACAAAGAAAUGGUGUCUACAAAAUGAAUUGUUGAAUUUGAAAACAAUGGUUUAAUAUUGCAGGGAUUUCCAGCAUUAUCAUAAAUUUUAGUGAAUUUAGAGACGAAAUCAGAGUUCCACUGAGUUUUGUUCAAAUCUGGGGAUUUCAUCGUCAUAUAGGGUCGAUUUGGAUAUCUAGGAUACAAAGCUUCAUAUCAUUGAUGUUCGGUGGCCAUGGGUAUAUGUUGAUUUUGAGUUUAUCGUUGCCCCAUAAGUUGGUUGCACUAAAAAAAAAGGGUAUUACCAAUGCUAAAAAUUGUUACUAAAAUUUUAUUGUAGCAAUAAAAGUUGUUGCGGGAUUGUUGUGUAUAUUUUCGUUGUUUAAAGUAUACGCAACUCUACUCAAUUAUGUAAUAUCUACUCUUAAAUAUGGUCUAUUUAACUACAUAUUUAAGCACAUCAAACACAAAUUAAUAAUUUAGAAAUAUCAAACCAAGAAUUAAUCACACAUAAUUGGGAACAAUAAACUAAGUAUUUAUUGCAUAAAAUAAAAAAAAUGAUAGAAUCCAUCAUAGGGUUCAUUUCCCUAGGUAUUUAGAAAAUUAGUUCAAGCUUGAAAAUAAAAACAUCCAAGAUAUAGUAUAACCGAAAGAAAUAAAAAAAUUCAUGAUAAUCUCCUAGGAAAUCAACUGAGAAUCUUCAAUCUUGACGUAAAUUUGUUUUCAAGAUGGCUUCAAUGGCAUUUUUCGAGUUGCUUUCUUGAAUAUUUUAUGACGGCUCUCUCAUAUACUUUCUUAAUUUUUCACAUAUACGUUUCAUAAUGCCCCAAAAAUCUAAAAAUCUUGAUUUUACAUUGUUUGUGUGGCAAUUCCAUGAAAUUGACAUAGCCUACCACACACUCGUGUGGGUCACAUGACUAUGUGGUUUGCUCAUGUGAAAUUUAGAAAAUGUAAAAGAUUCCCUAUGCACCAUCUAUUAUGAGUCUACUAUAUGCUCAAAUAUGUAUGCAUCCGUAUAUUGCAUAUAUUGUUGGGAUGUUAGGCAAACAUUUAAGCAACUCUAGUAUAGGCCAUUAGAUAACAACCAAGAGGGUUAUGAGGUAUCUUUAGAAAACAAAAUAUUACAUGCUCACAUAUUGGAUGUUUGAUAAGUUAGAGAACAUCAAGUAUACAAACUCCAAUUUUGAUGAAAUAUUGAUGCAAAAUUUUGUCACUAGAGUGCAAAUUGUAACAAUAGUUAGUAGUCUUUUAUUCCAAUUGUACAAGCCCAAAUUUGCCCGAGGCCCAAAAACCCAAUACACCCAAACCUCAGCCUAAUUACAAAUUUAACUCAGCAGACCCAACCCAACACCGAUGACCAAACCUCAAUCCAAUAGCACCUAGCCCAACAAGAUUAAACCCAAACCCGAGGCCCAAUAUCCAACCCAAAAAAAAUGAAGGCCCAGUAGCCCAAAAUGUUUGAGACUUUUUCAGAAAAAAUGAAACCCUAGCCUACUGCCUAACCCUAGCCGCCUCUGCCUCCUCUGACAUCUUCUAGUCUGGCUGCCGCUCGUAGCCUCUGCCACCGCCACCUCUGACGCCGAGCCGCCCAUCAAUCACCUACUCCAUCAACGUCAACACCUGCAAACAAGAGAAAAAGCAAUAGCAAAUAAUAGCAAAAAUAUUGUAAAAAAAUGGCUAUAAAGCCAUAACCACCACUGUAAACGGGGUUCUUCCCCCCCCGAUUUUUGUAUAAAAAAAUAUUAGCAGGGAAAUAAAGGAAAAAAGAUUGAAGGUGAUUUUUUCUUUUCUUUUCUUUUCGGUUUUGUAGACCUGUUUUUCUGUUCUCUUUUCUUUUUUCGUUUACACGUAUGUAAAUAAAGGUAGUAAAUAAAAGGAUAGAAUGAAGACUUACCCAUUUCGCCUUUCGGUUACGCCGCCGUCGGGGUCUGCUCAUAAUUGAAAUCGGCCCGAAAGAUCGAGUUAGGGGGUCCUUUGUCUUAAUUUUUGGGCCAAACGAAUCUAGCCUUCGAUUGGGUCUUAAAACGGGGACUAGAAUGCCCAUUUUGCGCAACGCCGGCCACCGUCCACGGUGGCGCUAUGGCGGUGCUAAGAAGACCCAAAGGCCGAACGUUUGAGAGGGAUGAGGAAAGGUUUUUUUUUGUUUUUUUUUUAAAUUAGUGGCCGAAAUGUUUUUUUUGAAGAAAAUAUGGCUUAAAUACCAUUUUCGAAAUAACAUCGUUUCAAUUUGGCCCUCCAGAUGCCAAAACGGCGUCGUUUUGAAAGGGGCCGGUUCUACUCGACCCGUUUGGCCAGGAUCCGCGUGUUUUAGCCUUGAGGGGUUAUUUAUGCGGGGAGUCCCUCCGCUUUUGCAGCGUAGCCGAUAUGAUCCUUUUUGGUCUUUUUGUUAUUUGGCCCGCGAAUUUUACCUCUAUUUCGAUUUGGUCCUUAGACCAUGUGCUGCCCCUAGUCGAAACGCAGCAUUUUAGGACUGGGAAAUAUUUCCCCACAAGUCCCUCACGCUUUAAGCGCGUUUUACUUCAGUCCUGCACUAUUCCUUUUGUUUGUUUGCAUAUUUAAACCCCGAAGUUCGUUUCAAGUUUUAAUUUAGUCCUUUUGUAUUUUGUUUAUUUUCUUAUUAAGUAAUAAAUUUGAUGUUAUACUGUUAUUAUUAAUUAUAAUAAAUAUUAUUUGCUCAUUUUUACCUUUAGAAUUUCAAAAUUUAUCAUAUAUAUUUGUAUAUACUUAUUUUGAUAUUUUGAUAUUUUAUAAUUUAUAUCUAUAUAUCUAUAUACAUAUUUAUACAUAUAUACACAUACCUAUAUGUUUUAUAUUUUCAUAUAGUUUUUAUAUACAUAUAUAUUCUUAUAUGCACAUGCUUAUGUUUUUUUAUACUUUAUAUAUAUACACCUAAACAUGCAUAUUUUUUUAUAUGUACAUACAUUCAUAUAUUUUAUAAUUUAAGUACAUAUACAUAUAUAUGUACAUAAACUUUAUUAUUAUUAUUUUUUUUGUAAUUUAUAUUGUUAUUAAUUGUUUUAUUUGAUAUUUAUUUAUUUGCUCAUCUUUAUUUUUAUGAAAUGCUUUAGUUCUUUUUACAUUAUUUUUAUGAAAUGCUUUAGUUCUUUUUACUUACUCAUUAUUUCAUGUAUAAUUGUUUUUUUUAUAUAUGUGUCCUUUUUAUUGUUGCUCGUAUUAUUUUACUUACAUUAUCAUAAUUGUCAUUCCAUUACGUCAAUUUUCACCCAAAUUCAAAAAAAGAAAUUUUAAAAAUAUAAAUAAUACUCGGUAUUUGGGAUCUUCGAGAGAAUCGAGCCCUAACGUAUUGGGUUCCGAUUUUCUUCGUUGAAUCUAAAUAAUCGAGACUACUCUUUUUUAUAUAUAAAAAAACAUAAAUAAAAGCUCAUUAUCGGGAAUUCAAUACGUUGUGUCCUAACGCAUUGGAUAUGAUACAUUGUUUUCUCGAGAUGAGGAUUUUUCUAAAAAAAUAAAAAUAAGGCAAUGUUUUGAGUUUGGGAAAUUCAAGAAAACGUGCCCUAAUGUGCUGGGUUUCGAUUUCUCGUUUAGCCAAAUAUUCUCUUAAAUCUUAAUCUAUGUCAUUUAAGUUUUUUUAGGAUCGUAUUUUAAAUCUCUUUAAAAUUUUCAGUUUUUCGACACUAAGAUAUUAAGUGAUCAACUAGGUACCAAUUUUGGGCGUAUUGAGGGUGCUAAUCCUUCCUCGUGCAUAACCGACUCCCGAACCCAUUUUUCUGAAUUUCGUGGACCAAACUUGUUGUUUUAAUAAAAUCAAAUCAUUUAUUAAAACAACCACUUUUUGAGGUGAUCCGAUCACACCUUAUCAAAAAAGAUUGGUGGCGACUCCCACUUUCGUUUUCAUUUUUCAAAACCCAAGUCGACCCCGUUUUAUCAAAAAAAUGGUGCCAACAGCUUGGCGACUCCACUGGGGACCCAAGAACGAGAGUCAAGCCACGAGUUGAUUAUUUUUUUAUUUUUUUGUCGAAAAUCAAAAAAUUAGUUUAAACAUACGAUCCUUUCGUUGCAUUUCAUUCGUCUUUAUUAUGAUCUUCAUCAUUAUAGUUUAUAAUUGUUGUGUUAGUUUAAGUUUUGGUAUCAAUUUGUACAUUGCAUUGCAUAACCGUUGGUCACACCCUUCUUAGUGGGAGUGAGAAACUACGCUUUCGUGAGGUUUUCACCUCUGCAUAGGAUAGUGAAUCGCUUCUGGUAUAUAUCCGUACCUAUGUUUUCGUGAGAUUUUCAUCUCCGCAUGGCCAUAGGGAAAUGUAUUCCCCUGAACUGAACUCAGUCUGCAUGAGCCUAUAAUGGGUCAGGACCGAGGAAUCUGCUGGUUCAAGUACCCCUUACUUUAGAGCCGAACCGCAUGUAAUGAGCCCUAGGAGCCUACCCUAGGUAGAACCACACCAAAUACCUAGAGGUCACCUGAAAACUUGGUUUAAAUUUACGAUCAUUUUGUUGUAUUUCGUCCGUUUUGGUAUGAUUUUCAUUACUUCGAUUUGUAAUUACUCUAUUGGUUUGAAUUCUCGAUAUGUUUCUGCGCAUUGCAUUACAUGACCACUCAGUUACACCCUUUUAAGUUGGAGUGAGAAGCUACUCCUUUGUGAGGUUUUCACCUCCGUGCAGGAUAGUGGAUCACUUUUGGGAUACAUCUGUACCUAUGUCUUCGUGAGAUUUUCAUCUCCGUGCAGCCAUAGGGAAAUGUAUUCCCCUGAACCGAACUCGGUCCGUAUGAGCCUAUAAUGGGUGAAGAUCGAGGAAUCGGCUGGUUUGGGUACCCUUUCUUUAGAACCAAACCACAUGUAGAAGACCUUAGGAGCCCACCCUAGGUAUAACUACUUUGAACCCCUAGUAGUUACCCGAAUAGGUGCUCUUUUUGUUUUUUUUUCUUGUUUACUUUUGCUUUGUACUAACCUGUUUUGUUUUGGUUAUAACUGCAUUGCAUUUUCAUCAUAGAAAAGAGGUGUUGAUUCAAAUUUGAUUGCUAAAUAGAAAAGCUUGUCAUGGAAAACGAAUUUCUUGAUAAAGUAGAAUAUGAUGCGACUGUCUGAUUAUGGACUAAUUAAACACAACAAGAGAAGGUUAGAAGUUUGUGGAGGAAUAUACGACUAUGCUUCACUGCCUGAGGAUUCAAACCGACAAAGAUCAUUCGAGAGUGGUCACGAAACUAAAGAGCAUCGUAAGGGAGCAAUGGGUCGUGGCUCAGAUCAAUCAAAAAAGAAGAUAGUAAAGGUAAAUUUUGGGAAAUUCGCAAGAUUUGAUCCUAACAUCUGGAUAUGAAGAAAAGAUCAAUGUCUUCGCCAGGAAUAUGGGGGCAAAGCAGCAGAUGUAAUCUAUUUUAUGUAAAGAAAUUUAUUCUCUAGAAAAGUUGUUCUAAUGGAAUUGAAUUAGGAAUCAAUGCCUCUCUUUCUUUUUGCAUUCAUUUCACGCAUUUGUAUUAUAUAACAUCACAUGCAUUAAGGACCAUCAAAAGACUCUAAUUGAGUAAAAUGAUUUCAGCUAAUCUAGAGAACCAACACCCUUACGGAAUCCGAGCAAAAACUAAAAGAAUGGACCAAAGAUUGGAGAGAUUAAAACAAAGGCAAAUACAGAUGCAAGAGCAAUUUACCAAAUUUCAACAAGAUAUGAAGGAUCAGAUGCUAGAAGUCCAAAGAAAUCUGAUGAGUCAGUUAACCCAGUUAUUGGAUAGAGGGUUAGAAAAAGGAAAAAACCCAGUGGUCCAUUUUGGAGAUAAUGAUGAAGACCCUGCUCAUUUUCUAGGUUUUACCCCAACAAACAUCCAAGCACAACUAAAUGCAUGUCCACAAAAGGUAAAUGUUAACAUCUGACCACAAUACCAGACCAGUACCUCGACACCGGUGAAUUUCACGACAGGCUCAGGUUACAACCUUAGGGGAAAUCUAACUAGUCCCGUUGUCCUUGAUGAUCUAGCGGGAACAAAACAGGUGAGAGUAGAGCUCUCAAAACCAUUUGGAGAUCGUUACAAACAGAAAGGGCAAGAGUGGAAUCCUCAAAUCAAUACUUCGAGGGCCCCGAGGAAGAGGAAAGAUGACGUGAAUGAUGUGAGUAGGUAUAAUGAGGGUUAUUCAAAGCUGAUUACAACAAGCCAGAAAAGGACGGUUGAUUCUAGCCAUCAGAUCUCCCAGAGCAAGAAUUCGGCACAAAGUAAAACAUUGAGAAGUCCAAAUUUGUACCAAUCUCAAUGUCAUUUCGGGAGCUGUAUCAUAAUUUAUUUAACGCACACAUUGCCUCCCCUUUCUACUUGAAGCCUUUACAACCUCCGUACCCCAAAUGGUACGACACGAAUGCACAAUGUGACUAUCAUGCAGGAAUUACGGGGCAUUCAAUAAAAGAUUGCGUUGCCUUUAAAAAGGUGGUUGAAAGGCUCAUCAGUAUAGGCAUUGUCAAGUUCGAUACAAAAAAAUCUGCUGCCUAAUCAUAUUGAUAAUCGGGGUGAAUGCGAUGAAUGAGGAAAUAUUGGGAAACGUUCAAAUUAACGCUGUGCGAAGAAACAACUGAAGAAGGGACCUUGUUAGAUAUUUACCCGUACAUACUUAGGGGUGUUUUGAGCAAUGAGACUGUGGAAGAGAUCCCUGUAUUUUGUAGAGCUAAUUCGGAGUAAUAUCCAAAACACGCUUAUUGCUUUAAGCCUAGGGGCAAUAAGAAUCCUUUUGUGAGAUAGGCUUAUGUCCAACAUCUUUAUUUCAAUAAAAUGCAUCUUUGUUUCUCACUUCGAGCAAAUUUUUAUUCUUAGAUUCUUUUAUUCUUUGGAUAUACUUUCGUCCCUAUAAUAGGUCUUCAGAUAUCAAUGAUAUGAGCGACACUGCUAUUGACUCAGAACCUCCUUUUGAGCAAGAUAUGUGUCCAGAUUAAACUUCAAAACUUUGGAGAUAACUAAGACUGUAGCUUAUCUCUUAGUUUGUUAAGGACGGGAGAACAAGAUCCUACCUUACAAAGAAUCAAUGGAAGCCAUGGCCUUUCUCUAGAUGGGGCACGGAUGUCAUUAGGCCAAUCUCGUCUAAGGUUUUUGACGGCUAUCUUUAUAGUCAUCGAUUACUUAACUAAGUGGGCAGAAGUUGCUUCAUAUGUCAAUGUCGCAAAGUUAACAGUCUGUAAAUUCUUGAAAAAUCAUAUGUUAGUAUGGAAUGUCAAAAAGGAACAUAUCUGACAAUACACUAAAAGUGAACAACGACACAAUAUCAGAAGUUUGCAGUCUGUUCAAGGUUAACACAUUUUGCCCUAGAAUGUACGGUGCAGUGGGAGCAAAAACAAAACAAAAAAGAGGAAAAAUUACUGCAGGGGCAACACAUUGGCUUAGCGCAGUUUUGCUCAUUGAGGUCAAGAUUCCUUCCCUCCGAGUGUUGGAUCAGAUCCCGAUUGAAGAGAAAUGUUCAAAGUUAUCCGUCUGGGUCAAAUACACCAAAAAUAAAAGAUGCGAGCUCAUCAAAGAAGGUUCACCCUAAAGAGUUCCAUGAAUAGAACCUAACAUCGAAGAAAAUCCUCCCCAUACAAAAGGGACUUUAUAAGAAAGAGGAUCUGGAAAAGUGUUGAUUUCGACCAGAAAGGAUAGCAAGGACUUACCUAAUCCUACGAGUGCGGAUUCAAUCAAAGAAUGUAAAAAAAACAAACAAACAAACGAAAAGAAAAAGAAAAGAAAAGAAGAAUGAAAAAAGAAAAAGGAGAGGCCAAGAUGAAAACCCGCAAAGGGCGCCUUGAGACCAAAGGGGUUUUGAAUUGAAAACCCAGGAAUGGGUAGUUCAAAUUUUGAUCAAAGGUGGGGCAUGCGGUGGCCUUGUCCUCUCUGAAUUAGCAAGAAGGUGAGACGCUACAUCUCAGGCUAUCAACAAAGUCUUUUAGGACUUCUAGACACAUAUCAAGUUCAAAAGAGUCCUCAAGAAGCUUAUACAGAAAAGCUCAUGUUGCGAUAUCUGGGGCACCUGUUUCCAUUUUAUUCAUUUUUAUUUUGGCAAAAUAUGCCAUCUUGAUUAAUUUAUUCUCAUUUCGUAUCUUAGCAAAUUUACUAUCUUGAUUAUUUAUUUCGAGCUUUGUUCUCAAUAAAAUUUCAUCUUGUCCAUUGUGAUAAUCCUUUUCAUCUUAUUCAUUUUGAAUCUUAGCAAAAUUCGCUGUUCUGCUUAAUUUAUUUGUUUAGAGCUCUGCUCUCAAUAAAAUUUCAUCUUUCCCACUAUGAUAAUCUUUUUCAUCUUAUCUUAGCAAAAUUUGUUAUCUUGAUUAAUUUAUUCAUUUUGAGCUUUGUUCUUAAUAAAAUUUCAUCUUAUCCAUAUUGAUAAUCUUUUUCAAGCAUUUUACAUUGAAAUAACGAUUAAUUGACUGAAUAUUCAAGCAAAAGAAGUUUUGCAUAUUACUCUGAAAGUUUCUAAAUAAUACAGGAACCUGAAAUAGGACUAUUGUUUAGAGCAUACCAAUAAAGGGUGAAAUGUCUAAGAAGGAAAAGUCUAAAUUAAGACUAUCCUUUCGAAUUUUGUUGUCCAAGCAUGAAUUGAACAAAACGAAAAAAUGUCGAGAUGGUGACAAAGUUUCAAUGAACAAACGAGCAAUGAUCACCGAGUUAUAAAAAGAGGUUUUUGGAAGAAAAAAUUCCACAAUCGUGCAUAAACAUUUGGUAUGACACCUUGGGAAUGGUGUAGAAGACUAAAGAGAUUCAGAUACUGUAUCCCUGAAUUACAGUGGGAGAGGAUUGAGAAAAGUCAGAUCUUAUACUCAGUGGGAGGAAGAUGGCUCGAAUUUUAUGCCCCAAAAUUACCAUGGACUUAACCUUGAAGAUUACAACGGAUUGAACUCUGAAGAUUACAGUAGGGGGCAAUCUGGCUAAGUAAGAGAUGAGUGUUACCAGUCGAGCAAGAUAGCAUUCUGAUAUGUUGGUAAUAAAACCUUAUUGAAUAACGAGCAAUAACAACCCUAACAUUAAAAAGGGAUCAUUCUCAUGACAUUCUGCAUUCAUGCAAAUAUAAUUCACAUACACACCUAGUUAGGAGCAUUUGAUUCGUUCUGAUCAUAAUAUCCUAAUCAUUAGGCAUAAAUAGAUUCAUAAAAUGGACUUUACAGGUCAUGUUCCCCAGAGAACAUAUUAAUAAAGUUACCCAUACCCCUGAAGUUGCAAUGGGAUGAAUUGAAGUUGUCAUGUCAAGUCUUAUCUCUCAGAAAUUAUAGAGGAGUGGACUAGAGAUAGCAGAUCUUAUCUUCCUGUAUUUGGCAGCGAAGUAGAUCGUAGAUAGCAGAUCUUGUCUUCCUGUAUUUGGCAGCGAAGUAGAUCGUAGAUAGCGGAUCUUGUUUUCCUGUAUUUGGCAGCAGAGUAGAUCAUAGAUAGCAGAUCUUGUCUUCUUAUAUUUGGCAGCGGAGUAGAUCGAAGAUAGCAGAUCUUGCCUUCCUGUAUUUGGCAGCGAAGCGUAGAUAGCAGAUCUUGUCUUUUUGUAUUUAGCAGCGAAGUAGAUCGUAGAUAGCAGAUCUUGUCUUCCUGUAUUUGGUAGAGGAGUAGAUCAUAGAUGGCAGAUCUUGUCUUCCUGUAUUUGGCAGUAGAGUAGAUCGAAGAUAGCAGAUAUUGUCUUCCUAUAUUUGGCAGCGAAGUAGAUUGAAGAUAGCAGAUCUUGUCUUCCUGUAUUUGGCAAUAGAGUAGAUCGUAGAUAGUAGAUCUUGUCUUCCUGUAUUUGGCAGUGGAGUUGGUUAAAAAUUACAGAUUCUAUCACCUUAAGCAGUAGUGGAGCAGAUUAAAAGGAUGGAUCUUAUCUCUUCGAAGUUGUAGUAGAGCAGAUCGCAUCAAACUUUAUUGAAGCUACAAGUCUUAUCUCACUGAGGUUGCAGUAGAAUAGACUGAAGAUAGCAUAUAUUAUCUCUCUGGAGUUACAGUAGAGCAGACCACGAUGAUUUUAUCUCCCUAAAGUUGCAAUGGAGUGUACCAAAAUAAUAAAUCCUAUACCUCUGAAGUUGCAGUAGGUCGGACUAAAUCUACCAUAACAAAUCCUAUCUCCCUGAAGAUGCAGUGGAGCAAAUUGAAGACCGACUACAAGUCUUAUCUCCCUGAAGUUGUAGUGGAGCAGACUGUCGAUAACGGAUCUUAUCAUAUUAAAACCUUAUCUUCUUGAAGUUACGUGAAGCAGGUUGAAGCAACAAGUCUUAUCUCCCUGACGUUGCAGUAGAGUAGAUUAAAACCACGAAUCUCGUCCCCCUGAAGUUGCAAUAGAAUGGAUUGAAGCUACGAGCUGUAUCUCUCUGAAGUGCAGUGGAGUGGAUUGAAGCAACAAGACACAGUGGAUUGGAAUGAGGCUACCUGAAGAAGAGAAGCACUAGAAGAAGUCAAGACUCGGCGAGACCGGGUAAAUUUGGUCUUUCUUGGUCUUUGCUCUAUUCUCGUUAUACGACAACGAGGAAAGAGGGGCAGCUGUACAAGCCCAAAUUUGCCCGGGGCCCAAGAACCCAAUGCACCCAAACCUCAGCCUAAUUACAAAUUUAAAUCAGCAGACCCAACCCACCUAAACACCAACCCAACACCCAUAACCCAAACCUCAAUCCAAUAACACCUAGCCCAACAAGAUUAAACCCAAACCCGAGGCCCAAUAUCCAACCAAAAAAAAAUGAAGGCCCAGUAGCCCAAAAUGUUUGAGACUUUUUCAGAAAAAAUGAAACCCUAGCCUACUGCCUAACCCUAGCCGCCUCUGCCUCCUCUAACAUCUUCUAGUAUGGCCGCCGCUCGUAGCCUCUGCCACCACCACCUCUGACGCCGAGCCACCCGUCAAUCACCUACUCCAUCAACGUCAACACCUGCAAACAAGAGAAAAAGCAAUAGCAAAUAAUAGCAAAAAUAUUGUAAAAAAUGGCUAUAAAGCCAUAACCACCACUGUAAAUGGGGUACUCCCUCCCCCCCCCCCCCCCCGAUUUUUGUAUAAAAAAAUAUUAGCAGGGAAAUAAAGAAAAAAAGAUUGAAGGUGAUUUUUUCUUUUCUUUUCUUUUCGGUUUUGUAGACCCGUUUUUCUGUUCUCUUUUCUUUUUUCGUUUACACGUAUGUAAAUAAAGGUAGUAAAUAAAAGGAAAGAAUGAAGACUUACCCAUUUCGCUUUUCAGUUGCGCCGCCGUCGGGGUCUACUCAUCGUUGAAAUCGACCCCGAAAGGUCGAGUUAGGGGGUCCUUCGUCUUGAUUUUUGGGCCAAACGAAUAUAGCCUUCGAUUGGGUCUUAAAACGGGGACUAGAAUGCCCAUUUUGCGCAACGCCGGCCACCGUCCACGGUGGCGCUAUGGCGGCGCUAAGAAGACCCAAAGGCCGAACGUUUGAGAGGGAUGAGGAAAGGUUUUUUUUUGUUUUUUUUAAAUUAGUGGCUGAAAUGUUUUAUAUUUUCAUAUAGUUUUUAUAUACAUAUAUAUAUUCUUAUAUGCACAUACUUAUGUUUUUUUAUACUUUAUAUAUAUAUACACCUAAACAUGCAUAUUUUUUUAUAUGUACAUACAUUCAUAUAUUUUAUAAUUUAUAAUUUAAGUACAUAUAUAUAUAUACAUAAACAUUAUUUUUUUUUGUAAUUUAUAUUUUUAUUAAUUGUUUUAUUUGAUAUUUAUUUAUUUGCUUAUCAUUAUUUUUAUGAAAUGCUUUAGUUCUUUUUACUUCUCAUUAUUUCAUGUAUAAUUUUUUUUAUAUAUGUGUCCUUUUUAUUGUUGCUCGUAUUAUUUUACUUACAUUAUCAUAAUUGUCAUUCCAUUACGUUAAUUUUCACCCAGAUUCAAAAAAAGAAAUUUUAAAAAUAUAAGUAAUACUCGGUAUUUGGGAUCUUCGAGAGAAUCGAGUCCUAACGUAUUGGGUUCCGAUUUUCUUCGUUGAAUCUAAAUAAUUGAGACUACUCUUUUUAUAUAUAUAUAAAAAAAACAUAAAUAAAAGCUCAUUAUUGGGAAUUCAAUACGUUGUGUCCUAACGCAUUGGAUAUGAUACAUUGUUUUCUCGAGAUGAGGAUUUUUCUAAAAAAAUAAAAAUAAGGCAAUGUUUUGAGUUUGGGAAAUUCGAGAAAACGUGCCCUAAUGUGCUGGGUUUCGAUUUCUCGUUUAGCCAAAUAUUCUCUUAAAUCUUAAUCUAUGUCAUUUAAGUUUUUUUAGGAUCGUAUUUUAAAUCUCUUUAAAGUUUUCAGUUUUUCGACGCUAAGACAUUAAGUAAUCAACUAGGUACCAAUUUUGGGCGUAUCGAGGGUGCUAAUCCUCCUCGUGCGUAACCGACUCCCAAACCCGUUUUUCUGAAUUUCGUGGACCAAACUUGUUGUUUUAAUAAAAUCAAAUCAUUUAUUAAAACAACCACUUUUUGAGGUGAUCCGAUCACACCUUAUCAAAAAAGAUUGGUGGCGACUCCCACUUUCGUUUUCAUUUUUCAAAACCCAAGUCGACCCCUUUUUAUCAAAAAAAUGGUGUCAACAACAAUAACAAUAGAAGCACAUCAAAGUCAAAGCACAUAGGCUUUAAGUUCAUUGUUAUUAUAAUAAAAGUUCAGGGUGGUUAGAUGUCUAUAAAGUAUAUUGAGACGAACUCCAUGAUUACGGAUUCGCUUAUUAAGUGACUACCACCCAAAGUUUUUUUCCUGAGCACACUGUUGAUAUGGGUGUAAUGUCAUUUAAGGAUAUUUGAUUUUAGUAGGAGUUUGUACUUUUAAAUGUUUUUAUGUUAUAAACACAUUUUCAAUUAUUUUAGUUUACGAAUAUUAAGUUUAUUUUUUAUAGAAAUAAAGUUUAUUUGGUAAAGUUUGAUCUCACUAAGGUUAAUAAGGACCAGUUAGAAUAUGCAUGUUUGAAUCAUAUUACAUAUAAUUUUCAUGUUACACAUCCAUACUUGAUCUAUGUCAUUUGGUUGUGCUAAUAUAUGUGAUUAGGGAUGGAUUUAAUUAUGAUAUAUGUAACAAAAGUUGCAUUCGUUCUAUGUUAACAUAAUUAAUGGACGAGAUUGUUCGAAAUAUCUUUUGGAUAUGAUAGUAAAAUUUUGAGCUCAUAAGAUUAUAUAAUGACAUGUAAUUAUAAAGUAAUCGGUAUAUAUCAAAAGUCUUUCCCACAUUCAUCAACUAGAAAUCAGAGCUCACCAAAUGUCUAUUCUUUUCAAUCUGAACCGACUCUACAAUCACUUAUUGCUCAUGGUCAUCAGCCUAUAAACCCAGGAGCAUUGUUAACUUCUAAAUCCAAAACACUAAUAUCAGCAUCCAACCCUACAAUGAUAGUAUUAUUGACUCAUUUAAACAAGUUUCCUUUGUCAAUCUAUAUUCCGUAUUUGGUAAUCUCCAGUAUGAAUUCAGAAUUUAGGAUAGCUGGAAUAAGAAUAGCAGCAAAGAUGCAAAGGGAAACGACUUGUAGGAGGAGGAAGAACCUUCUUUUGGGUACAGACCUGUAUAGCAUAUAAUAGGAUGUCCUGUAUAAUGUCACGAGAGCUAGUACCGUUGCCAAGCAGUAAUUAGUAAUGCUGAGUCUAGAAUAGGAAACGGAUCCAGGAGUCGAAAGAGAGAAAAAAUACUGAAGUUCGAGUGUCCGUAUGGAAACAGCAACUAAAAGCAUGUAACAGGUCCCAAACAAGGAAAGUGUUAUGAGAAUAAACAAGCAGAUUGAACGGCUGGGUAGGAGAUAGGCAGUUAAAACAGUUGCUGCCCAAAAGGUUAAAGUGUUGUAUAACCAAAACAUUGUGGACACGUCUAGUAUAUUUUUUAAAUCUUCUUUUUCAGCGGGUGGAGGACUUGGUACGGGUCCAGUGCUGGUUGAACCUAAAGAUGCGUCAUACAUGAGAUGGAAAUUCUGGGAAUUU